RNAcentral lists this long non-coding RNA (184419 nucleotides) under Coffea arabica (coffee). RNAcentral describes it as "long non-coding RNA (CARA_LNC001062)". The record is from RNAcentral. Lineage: Eukaryota; Viridiplantae; Streptophyta; Magnoliopsida; Gentianales; Rubiaceae.
GGAUUUAAGGUCCACAGGGACCCUGUUCUGUCACCAAUUGGCUGAACAGUGAUUCUUUGUGAGUCCCUCUUAGAUUGUUUUAGGGCCGAUUUUUCGAUUAACUCUUGCGUUUGUUUAAAUUAGUGAUUCUUUGUGGGUUCCCUGCUUUAGGGCCGAUUUUUCGACUAACUUCUGCGCUUGUUUCAAUUAGUUGGAGACCAGAAAAUGGGAAGCUCUCAAAAUAGGAAGGAAUGGUCCCCUUUUAUCCCACUCCACUUUUGCAGACGAUAUUGUGCUCUUUUCCAACUGCUCAGAAGCUUCUAUUAGAGGAGUGAAGGAUGUCUUUGGCAAUUUCAACUUAAGAUCUGGAUUAUUUAUUAAUCCGAACAAGUCCAGGAUUUUUUUUCUCCAAAAUUGUGAGCCCACACUCGAAGGCCCAAAUAACUUCCUUCUUGAGGAUUGAUGAGACUGGAGAACUUGGAAGAUGCUUAGGAAUUCCCAUUGCUCAUUCUAGAAUCUCCAGCCAAUCCUUUAGCUUCAUUUUGGACAAGAUUCGGUCUAAACUUAGCUGGUUGGAAAGCUAGUCUCCUUUCUUUUGGGAAAUGGGGCAGGAAUGGCUGUCUUCCUAAAGGUUCACGGCCACGAUGUGGCCUCAAAAAUUUGUGCGGUUCAGAUUAUAGCAUGUAACUCGAUUUUCACGCCAUGUGUGAGACCCACAAAAAAUUAUAAAGUUACUCCAUGUGUAAAAAAAGUUACGCGAUGUGCAAAAAAUGUUACGCACUGUUGAAAAAUGCACAAACCGACACAAACGGUUACUGCCCUUGUCCUUUCUUUUGCUAGAAGGAAAGCAGUCAUCCAACAAGUUACCUUGGGCAUCUCCUCCUUCUAUGCCAAUUGCCCAUAGCACCCCGCUACCAACUGCAACUUGUGAAGCCAUAGAUAAAAUCCAGCAUGACUUCUUACGAGGCUUCACCCCUGAAAAAGAAAAUUGCACUUAGUCAGCUGGGAGCUGUUACUAUGCCAACGUGUCAGGGGGAACUUGGUCUACAAAAACCUCUUACGUUAAUAAAGUAGCAAUGGCAGGUCUUUGUUGGCGAUUAAUGCACACCCAACAGCAACCUUGGAGCCAUAUUCUACGCCAUAGGUAUACUAAUGAGCCCCAAUCCUGGCAACAAAGGAAAUUAGCACUUGGAAUCCUCAGUGACAUUUUUUCUAUGCCAACCCAAUGCCACCUAUAAAAUUGUGCAAGUGUUCUGUUAUUAUUUACACUUGUAUUAAACCAAAUCAAGUUGAAUUAUUAGAAAAUUAAAGUGUAAAUAAUAACAGGACAUUUGGCGCAAUAUUAUAGGUGGCAUUGAAUUGGCAUAGAGAAACAUGUCACCGAGGAUCCCAAGUGGGAAAUUAGUGCUAUCAUCAAGACAAGGUUCCAUCAAUCAAAAAAUGCUUUACCUUAGGAAGGAAGUUUAUAAUAAAGGGUUGGGAUAAUAUUAGAUACCUCCCUUGAAAUUUUUUCUAAUAUCACCUAACACCCCUAAAAUUAUACAAAUAUUACUUACUGUGACAGACUCAUCUUCCCCUAAGAUGUACUCCAAGGGUUAACGGACUACCUAUCCAACUAUCAUCAGGAUUCACUACCCAAAACGAUCAACACAACUUCAAAACAUCACAACCCAAUGUUAUAUAUAAUAGAGUCACUAUCGAUUCAAACUAAGAGCACAAGUCAAAGUUUUCAAUCUUACAUGAGUACAUAUAAGGUUUACUAAUACAAAAGAGUUUAAACAAAACGCCUAAGGUCUAGUACUAGAGUUCAAACUCUUCCCAAAAUUACCAAACCCAAAUCUUCACACUUGAAUGUUCAAUAAGAUACCACAGGGUCAUGCAGUCAGAAAUAAAACGAAAAAACAAAAUCACAUAGAUCGGUCAUUAAGUUAUCAAACAGAAGUAGCAAUUUAAAGAGACAAAUGAACACCACAACCAACAUAGAGUGAUUCAGGUAAAAGGAUAUAGUUAGAUCUCGAGAGCUAAAUUCCCAAUCGCAAUAGUUUGAUCCAAACCCGUUGACACUCCGUCAACAUUUAGAGAAGCAGAAACAUUGUCUGUGGAUCACCGCUUUACACCAAUUUCUGUCCACCAUUCAUUCUCUUUACCGGGCCCAAACACCAAACAGUGAAGGUAAUAUUCGAGUAUACCAAAUUUCGGAAUAAAAUCAGAACUCAGUGAAUCAAUAACAAUUUUCCCACGGCCUGUCAAUUUAUCUCGACCAAACCUUUGCCAGUUCGAUUCGAUUAACUAACCAAUGAGAUUUGGGCCCAAAUUCACAGUGUGGUCAUUGGAUAGUAUGUUCCAAAUGACAUUCAAAUAAAACACAAGUAAUAAAUUUCAAAUGAACAGUAGAACAAUCACCAAUCAAGUGGGAUCGAGUGUGAUAAGGUACACACCCCGUCCAGCCAAGAGUAAAUCAAAGUCACGAUCAAACAAUCAUAACUUUCAAUCACAUAGUAGUUCACCUAAGUAACAAGUCAUAUAGGUGGUACACUCACCAGUUCAAAGCAGAACAAUGUUAGACGUUUGUUUCCCAGUUAUUCUUGUUCACCGACAAACCCUAAGAGCAAUCAAGAUAAAAAAAUAUUAUGAUCUAACCAUCCAAAACUUAGGUGAACCAAGGAAAAAUUCAAAUAUAUAUUGGGGCAAUGAUUCAAAUAUAAUUUUGGAGUGAAAAGAAAGCAUUUAAACCCAAAAAACAUGAGCAACCAAAGGAAAAAAAUAUGAAUUUAUAACUCAUGAAACUCAGCAAAACAUACAUAAAAUAUACACACGACUUUUGAAAGAAAAACGACCAAACUCGAGUUUAAAGUCGGACAAGUACAACUAGAAAACACGCUUGAAACAACCAUUACUUUCCUCCUUAUAUCAUAUAUGAUUUUUGACAAAAAUUCAGUUUAUGCGUCACAACCAAGGUGGAUUUAAGCAACCAUAAGUAACAUAAGUCCAACAGACCAAAAAUCACACCUCUACGCUCACUCUUAUUCACUUACAUCAAAGACAGGGAAAAAAAAAACCAGCAGCAUCUCCCCUAAUUUCUUUAAGUUUCUUCUGCAAAUUCAAAGUUUAACUUCAUGGCAAAUCAACUUUAAUCAAAACCACAAGUUAUAAAAUAUAAGAGGUACUUGUUCUAGACCACAAAAUUAACUAAACUCACAUAUAAACCAUAUCAAAACUGAAAAUGAACCUUAAAUUGAAAUUUACAAACAAAAGUUGAAAAUUCAUAUAUUGAAACCAAAGUACAUACAAAAAUUGAAAAUUUCUCAUAGCAAAACUGAAAUUAGCAUUUCCAGACUAGAAUUUCUCGAUCAAUGCUGGAAAUUUCGAACUACUUCACAAAAUUAUGAAAUUUUUCAUGAAACCUACCAUAAUCAAGUUAUAAAUCCAUUCAAGUGUAAAAUAAAAGAGAAAAUGUAAUUUCUUGACAUGAAUAUCUUCAAACCCUAAGGAGAAAUGCAAACAAGAGUGUUCUUUUCCCCAAAUUACUCCACACAAGCUUUCCCUCCUUCCUUGAUACAACUUCCUAUACGGAUUGGAUUAGGGUUUUAGGAUGAAUUUCUAAAGGAAUCAAGUGAGAAAUCAAGUUGAAAAUUGGAGUUUUUUUUCUCUCUCUUUUCUCUCCUUAGAGGUUCAGCCAAGAGCAAGGUAAGAAUGAGAGGUUUUUGGUUCAAAUUUUUAAGAUAAAGUCAAAGACUAAUCUUGUCGAGAGAGGUUUAGAUCGUCGACAAGUGGCGGCUUAGGGUUUCAAGCUUAUCUCUUUGUCUUUCCUUUGUCUCUAAUCACUAAUCUAUAUUGUUUUCCUCUAAUUCACUCUUAACACUUCUAAUCACAUAAUCUUUCUUGCCAAAUACCUAUUUUUGUCCACCAAAUUUAUUACACAACUCACUAGUAGGUCUCACUUUCAUAAUGCACUACAAACUUAACAUGUACUAACUUAUAGAAGAAAAACAAUAAAAUAUUGACUCACUUAUAAAAGUAUCUAAGAAAUUAAGGCAAAUAAACUAAAGUAAAAGAAAACGUAUUUAAAGAAAUAAGAUAAAAUAUAAAAUAAUUUUCAAAUCCUCACAAGUCCUUAUACUUACCUCCCAUAGUAAUUGCAAAAAAACUAUAUUAACUCUCACUUCAAAUAUAAUUCACAUAUCAAAUAAAAGGAGCUAAAAAUUAAAAAAAGAAAAAAAAGUCAUUUUUCUCUUUUUCUUUUCUUCAAUAUUCUCUCUUACUUAUUUUUUUGGAUGACUACGCAAUUUUAUUUGUAAAUUAUAAAUAAAUUGAAAUUGGUUAUCUUUACUAUUUAUAAUUGUGAUAGAGUGGGGUAUGAUUUAUUUGCUUAUUUUGAAUUAUUUUUUAUAAUGAUCAGUACAAUUCAAAAGUUUGGGCACCAGUUGAGAAGAAGUUGGAAAAAAAGAUAAAGUUCAUAAGAAAUCAAUUUUGAGCAUACAAAGUUAAAUUGGUCAACUAUAUUUCUUUGCAAAUAUUUUUAAAUAUAUAUUUUUAUGGACUAUAGUAUUAUGAUGUGGUAGUACUACUAGAAAUUAUUUUUUAAAUGGUAAUUUUCUUGAAGUAAAUAAAGAGAUCUAGGAAUAUUUUUAUUUAACAAGUAGAAGGGUAAUUUAGGAUUUUUUAAAAUUUUGUUACACAAAUAACGAAAGUAUGAGAGAUAAGUGAUAUUUUAAAAAUUUUAAGGGUGUUAGGUGAUAUUAAGAGAAAUUUCAAGAGAGGUUUCUGAUAUAAUCCCUGAAGGGGUUGGAUGAACUAUUGGGAAUGGAAUCCUGGCCAAAGUUUGGUGGAUGAUUUGAUGGGCCUAGCCCUUUAAGACUACUCAUCUCGAGGCCUUUUGAUGAAAGGAAAGAUAGAUUAGUAGUUAACCACUUGAUUGGCGAGGGCUCCACUUGGAAUCGAAACCAACUAUCUUUCAUCUUAUUAGAGAGGAUUGUUCAUAUAAUAAGGGCUAUUCCAAGGUAGCAAUGGACUAAUAUGGAGGAUUCCAUCCGAUAGAAAGCCAAUCUUAAUGGGUAGUUUGGCCUGAAAUCUGGUAUCGAGAGACUGUGCUCUAAUAGGGAAAACUUCAGCCAAAGUGAUCUUUCUUGGAUCUGGAAAGUGAAUGCAAGCAAUAAAGUCAAGAAUUUCCUUUGGCUGGCAUGUGGAGACAAACUCCCUACCAAAAGUAAUCUUCAUAGGAGAAAUAUUCUACAAGAGAAAGCUUGUCCUUCAUGCAAUCUCACUUAUGAAGACAUCUUUCAUGUUCUUGGCCAUUGUUAGAGAGCAACAAUUUUAUGGGCUAAAUUGUCCCUGCCACACCAAUUGUGGCUUAUGGAGAACUAGCUCCUUCAUAAAUGGUUGAAGAGCUCUUGCUCAAAUUCCACAAUUUCUCCUACUACCAUUUACGCGUGGGCAACUAUAAUAACCUUUGGUUGUUGGAUAUUGUGGAAAAAGAGAAAUAUGCUGCUGUUUGAGCCACAUAACCUUCUCAGAGAUUCAGCUAAAGAUACAUUAGCUACCGUCGCUGAAUAUCUCAGCAUGGGACCUGGCACUAGCAAGACAUCUCGUUCUAAAGAGCUGAUCCCUAUCUGCCGAGAUCCACAUCCUCUCAACUCUUUUAAACUGAAUACUGAUAGGUCCUCCUUGGGAAACCCAGGUCCAACUGAAGCAGGAAGCAUUAUGCGGAAUCAUUUUGGAGAAUGGGUUUCAAGCUUCACUAGAAACCUGGGAUAGGCCACAAAUACAACAGUUGAACUUUGGGUGCUGAGGAACGGAUUGUCCCUAGCAAAAUCUCUUUACAUCCAGCACUUACAUAUGGAAUUGAAUGCAAAAAUCUUAGUUGAUAAGCUAUUUACUAAGAAUUGUCAGACUCACUUCGCCUCCCCUUUUCUUUCUGAUUGCAGGACUAUCAUGCAGAGCUUUCAAGCCUGUACUAUUAGACAUGUUUUCCGCAAAGCUAAUAGAUGUGCGGACUUUUUGGCAAAAUUGGGCACUGAAACUUCUGAAGAAUUUAUUUUGUACCCCUCCCCCCUAUACCCUUGUUUAGGAUUUCGAAUGAUGAUGGUAGGGGACUCUACUUAUCCCAGCUUGUAAACUCUUAAGCUUUAAUUAAUUUCUAUCCCUAUUCUUACAAAAAAAAAAAAAGUUUAUCUGGGGACAUAAGUCAAAAAUUCAUGCAUAUCCUAAAGGAUAAUUUCAGAAACCUUCCCUGAAAUUUUUCACAAUUUCACUCACCUUCCUUCAAGUUUGAAUAAUUAUACUAACAUCUGUUUAUGUAGUAAAAUGACUAUAAUAUCUUUCAUUUAUAGAAAAUUCUACAAAAAAAAAUCUACAACUACAACUAGUUUUUCAUUCUAAAACAACGACUACCACACAAAAUAAAUUCUUAUUCUCUCUCUUACCUUCUUUUUCCUAUUUCUCAUAAUCCACUAGUUUUAUACCAUCUAUACAACUAUCUAAUACAUCUUGAAUCCUCAUUAUUAUGGAAAAUAGAUCCUUCUUUUUUUUUUUGCCUUUUUUUGUCAAUAUUAUUGAAUUAAAAUUGCUAAAUGACAAAUUGGCGAAUCAAAUUUGUUGUCAAAGUAAAUGAAGAUGAAAAGGACGGCGGUGAUACAGAGUACGGAUAAGAAAAUAAAAGUGAUAGCUAAAAAGGGAACAUGAAUUAAGGAAGGUUACGUUACUAUGCCAAUUGUGUAUAAAGAAUUUUGGGAUAUAAAAAUUGCAAUCAGAUUUGCCAAGAGACAUGGAAUGUGGCCUCUAGUCUGUUUUUGGUUGUUUCAUGUUGACAUUCCUGGUGGGUUAGAUUAUUUUAGUAUCAAUAAGGUUGCAGCCAUUUGUAUUGAGUUUGGAUAGUAGCAUUGAUCAAUUCAAACAUUGAAUUUAGGCAAAAAAAAUUGAGGGUAAAGAUUAGGUUGAAUGCAAAUUUUAAUUGUCACAGUUGAUUUGCAUAGGAAACUAUGAGACGGCAAUGGUAGGCUGUCAAAAUCGUGAGAAUAUGAAAAUUAACCUGAAGUGGUUUAUUAAGUUCGUGAGGGUGAUGAUUAUAACGUUUAUAAUAGUUGCAAUUCAAAGAAAUUUAUUAGUGAGCUUUUGCCUAUUCUAAGUAAUAAAGGGGUAUUUUAGGAUUUUUUAGAACAAAUUUAGCAUACUGGGUCUAUAUUGUUAUUGAAAUGCUAAUCAUAGAGAGGAAGGUGUAAUUUUUUAAACUAAAGGGGAGCCUCCUGCAGUAAUCAAAAACCUUAGCGGAGGUUUUUCAAAUUAUCCCUAGGGAAUUUCGCCAUUUCGUCCCUAAACUUUUACAUUAAAACCAAUUUCGUCAUUUAUGAUUUUUUUUAGCUAAUUUAGUCCUUUGACUAUUUUGAAUUUCCAAUGUAGGACUUUUGCGACGGUGACACCACAUUUUACAUAUUCUGUACAACGGUGAUGGGUAUAUCUAUCAUUUUAAAUUAGAUUCUUUAAUUUAGACGGAUCUUUGACCAUAGUUCUUCUUCUUCGAUGAAUUUCACUGAAAAUUUCAUUUGGAUUUAUUGGAAACUUGCAGAAACUCUCUCUCACACACUCAAAUCAAGAAACAAAAUCCAUGAGAAAAAAAUAGAAAACCAAGAACCAAAAUGAAAAUUGAAGCAAAAUUUGAAAGAGAAAUCUCUCUCAUACACAAUUUUAAAUCUACUCACCGGCAAACUCAUUUUGUUUGGUUCUGAUUCUUCGAUCCUCCAUUCAUGGUUGCUAGCAAAGACACCACCAAUUGUCACUACCGAUCCACUUUCAUCCUUCAACUCUCUCAUGACUAGUCAUCAUUCAUUUUUCAUCUUGAGUUUCAUAUGAACUCAUAAGAAUCUCUCCAAAAUCCUUGUGGAAUCUUAGUUGUAGAGUUGUAUACUCCAUUUUAUUUCCAAGAAAAGAACCAAAAACAGAAAACCAACAAAAACAUUGAGGGAAUCCAAGGUGCAAGGGGAGCUCGCUGCUGCUGCCAGCAUCAGCAUUGCCGGAGUUGCUAUCGUCUUGCUAGAACCACCACUACUUACAAAUCAUCAUGACGAAAGCACUGUGAGGUUUCCAUAAUCCUUUUUUUCUUUUAAUCUCUAGGUUGAGAUGAUUUUCUUGGCCUUUGAAAUUGCUAUCUUUUUCCUGUAUGCUUUGUUUUGUAGAUGAAUGAAAUUGGACAGUGAUACUUGCUGCAAUUUCGUUGUUUCUUUUUCACAUUUUCUACUUAAAUGAGGCUUGACAAGAUAUUUUUCGACUCAGCCAUAGUCAAAUUUCAUACAAAAAUAUUCAAUUUUUGUGAUGACCUUAAUCUGUUUGACAAAAUGUCCAAACGAAAUGAGUUUGUGAGUAGGUCCGAGAGUAUGUUUGAGAGUCAUUUCUCUUUUAAAUUUUGCUUCACUUUCCUUAUGGUUCUUGAUUUUAUUUUUUUUGUUUAUGAUUUGAGUGUGUGUGAGAGAGAGUUUGUGCGAAUUUCUGGUGAAUGGAAUGAGAUUUCCAUUGGAGAAGAAGAACAAUGGUCAAAGAUCCAUCUAAAUUGAAGAAUCUAAUUUAAAAGGACAAAUAUAUUCAUCACCGAUUGUACGGAAUAUGUAAAAUAUGGUGUCGCCGCUGCAAAAGUCCUACGUUGGAGACUUCAAAAUAGUCGAAGUACCAAAUUGGCUAAAAAAAAUCAUAAAUAACAAAUUUGGUUUUAAUGUAAAAAUUUAUGGACGAAAAUGGCUAAAUUCCUUAUCCCAAUACUAUAAUUAGUAUCUCAAAUAUGGUAUACCUUUUCAUCAUGGUCCAAGUGGACCAGCAACGGAAACAGAAAAAUUUUCCUUAUUGGCCCAGCCGAUCUGUUUCAUUUCCUGGCAAUCAAUCGGCUCAACUGCUGAAUUGUGACUGAACUCCAUCCAGAAUAAAUAAAUAACGGCCGUAAAGACUAAAAAGUGAUCUUUGACAGCAGAAGGGAAUAUCCAGUUUAGAGAGUAAAAAAUCCAAGCUUGAAACAUCAACACUGAUGACAUUGUCUGGAAAUUUGCAUCAACCAUGGAUUUCAAUACUUCCUUUCUCUCCACAAUUCAAAACCCAAAUGGACAUUAAUCAAAUUCAUGCAAAAUUACUAACCACUGGCCUCAUCAAGAAUCUUUACUUGACCCGAAAACUUAUCCUCAAAUUCUCAAACUCACCACACAAACCCCUGAUACAGUUUGCCAAAUAUCUCUUCUUCUCAAGUCAAGCCUUCGACGACUCACGAAAUAAAGCUGACCCAUUGAUUUGGAAUUCAGUAGUCAAGAUCUAUUCGCAUGGCAGUGACCCUGAGAACGCUUUGAAAGUGUUCGUUUUAAUGCUUGAAAGUGGGGUUUUAGUAGAUGAGUACUCUCUUUCCUUGGUGUUAAAAGCGUGUUCCAGAGUGGGUUUGGUUAAAAAUGGGAUGCAGAUACAUGGGUUGCUGAAGAAAUGCGAAUUUGGGUCUGAUUUGUUUCUUGGAAACUGUUUGAUCUCCAUGUAUGUAAAAUGUGGCUGCAUAGAGUAUGGUCGCCAAUUUUUUGACAGAAUGGCUGACAAAGACUCUGUUUCGUAUAACUCAAUGAUUGAUGGGUACGUGAAAUGUGGGAUGGUAGAUUUUGCACGUCAAUUAUUCCAUUCUUUGCCAGCAGGGAUGAGGAACUUGAUAACUUGGAAUACUAUGAUCGGUGGGUUUGUGAAGUUAGGGGAUGGUUUUGAGUCGGCGUGGGAGUUGUUUGAGAAAAUGCCUGAGAGAGAUGUUGUUUCAUGGAAUAUGAUGAUUGAUUGUUGCAUAAAGAGUGGGAAAAUGAGGAUGGCCCAAAUGUUGUUUGACACCAUGCCGAGAAGGGAUGUUGCCAGUUGGGCUAUUAUGAUUGACGGUUAUGCCAAAAGCGGAAGUGUUGAUGUUGCUAGAGGCUUCUUUGAUGACAUGCCAGUAAGGGAUGUAAUUUCUUGCAAUGCAAUGAUGGCAGGGUACCUAAGGAACGGUUCUUAUGUGGAAGCACUAAAAAUGUACCAUGAUGUGUUGAAUAAUAGUGAUUUUGAACCUGAUAAAACUACUUUCUUGAUUGCUCUUUCAGCAGCUGCACAUUUGGGCAACAUCAAUGAGGGGGUUACCAUACACAGUCAUAUGAAGAAUAAUGGUCUUUUUGCAGCUGGAAAACUUGGUGUUGCUUUGAUAGACAUGUAUGCAAAGUGUGGGGACAUCGAUUGUGCUUUGAGCGUAUUUGAGGACAUCAAAGAGAAAAGUGUUGAUCACUGGAAUGCUAUGAUUGGGGGAUUGGCUAUUAAUGGCUUGGGUGAGCUAGCUUUUGAUAUGUUCAUGGAGAUGGAGAGGCGUUGCAUAGAACCAGAUGAUAUCACUUUCAUUGCUUUGCUUAAUGCUUGUGGGCAUGCUGGCAUGCUUAAAGAAGGUAUUAUCUGCUUUGAAAUUCUAAGAAGAGUCCACAACAUGGAUCCGAAACUCCAACACUAUGGGUGUAUUGUAGACAUUCUUAGCCGAGCAGGACAUAUAGAGGAAGCCAGGACAUUUGUCAAGGAAAUGCCCAUUGAGCCCAAUACUGUGAUUUUGCGUACUUUAUUGGGUGCAUGUAAGAAUCAUGAAAACCUAAGCACUGGGGAGCCUCUUGCUCAGCAUCUAAUUGGACUGAAUUCCCUUAACUCAAGUUCAUACGUCCUUUUGUCAAAUAUAUAUGCUCAACUCGGUUUGUGGGACAGUGUUAGGUGUAUCAGGACAAUAAUGAAAGCAAAGAAUGUGAAGAAAUUCCCUGGCUGCAGUUGGAUUGAACUUGAGGGAUUAGUUCACGAGUUCUUUGUUGGAGAUACAUCCCAUUUUCAAGUUAAAGAGAUUUUUUCUACGUUGAACAGAUAGAUUAGUUGAAGCUAUGAGGCUUUGAAGCCUUGAAAUUUCUCGAUAUCAAAAAUGGGAAGCACAAUGUGAAUAAGUAGAUAAUUCUGUAGCCAUAACAACAUAUUCUCUGCUUCCGUCAAGGAUAUCCACAUCCGCUGUUUCUCCUUGAUGCCAUACAGCAGCUAUUUUUUUCUCAUCCCAAGUUCAUGUACAACAUGCAAAGUUCACUUAGUAUCUUGUAAGUUUAUGAUGCAUCUCGAGAAAGCAAUUGCAAGAAAUUUCAAGUUACAAAGCUUACUUCAGUUUGUCUUUUAGUUGUUCCAUUCUUAUUUAUGAAAAAGAAGAAAAAAAAAGUAAGGUUGAAAAGACAGUAGGCAGGUUUGUGUUGCUAUCUCAUAACAGCCAUUUUUCAUCCAAAAAUUAUAUCAUUUUCGUAAUUAUAUUUUUUUAUUAUUAUUUUUUUAAAUACAUCAAAUCGUUACAGUAAUUUUUUUAUAAAAAAUUUAAAAAAAAUACAAUCCAAACAAGUUUAGAUGUUACUGGGAAACUUAUCCAGUGACAGAAACAUCAAAAUCGCAUUUGUCAUAUAUCUUUGAUAUUUCAGCAAUUUCGAAGAAUUAUCUUAAUAACAUUCACAUGGUCUACAAGUCCGAUUCAAGAUGUAAUGUCUGCCUGCAUGCUGCAUCAUUACGAAACAUCAGAAAAGUCAAACUCCACAGCUCCACAGCUAGACAACCGGACUACCAAUUAGUAGUACACACUGCAAGGCUGUAAAAGGUGAUUUUGGGGUGAUUGUCCUCUUGCACCCAAUUUGUCCACCUACUCGUUGGCCAUUUCUGCUUGGGGAAUGUGUUUUCAACACCAUCACGGGAUCAAACUUUGGAGGGAUAGCAGCACUUGGAUUUUACUGCCCGACUGCUAAUCAGUGUGUAGUGCUGAAGUCUGUUGAGGCACAUGAUGGAUGGAGGUUGGUGGGUCCAAAAUAAAGGUUGAAAAAGAUCAUAGCGUGACCUGGAGGAAAGUAUAAUUGCAGUAAUCUGAGUGGGAAACAGGUGGAUAAAUGCAAGAAGCUGGCAAUGGGUAAAACCCUGACUCGGAAUAGUUUAAUAGAAUCCACUGUUGUUCAUAACAUACGCGGGCAGUGCGUUGCAAAUUAAAUAAGUUACACGACUCAGACCAGCGAGUAACUCGGUUAAAUGGUCGGUUUAUCGAAUUCGAACUACUUGAUAAGGUAAGGUAACUGAGUCAAAUUCGAGUAGAAACUAUUAAAACUUGAUUACUCCUUGAUUUUUAUCGAAUAGUACACUCAUAAUAUAAUUUUAAAUUAUUUAUUAGUAUAAAAUUAUAAAAUUUACUAAAAUAGCGAGCUUGAAAACUCAAUUAAACUUGAUUGAGUUUGAUUAACUCAUUUUGGUCGAGUUCGAGUAAGGUAAAAUAAGUUCGAACUAGAUUUUAAGGAGCUCAUAAACUUGAUCUCAAUCAAUUUCAAGCAUUUUUAUUUAAGUAAAACUUGAGCAGUACACGAGCCAAACUCGACAUGAUAGCAACCCUAGACUAGUAACUAAUAAAUCUACCAAAGAAGAUACCCGAUGCCAAACCUAUAGGAUCACAUUUUUACAAUAAUUUCUGAAAAUUGGGAAAAGACCUCCUUUCUCUACAUCUUGCAAGCUUCUUCGAUCUCCAGUUCAUGAGAUAUUUUGAACUAAUUAUGGCACUGAAAUUAUAAGCUUUUAGACUCAGAAAACAUGUUUUUGUUCCAGAAUCUCUGAGAACUUUUAGAUUGGACAAAUCUACAUUAGGUGAUUUUCUUUGACAAAAGAGAGAGUUGCUUGCGCUUGCUAGCGAAAAACAAAAUGAAGGGGCACCAAAUCAUUUGGAUUAGAAACUGGACUACGAAAGAACUUCCCCAUGACCUAGUCGGUAGUCAGUGAUUAAUCAACUACAUGGUUUUGAUUGCACUAGGCUUCAUACAGUGACUUCUACAAAUAAACAGGGCAAUUGGGAAUACCAUACAAAUUUUAGGUCAUGCUGACCAUGGAUCAUUGCCAAUUACACAAAGCCCGCCAAGACACAGCCUAAAUUACAUAAUGUGACAAACCAGGGAAUACCUUCCCAUGCUAUCUACGUCCUGAAUGCUCCUACAUGUUACAAUCUAAUCUAAAGCAGGCUUUGCAUUUCAAAACUGUUCUUUGGAGGACAAAGCAUACUGAAAUAAGAUGCCUACUCAUCAUCAGUCAGAAGUUAGUGAGCCAUCUUGAAAUGGUCAUACUUGGGUAACCAUUGCAUAUGAUGAUCAGGAACUGCAGAUUAGUUCAUUCAAUUGUUGCAUCACAGUUUCGAUGGUAGGCCGAUGAUUAAGAGCUUCAUGGGUGCAAAGCAGAGCAAUUUUUCCAAGCUUAACUGCCUCUGAUUCUCUGAAGUUCCCUUCAAGAUUUGUAUCAACGAAGUCUUCAGUCCUUCCCAACUCAGCCCCUUGACGAUUCAACUGGCUGAUUUUACAUUUCCCAGAAAGGAUCUGGAAUAUAAUCAUGCCAAAGCAUAUAUGUCACUCUUCUCGGUGCAACGACCUGUAGUGGUAUAUUCAGGAGCCAAAUAUCCCAUUGCAGCACUGCCCUUAAGGGUUGAAUACACGAUGUCAUCAGCCAAUAGUUUGUGCAGUCCACAAUCUGAGAGCAUUGGGUGGUAAUGUUGAUCAAUGAGCACCUUUUCAGCUGAUAUAUUUCUGUGGACUAGAGCAGGUUUCUUUCCCUGAUUCCCAUGCAAAUACUCAAUACCUGGUGAAUUAGAAAAUCAUAAUUUAGCACACAUAAACAUCAACAAGGCAUCGAAAUGGCAUUAAAGAGGAAUCAUACAUAAUUUCUUUAUUCUGCAAAUAAAGAAGUGUGAUAUUAUUCUGGAUAAUCUUAGGCCGUCAUUCCAGUCAUGAUAUGAACCAUUCAUUUGUUGUCUUGAAGUGUUAAUCGUCCCAGGAAUCAACUGCUGCAGAGAUGAUAGCAAAAGCACUAACCUCUAGCAAUGCCUUUGAUGAUCGACGUUCUGGUAGACCAUUCAAGAACCUUGACUUUGCACCCUUUGUGUCAAGGUAUUGCAACAAGUUUCCAUUAGGGACGAAGUCAUAUAUGAGAAGCACUCCCCCUGCCUUUUUGAACAACAGAAGCCUCUUAAUCUCAGGACAUUUUCAUGUUUCAAUGAGGUUAAUAAAUUUAAUCCUUUCAAAAAUUCAGAUUCAUCAGACUUGCAGCUAGUUUUGGAAAUGCACUUUAUAGCUACAAUGGACCCAUCCACAAUAUCCCUUUGUAGGUAGCUGAGAAACUACUCUUGCCCAACAGAUUUGUGUCUGAGAAGUGUUGUGUUGCAGACUCCACUUCAUCCAGAUUGAACAUGAAGCUGUCAAAUUCUUCCUGUGAGAAACCAUGACCAAUUUGGGCGUCUAGCCAAUGGAUCCCAGCCAUGGGAGUAUUCCAGACUGAUGAGAGGAGAAGCGCUUCUUCUGCACACCUCCUUGACCUGGUCAGUGCUGAGUCGACUAUCUGAUGCAUCAUAAGUACUCCAAUCUUCUGCUUCUGGCGACGGUACCAAAAGAAGGUAAAAACUCCUAUUACAGCCACAACUGCAAAUAGUCCAAUAAGUCCAACAAUAAUAGCUGUUUGAGGUCUUCUAGAUUGAUUCAAGCUGUUUGGCUGGACGUUUGCCGACUCAGGUAUAGCUUUAGAAGGAAGACGACUUGAACCCGGACCAAAUGGUUCAGGUUUAUUUGGGUUUAUUCCAGAAUCAGUGCAGACAUUCAAGGUGGAAAACCCAAUUCCACAUAGGCCUGGGUUAUUUGCAAACUGAAAUCCUUCAUUCAGUCUCUUCAAGGCUUCGUUGAGGGGGAAAGAGAAAUCAGGGACGAUUGAGUAAAUUAGCACACUUGAGAACACUAAAUUUGGUAAAAAGGAUUAUGCAGACAUAGACUAGGUGAAGCAAUUACCUAUUGGUACAUUUCCAGAUAAAGUAUUAUUUCUGAUGUCUAGAAAUUCCAAAUUUGGGGAAUUAGCCAAUUUGACAGGAAUGGAACCGAAAAGGCCAUUGAAGCUUAAAUCCAUCCUCGUCAAAUUCACUAAGCCCCAAGACUUGCCGGAAUCGCUCCACUCAACUGAUUGUAUUGCAGAGCAAGUACGUUGAGCUUCUUUAAAAAUCCAAGUUGAGUGGGAAUGCUUCCAGUCAACUUGUUGUAACAGAGUUGCAUUACUGCAAACAAAACAAAAUUCAGGUAGAAUCUAGCGGAGCCUAUUCAACAGUUUACCUGCUUUUGCAGCAAAAAUGAAUUUCAAGCUGAUCCAAGCGUAUUACUUUCUAAAAAGAUUCAAGCUCUACUUCAAAAACAUCCAGAGCACCUUUUGUUAGUAGAAUGUUGCAGCAUUAAUCCUUCUAAACAUUGAACCUUUUAAAGUCGUGAAACCUUAAAUUCCAAGGGAACUUACAGGAGUGAGAACUUACAGAUUCUCUGUGCUAAGAGUUUUCAAAGUACAUGCGGUCAAAUACGCUACAUUGAGGAAUUUAGUGAGCAAAGAACCAAUUUCCAUACACCAGAAGAAGUCCAGUAAGAAAGUCAAGCUUCAGAUCAAACUAACUGUUCUAGUGACCAUGAAAGCCACAAUUUCUGGAAAGUUCAGAAAGGCAUGCAAGCCAAAAGUAACAUUGACCACGUAACCGUUUAGUCUCUCCACUCAGCUCUUUCUUCACCCAAAAACAGAAUUGCUCAAAAGAUUUAAAAAAGGAAUGGUAAUAUAGAGGACAAACAACUCAAACAGUUUUAUGAAAAUACAUGCAAGAACAGAUCUAGUAUCCAAGGCUCCAACUUUCUUCAACAAAAACCCAAACCACAUCAUAAAGAUUGCAUCUUUAUUCUAAAAAGAACCAUAUCAUAAAGAAUACUUACCUUGAAGACUAGGCAUAUUUCCCAGCUCAGGAGGUAUUUCACCAGUAAGAUUAUUGACAUUUAGGUACAAGUCAGAGAGCUCAGUCAAGUUAGCUAUCUCUUUAGGCACACCUCCGUGAAGCUGAUUAAAAUGCAGAUACAGCCCAGAUAAGCUUUUCAGCUGACCAAUCUCAGGUGGGAUUUUUCCAGCUAGCCCUUUACCCUGGAGAGAAAUAUUAAGCACUUGGCCAUUUCCAUUGCAGGCAAUGCCGACAAAUGAACCAUUGCAGGGGUCAGUGGCAUUGGGAGACCAAGAGGAGAGAAUAUGGUCUGAUGGGUCUAACCAGACUUUGAUGCUCAGAAGAAUUGAAAGGGUGGUAGAGUCAUCUGCAGAUGCGGUUGUGAUGAAGAGCAGGAAGGUGAAGAAGAGAAAACAGUUGAAAACGAAGUAAAACCCAUGUUCUGGAUUUGGCCUUUUUUGGGCUUUGGGUGUUUCUUCCUCCUUUGUCCUUGGUAGCCUGGAAAGUUUUCUCUGUUUUUGGUUCAAAAAUGAAGAAUGAGACUUGAGGGGGAGAAAUAAAGGGGGGGGGGGGGGAGAAAUAAGGGGGAUGGUGGGAUGGUUAACCUCUCGGAUUAGGUUGGGUCUGUACUCUGUAGGACGUACAGUGGUGGAGUGAAUGGCGUGGGGCGGGGAUCGCGAAAGUUUUAGGGUCCGAGGAGGACGGGAAAUUCGAAUAUGAGUGGGUUGAAGAGCCGGUAGCCGGUACCCAUCUCACGUGAAAACAACAAUAUUAUAAUUGUCUCCGUUUAUCAAAUUGAGCCAUUAUUAGAUGAUGACUAAGCAGUCAGUCGACAGUAAAACUGCAAAAGGCUACUUGUAAAACUCGCGUGAGAAAGACAGCUUUUUUGUGCUGCUGAUCUUGGUAGGAUAUUGUACUGGGUACAAAUUUACCAGUUGGAAUUGAAUGCUGUCAUGGUUGUGGUUGCUUGCCCUUUUGAUCGCCAUUGUUACUUCUGAUCUUGACAAGAACCCGAGGUGAUGGGAACUUCUCAGACUUUAUGUGCUUCAAUUUGAAUUUCUUGCAAGCAUUGAACAUGUUUCAGCCUUGGAAGUUCAAUUUUGAGUGCAAACAACUGCUUUCUGGGUCUUGGCUAGUGCUACAGAUGUUCAUUCAUUGUAAUGAAUCAGGUACACUCAAAACUGCAACGAGGAUUUACUUCUAUGACUUUCAAAUACGAGUUCAUGGUUAAAUCAACUUACUAGUAACAAAUCUUGCUUAAUUGGACGAGUAUUUGAUUAAUAACACAAAAGGUGAAUAGUAAAUAAUGCAUAUGACCAAAUUAUAACAUCAGCUUCAAGCUCAGGCGAAUGUUUACCAAACUGGGAAAAGAGUUCAUGGCGAAAUUAAGCAGCUAGACGCAAACUAGGAGAGAAGAAUUUUCAACGUAAUGACCAAACGACUAGCAAGUGGGAGAUUUUAUGAAAGCCAGCUGUUUCUGAUGUUUUUCAUGGUACAAAAUUACGAUGGCUGCUCUAUGUUGGAUCUUUGUGAUCAAUCUGCAGCAGGAUUUCAAGUGUUGAAACGGCAGUAAAUGCGUAUUCACAAAUUUGAGGUAAUAAAUGGUGCUCAGUACUUAUUUACUCGGACUCUCUAACGCUUGAAGUCGUUAACCCGUGAAGGGUGAUGACAGCAGAUCCUCCAGUUCAUUUAACAGAUGGAUGGAUACUUGCAGACAGUACAUCAUUUCAAAAUUUAUCCUGAUCACUUCCAAAUGUCAAAAAAUGAAAUCUCAAGGAAAAAGAGAAAGCAAAAACACAAAAUGAAUCAAAGAAAAUGCACAAUGCUGAAAUGCAUGGACUUCACAGAGAAGUAAAUAUUACGAAAAUUCCAUUAAACCAUCGCCUUCCUGCAGUUAACAUUUUAAAGAAACAUCCGAAACUGAAAAGAACAAGUUGAUGGGAGGUCAGGUAAUUGCAGAAAAGGUUAAAGACAGAUCUGUGUAAUUAGUAUGAGAUUUACACAAAGGUUGGCAUAAUUGACCCAAAACAAAUGGUGUUCCUUUCAAAGGCGACAAUCAUUUGUUCCUUUUUUUCUCAAGGCCCACUAUCGCAGGGAGCAGAAUUUAAGUAGGAAUGGCCCCUAUCAUGGAAGAAGAUGAUGGGAUUAAAUUCACAAGCGUCUCAAUCAGUUUCAGGAGCAAUGCGUUGAAAAGUUCCAUGAUGAAAAAGCUCCACUCUUUCUUGUUCUCAAGCUAUUCAAUUCAGCCCAUGUGAAGGAAUUUUAGUCCGGUCAGAAGUUGCCCAAUUUUAUCACUGUUGCCGAGGUCGCUUACAGCAUAUGCAGAUUGCCCAUGACACUAGUUAUUCCUACCAUAUUAUGACCUGAUCCAUGAAUUGUAUUGAAAACGAUUGACAGGGAAUCCAACUAUAUCUAAGAGGGAGAAUAAAUAAGAACAAAAAAAAUGUACGAGCCUUGAUCAAAUGAUACGUAAUAUCCUGUUAGGUAAAACGUUUCGAACUUAAAAUCGCAUUGAUCCAAACAGUCUACUCACCAUGAUAUACAUUGGUAAGCACUAGCUAGGAUGAUAAGAUUUUAGAGGUCGACCCGCAUAAAGUCAAAAAUUUCAUCAACAUCUGCAUGAACGGAUGAUAUGCGCAGGAGGGAGUGCAUCUUGAGAGGUCCGGGAUUUGAGUUCUCCCACUGAUACUAAAAAAAAAUAGAAACUUGAUUGCUGUAAAAUCUAAACAAGAAAAGUAGAGAACCCCACUCUCAUGAGAUAACUGAUAAUUUGCACUUGUCCCUCUUUGUCCCACAUUCUAUGAGCUAUGUUGUUGAUCACCAGGAUACUGAUUGAGGUGGUGUAAAACAAAAAUGUCCUGCAAAGAACAUGCUAUUGUUAAGGCGUGCUGGUGUGGCACUGCAUUCUCUACAACCUUCACCUUUUCUAAAUCCCGUGAAGCAUGCAACAACACCUUUUUUUGGCUAAUUUUGGCUGCCAUUUCAAAUUAAGAAAAGAAGUUCAAUUGGACUUGUGUUGUUGUACCAGCACUACCAAACUGCAAGAAGGAAAAAAAAAAAAAAAAAAAAAAGACGAUGUUGCUAAUGUGGAGCAUGAUUGAACAUUUUGAAUUGGAGAACAAUAUGGCUGGAAAGGGGAAAUGACUUUUGCUUGUGAAUUGCGAUCUACUUGUGUUACUUGUCAUGUAUCAAUGAUCUCUCAGGUAGAUGAUGAUUUAGGAAUCCAUGUUGUGGUUCAGCUUUUCAGAGGAACUCAACUAUAGUUCACAUCAUUGCUACUGUCCUCUUUCUUUUUUUUUUUUUUUUUUUCGUCAAUCGUCGUCCCUACUCCUAUAUCUACUUCAUCCUAAUCUAAUUAUUACAAAGAGAUCCAACUGGGCCUGAUGAAAGAUCAAUGGAGACAGAAUCACUGCUGGACUAGACGGGUGCACAACGCACCCGUCUGAAUUUUUUAAGAACCACGACUGCGGCAAAUUAGUGAAAGGCAAGGUUCGCGCCAAAGCCUUAAAGGCUUGGUGGUGGCCACCAGCUGAUGGUUACAUCAUUGCUACUGUCCUUUUUUUCCCCUUUUUUUUGUUUACAGGCAUUUGAAUUUUUUUUUCGCCCUCGACAGCGGCAACAACCUACUCUGCCCUUGCAAACGUUUGAAAAUAGGCAAAUCCUAUCGUGUUCACUUUUCCAGUUGUUGGCUUCCCACAUACGAACUGUUGUAUGUUCCACAAUCCGUGUACGAACUGUAUACGAACUGUUGUAUGGCCAAGCGAAGCAAGCACAUGUUGUGACUAUCCAAGAAAUUGACUCAGGAGAGGGUAGAAUAUGCAAUGCAUGAGAAAAGGGACCAAAAAGAUUAUUGAUCCAAAUAAUUGUGUGUAGUGAAUGAUUGAGACUUUUUUAUACAAGGGAUGCAUAGAGAGAUGAUUCUUACCGUAGUUAACAUUGAAAAAUGCUUGGUCAUUCCAGCUUUCCUAGGGAAAUGGUGGUUCCGAUAGGGGUGAUUUCAAACCAAGUUGAACUCAAAUAUUCUCAUACUCAAACUCGAGAGCUCGAUGCUCAGACACACUAUCGAGCUCGAAUUAGUUAUAUUGCGCUCAAGCUCGACCUGAAGCAAUAUAUCCCAGGUUCAAGCUCGACUCGUUGGAGAUCAAGUUAGUACUCGAGUUCAAUAUCGAGCUCAAGUAUUCGAGCUUGUCAAACAAUUUCCAACUGAAGGAAUAAUUUAGGUAUUUUUAUAAUAUUAAUUAAUAUUAUAACGAGCACUCGAUAGAGUUCAAUGAUCUAUCAAGUAUGCAACAUCUCUAUUCAAUCUUGACUCAUAGACUCAAUUGAGUAGCUCGAACUUGACUUCGACGAGCUCGAGUCAAACUACUCGAUUGAGUUGCAGCCCUAGUUUCCAGCCAUGAUUGGCAAAAUAUAUAUAAUAGACUCAAAUUAUUACAUGUACAUCAUUUUUCAUGUCGUGUGUGAGACCUAAAAAAUUUUAUUAUAUAUUUAUUUUGUGUUCAAAAUAAGUUACACCUUAAAAAAAUAAAAUAUACAUCUUGUGAAAUUGAACAAAAUCAGACACAAGUGGUUGACAUAACAACCGAUUUAAGGCCCCCCCCCCCCGGUACUUGGAGGCUAGUAGAGUACACACUUUGCCAUGCAAAAGGCAGUUGCUAACUUCUGUUGGCUAGAGGCCUCCUCCAGCCUCAGAGAUGAUGAAUCAAGUGAAAUUGUGGAUAUAAUAUGAACUAGAGGUGUUAAAAUGGGUGAUUUGGGCAGGUUUGGGUUGGGUAAAUAGAUAAUGGGUAUAAGUGAGUCAACUCAUUUAUACCCAUUUAAUUAAAUGGGUAUAAAUGGAUAAGUCAAAAAAUAAAUUGGGUAACCCAAUUACCCAUUUAUAACUCAUUUAUUUUAACUUUUUGCAAACUCAUUUAAAUCCAUUUUUGCAAACUAAGUUAUCAAUUUAUACCACUCUUUAUACCCAUCAUUAGUUUUAAAUAUUUACUUAUAAUGUUCAAUAAACUUAAUUACCAAUUUUUUUCAUUUAUACUCUAUGUCACAAAAUUACCUAUUAUUUAAUAAUUGAAUAAUACGAAUAUAAAAAUUUGAAUUAAGUACUAUAAAAAUUAAUAUAAAAACUUAAUCCAAAAAAUUUUGAACCCCUAACAUUUUUUCAUAUAUAAAUUUAAAAUUUCAUUUUAUAAAGAUAAGAAAAUAGGCUAAAUUUUUCAUAAAUUGGUAAUGCUAAAAAAUGAGUAAGUUAACAAACUAAGAAAAAAUAAAAUAAUAAGAUAAAACCAAUAAAUAAUAAUAAUAAUAAUAAUGUUAACAUCAUGACAAAAUGAAAAAUUUGAAAAAAAAAAGGUAGGGGAAAGAAAGAGACUUGGGGGAAGAGAAUUUUAAAUGGGUUAAUUGGAUUUGAUGGGUUACCCAAUAAUACCCAUUUAUUAAAUGGAUAUUAUUGGGUAACCCAUUUAUACCCAUAUACAAAAAUUUAAACUACCCAUACCCAUCUAUUCAUGGGCGGAUAUGGAUAAAUCUAGUUAAGUGGGUUGAUUUGCCACCUCUAAUAUAAACUAAACCAUUGCAAUUAGUACGAGGGGGAAGAAUCUUAAAAGGAAGAAAAUUUGUUGCAACCAUAUCUCCAUGCCAAAAGUCAAAAGGAAAAAAUGAAAAUUUAAUGCAAACCUGUUUGGAAUGAAUUUUUGAAGAGUUCUUUUUUUAAAUUAUUAUUUUUUUAUAGUUAUAUAUAUGAGUCAAAAAGUUGAUUGAUAGUUACAUAAAAAUUAUUUUAAAAAGUCAAAAAAAUUAUUUGUAACAAAAAGUGCUAUCCAAACAUGGCCGCCAAAAUUUCUACGAUAUAAAUGGUUGAAUGAAAAUCAAUUCAUAUGUAAUUUUUUUAUAGUUAUAUAUAUGAGUCAAAAAGUUGAUUGAUAAUUAUAUAAAUAAUUUUUAAAAAGUCAAAAAAUUAUUUUGUAACAAAAAGUGCUAUCCAAACAUGGCUACCAAAAUUUCUAACCAUAUAAGUGGCUGAAUGAAAACAAUUCAUAUGUAUUUGGUUGGUGUAGACACUAAAUUUUUGCCAAAUUUUAUCAAAAUUUUAUGUUUUCUUGAAUAUUUUCUAUUUGAUGAGUUAUUUAUUUUCUUGCAUUUUAAUAUAUUUUUUUUUCUCAUUUUUGUAAAUUUAUUUAAAAAAAAAAUUUUGAAAAAAAAUCAAAUCAAGAUAUAAAAACUUACACAUUUUAAUCAUUUUCCCUACCAAAACCACUGCUAACCAUUUUUACAAUCCAUUUCCAGGCACCUUUCCUUCACUUGGUAAAAACCAUCAUUUGACAAGAACCAAACUUAUUCCCCCCAACACCUCUAGAAUUAAAUCCUUGCUCCCACCAAAUUGUUAAUAGGUGGCACCCUUGCCUCCCUUCCCGUAGGUUAGAAACUUAGAAUAGAUUAGGUUAACCGACUUCUACCGUUAAAAAAAAAAAAAAAUAUCUCUCGGCGUCUCCCUCUCAAGACAAGAGGAGAAGAAAAAACUCCCCUCAAAGGACUCUCUCGGCUCUCUAUCCCUCUCGCUCUCUCUCAAUUUGGACCGUCAAAAAAAAAAAAAAACUGUCACACAGUACACAAAAGAAGGAGAAGGAAAACAUCCAACAAAAACACAUACAACUCAAACCCAAUACCCCAACUCUCGGUCCCUUUUUGCCUCUCUUAAGUUCACACACCCAUCCAGAAAUCAACAAAAGGAGAGCAAGCGGUCAGACCAUUGAGGUUUAGGAAUUUCAGCACAAAGCUCAACCAAGUGACUGCAAUAUUCUAGAGGUAUUUUUUCUUCUUUUUUUCAAUUUUGUUUUUCAUAUUAAAUUCAUAUUUCGUUGCUUAUUUUCUCCUGUUUUUGCUGUUUUGCAUUGUUGUUGUUGUAUUGUUAAAAUUUGGGAAAUGGCUUGAGCUAAAUUGAGGAAAGGGAAAUAUUUUUGUGCAUGCAUGCCAGUGUUUGAAAAAAUGUUUAAAUGGGAAACCGAAUUAAAGUACCAUUAUUGUGCAUAUUUUUUUGUUAAAAUAGAUUAUUAUGGUUAGUGCAAGGCCUGAAAACGUGGGGUUGCUCAAACAUUUUGAAGUUUUGAACUUUAGAAGCAUGUGAAUAAUUUUUCUUCAUUUUGGACUGUUUUAUUUUAAUUUUGUCAUAUUGUUGUUGCUUUUUUAUUGAUUUCAGCUCAUAGUUAUGUUGUAAAAAUCAUAAGGAGUGUUUUGGUAUAAAUUUUAUGAUUUUUGUAGUGGUUAUAGUGUUUUAAAAAAUAAAAAACUGGGCUGUUUUUGGCAUUUUGGCCACUUUCAGGUUAUUUUUUGUAAAAACUAACUUCAAAACGAAUUCUAUGUGAAAAAUAGAGUGAGGGGGUUUUGUGAUAAAAAAAUCGCCGGCGACCGGUGGCUGUCCAUUUCUCCAACUUUCAUAAGCUUCCUCCAACUUUCUCUCCAUUUCUCUUCAAUUUGGGAGGAAAAAUUUUGCCUACUAUUCAUCCUCUUUAAUCCUUCAAUUUCCCUUCUUUUCUUUCCUACUAAAAACUAACAAUGAAAGAAAAGUUAACUUUCUCUUCUUUCCCUUUCUUUUCUGUCCAAAUCCUCCACUCCCAAACGAAGCCUAAGUCUCCUGCUUCUCCUUCCCUCCAUAGUAGCAGCUCUUCCCGGUCAUCCAUCGAUGUGGGCUACUCUUACUUGCAAUAGCAUACGAUUUCUGCGCUACCGCCUUACUUCUCUGCCGCCGGUAUCUACUUCCGCCUCAUACUCUCGUCUAUUGACGCGCUUUAACUUCAUAGUUUUCAUGGAGCCCCAUCACAAUAGCUUUUCUCGUCUUCCUCUUCAUCUACUACUUUCUCUCAUUCCUCGCGCAGGUAAAUAUUUCUCUCUACCUUUGAAUUGUAGUAAUACUGGAUAUUGCCACAAGAUUUGUGUUCAUUGUAUUUCUUGUGUUGCUAAAUUUUUGUUGUGGAUUCUUGGCAGUGGAGGUCGAGGAAGAGGUUUGGAUAGUAUGAAAGAUACUACUAGAGAAAGGCACAGAGGCCGUGGCGGUGGCAAGUGGCGGUGGAAAGAUAAAAUUGAUGCACUUGGAGGCUUCUGUGAGUAAAACCACUAAAAUUUGAUCUUUUGUGUUUUCUUUAUUUAAUUUCAAGAUGAUAAAUGACUGUUUUUCUUGCUUUGUUCAGUAUUGAUAAUGGCUGAUAACUUAUUAUCGUAUUUUGGGCAGUUUUGUUAGUGAAUCCUACGAAGAUUUAUCUUAUGUAUAUUUUGUUAUAAUCUUGGUGAUGCGUGGAUUUUGUUGUUCUGUUUGGUUAGCUUUGAUCAUGGCUGCUAAGGGCUAUUCAAGCAUAUAUGCGUCUUGACAUCUUUAAUUGUUUGAAUUGAGAUUUAUGCUUAAACAUUUUCUGUCUGAAAUGUUUCAGAACACGUGUUUUGCGGCAUAUGGCUUCUGAGUUAAACUUGAACAUGAGGAAUGAUGGAUUUGUUAAGGUUGACGACUUGUGAAGCUUAGUUUGAAAACGUUGCCAAUGAUCCAUUAAGAUCACAUACUGUUGAUGAGUCCGAGAGUAUACAACCUGAACUUUACUUUAGAUCAUAAAUAUAUUGUAAAUUGGGAUGUUGAAAUUAAAUUAGACAAUUCGAUUUCGAAAAAGGAAGAAGAUUGGAUCUCAAUUCAGUUGUAUGUCAUAACUAGAAACUCAUCAAUAUGCACAUGAUUCUGCUGUCUAUUAUCUUAAUGAUGGCUUGGUACAUUGUAUGGACACACUGAUUGUUUAUUUCUACUUCAUUUGCUUUCUAUAAAUCACUGAGUACUAGACUUAUUUGUUAUCUUCUUAAAUUUUCUAGGCUGUCAGGAGAGACAAUAACAAAGAUUUAGCCUGGUGGAAGAAAAUGGAGAGCUUUGGAUACGUGCAAACCAAGGCCACACAAUCACAGUAAUGUACCCUGAAAAUGGAGAUUCUAUUCUUGCUAAACAGAUUUUGAUAGAAAAUUUGAAAAGGAUAAAUUUGUCCACUGUGCCUUACCCUUGUUAAUAUUCUGGAAAAUCUUUUCUUUAGUCUGUCACAGUUUUCUUCUGCUUCUAUGUCAUUCUGGGAAGGUUAACAAAUCAAUGUGGAUCAGUUCAUUCUGGCUUAUUGUUAUUUACUGAUUUGUAAUUGCUAGGUAACUUGAUUUUUGGUGCUUUUGAAGUUUACAAAUAACUAGUAUCGAAGACAAAUACUACCUAUAUCUAUUUUUGGAUCCAAAUAAAUAAGUCAUUCUAUGUAUCCUUAACUGUAAGCAAGUGUGGAAUUUGUAUUUUCGAGAAGGAAUACAUGUGGAUUGUACUAGGGAAUUCAGAGUAUAACCAUUGAGUUCCUAAGUCGACUGUGAAAUUAUAGUUCAUUUCUGCUAAGAGAGAGGAAUUUGUCAAAAUAUUUGUUUUACUCAAAAUAAGUACUAUUCAGCAAACUAAUUUGAAUUAACUGAUCUCACUAAAAUGAAAAUACUCUAUUCUUAUAGUGUCUAUAAUUGAGAUUCUUGCUUUAUUUCUUUCUAAAAUUUUAGAUUUUAGAUCACAACUAGAAGUUAUGAUGUGGUCUUUAUUGCAACUUUAAAUAACUGGAUCUCUUCUGCUGUAUAUUGUUGGUAAUUUACCUCUUUACUGACUAUCUUCCUGGAACAUUUGUUUGCCUCAUGCAACAUCUGCGCUUAACUUAACCUUUUUAAGCCAUAACAUUGAUCUUAUUUUAUCUUUUUCUCUUGUGGAUUGGCACUUUACAGACAGUUGAAACUGAAAGCUUGUUGAAGCCUAUUCUUCUGCUGAUGAAGUUCCAGGUGAGCGCACUAGACCAAUAGAACUUUGUUCUCAACACAUAGUUUUUUAUACCGUGUUUAUAAAGUUCUUUUACAUGUUUAUAUUUAGUCUGUGUACACGGGACGUACAAGAGAAAUUUGGAAUCAAUUUUGGAACAAGGGCUGAAACGCAUGAAGAGUGCAUGUCCCUUUUCAUGUGGUUUGCCAACAGAUGGUGAAGUAAUAAGUGGUAAGUUAUUAGAUUAAUUGAUUAAAGCAUGGCAUUGUGUUGUUAUUCUUGUAACAUGAGUAAUUUUGUCAUCAGUGAAUUAUUCUUUUUAUUUUUAUUUUGGUAAACCAUGGACAAGAAGGGAAUUCACCUCAAAAAGAAUCCAACAGAAAUGAGGGCUAUUUUCAAUGUACUAUUAUCUAAUUACAUCGAAUCACACUGAUUCCUUUCAGAAGCUCAAAUUGCUUUGGUCAAUAAUGAAUUUCCAAAAAGUGAAUGCUCUCAACUGCUGCUGCUGGUUACGUUUAGUUCUAAAUGCAGUAAGAAAUAUGCUUCUCAUAAAUUAUAUGCUUCUUUAUGCCUAGUGAAGUACAGAGAUAUUAUCCUAGAGCUGACAAAACUUAUUUGUUAGCGGGCUGGAUAUGAAAUGCUUUUUGAGUCAAUUUGUAGUUAAGAUCAAAUUUGGAAGAUUUCAAGAUAGUUUUGCCAUGUACAUUCCAGAUUGAUAUAAGAUCACUUUGACAGGUAUGAGACGAGGUGUAAAUAUCCUGAUCUUUCUUGAUGUGAGAAAAGCUUUGGAAGGUGAGUCUUGUUCACUUUGGGAAGCAAGCAAGAAUAUGUUACUACUUUCUAGUUUUCUUACAACAAUAUGCGAUGAUUGUUACUUCUAACGUGUUUCAGAGGGAAUGAAGCUUUAUAUCUCAGACAACAAGGUGAUCUUGACUGAGGGUUUUGAAGGUGUUGUACCAGCGAAAUAUUUUCAGAAGAUUGAAUCAUGGCCAGACAGGAAACCCAUUUCCUUUUGAUCUUUGUACGUUGUAUAUUAACAUGUAUAAUUUGAUGCUGGCUAGGUAUUUUUUUGUUACAGCAAUGGCUACUGUUUAGCUUGAAAUAGAGCUCCUUUGGAGCUUUGGUUCUCUCUUUUACCCUUUUUUCCCCCUCUCGAGUAACGAGAGGGUUUUUAGCUUAAAUUGCAAUGGAAGGCGGAGGAGUAAUCUCUGUAAAAGAUCCUGUAUUUGAAGCUUUAGACGGGGUUCGUUUUCAAGAUCAAACCAUUUUACGUACUAAAAAAAAAGGAAAGAAGGCCAGCACUUAAAUGUGGGCAUUAAUUAAGUUGGCCCAAAAAAAAAAAAAAAAAAAAAAGGACGGUGCAAUGGCUUUGGGAGUUUUCAUUGAAAGUAAGUAUAUUAUUUUCUUUUAGGGUUAAUUACACUUUGCUCCCCUGAACUUGGGCACUUGUAACACUUUAUUCCCUAAACUCCAAAUAUGUGCAUUUUAUCUCUUGUGGUCAAUUUUUUGAUCGUGUUAAAAUAAAGUUAUCUUUUUCAUGACCAAAUUAGCUUCCAACUAAUUUUUAAACGCGCAUAAUAAUUGUAAGGACAUUAAUAUCAUUUUAUUAAAAUUUUGAAUGGAAAAUUUAUCAUUAAUGUUUGACGAGUUAAUGAAAGUGGUAAAAUGUAUAUAUUUAAAGCUUAAGGGGGCAAAGUAUUAUAAAGGAUCAAGUUCAAGAGGACAAACUAUAAUUAACCAUUUUCUUUAAGCAUCCACUAAUUAAUCUAUCACUUGCAUUCAUAACGGUUUUAAUUCUUUGACAUUUAAAAUUAAAAAUUUACUUCUUUUCAAACACUUAUUUAAAGAAAACAAUUGUAUUCCUUGUCAAUAGGCUAAUGUGUGCAUUUGUAGCUUCUACCUUCGCGAAAACACAGCAUACAUGAAUUUUCUAUUAAGAGUUUGAUAUCAAAACGAUCCAAGCCCAAUGAGAGCUCCGUUUAGGGUCGCAGUGCGCCUACAAAAAAGUACUUUUAGAGUGUUUAAAAAUUAAUUUUUUAUAAUUUAAAAAGUCCAAUUUUCAAUAACACAAAAACACCUUUUAUUAAAAUACUUGUGUUAGAAGUACUUUUUUUUAUACGUUAUAAGUCACUGCAAUUUCAAAUGAAACCUUUGUCUAAUUCUAGUCUUCAUGCAUUCUUUUUGAGAUAAAUAUUGAAAUAAAUGUAUUAUAUUUUUAAGAAAGGAGAGUAUGAUUAAGAGAUCUUGAGUUCAAAUUUUCUUCAUUUAUACUAAUAUAUAUAUAUAUAUAUAUAUAUAUCUUAUUUUUUUUUACAUAUAUAAAGCAUGAAUUGCUUAUGAACAGAGGACAAUGGGCCGGUUAUACUGUGAUUGUUGUGACUUUGAGGGGCGUUUCGGUCUUUUGGCAUUCGGUGGCAAUGGUUCUGCUGGAAUUUCACGCGGACGAUUUUGGCAGUCAGCAAUUUCUGCUGACAAUUUUGGCAGUCAGCAAUUUUUGCUUCACUGGUUUCAGCCUCUAGAAUCUGGAAUGGUUGGACGAAAAUCAACAAACCCAUCUCCCAAACUGCCCCAAAACAACGCCUGUGUACUCAACCUGGCCGUACCAGCUUAAGCAUUGGAGCUAUUAUUCCUGUUCUUGUUCUCAUUCUAACCAGAAUAGGGGCUAUAGUAGCAGCAGCAGCCUUUUGGCCUUGAAUGAUCUGAGCGACAACAGGAGCUCCAGAAAGCAGAAGACCCGGAAAGGCCGUGGCAUCGGGUCGGGCAAAGGGAAAGCUGCAGGGAGGGGUCACAAAGGUCAAAAGGCCAGAGGGACUAUUAAGUUUGGAUUUGAAGGUGGCAAAAUCCCUCUUCGCCGCCGCCUCCCCAAACGUGGGUUUAAGAACCCUUUUAGCCUCAGUUUUCAGGUGAAUUCAAUAAGUCUAUCCACCCAGUCUUCGUUAUUACUGAUCUUUUAUCCUUUUCUGCAGUAGGAUGUACUUAAUUCCGUUGAUUGUUCUUUCUUUUUUUGUGGGAAAAUUAGUGAAAAGGGUGUGUUCUUGAAGCUCCAAUGAUGAAUGGGCCACAAAUUUGGGCUAUUGAUUGAAUGUAAUUCUAAAUGCACACAAAUAUAUUUACUUUUUGUAGAAAAGUCGGUAGAGAUGCCCCUUAACAGAAGCUGCUCAAAUUUAUGCGCCCUUUUCAAUAAUUUUUCCCGUGGUAUUCUUUUUGUGAUUGAUUAGUACCAAGUUUACUGAUUUUGUUGUUGAUUUAGUUUGUGUAUUAGUUCUUCACUGUGAGAUGGAGAAUAUGAGAGUCGAUUUUUUUGUUUGGAGGAUGAUUAUUAGCACUUUGGUGAUUUUUGAAGCAAUGUAGGGUUAAUUUGGUUUGGAAAGUGUUAUUAAGCUUGUAAGAGUGGUUUUUCUUCAACAAAUUUCUGUAUCAUGAAGUUGGUUGCAAGAAAAAGGGGAAACAAAUUUGGCAAGAUUUUUGUUGUGAAUGGGAACUAUUUGUAUUGAAGUUACCAGUAUUGGAUUUGAACUACUUAAACCUUGUUACAUAUACACACAAAUUGAGAAGUUUAGGAUGUAUGCAAAUGACAGGGUUGUCAGGUUGGCUAUACAACUCAUUGCAGGAGUCUUGCUCACUGGAAAAUAUGCAGAGGAAGAUAAUUUUGGAACUAUGUGUUGUGUAGUGAGGGAAAAAUGUGCUGCUCACCUAGAUUUGCUUAGAAUGUUGUGUGGUGUUUAUUGUCCUUCCUUUGGAUGAAAAGCAACUAUUUAGUAGCUUGAAUCCACAAUUUAGAUUUCUUUUGUUGGUUGCCCCUAGCAGAAUUAUGAUGUUUUCUGCAAGGAGUCUGAAUAAUUGUCCUGAACAACUGUAAAGACAUAGUACUCAAAACCAAAUGAACUGCAUGCUUAUGUCCAAUUCAAAGCUACAAGCAAGUCUAGCACUUUUCAUUGCUGAAGUAAGUGACCAUGAUGAAGUACAGGAAAAGCACAAAAUGCGCAAAGUGAAGAACAAGCCUGGCGCUAUUUUAGCUUUGCUUUUCUUAAAGGCCAUUGGAUCUGUUUUUGUCUUAUAUUGACCCUUGGUCAGUGAGCAGUGGGAUUAGUUCAUUGGGCUCAGUGGAUAAGUUAUUAUAAUUAUACAAAAGCCUUAGAUGACUUGAUUAAUGAAGUGUAGGAGCUUAAUAGUUGUACUCAUUAAUGCUGCUUUAGACUAUUGAUUCUUGAGGCAUAUCUAAUUUUUUUGCUGCACUUGUAUUAUGGUGCAUAUGUUAUUUGUUAUGGUAUUUCAGUUUAUACAUAUAAUCUUUGAUGGACUUAUUUUCUCUGUUUAUGCUAGAAUCUGUUAUUCAGCAUGCAUGUUUUAUUGCUUAAGACGUUCAUGAACAUUAUUGUUUGACAGUUGUGAGUUCACGAACAUUAUUGUUUAAGCUGCAAAUUUAUAGGUUAUUUUGUGUUCUUAAGAGAGGAAGAAUUAUAAAUAGGUAAGAAUUAUAAAUCAACAACCAAGUAAGAGAAAGAAUCAUCAAAUAGGUAAGAAUUAUAAAUCCAAAGAACCUAGAAAGUAGAACAGAAAAAUUUUAAGCUCAAGAAAUUAUUAGAUAUUGUAUAUAUCUAAGCCAAUAUCUUAGUGAAAAUUCAAAGAGCUUCUUCCAUGCUCCUCGUACUCACCACAUAAAGUGUUGCCUCUCAUACAAAUUAUCAAAACCAAAAUCAUCAAAAUCUCAAAAAAAAAAAAAAAAAAAAGAGAGAAAGACAGCCUAAAAAAGGGAAGAAAGAUAGAAAAAUAAGAAAAUAUGUAUAUUCACCCUUGCAAGUUAAAGUUGUUCAAUAUUGAGAGUCCGAGGCUCAUUUUCAAUAGAUGAUGUCCUAUCCAAAGAAACCAUUGUUGCUCCCUCCAUUCUUGAACACUUUUAAUCUAUCAAUCAAACAAUCAUUUGAAUUGAUAACAAAAAGAAUAGGAUCCAAUAUGAAAUCCUGAUUGGGAGAAAUGGUAGUAUAUAACUAUAUAUAAACCGAGGUCAUGGUGGGCUAGAGUUGAAUAAGAAUUACGUGUCAUGAAUAUAGACCUAUUAAUGUAUAACAAAAAAGCCACUGAAUAUACAAAAAAGAUUAAUUCAAUUUUACAUUGGUUUGAAAUAUUUUUAAAUAUGUUUGAAUGCUCAUUCAAGUAUAGCAAACAAAAGAAAAUGACAAACCCAUUUUAUAAUUGUCGUUCUUUAUUUCUUUCUUCUAAAAGAUUGUUAAAUGUGAAGUACUAGCAAACAGAAAUUGUCAAAAAAAUUGGAAAUUGUCAAAUUGCUUGUCUUAGAGAAGUAACGUGACUAAUAAGCAAUGCGACACAUUACAUGUAUAGCUAUAUGCCUUUUAGUUCUACCUAAUUUUAGGCAUUACUUACUGAUUAAUGCUACAUUAAGAAUGUUAAAUAAUCAUGCCUUUUAGUUCCGCCUAAUUUUAGGCAUUACUUACUGAUUAAUGCUAUAUUAAGAAUGUAAGAUAAUCUGAUUUCAAACUCAUUUUAUUUGUGCAAUUAGGAAAAAACACACACUCACACAUAUGGCUACUAUAUCUAACAAAGAUAAAAAAAAAAACACAAACAUAACAGCAAAAUAAUGAGUCUCAGCUACCUGACGCAUGGCGUCAGGGCUGGAAAAAUAGUAUAUAUAUAAUCUUUCCAGAAAAUAAUUUACCAAAAUAAAUGAGAAAUAUUAACCCUUUGGUAUGUUUGUAUGGGCCAACGCAAUAGAAUUGGGCAGCUUCUCUUGGGCCUGUUUCGGGUAUGUUGAGCAUCGGCCCUUUUGUAUUCUUGCUCUUAGCUUGAUGAGCUGAUUGAGCCUGGCUAAUUGGUGAAUGGUGAUACAGUUGUUCUCUCUGAUUCUUUCUGCGGUCUUUCAUCUGUUUAUAGUUGAAAAACACUUCAGAAUCCCAGAUUCAGAGAGAGGCUAUCUAACUAUUGUUGGAUUAUCGCUGGCCAAAAAUCGCAUCAAGGUAGACUUUUUUAAUCCGUUUUCAGUAAUCUCUUUACUUCAACUUCCCUGCAAAAUGAAAUUUUAGAUAUUACCUGCAAAAUCUUCAAGAUUGCAUACUUCAAAUAUGUUUGAAUUCCUGUAAACUCUGCAUUGUUUUGAUUUUUGGAUGUCUUGUUGAAAUACUGGUGCUCAUGACACAGCUAGAAGAAGAAAGAAAGAGGACGAAGGAGCUGAAAAAGAAGAAGGAAUGAAGUUUAAGGAGUGUGAGAAGAAAAGCCAGUUGCUAGUUUUUGUUAUUUAACAAAUCGGCUUCUGUACUUGUGGGAUAGGAUUAAAAUUAUUGGCAUCUUUUUAGUAUUGAUGAUUAAAGAAAAAAUAAAUAUUUGCAUGGAUAACGCUCAUAGCUCAAAAUUUGGGGGUUUUUUUUGUGCGUGUGUGUUUGCAGUUAAGAAUUGGGAAAAGAAUUAAAAACCUAGUUUUAUUAGUUUGCAAAGUUUUUAUUUCUCAUUGCUUUGUAAAGACUACCUUUUUGUUCAACUCAUCCGACUCAGAAACUAUUAUGUAAUUUUGCAGACGAUAGAAGGCUAGAUUCGGCUUCUUCUUGUACUUUGAGGAGUGCAUCGAACUGGUUUUUUUGAUAGAAUUUGAUGUUUGCAAAUAUGAGAGCUUGCAGUAGAUGGCGGAUAUUCCUUCUAUCUGUGCCUAUGAUAUUUUUCUUGCCUCAUAUACUAUCAGGUGAUACUUUAUUUCUUCCAUGAUAAUAAUAGGUUAAUUGCUACUAUAAGUUUUAAAUAUGCUUCAAGUUUUUAUGAGUAAGACUUAUGGGAUGAGGAUGUGUAUUUAUUCAGUAUUGAAGUUGCAGGAGGACUUAUCUGCACAAAAUUUGCACCGAGACAAGCCCAAGAAAUUCGAUCAUUUGGUUCUUGGAGCUGCUGCGGGGGUUGGUUUGCCUGAUCGCCUGCAGUGCGAAGGUUUUAUUUGCUUCAUUUCUUGAGAUAGAGUUGCAUCCCACCUUCUGCUUUUUCUAUUUUGCUUAGAUUCUGAUUUCCAUGUCUAUUUUGUUUUUAUUGUUGGUUCUUAUGUGUAUGUAGAUUAUUUAGUUUGCUUGUAUCAGAAAUACUUUGUGCAAGAAGCGUGUUUGUGCAUCAGGAUUUGGUUGCAAAACUAUGACGAGUAGUGAAUUGCUAAAACCUCUUUACAGUGUAUGCGUAGGGCUUGGAUGGCUGACUUUGCUCAUAUUCUAGAACUUUUGUUGUGCAGGCACCAGAGCUCUUAAUAGGACACAGUUUUCUACCUUCUCUGAGAAUUCCAUCAAUGGGGACCAGAUAUCCUUUGUCACAGUGUUCACAACUUACAAUUCUAGUCUAGAUGUGCAAAUAGAUAGGAAAAUAAUUGACUUAGUAACUGUGGGGAACAAAUCAUACAACAAGGUGAACAGAUCACUGGCCAUUUUGAAUGUGUUCAUUGAUUUCAUUCAGGUAAAUAUCUGCCUUUUGAUAGCAACAGUUAUCAACAUAGGGGACAAUGAUGUUACAAGUAAUCUUCAAAUAAUGGCGCCAUUCUAAGGUUUUUUAUAGGGUUGAUUAUCUAUCGGGUGUUGCACAUGCAUGCAUCACCUGAUUUUUAGACAUAUUUUACAUCAGAGGGGAUUCUUGGGGUAAAAUAUGUAUAUCCAAGUAAUAAGAGCCAUGAGUGUUGGAUUGGCCUUCACUCUCAAAUGUCUUAGUACCUUUACUAAGUGCCAUGGGCUCUAGAUGGUUAAUGCUGUCAAUUUUUCCUGUAUAUGAUUAUUUUUUCCACGUCUAUUUAGAUGGUUCAACCAAACAUACAUCAGUGAAAAGCAGAAGAAGAAGCGUCUCUGAUCUGUUUGGCAAUAUCUUGAUUUUGUUUUCAGCCACCAUUGAUGUGACAAUUUUGUUACAAAUACACUAUAGUCCCUCUAUUUUACAGAAACUAUGGUAGACUUUAAAAAUGUGCUGAUAAAAGUAAUAACGAAAUGAGAUUCUUCAUAUUAAAUUUAUUUUAAUUUGGACAAGGUGGAGAAUUGGAGUCGCUACCUUUUUGAUGCAAAACAUAUAGUGAAAAAAGGAAUAUUUUUUGCAUUAAAAAAGUUUGUUUGAUCACUCUUAAGAUGUGAACUAGGUUGUUUUUAAUGGAGGGGUAAUAGUUUUGCAUGCAUCUUCUGUUCUGCUAUAAGUGUUGAAGAUGCUUAUGAUGUCUACUUACACACAAGUCACAAGGUGUUUGUGCAGUGAUUUCUUUUUUUUCUUCCUUUUUUUUUUUUUUUUGCAUGUAUCAAGUUUUAAACACGUGUGCAACAAACUGUGCAGGCAACCAUGUCCCACAGCAAAGUCAUCAUUCUUACUGAUCCAUCUUCUGAGCUUCCAGUGCACAGAAACAGGGUUACCAUACAUCCCAUUCAAGGUGAAUAUUCACGAGACAGGUUGAUGCUUCAAAGAAUCAGAUCUUACAUUGUAAGAGCAAAAUGCAUCAAGUGGAAUAGCUAGAAUUUUUUAUUAAUUUGUGUUACCCUAGCUUGUCCUUGUGUGUGUUUUUUUCGUAUCCUGAUUUUUUCUAAGACAUCGUGGUCCUUUUAGUGAUUGACAUAUCUGCUUUUCAAUCUGCAUGUGUUGUUUGUGUUGUUUGUGUUGGGGGGGGGGGCGCUUGCCCUGCAAUUUCUUGCUUGUCUGUGUAUAUGUGUGAGAGAAUAACCUAUUAAAGUCUCUUAGGAUCAGUACAACCUGUUAGUAAGCAGCUUUUUAGGUGAACAUCAAAUACUAAUGUAUACACUAUUGACUAAAGGUUCUACAAAGUGGUCGUUAUUUUCCUGCAUCAUCAGUGAUAUUUACACUUUUUAUUUGUGACCAUGUAAUGUAACUCAAUUGUUUGCUUUUCAGAAUAACUUAGACCAAUUAUGAAGUUUCGUAUCUAUGUUUUUCUGUGUAAAGCAUACUUUGCAUUCAGCUGCAGAAAACUUAAGUACUUAUAAAUUGCAUAUUGAUGUUCAUUGCACUUCUCUCUCUGUUGACAGGUCUUUCUAGAGACAAGGCUUGAAGAAUACUCACUGGGGAAGGGACAAAUCAAUCAUUAUAUUUUUACUGACUCAGAUAUAGCAGUCAUUGGUGACCUGGGACAAUUCUUUCGUGACUAUCCGAAUUUCCAUCUGGCUCUCACCUUUCGGAACAACAAGGAGCAACCGCUAAAUUCAGGAUUUAUUGCAGUUAGAGGCACUAUUGAUGGAAUGAAAAGGUGCAUUGGUUUUUAAAUAACAUGCUAUUGGUUAAAUAGAUCAUGCAAAACCUGUUGUCAUAGACCAUGCAAGUUGGAUGGUUAUACUCGUACAAUGACCAAAAUGUCUAAACUCUUCAAAUGGGGUUUCUGUUUCCUUGAUUCCUAAACUACUCCUGGUUAUUUGAGCAAAACCUGUUGUCAUAUUAUGUAGUCUAUUUACUUUUGUCUGUGUCAGAUCAUGAGUUUCCUCUUAGAAAAUUUUUCUUUCUUGAUCCUUCCCUUUUCUUUAACAUUUCAGACUCCUUUAUGUGCAGGGCCAAGGCUUUCUUGGAGGAGGUACUCAAAGUCUAUAUCUCGAAGUACAUGAGAGCUUCCAGAAUGCUUGGAGAUCAACUAGCUCUUGCUUGGGUCGUAAAAUCUCAGCAUUCCUUUGAUGCAAGAAUGUUUACCAAAAAACAACCCUUUCUACAUGACAUUGAUGGUACCUCAGUGUUAUUUUUACCAUGUGCUAUCUAUAACUGGACACCACCAGAGGGUGCUGGGCAAUUUCAUGGGAUGCCCUUGGAUGUUAAGGUAUAGUUUAGCUAUCAGUUUACGCUUUGCAAUGAUCUCUGUGAGGAGCUCAAGCCAAUUUUUAUUUCUUGUGAACUGAAUUCGUGCACCCAUCAUGAUCCGAUGGUCUUUUGAGGGCACAUGUGUGUAACGCUGGUGUGUACCUUUGUUCCUGGAUGCAGGUGGUUCAUUUCAAGGGAUCAAGGAAAAGACUUAUGCUUGAAGCUUGGGACUUUUUCUCAUCAUCUAAUUCUGACAUCUCAGAUAUGUUGUGCCUCAUUCUGAAGAGUGGGAGGACAAAGUAUGAUUUUUAAAUUUUGCUUUUUACAGUUUUCAGGCAGUGUUUAUGUCUGUUAAGGAUUUGAUUCAUUCAUUUGUGGAGAAAGAGGAAAGUGUUCAUGCCAGUGGAGAUUUGGCAUUCUAGAAGCCUGCACUUUAACUUGGCACAAAGGAAAAAGCCAUCCUUUGGCCUUCAGUUCAUUGUUUGGUGUCGUCGGUUGGCUGGUGAUCUUUUUCGUCUUUCCUACUCUCUUGAGCAUGGAAAUCAAAUCGUGUACCGAACAAAUGCGGAAUAGAUUCCAUUGUGAGUGCUGAGUUUUCUGCAGUUAAAACCUUGAAUGUUCUACCAAGCCCCAAAGCUCUUGCAAAAGCAAUACGAGAAUUGCAUUUUAGAGUUUGGGCUUGCGUUUGAGCUGACAGUUUUUCUACAUUUCUGCAGAUUUUACAUGAUUGUUACGAGCCACGCGACAUGCAAAUGUACACUAUACGGACUUUUUCCAUGUUCUUUCACAUAAGCGCCAUCUUUCUUGUAUUUUUUCCUUGUACUUUUGAGUAGCCUAUCGUUGGAGGUGGGAAGUAGUUCAAGAUGUAGACCCACCUAAAUGGUCUACGUCAAUAUAAUGGCAGAUUGUUUAGAAACCUGGGUUGGACCAACGACCGAUUGGACUAAAAAUCGGUCAUGAUUUUGGUUCGGUUUCAUAUUUUGGAUAGAUUGAAUUACAAAUCGGUCAAGAUUUUGAUUCGGUUCAUAUGUUGGAUAGAUUGAACUUGAGAACUAUGCCGAUCAAAUCAAAAUCAGAAUGAAUCAUUGAAUCAAUGGUUUAUCUGUUCUCAUUCGUUAAACUGAACGGAAAAGGAGACUAAUCAUUAGGUGUUACACGGCUCACUUUCUUUACACCUUUUGUCUAUUAUCAAAUUUGUAUGUCUACUUUCUAGUUUUCUAAUUUCCUUUAGAUUCCAAGUUUCUUUUUAUUAUUAUUAUUAUUUAACAAAGCUGUAAUCUUUAAUUUUUAAAGACAUGGUUUAAAAUUUAAACCACAAUAUCUAAUUCUCAUUACAUGAAUUUCAUUUAAUUUCAAAGUAUUGUAGCGUUUUUGGGUGUAUUUAAGAUUAUUUUUUUGAUAGAUACAAUUGAAAUGAAAUUUAUUUGUUUGAAUUUGAAAAAUUUAUUUGUGAAAUUUUAAGUUGUUUGAAAAUAUUAAACUGUUUUAUUGGAUAAAGUCUUAAAUUAGUUUAUUGAAUGUCUCAUUCUGUGCAUAUAUAUAUAUAUAUAUAUAUAUAUAUAUAUAUAUAUAUAUAUAUAUAUAUAAUUUAUUUUUUUAAAAAAUUCAUCGAACUAGAGUUGAACCAGCCUGAUCGAUUGAAUUGCAACUCAAAACACCUCAUUCGUUCAAUUAACCUUCAAUAUACUACUAAAAGACAAUUAUAAUUUUAUUUCCCUCCCCAAAAUCUGAGACCACACAAGGCCUUAACGUUUAUGUACAAAAGUAGUAAUAGUAGUAGUACUACCAACUACCAAGUCGUCGCCGCAAAUCAAUACAAAACGGAAAUAAACUUUCAACGGUCAGAAAACCGGAAAAGGGAGGGACGACUAAGAUCAAGAUGUUGUAGUUUUUGUCUUUUCUCAACGGCUGCUAACCCAACCCCCGCCCUAUCACCAUCUUCAUUGCUGGGCAAUGCCUAUAGGUAACCGACACACAAGGUAAUAAUGUCCCAUGAAAAUAGAGUUCCAACCUAUUAUUGGUCAGUGAGAGAUAUUCCAAAAUUCGCUGGUUGAUGCAGAAUUCAAUCUAACUAAUCAACAAAAAAUUUUCUACUUUCGAGAGUAACUUCAAUGUUGGUUUACAGGUUACGUUGUGAACGGUCAGGAUAAGUGCCCAUCACAUCUUCUGCUCCCAUCCAACAAAAACCUACACUCAGCACCGCAAGGUUACUGCAACAAUUAGGCUUUGCAGCACCUGUUAGAGGCUUGGACACCAGAAGGUCAGGUGUGAAGCAGGACUUAUCCGUGGCAUCAGUACAUAUGAGUUUUGAAUCUACAUAUGAUUCCAUCCAGCUGAUUGCAUGAGUUUUCAAAAAGGUGAUUGAGAAAUGCAUUAAUGAUGCAAGCAAAUAAAAUUUAACGCUAUCCAGACAACAUAUCAUGGUCUGGAGGAGCAUUGUAAGUGGUUAGAUAAUACUACUACUGCAACUAGAAAGCUAACACAAAUAUAAUCAGACAAUGAGAUGAUAUUUCACGCAGUUCUGUUACGCCAACUACAUGAAAGCAGAAACUUCAGUUCAACUGCUGAACCGCCAGAUCAAGCAAAUGUAAUUUACCGCCUCCAAAGAAAAAAACAAUGGAGCUAGUAAAGACACCAGAACUUCACUUGUACAUCAAAAAAAUCUCAAUAAAGUUGCAAGUGGGUAAUAAAUCUAAUAUUAUGUAGCAACCCAAAAUAAAAUAACUUAUGUCACUUUGAUCAGUGCAUGCUAGACCAAGUCCAUGGGUAUUGUAAGUUCGUGAAAAGCAGGCAAGGGCAUUCCUCUUCUCUGUUUCGUUUUUCUGUAUUUCUAAUUUUGCAAACUCUAGAUACAGUGCAGCAAGAACUCAGAGUAAAGAUACAAGGCAAUGAAGAGCUAGAGUACCCCUUUUGUCGGGGAAUAACACCAUUUUGUAACCUCAUAAGGAAAAUAAAUUUUAACUUCAACAAAUUAAAAAGAAAAGUAUGGCAGCCACUUGAUCAUCUUAAAUGCAGACAGAAAAGUAAAAACGAGAUAGUCACAAUAGGACUUGUACUCCACUACAUUCCCAAAUCUCAGCUGCAAGGAAAGUGUAGAAGAGUCUAAUUAGAUGAUUAAGAAGAAAAUAAAAGAAAGCAUAACAAGCACAACCGUCCCCUUCAUGGUUAUUCCGUCAGUGAGCUUCCAGUUCUCAAUCAACAUUUGAAGAUGCUACCAAAUAGAAUAAAAGAAACAAAAGAAGCAAUAGGUCAUCCAUCUUUGGUAUAUGUAUCAAAAACCCCAUAUUUAGCCGCACAAUCAACACCCUUUGAUGAAUAAAUCAGUAUUUUACCACCUCAUAAAGUCAAUUUUCAAUUAACUUCAUCUAUAACGCAAGCACUUCAGCUUUAUAAUCUUCACAAACUAAAAAAGAAUAUAUGUGAAAUUGAACUUAAGAUGUAAACUUCAUCACUGUUCCUUUAGAGCACAUUGCAUCAAAAUACUGUUUAAAGCGGACAAGAUAGGGAAUUAAACAGAUCUCCCAAUAAAAUAAACUUGUUAAGCAUAUGAAAGUUCUCAAAGCUUCAAUGCUUUAACAAUCAAGAUAGUCGUCCAUCUUUAACAAAAUGAAAGCUCUGAAAUUUUCAUAUUUCCUUUAUAAUUGCACCCAUAAUUCAAAUAAAGUUUAAAAGGUAUUAGUUUUAAAAAUGAAAUUAUAACAGUAAUAAAGUUAGCCAGGUUGAUGUUCUACACAAAGCUGCACCUCUUUCAGAAGAGGGCCAUAGCAAUGUUAAGGUGUAAAAGGAUCAGAGUUAGUUUUCUUUAUUUGGGAUAUUUUGUUAGCGCCACAGGGAAGGGGAAUAAAAGGAAAAAAAAGUUUCACAGAAUCCCUGACAUUUCAAUGCAGGUGGCUGACUGAUGUGUGAACCACAGUACUGCCUAAAAAUUCAAAUUGCAGGCAUCAAUCAUUUGAUUACUUCUCAUUAAAGCUUUAAACUUCUACGUUGCUAGUCCAGCUCAAAAAAAUGCAAAAUUGAUAGACUCCAGAUUAACUUCUAAAUUUAGUUCAGCCAACAAACUUUCCUGUUUCCUUAAAUGCGUUCUAGAGAUUGUGAUUGCUAUAAGAUCUAUUAAUGCCUAAAAGCUCAUCCCAGGCACAAUCUGGUUGCUCUUGGACUAACAGAACUAGCAAGACGGUAACUUGCUUACUGAUUCCAACGAUCAGAAUAUGGAAAAACAAAUAUGGCAGCAGUAGGAAAAUUGGAUCAUUCGUAGUGAUAAAAUCAAACCAGAAAACUCUAGCAGGUCAAAAUUAUAAAUUAAAAAAAAACAGCAUUUUGAUCAUUGAUUGAAUAUAGAUGUGAAAUAGGCAUCACAGUUAACCUCAAAGUCUCGAGCAAAUGCAUCAAUAAGUAACAUAAUAUCAAACUGCUUAAGUAAAAAAGAAUAAUAGCCAAAUUAUUGUGUGCUAUUUUAUUUGAGUUCCAUAAAGAUGAUACAUGUCCACCAAUCGGCAAAUUGCUAUAUGUUACGAAUUCUACAAUAAUGAAGCUACAACAAAUUACAUCCCCAGGACUGGCAAAAGGUUGUUUUCAGGUUUCUUUUGAACUGAUCAGGAUGCCCAGCAAAUAAUUGUCCAUUGACCACCAACCUUAAAAACACCUUCAUCGUGGGAUUGAAAUUGCCUCCUUAGAAGGCACCAUGAGAUAUAUGCGAACAAGAUUAUGGGGCAAUGAACACAGAUAUGUUAAAAAACAAUCAUAAGAAUCAAAAUGAAGAAGAAUCAACUGAUCCUAACCACACAAAUGAAAGAAUAUAUCACUGGGAACUCUUUUUGCCAUUACCAUAGUAGCUGAGAUACCAUCUAACAAACUUCUUCAAACCUGUUUGUAGAUCUGUUGUAGGCUUAUACCCAAGCUCCCUCUGAGCCAAGCUUAUGUUCGCAUGCGUAAACUGCACAUCCCCAUUCCUUGGCAACUUCAUUAUAGUUCUCUUAGCCUUCACCUUCAACAACCUCUCCAAAAUGCUAACAAGAUCCAAACUGGCACAGGUGAAGUAUUCCCCAAAUUGUACACCCUCAACUGAGCUGGCCCUUUCUUCUUCCCACCACUGCCAGUACUCUUCUCUGCCGUAUCCAAUGCUGCCAAACAACCCUUCACAAUAUCAUCAAUAUAGGUAAAAUCUCUAGCAACUGUGCCAUGAUUAGCUGCCUCAAAAAUCUGAAUUGCCUUCCCCUUCAAAAUAUCCUUCGUAAAAAAGAAAUAUGCCAUAUCUGGCCUCCCCCAGGGUCCAUAAACUGUGAAGAACCUCAACCCUGUUAAUGAAGCCCGUAAAUGUGAUUAUAAGUGUGUGCAAUCUCCUCGCCAGCCUUUUUAGUUGCAGCAUACAAACUUGCGGGGUUAUCGGUCCUAUCCUUUUCUGAAAACGGGACCUUAGUAUUCAAUCCAUAAACAGAACUAGACGAUGCCCAAACAAUCGCAGGCUGAGGAUUCACGCUUUUGCAAACCUCGAGAACGCUAACAAGCCCAGCAAUAUUACUAUGCACAUAUGAGCUAGGAUUUUCCAUGGCAUAUCUGACGCCAGCCUGAGCAGCCAAAUGCAUAACAUGGGUAAAUUGUACAAUAUCAAAAAGCUUCUUCAGGAGGGCGACGUCAUUGAUAUCACCCUCCACAAUGUACACCCCAGAGCGCUCCAAAAGCGCUUGCCGGGCUCUUUUCAAUGACUGAUCAUAGUAAUCAUUGAAAUUAUCAAGCCCCAAAACGCCGUCCCCGCGGCGUUUUAAGGCAGCAGAAACAUGGGUUCCAACAAAACCAGCAGCCCCGGUAACCAAAACAGACAUACCAUUUCUUGACCUGACUUUAGCUGAGGCUUUGAUCCUUUUCUCCCAAUCAGGGCCACCAUAGGAGCUGGUUCUGAGGGACCUCCUCGAGGGAUCUGCGGUGAGAGAUUCUGGGGAUGAUGAAGAAGGUGAUCUGAAGAAGAAGACAAAGAUCAGGCCCAAGAAAACAAAUGACCAAAAAGUCAGCUUGGCCAGAGAAGAAUGGAGCCUUAAUCUGUUAUAAGGGGAUUUCUCCAUCUUGAACUUUCCUGGGGUUGAUGGGAUAUUGUCAAUGUGCUUCAUUUGGGACAUUUAUUCCGCAAAAAUCUUGCAGAUUUGAGCAAUACCCUUUCUGGGUUGCUCUUCGUUGGGGCCAAUCUGGUGGAGGGGCGUUACUUAAAAAAAAACCAAAACAAAAAAAAAAAUUAAGGAUAGGGUAAAGCCAGAAAAAAAUGAAUCUUUUUUUCUUUGUUUUGAUUCUCUUGUGUAUUUGAUUGGUUUGGUGGGUGGGAAGAAGGCAAAGGGAUAAUGGGUUGAGGAGAAAGAUGAAAAUGGGGGGGUGUGUGUGUGGAGAUGGUGAUAUUGAAGGUGGAUGAUGGAGGUGGUAAUGGUAUGGGGAGUUUUAAAAGGCCUCUGGAUUUUUUUUUUUUUUUAAAGGGGAAUCUUCUGGUUUCUUGGGAGGGACUGGUUGUUGUUGGUGGUGGUGGUGAUGGUUUUACUUUUGUGGGGUUUUCUUGUUUUGGUUCCAGAGAGGAAAGAAAAAAUGCUUUCAGAUUUUGAUGAAUGAUAAGGAAUGGGUGAUUGGAGAGAGAAAUGUGAAAGAAAGAGAGAUAGAGAGAGAGGGAGAGAGAGAUUUGAGGGGAGUGGACUAAUGGUGGGGAGGGAGAAGAAUCAGGUUUGAAGCGUUUUGAAAAAUGUGACUGUAAUUAAGAUCGGUGAUGAUGAAGAUUCAGACUGCAGAGUUGGAUUAAGCAAAGAAGUUCAGUCAAAAGAUGACAGUAAUUAAUGAGUUGGAGCAGACUACCAAAUGUUAGUAGUUAAUCUUGAUCAACUUGAGAGAGUUAAUUUAUUAGGGUUUUUAAUCAUUAUUGCCAUUUUAGGAAAACCAGAGUCCACAUGCAAGCUUGGGUGGAAUGAGUUACAGCAUGGAGAAGAUAAAAUGGCCAGUACAAGUAGUUUCAAUGGUUGAGGAUGCCUCUUCAAAUUAAGGCCCCUUUUCAUGCAGCUCCCCUGUGUAAGUAAGACUUUUUUUUUUUUUUUUAUGCUGGUUUGGUAUGGGAUUUGUUAGAUUUAUCCCUUUUUUGGUGUGGGAUUUGUUUAUUUUGAGUUUAGUGGAUAGAUUUUGGGAUUUGAAGUUUGGUUUUGGGAGGUUGUUGGAGGUUGUGUGGAGUAAAUUUUUAGGGUAAUUAUGAGGGGUUACUAAUUUUCACAUAUCAUUGGAUGGGAUGGUGUGUGAGAUUUGUGGGGUUUGAGAAUUUUUAAUUGCCUCAUUAACAACCUAAUCAUUCAAAGCAUUUUGGAGUAGACCAUGUUCAAUGUUUUCUUCCUAUAAUUUUAAGGUUUGACAUUAAUAGGAAUUGUGAGUUGGCUAAAAUUAGCAUUAUGGUAUUAGACCUAUUAGUAAUUAUUAUUGUUGUUGUUCAACACAGGGGAGAAAGAAUUGAGUGUGCCCUAUUUAAUGGGUAACGUUACAGACUUACAGCUGUAUUUUUUUUUUUCAGAGGAGCAGGAUAAAUAAUUCUACUCCACUAUCAAUCAAGAGGCGCUUAGGUGUUCUGUAACUUCUUCCUGUCCAUCCCUUCAUCCAAUGCAUCAUCAUGCAUGGCAUCCAAAUAAACCAUUGAAUUUUGACCCUAAUGUUUUUUCAUUUUUCUCAGAUAUUAAUCCAGUUGAAAUAUGUUUGGAUAGCAGAUUAUUUGAAAUAAUUACUGUAGUAUUUUUUGUGAUGUGAUGUGAUGUAUGUGAGAUAAAAAGAUAAUUGUGAAGAUAAAAAGAUGUAUUGAAAAUUGUAUUUGUGAUGUAAACAAAUAAUUUUUAACCAUUAUUUGGCUAUCCAAACAUAAUAUGUCUUUUUUUUUUGUCUGUUUUCGGUUGAAGGAAGAAUAAUCCUAGUAAUUAUAUGUAAAAGUUUCAAAAAUUUCCCAUCAAAUUAAACAAUGAAACAUAACUAGAAUCGAUCGUCUCUCAAACACGAAAAUAAAAAUUAAAAAAAAUGAGGGGAAAUAGAACUAGGAUUUGAAGGCAAUGACAUUUAAAAAAAAAUUGGUGAUAUAUAAUGCUUUUCAUGUCCCAUAUUAUCUAAGUUGAUUGCGAUAAGAAAAUCUGAGAUAUGAUCCUUAUGCAACGACCGAUUUUGAUAAUGUCACCCUGAUUCUCGUAACUAUAAUAGUUACAUUAAUGAUAAAAUGUGCCAUAAUUAUUUUUUUUAUCAUUCAUGAUUGAGAGACCAACUCCAUUAGAACUUCAUAGCCAAACAUCUUAAGAUACAACGCAGUAAUUCAUUCUAGAAAAGCAAAACCAUAAGAAACCAUCAUUUAUGAAAAGUUGAAAAUAUAAAGAAUUAGUUCUCGAAUUCAGUGAAAAGAAUCAAGUAUUGCACAUGAUAACUGGAUACUAAUAAUACUAUAGUAAAUCACAGCUAGUCAUAAGUCAUUUCAUGGCCAAGAAUAACAUGUGCAUGUAUGUGCCUAUUAUAUUCUAUACUAUAUGGCUCGACAUUAUAUAGCAUGUGUGUAUAAGUGGAUAUUAUUAUAGUGUGUAUGUAUAUAUAUGUAUGUGCGCGUGUUUUAGCGUGUAUUCACGUACAACAAAAGUUUAGGGUUUAAGUUUAUAUCUAUAACAUGUUUUAAGGUGAGAGUCGAAUAUCAAGUACAAGACGCUCAACCACUAACUUUAUUUCCCAUUUAUCUAUAAUUGAAAAAGAAAUCAAAUUUGUAACGCAGUCAUAUAUAUAUAUUAUAUAUAUAUACAUAUAUGUAGUACAUAACAAUAAUUACACAAUAACACAUUUUGGAAUUCAUUUUUGCAAUGGCCAGCAAUAUGUGAAGAGGGCAACUGCCGAUGUUUUUAUAUUUUUGUCUUUUCGUUUUACAAAGGGCUAGUAAGCCAGCAAUAUGUGUUACUUAUGGAUUCAAUUUUCUUGCUUCCUUCUUUUUCACCUUACUAAAGGAGAAAAGAAAAUCUACACCAAGUCUAUGAGUAUAAGUUGGUGUAAAAUGACAAUAAUAUCAAGCUUAAUAUGUAAUAUAUAUCACGGUCAUAACUCGGUAAAAAGAAGCAUAAAAUUUGGUUCUUUUGAUAAGAACAAAAGAAUGAAGGUUAAUAAUGAUUUCAUCUUUUCAUAUAUCAUUUUCAGCCAAGAUUCAUCCUACCUAUUACUAUUGCCUUAGAAGGAGGCAAAAGGGAAAAUUUUCCAUGUUUUGGCUGUUUGAUGAAACUAGAACAAGCCCAACUAACUAGUAUAAAGUUAAAAAAAAAAGCACUACUAUCUUCUGUUACAGAUUAUUUCGAGCAUUAUUUGAGUGCAAAAAAAGGGCAACAAUUAGUUGGAAGGUUAAUUUUCAAGAUACUUCAAUUUUGUAUUGACUUUCAGUGCUCGAAGCAAACCCCCAUUUCUCUUAUAUAUCCUCAUGAUCAUAUCCAUUAGAAACACUACUUCAAAUUUUUAGAUCCCAUAAGAAUAAUGACAUUAAAGGGUAGAUGAUUAUGGUAGGUUACAAGAAAUAAUAAAAGAAAAACACAAAUUAAGCAAAAAUCUGUUGCAUUACGUUGACUGAUCAUCCAUCCUUAUAACUUCUGCAUGUCAUUUACGUUAGGGCGAAUAUAUAGUACAACUCAAAACUAAGAACCGAAACAUGCACGCACGGGAACUUUCACUAGUGUUUCGUAAAAUAUAUAAAUCUCUAAAUACGUUUCUUCAAGCAUUGCUACAAGCAAAAACUCAUACUCAGGCUGCAAAAGAAAACGUCAUUUUUCUUAAAGAUAACGUUAUUUUACUCUAGUAUCAUGUUUUACUCCAAAAAAGCUACACAUUAUCCUGCUAUUCUCAAAUAAAAAUACUACAAAUAGCAGCUGAUGAGUACGAGGGAGAAGAGAAGUAUAAUGGAUUGGAACUAACAAAUCAAUGGAAAGAAUUGCAUGCUUUCACUAUUAUCUUUCUUGAGAAUCAAAACAAAGAAAGGCUUUUUCUUUUUCUGGCUUGGAAUAUUUUGAUGAGGAAUAUAAUUCUCAUAAGAAGCGGACUUUCGACAGUACUGUUGAUAUGGACAGCAAGACUUUUGAUCUUUUCCCUCUGCAUGAUUGAUAAUUAAUAUGUUUUCUUCCUUUCCACCGGCUUGCUGCAUUCAUUUUUUCUUUCUCUGGAAACCCGAAAUUUUGGACUUGGGUUUUUCCUUCAAAACAUGGCCCUUAUCUUCUUUCUCUGCAUUUGAUCAGUUUGAGGUGGGGGUGGGUCGGGUGAGAUUUGGAGUGAAUUAAUGGUAGAGAGGAAAGGAGACAAAAUCAUGUGAGAGUUGGGGUUGUCACACUUUAGUGUGUGGUAAUACUUGAAAGGAAGGCAAAAGCCCCCUUUCAAGAACUCUUUUAUUUCUAGUGUCUUAUGUCCCAAUUUUGGUUAGGCUACUGCUAGCAUCAUGUGAUGAAUGUGUACGUGCAGAUUAUUGGUUAGAAAAACAGCACUAGACUGCUAGACUUGACCAAACUAGCUAGUGCUAGUUCCCUUCAGCUCAAAGCUCAUUGUCACCUUGUAAGUAAAAUGGAGUGAUCUCCAAGAUACUCUAAAAAAAGUUUUGCCACCCAAAUUCCUCACUAGCUACCAUACGCCUUAUAAUAAUUCUAUUGUUGUCAUCUAUGAUUAUUAAUUAGGACUAAAAGUCCAAGCAGUAAAGCAUCUCCUUGGUCCUCUGCAGUAUGUAAUAUAGGAUUGAGAUCCUCUGCAGUCAAUGACUAUAUGGGGUGUUUUGAAAUUGGACUAUAUUUGUCAUGUCAGUGUUAUAUCACUUUGUUUGUUUUAUUUUUGUGAUAUUGGUGACGGUAGAAACCACACCUUUGACGUAUUAAUAUCUAUCCUUAGCUCCUACUACGUAAAUCAUAGCAAAUGCUGAGUAUAAAACAAUAGAAAUCUGCUUGUGCUCUUGUACUAAAAUAGUAGGAUAAAUUCCUAGAGCAGGAACUGACAGUUUGUUGGGUAUCCUAUUUUACAAGAAAAGUUAAAUCUGCGGUCGAUGUGCAAAACACUAGAAAAAUAUGAAAUACUAACAUGAAUGAGACGGCCACCGUCUGCUACAUGUGACUAUCUGAAGCGGAAGGUAAGGGAACCAUGCCUUUCCUAGCAGUUUCUUUUAUAAGUCAGCAUCAUGUUCCCUGCUUUUCUACUUAAUAAAACCCACGCAAGCAAGAUUGAUAGAUAAAUGAACUUUACAGAUCUGAAAAGCAUGAAGACAAGCUCAUAGAAAAAGAUGGAUUUGUUGUUGUUAUUGUCGGUUCCCAGAUUUUCAGCUCCUCUUCAGGUUCCUAAAUGCACAUUGUCAAAAAUUCCAUAAACAAUGUGAGAAAAGACUGGAACUUCUUGAAGCCAAAUUCUGCACUCUUUGUUUUCUUCUGUUUGCUUGUUUUAAGGUGCAAACAAACUUAUGACAUAGUCAUGGAAAGGUAAAAGAAAAGUCUGAAAGUUCAACAAGCGCAGGGGGCUUGGAUGCCUACUUUAACCUACUUAACGUAAGGAAAAUGAAUUCUGCCUUCUCCGCGAAAGACUCUAUGCAUUUGAUUAAAGCCAGCUAAGUUUGUCUGGUUUCCAGAAGGUAUAGUUAUUGCAUUCAACCAGUAUCACGGUCUGUCUUUGAAAGGACUCGGGGCUUCUCUUGCUGGCAAAUGCAUUCAAAGUCAAUACUCUCAAGUUUCCUUGUCUAGCAGCCUGGCAGCUCACAAAGAGCCCAUCAUCAGCCUACCAAACUUUUUAAGAAGUUGCAGACUGAUUGCCAUGUAGCAUGCUGCGGGAAUCUACUUUCUUCCAACUGUUUUCUACACGGCUUUAACUCUAUCUGCAUGUCCCACGUUCUUUUUAGUGUCCAUUCGUGCAAAAUACAAAGUUUUCACUUUCCACCGCGCGAGACUCUGACCAAGUAAAUAUAAUACGGAUAUCCAAUGUGAAACUAUCAAUUUUAAUGACUUUCAUUCAAAUGCAGAGCCAACAAAAAGGGAUCUUUCCAUGUAAUAAGUUGCUAGAGAUACACACGCGUUUACCAAGAAUUUGAGUUAAACCAGUACACAGAUUUUAAUCUAUCCAUGGCUUCAGCAAAACAACUUGACUUCCUGACCCAUGUUGAACACUCUCACUAAGAUAAGGGGCAGCAAGCAUCCAACAUCUCCUGCACAAAGAGACUGGAAACUCCAUUCUUGUAGCAGCCCUCUAAAAUUGUUCACAUUCUUUAUGUGAUGCUACAUAUCGUUUCAAAAAGUUUAUUCAGUGCUUUGAGAACUUUUCAAGGACAUCAAAGUAAUCAGGGAAGGUUUUGCGUGUGCAGCCAGGAUCCUUGAUGGUUACAGGAACAUCUGCACAUGCCGCAAGAGAAAAAGCCAUAGCCAUUCUGUGAUCAUCAUAAGUAUCAAUUGAUGUAACAUUUAACUUCUCUGGUGGAGUGAUUAUGCAGUAAUCUGCCCUUCUUCAACUGUAGCCCCUAACUGAAAUUGUAGGAAAUGUAUGGAUGAGUGUUACAAGGAGAAUUUUCGAGAAAAAUGCAAGGCUUGUGAGAUUGAAAAAUAAUGAUGCAUCACAAAAUUAACCUUUCUAAGCUCUGUGCAUAUAGCAAUCAUCCGCUCAGUUUCCUUCACUCUCCAGCUAGCCACUGAGAACAUAAAUUAAGUCAGACGAAAUAUCUCAGGGUGAUGAAGAAAUAGCAAAGGAAACAGACAGAGUAUUAAAACAGAAAAGAAAAGCUAAAAGCAGAUUAUUGGAUCAUGCAUACUGACGCGGAGCUAGGACUGGUAACCGAUCCUAACCUCAAAAAUCUAUUGGAUUCUAAACUCAUGUACUGUUCAAGAUAAUCCAGUUCUCAUAAGUUACAGACCAGAUUACCAUACGAUCCAAACAUUUUCACAUUAUGCUGUAGACAAAGAAAACUGAAAUAUCAAUUUUCAAGGAUGAAUUCAAAGAGGUAUCCUUAACACGACAAUAAGUCCUAUUUUAAACUUGCCGUACAGCAUUAAUCAAGGAAUUCCUAGUUUUCUCAAAAGAAUUCACUUUGCAUAAAGUAUUAUAUUAUGGAAUAUGAUUCCAAAUUAUUCAUAUUAUAUAGCUUAUGAACACAAGAAACUAAUGGCAUUUUGCUUCUUGUUAACGAAAAGCCAAUUAUGUCCUGAUCAGUGAUCUAGAACUUCUGUUAUUCCAAUGAAAUUUGAAACAGCUUUAAUUAACUCUUAUAUUCGGUAAACCAGUAACAUUCAUACCAUCUCUUAUUGCAGUGGAACCAUCCGCGAAAAGUGCAACUACAGCAAGAGUCAUGGCAACAUCUGGCAUUUUGUUCAUGUUGAUAUCAAUGGCACGAAGGUGUUUUCCUCUGGAAGAAUCCCUCCGCGGUCCUUUAACAAUAACACUGUUUUCUGUCCAGGUGACUUCAGCACCCAUUUGCUCAAGAACCUCAGCAAAUUUCACGUCACCCUUUAGAAAGGAAAGAAACAAAAAGAAAUGAGAUGAUGAAUGCCAUGCAAUUUACGUGCACAAAACAUUCAAAACCAUGUUAGCAAGGUGAUACUGCAUAACCUAUUUAAAUCCAAGAUACUUUAAGUUUGCAGCAACACAACAUUCACUUCUCAAUAAAAGACAAAAGUCAAGUUUUCACCAUGGACAUAACGCAGAAAGGGCCUUCUUGUCUGAAUGACGUAAUUAUCUUCAGAACAAGAAAAAGAGAGAUACAACAUGCCAGCAUGCAUUUUACCUGUAAACUGCCAGUCCCACAACCUUCGACGGUAAUGGUACCACCAGUAACAGCUGCACCAGCUAAGAAGUAACUGGCACUUGAGGCAUCACCUUCAACAUAAGCUUUUCCAGGAGACCUGACAAAAUGAUAAUCUUUUUACUUGCUACACAACAAGCUACUAAAGUCCAUUUUACUCAAUACAAGUACACUUACUUGUAUUUCUGACCCCCAUGAACCAGGAAUCUGUCCCAACUACCACUAUGCUCUACAGUGACCCCAAACCGUUCCAUCAGUUUCAAAGUCAUUUCAACAUAAGGAACAGAAAUGAGUUUAUCAAUAAUUUCAAUCUCAACAUCUCCUAGAGCCAGUGGAGCUGCCAUGAGUAAAGCAGUUAGGUAUUGACUACUGAUAGAUCCAGAGAGCUUCACCUGCCAGUGAUGAUCAAAAUACAUGUUCAUCGUCAAUCCAAGUAACCUAUUUCAAAAUAUAGUAAGAUAAGAAAAAGAGAGCCCAGCCCCACGAGUCCCAUGCCUUUCUUGGUAGGCCAUGCCAUUUGUGAGAAGUCUUUCUUCAUUCAAAGGCAGAGAAGCAGAAUUGCAAGGAUGAAAUGAAUAGUGAUUCCCAGUACUAAACCCAAGAACCCAAUAAAGAAAUUUUACCAUUGUCCCAUCCAAUGCUGUGCAUAUAUGAAAUUGUAUUUCUCAUUCACAGAUUCAUGUUUGUUUAGACUAAUCACCCACACUUUGGUCCUGCUUUUGAUUUUGUUACUAAGAGGGGAAGAAAAUCAGGACCAAAUGCUUGGCAGUUCCUGGUGGAGCUUAUUGAGUGCUGAACCCAAUAAGAAAGUGUAAAAUAGGUGGUCUUUGCAAAAAUGUUUUGCAAAAAUAUACCCCUUGCAUCUUGGUCACUUUUACAAUUUCAUUUAUAAGCAGUCUCAUUACUUUGAAUCUCUCAUUUUCUAUACUUAAUUGUCUAAUUAAGUAUCCGUUUCUUGAAGCAGGACUGAAGCUAAUCCAAGCUUCACAACAAAUUGAAAGAAGAAAACAGAUUGGCGAAAUGACAUUGGGCCGGAGCCUCGACAAGGGGAGGUGAUAGUGGAUAUUCUGCUUGUCUUGGGGUGUACAGUAGCACCUGAUCAACCCCCAGAAAUUAAUAAAAUAAUUACAUUAGCCCAGAAUCCAAAAACACAAAAACAAAAGAGUAUGGUGAACAUCAUUGUCUGCCCUGCUAACAAGAGGAAUGUCUCAGAAGUGGAGAAUGACAAGUCAGCUGCAAUGUCUACACAGCUCUUCUUUUCUCAUGCAUGCGUAUAUUAAUAAAGCAUGGAUUGUCCUCUUUGCUUUUCUUUUAAAUCAAGGAAUAAGCAAUUAAGCAUGUUUAGACAAUGUUAAACUCACCUUUCCCCAGGAAGGCCUCCCUUUCCCACUACACGAACUGGGGGGCAAUUUGUACCAAGAAAACAAUCAACAUCAGAACCAAGCUGCUUAAGACCAGAGACCAGAUCACCAAUUGGCCUCUCCCUCAUUCUAGGAACUCCAUCAAGUACAUAGCUGAAACAUAAAAUUCCAGUUUGAAUUUAACUUCACUAAUUUAAAAAACAAAGUAACUGUCCCGAAAAUGCAAUCAUGGCGAGCAAUCACUAAUUUCUGAGGAAAAUUUUAAACCAAUUUGCAGCAUACAUAUUAAUAUAUAAAAGUUGGGUGACAUUUGUAACUAGAAAAAUAAGGAUAUGGACCUUGAAUUCCCACCAGCAGCAGCAACUGCAGCAGUCAAUGGGCGCAUAGCUGUUCCAGCAUUUCCCAGGAAUAGUUGAAUUUCACCUUUAGAUUCUUUACCAACAGGAAAUAGACCACCACAACCUUCUACAAUUGCUUGCUGUACAGCGCGAUUAUCUUCCACAUGCAGACCCAGUGUCUUUAAAGCACCGAGCAUGUAAUGGAUAUCAUCACUGUCCAACAAGUUAUCAACAACAGUUCUUCCCUGGGAAACAAGCAGAACGGAAAUCCAAUAAGUUCUUGAGAUUGAGGAUUAUUGUGAUUCUUUAACAGAAAUACUACUUUGUAAAAGAACUAAACCAAAAAGCGAUUAGAAACAUUUUAUGUAUGCGUUGCUAUUGUAAACAAUAGCCAAUCCUGGGGACGAAAUUAUUAUAUAAGAGCAUUCUGUUAGGAUAGCGAAACUAUAACAUAAUGUAGACUACAGUUAAGUUGCAUCCAUCAGAAGAGCAAUCUACAGAAUUAUCAAUAUCUUAUGGUCUGUUUUGAGGUGGAAAACUUCUCAAUUCUGAAUGAAACUACGAACUGUAGAACCAGCAUAAACAUGCCACAAUUUGGUCUCUUCUUGCAGGCAAAAGAUUACAGGAGCACCUUUUCAAAUACAAGAAAAUGUCAUUUCUUUCUUGCUUUUCCAUAUUCUUUUGUUUUAUUUUCUUCUGAAUGGGUGGAGAGGGAGAAUAGAGUGAGGGGCGGACUUAAACACAUAUUGUAGAAAAUCAGUUCUAACAACUUUUAGUGACCAAUUUUUUAUAGAACUUCUUUCCUUAUAGAAACAAAGUAAAAGACAGAUAAAGUCUAGUUAAUUUCGUAUAAGAACAACUAAAGACAAAACAUGAAGAACCCAUUAAAUUUUUAUCCAAUAACUGCAAAUUUAGAGACAGAAGUGCAUGAAAAUGCUGCAACUCAAGUUUCCAAUCUCAGAUAAUAGACUAAACAAAUAUACAUAUACAUAUACAUAUACAUAUAUAUAUAUAUAUUAAAAGUUGUGCUUGCAUCUAUAUAGCACUCUUACAACAAUUAUGAACUUCCAAAAGAUUGCUCUCAAGAGUCUUUCAGCUCUCGUAAAGUCACCAUGACUAGAAUCCUGAAUCAUCUCCAACACACUUGGCAAAACUAGAAAAGUCAAGUGCAAAAGGUGCUUAACAUUCCCUCUUAUCUUUUCAGUCAUUAAUCUGUAAUAAAAGCAAGUGAACACUGAACAAGAUUUGGUUCUUUUGAAUAUACGCUCCAAAUUACUUGCAUCGUCUGACUGAAAGUGCUUUAACUACAGUCCUUGAACCUAACCAGUCUCCAUUAGCCAACUUUUGUAAAAUACAGCAUUCUACUGCAUGAAGUCUUUCAAACACACGUACUCCACAUCCCACAAUGAACUGAAUCAAAACUCCAGGUUAAUUUGAAAAAAUAUAUAAUUCCUAUAGAGGAAAGAAGUCAAAAUCAACAAUUCAUCAAGAGUAUAAUGAUUAAACAGAAAUGUAUAGCACAAAGAAGAAGAAAAAGUCACUCAUAGUAGCUUUUACAAUCAUGGUUCGCAGUCGCGUCUCGUCUCGGUCUCGACCGAGACUGAGAGACUGAGACUGAGACCGAGACCGAGACCGAGACGACUCGGCCGAAUCGUCACCGUCUCUCGAUCCCUACCGAUACAAUAUCGUGACGAAACGAUACCGAAAUACUUGACUCGUCGAGAAAUCGACCGAGCCGCUAUCGCAACGAAUUGACUCGACCAAGUCAUAUCGAGUUACUCUGAAUUAUCCCGAAUCAAGACAAAAAAUUAAUCAAACGAGAAAUCAGCCGAGUCAUGCCGCGACGGAUUGACUUGGCUGUUUCUUUUGCUAAUUUUUAAUUAUUUUUAUUUAGUAUACCUUUUUAUAUUAUUAAUAAUUUUAAAAUAUUAAAUACUUUAAAAUUUACGUCUCACCGAGACGGUGAUCGAUAUGCCGAGAUCGAUGUGGAACGUUUCGAGCCGCAACACCGACCGCAACUGUGGCUUUGAACCAUGUUUACAAUGCUUAGCAGAAGGGUCGUAUAACUGCACGAUUCUUAAAUAUUAUAGAUUACCUCAGCCAGGGCAGCAAGGAGAAGAAUGCGAUUGGAGAGGGAUUUUGAGCCAGGCAGCUUGACGGUGCCAGAUAUCUCUUUAAUAGGCUGAAGCACAAUCUCCGGCACAGUAGACGGCUUCUCAGCCGCGGCCACUGAAACAAAAACCUUCAAAGGAGACCUACCUCUAGUCAACAUCGAAUCUCUACUCAAAACCCGUGAAUAUUUUGGUGAACUUUUCGCAAUUCUUGACCCAAGUAUUAAAGAAUGUGGUGAAGAAUACUGGUUUUGGAGUUUCGAGACUUUAGGUGUAGUGAAUUGAGGAGCUUGGAUUGCUUGAGCCAUUUCUCUUUUUGCCGCAGAAUAGAGGGGACAAGGAUGAGAAGUAAUCCCUCUUUCUUUCUUUAUGUUCUUUCAAUUUAAGCUCUGAUGCAGCUACCUACCGGAAAUGGGGAUGGAGGAGGCGUUAGGUAGGCAGGGCAGGGAAGGGAAGUUGGAUUGGAAGACUAACUUGGGGGGAGUUUGGUUUGGUGGGGAUCCAUAACAAUAGUGAGAAAAUAAGCAAUUCGGCAAGAAUGGUCCCAUGACAAUAAUGAUCCCAUAGAUUUGACUGUCACCAACCACUUCUGUCCGUUAAACAAGCACAUGGACUAUCGCUGGAGUGGUGCGGGUGCCUAAUGGUUUGCCAUAGCUUAAGAGCAUUACAAUUUGAGUCACUUCCAACUUCAAGAACCUUUUGCAUUCCCCCAACUACCCCUUAAUCCCACGCCACGCCCGGGAGGAAAGAAAGAGAGAGAGAGAGAGAGAGAGAGAAUCUUUCUGUUUCUUUUUAUUUUUUUGUCAUUUUGAUUAUACGAAAAUAGCUGUCAAUCAUAUACAUUCAUUCAACUUCUGGUUUAACAAUUCGGCCAAUGUUUGCUUCGAGAUAAUCAAUUAUGAAUUAAUGUUACUGACAGUAUAUACGGUUUUGUUAUUGAAUGUACGUCACUUAAUUUCAAAUUAAAUUUGAAUAUCACUUUUUUUACAUACGUGGCAUAUGUUAAAAAAAUAAUAAAUUAUCGGCUGUCAUUUUUAUCAUUAUUAGAUGCAUGUCACUUAAUUUUAAAUUGAAUUUUAAUAUCAUUUUGUACAUAUGGGACACAUAUUAAAAAAUGAUAGCGUAAAGAUAAACUCAAUCAAUCGUAGUCCAAGUUUAAGUACUUUAAGAUUUUCUUUUCGCUCUUCCAAACACUUUAAGAAUGUAUUAGGAAUAUGUAAUUAAUAAUAUAAAAGUUAUUAGUAAUAUGUUAAUUAAUAUGCUUUUAAAGUCACAUAUUUGUUUAUAAGCAUAAAUUAUAACAUUAUUGAUUAAUACAUUAAUAAUAUGAUAUUAGUAGGCAUGAAAUAUAUUUUUAAUUAAAAUAUGAAGUUCGAUCAUUUUGAUCGGUGAUCUGGAAUUCAAGAAUCGUAUUUCAAUAUUCAUUCCCAAAUUAUUUUACCAAAUUUUAAGAUUAGACCUUAAGCAAUUUUUUCGAAUUCUGCUUUACCAAUAUCCAAUUUUCGAUCUAAAUUGAAUCGGUCAUUCAAUUCUUUGGAAGUGUGAACCCUAAGUUAAAGGGCUGACAAAGCAAAUCCUUUGUCUUCGUUAACAAAAAAAAAAAAAAAAAAAGUGAAAUGGGUGCUGAAUGGGACCUAAUGAGGUGAGCAAUGAGAGAAAGAACAAGCAAGAAUCAAAUUCAACAACUUGCUGAAGGUGCCAAGCAAGCUUGCUCGAAUGGUUUGUUUGGAUUGUAAGUUGUUUGGGAUAUUUUUACUGUAAUACUUUUUGUAACGUGAUGUACGUGAGAUAAAAACGUAAUUGGAAAAAUAAAGCAGCAGAACAUAACAGGGAUGGAGACUCGUCAACAUUGGAGUUUCUGACAAAAAUCUACUACAGCAAAUCCAACCUAUGGAUGCAUGGACAACAACACAUUAAUACUCCUUGUUUUACAAAUACUCCUUUUGCCUAGAAAUAGUGAAUAGAAAUGAUCUAAAUGUUCAGUUUAGUACCUUAAUUAUCAAGAUAUAAAAUGGAUUAAUCCCAAUCUUUUGUGCUAAUAGCACAUUGGAUUGUAUCGAGUCAUCAUUUAUUUUGUAAAUACUUUUGUUUCAAGUAAUACAAGCGAGUUAUUUUGGUGCUUGUCUAAAACUUUACUAUUGAAGUUUUUAAAAAAAAUUUUAAAAUAUAUAAAUUUUUAAAUAUUUUAAAAUAUAUAGCUUAAAAUUUUUUAAAAAUUUCGAGGCUACUGUAACUGAGCAAACGAAAUUUUUAAAAAACUUGUAGCAGACAAACUUGGUAAAAAACUCAACUGCCAAACAGAGGUUCGACAAAAAAAAAGGGCUUAACAACUGCGCGGUGCAUGGUUGGGCCAUGAACCAGGUUCACUCGACCUUUUACCAACCCAACUCCUCCUCCCUUAAAGGCUUAAACCCUAACAGUCCUUGAGUUACUGCUUUCCUUUCCACGACUCCAUCUCUCCCUCUCUCUUGUCUCUCCCAUGGGAGUCUGAGCGUAAAACUUCAAUCCCUCACUUUCCCAAAUCCCUCCCGGAUCAAAGUCAAAACCUUAAAAAUCGAUUCGAAGAAUGGCGUAUCUUUCAGCUUCGAAACCAUCUCAUUUCCAUCCCAGAAACCUCUCAAAUGUCUCCACCCCACUUUCGCUAAAAUCCCUCUUCUUCUUCUGCUCAUCCCCAGGUGGUAACCCCGAUCAGGAAACAGCGGCCAUUUCACCAACUGAAUCCACUGGGCCAGAAACACGGAAUGUUGAUCCUGCGGCAACGCCAUCCAGAAGCCCAAGAGGUAAGCAUCGUCGUCUUCAGAAAAACCCAGAAAAAUUAGAAGAUAUUAUCUGUAGAAUGAUGGCUAAUCGUGCUUGGACUACCCGUUUACAGAAUUCUAUUCGCAAUUUGGUUCCUAGCUUUGAUCAUGAACUUGUUUAUAAUGUACUUCAUGGUGCGAAAAACUCUGAGCACGCGCUCCAGUUCUUCAGAUGGGUGGAAAGGGCUGGACUUUUUCAGCAUACUAGAGAAACCCAUUUGAAAAUUAUUGAGAUUUUAGGCCGAGCUUCGAAGCUCAAUCACGCCAGGUGUAUUCUGUUGGAUCUGCCCACAAAAGGGGGUCGAGUGGGAUGAGGAUAUGUGGGUUCUGUUGAUUGAGAGCUAUGGUAGCGCGGGCAUUGUGCAGGAGAGUGUGCAGCUGUUUCAAAAAAUGGAGGAGUUGGGGGUUCAGAGGACGAUAAAAACGUAUGAUGCUUUGUUUAAGGUUAUAAUGCGCAGAGGGCGGUAUGGGAUGGCCAAGAGGUACUUUAAUAAGAUGUUGAAGGAGGGGAUUGAGCCCACAAGGCAUACCUAUAACCUUAUGAUUUGGGGGUUUUUCCUUUCUUCGAAAGUGGAAAGUGCGGUAAGGUUCUUUGAGGAGAUGAAAAGUAGGGAAAUUUCACCUGAUGUUGUCACUUAUAAUACCAUGAUCAAUGGGUAUUGUCGUGUUAAAAACAUGGAGGAGGCUGAGAAGUAUUUCGUGGAGAUGAAGGGGAGGAAUUUAGAGCCAUCAGUGAUAACUUACACGACUUUGAUUAAGGGUUUUGUUUCUGCUGGGGGAGUUGACAAUGCAUUGAGAUUUCUGGAAGAAAUGAAGAAAUUUGGGAUUAAGCCAAAUGCUAUUACGUACUCAACCUUGUUGCCAGGGCUGUGUGAUGCAGACAAGAUGUCGGAAGCUGAUAAGAUUUUGAAGGAGAUGGUCGAAAGACAUAUUGCUCCAAAUGAUGACUCAAUCUUCACGAGACUGCUGUCUGGACAGUGCAAGGCAGGUCAUUUGGAUGCGGCUGCUGAUGUGCUCAAAGCAAUGAUUCGCUUGAGUAUUCCAACAGAGGCUGGGCAUUAUGGUAUCCUGAUAGAGAAUUUCUGUAAGGCUGGUGCGUAUCAACGAGCUGUUCAAUUGUUGGAUAAGCUUAUAGAGAAGGAAAUCAUCUUAGACCACAGACUACUUUGCAAAUGGAGCCUAGUGCUUACAAUCCUGUCAUUGAGCAUCUAUGCAACAAUGGACAGACAAGAAAAGCUGAGAUGCUUUUGCGACAGUUGAUGAAAAUGGGUGUCCAGGAUCCAGUUGCCUUCAACUAUCUGAUUCGUGGCCAUUCAAAAGAAGGUACUCCUGAGUCAGCUUCUGAACUUUUGACAAUCAUGGUUAGGAGGAAGGUUGUUUCAGAAGCAAGUGCUCACGUAUCACUUAUCGAAAGUUACUUGACCAAGGGUGACCCUGCUGAUGCUAAAUCAGCUUUGGAUACUAUGAUUGAAAAUGGUCAUCUGCCAGACUCGUCUCUAUAUAGGUCAGUGAUGGAGAGCUUGUUUGCAGAUGGAAGAGUUCAAACAGCAAGCAGGGUGAUGAUGACUAUGCUGGAGAAGGGUGUGAAAGAGCACAUGGAUUUGAUUGCUAAAAUCUUGGAGGCUCUCCUUCUGAGGGGCCAUGUUGAGGAAGCCCUGGGAAGAAUUGAAUUGCUUAUGCAAAAUGGACUUGCACCUAACUUUGAUAAUCUUCUGUCCAUUCUCUGUGAGAAAGGGAAGACAAUUGCUGCUUUGAAGUUGUUAGAUCAUUGUUUACAGAGAGAUUAUAGUGUUGACUUCUCCAGCUAUGAUAAAGUUUUGGAUGGCCUUUUAGCUGCUGGAAAAACUCUUAAUGCAUAUUCAAUUCUGUGCAAGAUAACGGAGAAAGGAGGAGUUACAGACAAAAAUAGCUAUGAAGACUUAAUCAAGACCCUUAAUGCAGAGGGAAACACUAAGCAAGCAGAUAUUCUUUCAAGAAUGAUCAUGGCCUCCAAUAGCAAGAAAGGAAAGAAACAAGCGUCUAUGGCAUAGUUGGCCUCUUUAUUCUGGACUCUUUGAAUUUCAGGGUUACAGCUUUUGAUUUUAGCUUACUUUAAUGGGAUAUUAUGGGUUUAGCUAAGUGGCAGAAUAGUUCAGGUCGAAUUGCAUGUCUUUUUUAAUCUUAAAUAGCAGCAGAAUCUAAUUGUUUUCUGUAGAAAUUAUGAAAGUCUACCUCUUCAGAAUAAAUAAAAGAAGGAAAUAUGCUGCUGAGGUUUUCAUAAAAGCAUAUAACCUUGCAUUCAUAUUAUUGACACUUUGACACUGUACUGUAUACAUGAAAGCCAAAUUUUUGCAUUUAAUUAUCUGGUUAUGGCUGUUGAGAAAUGAGAACUGCUAGAGCUUUGCAGGAUCAUCUCUCAUUGAAGGAUUUCUCAUUCCGAUUUACAUGGAAAGCAUCCGUCUUGAUAUCUAAGAGGCUCUCUGCGUAGGAACAGCCUCUGGGUACAUUGUGCUUCAGCAUAUGACACUAAUAUUCCAGCUCGUGGAAAUAUAAUUACAUUGUUGUCUCUGUGUUUUGGUUUUUGAUAAGGUCAACUGUUUCCUAUUUUCUUAACUGCACCUUGAUGAUGAGUGAAGUAUGGCUUAUCUUGCUUUGUUUUCUACCUUUGUUACUGUUGCCUUGAUAAGGAUUAAAAUUGGAUUGGGCAAAGUAAUUUCUGCUUUUGUUGAUUAAAGAUAGGAUCAUCCAUCGUGUGGUAUGUCACCGUCACGUUAGUGGUACCUCAAGAGUUUUUUUUUUUUUUUUUUGGGUCACACACUUAUUUCUACAGUGUGAUUUACCUUUCAACAGCGCAAAGAAACACACGCACAUAGAAUCUAAGGUAAUACGCACAUAGAAUCUAAGGUAAUUUCACCAGUUUACUCAAAAGACAAUUGCUGACUUCUGGAUAAAUUCACGGACUUUAAAUCCUAUUCACACACCUCUUACAACCGAUGUGGAAACAAGGAGUUGGGGGAAAGGGAACACAGGAAGCUUAAGAGCCUUGACUAAGAACCCAUACGGACACUGACACUCCUCUCCUGUUUUCCUUUUUCUUUCAACAGCAGUGUGAUUUACCAUAAUGUGGUUAUCACAUCACUCUGUAGAAUUUUCCUUAAAAAAAUGUCUACAAAGUAAAUAAAGAGAAAAGGCUGGCAAACAGGUCAAAGGGCUCAUUCUAUUUGGCACUUCGUUGCCUUACUUUCAAGUACGCCAAUAGGGCAGUUGAACACUAGCUAGCUUAUGCCAACUGGAGUUUAGUUGGGAUGGCAAUAUCAGUUAGCUCACGAGGUACUAGAGAUUGUUCUUCUAAACCAAUUCAAUUUUGGGACUCUUGAUUUCAACUGACUGUGUUACAGAUGCAAUGGGACUCUUGAUUGAGGUCGAUUCGAUUGUAGUUUUUUUUUUCAUUCAGAUUUCGGCAAUCUUUCGUCUCUGUGAAAAGGAAAAGGAAAAGAAUGGACUGGAAAUGUCUGAAUUUGAUAUGAAUGAGGGCUUUGAUAUGAAUGAAUCUUUCGUUGCUUUGGCAAAUAUUACACUUAUGCUCGGUGGGAACAGCGGAUGGACGAUUGCCCAUGUGACACUCUCCUGUUAAUACUCUCAAAGAUCUACACCUAACGCAUGAUUCUGCUUAAUAAACAAUUAUACAGAACAUCACUGAUCUGAAGUUGUUGGAUAGUACUAAAGUCUUGACUUCGAAGUUCCCGGUAAGGUAGGUGUUGAAUUGUUCUAUGCACUAUCACACGAUUCUGUACAAGAGUUUUUUUGACUCGGGGGAAUUUUUUUAAUAAACGACCAUAAUUGGAUUAUUCUUAAGAAACUGGUUAUAUCUAAUAAAACUCACUCGUGAGUGUCUCACCAUUAAAUCAUCCUGUGGUUAGGCCAUUGGACGUUUGUAAUUAAAUAAAGAACUGCGUUGCAUUUUGCAUAGGAGGAGAAUAUGCCUUUUACCAUUCUCAAGGCAUAUUAUUCCAUGGGAGGAUACUUUUUUCACGGUCCAUACCAAACCAUACUUCCAACUUCCAGGGAAAUAAAGUGCAAUAAUUUGAGCUCUUCAGCUAAGCUAAGGUAAACCUGUUGCCUCUGCACAAGAAAAUGGUACUCUGGUAUAAUACUAGUAGACAAGUACGUACGUUGAGGAUAGGCAGGUUGAGAGCCAGAAGUUCAACUACCACAUAUGAAAUAGCCACACCCGCAACAUUCAACAACCACAUAACAAUGGAUGGAUCAUCAUUCAUCGCCCCACUCCCGGUCCCAUACAUUGUUUGUUUGUUUGUUUCUGGCUUAGGAAAUCCUCAUUCUCAGCCUAAAGAGAUUGGGUUGCCCCACACAGGUUUUGAAAGGUUUGAAGCUCCGCAGCAGUCCAUCUCAAUACAAAUUCUGAAAUUUACUCUAUGUGUUUAUCCAAGAUAUCAUAUAGCGAACAUUGGAACUCUUAUUGGUCCGUUUAAUAUCGUUAAGAAGCGCCGGACAUCACAUUUCCAAUCGCAGCAAAAUGACUCAGAAAAGCUACUCACUAUUCAAAGACUGCGAGCAGUUUUGAUGAUACAUGGCAAUGUGGAGGAGAGCUUAUUAGUCUCAUUUAUCUCUAUUAAAACAUGAGAAAACAUAAUAAAGAGGGGAAAAAAACAAACAAACAAACAAAAAGGACCUCCAAUCAAAUAACCACAUCAAAUUACAAAAACCACGUUCCAGUGUACAAGUUCAGAAGCAUCCUAAACUGCCUCCUCUCUGCAGCCUCAAAUUGCUCCACCGAUGAAGGCAGCUGCUAAAGCAAGAAAUUUUUCUUCUCUUAUUAUGAAAUGUCAAAUGGCAGUCAAUUGAGCCAAGAACCUCACCAAGGGUUUUUGCUGUAAACUGCAGCCUCAUAUAACGAAUCCAAAAUACCUCAGCACAGAACGAGCAACUGGAAAUCCCAUUUUCUGAAGCCUAAGAAACACUUUUUGCUGCAGCUACAACAGCCUCUGCUGUAAUGCCAAGCUCCUUGUAUAUUUUUCCUGCAGGAGCACUAGCACCAAAUCGGUCAAUUCCGAUUGCUUUUCCUUUAGGUCCAACAAUCUUCUCCCAUCCGAAUGUUGAUCCUGCCUCGAUGCUAACCCUAGCUGUUACAGCCGCUGGAAAGACACUUUCCUUGUACUCAGCUGAUUGCUCAUCAAAAAGCUCCCAUGAAACAAGAGAGACAACUCUGACGGCCUUCCCUUCCUUUCUUAGUUCAUCAGCAGCUUUGGCUGCAAUUUCCAACUCUGAACCAGUUCCAAUCAAGAUCACAUCAGGCUUGUUGCCUGAAGAGUUGUCUGAUAUAAUGUAGCCACCCUUUGCCACUCCUUCAAUAGAAGUUCCAGCAAGUUGGGGCAACUUUUGCCUUGAGAGAGCAAGGAUUGAUGGUCUCUUCCUAUUGAGGACAGCUACCUUGUAAGAACCAGCUGUCUCAUUCCCAUCAGCUGGACGCAACAUCAAAAUAUUAGGCAUUGCCCGAAAACUUGCCAAGUGCUCAAUUGGCUGAUGGGUGGGUCCAUCUUCUCCCAGCCCAAUUGAAUCAUGAGUCAUCACGUAGAUAACACCGGCCUCAGACAAGGCAGAUAUCCUAAUGGCAGCUCUCAUGUAGUCAGUGAACACAAAGAAAGUUGCACAGUAGGGAAGUAGGCCAGGGCUGUGGAGAGCAAUCCCAUUACAGAUGGAUCCCAUACCAUGCUCACGUACACCAAACCUAACAUUACGCUCUUCUGGUGUCUUCUUUUGGAAGUCACCAAACAUCUUAAGAAGGGUCAUGUUAGAGGAGGCAAGAUCAGCACUCCCACCAAGCAGACCAGGGAGAACCUUAACAAGGGCAUUAAGAUUUUGCUGAGACAGGUUUCUGGUGGCAUCAGCUGGGCUCUCAGGAGUGUAUGCCUGAGGGUAAAAGUAUAAAAAUCACAACUGAAUUAAACCACAGGACAAGGGAAGGGAAUGCAAUGCCAGGUCAAUAGAUCUGACUUGAAAGCAGACACUAAAUAUAAUUGAGUCCAAUUUGUUUAGUCCAAAAGAAAAGUUUCCAAAGACAAAGGAUAAUAUAUAUGCAAAUUAACAGAAUGAAUCUCGAUGUCACAAGGUGAAAUAAAAGAGCAAAUCUGUUUCUUAGCUACUUACAGGAAGCGCUUUCUCCCAUCCAGCUGGCAAUUCACCAGUUAUGAGGGACUUCAACUCAGCAGCUUCUUCUGGAUAUUUUUUUUCAUAUUCAGCAAAUUUGGCAUUCCAUUCAGCUUCAUAAGCAGCACCCACAGGAACAUGGCGGCUCCAGUGUCUGAAGAAAAAAUGAUCACAAUUGUAAGUUUUCAAGAAAAAGUUAGCUAAGUUUUAUCCAAUUCAAGAAGCAGGCGAGAUCAUUCAUACUUCUUGACAUCCUCAGGAACAUGGAAAGGCUCAUAAGGCCAUCCAAGGUUCUGCCUAGUGGCCUCUACUUCCUUGGCACCCAACGCACUGCCAUGUACACUGUAUGAGUUUGCCUUGUUGGGGGAUCCAUAACCAAUUGUUGUGGUUACCUGUAUGGAAGAAAUAUAUUUAACAAAAAUAUCCCAAUUUGAAGAAUGCAGGAAGAAACACCAAGCAAUCAAGCUGGAAAUAUUUCAAAUCUACCAGCCCAUUCAAUUUAGCGGAGGAACUGUUUUAGAGAUAAAUGCAGCAACAACUAUAGGAAAACAUGAAGUAAGGCUCAAGAUGAAGCAUAAUCAGUAUCUGACCUUGAUCAAGGUAGGCUUGUCUUUUACAGCCUUUGCUUCCUUGAUGGCAGCACGAAUUUCAUCAUAACCUGUAUUACCAUUCUUGACCCAGAUAACAUGCCAUCCAAGAGCCUCAAACCGGAGUUCGACACUCUCGGUGAAAGCAAUUUCAGUAUCACCAUCAAUUGAAAUAUGGUUAUCAUCAUAGAAGGCAAUCAGCUUUCCAAGUCCCCAGUGGCCAGCAAGGGAACAAACUUCAUUGGAGACCCCCUCCAUUUGACAUCCAUCACCAAGGAUAGCAUAUCUAUAUAAGAUGUAAAAGUCCCGUCAUUAAACAACAUAGAGAACUGGUAUUUGAGACCCACCAGAAAAUUGAAACAACUAUUAACAAUUCAGGAAGUCAUAUUACGUGUAGUGGUCAACAAUCUCGGCAUCCGGUUUGUUGUAACGAGCAGCCAAGUGUUUCUCAGCAAGGGCUAAACCAACAGCAUUUGCAAUACCUUGGCCAAGCGGACCUAAUCAAAAGCAAUGAGAGACAACGAUUAGUCCCACCACUCCGUUCAACGUCCAAAUAUACUAGCUGAACUAAAUUCUAACCAGUGGUGACUUCAACACCAGGGGUCUCAAAGUUCUCAGGAUGACCCGGAGUUUUGCUUCCCCAUUGGCGGAACUGCUUCAAAUCUUCCUCCUAAAUAUCCCAUGGAAACACAUUCAGUCCAACGGGAGAAAAAAAAACCCACUCCAUAACUCAAUCCAGCACAAGCAAUGUCAUGAAAACAACUUGAAACCUUCCUGCACAGGACAAUAUCACCCCCAUCUUGCUACUUUAAAAACCCAGGCUCCAUUUACUAGCUCAAGUAAUACAAUCAUCUUAUACCAGGUGAAUUAAACAAACUACAAGCAGACCAGUGAAAAAAAAUCAGCAACCAACUCUAAACAGUACCAAAUAAUUGAAAAGGCAACAGAAAAUAAUAAAUGUAAGCUAAUUAUAAAACAAGAUCAGAUAUAAUCCAGUAAAAUUCCAUUCAAAAUCCAAUUGUUACCAGAUUCUCCACCAAAACCACCUCCAAAAUGAGGUGCAAAAGUCAAACAUCACAGCAAAAUGCAUUGAAAAUCCGAUCUUCAGCAAUGUUCUAACAAGCCGACCUCGAAAAUGACAUGCAGAGUUGGAAAACCACAAAUCCAAGAAAAAACCAGAUCCAAAAUCCAAUCUUCAAACCCAAAAAAAAAAUAAUAAUAAUCUGGGACUGCACCAGUUAGAUCGGAUAAAAGGAUGAAUUCACACAGAAACUACGAUUAAUAAGUUUUGACCUUGACAGAGUCAUAUCCAGCAAGGUGAAGCAAAGCAUACUGAAGCAUACAUCCAUGGCCGGCUGAGAGAACAAACCGGUCCCUGUUGAACCAAUAAGGAUUCUUGGGAUUAUACUUCAUGACCUCAUCAUAAAGAAUAUGACCCAUUGGAGCGCAACCCAUGGGUAGACCCGGGUGACCGGAAUUAGCCUUCUCGACAGCAUCGACGGCCAAGAAACGGAUGGUAUUGAUGGACUUUUCUACAAGGGCCGUGCCGGUUUUCUCCAGAGUUUCUACUGCAGCUGAGGCCAAGACCUGGGCUUGGCGUCGACCGCUGCUGGGACGGAGGGACUGCGGCGGCGGGAGGCAGCAGUGGUGGUUGUGGAGGGGGUGGAUUUGAGGGCAGAAAACGUGGGGAAGGAAACAGAAGGGAGGUGGGGGUUGGAAGAGCCAUGGCGAGGGAUGGAGCCGGCGAGAACGGCCUGGGAGAGAGUGAGGGAAGAAGAAGAAGCCAUGACUCUCUUGUGGUAGUGGUGUUGGUGGGGACUUGGGAGGGAGAAGAAUUAGGAGGUGUGUUUGUUCGGGGUGGAUAGAUUAUAUCGAGAAGGGAGGGAGGAGAGUUGGUGGACUUUUUAAUUUGAUUUUGUUGCUGUUUUUAUUUAAUGAUGAUGGAUAAUAUAUAUGACGUCGUACUACAAAAACACAUUGGUGUGUGCCGUGAGAAAGGGAUAAAAAGAGGCUCUAUUGGAGACCGAAAGAGGUACAAAAGCUUUGCUUUUUUUUUUUUUUUUAAAAUUUUGGAAAAGGGUAUUACCGAAUUAUAGAAGAGUGUUUAAUUAUAAAUUUGUAGCAUUUAAAAUGUGAAAAAUAAUUUUUAAAAAUUAUUAGAGAUAAAAACAAGGAAUCGAAACGAAACGGGCCUUGAGCAUAUGUACACCAAUUGAGUCAAUAAAAAGCCGUUAACAGAACCUCAACUGUAAACGCUGCUACUAUUACUAAUAUCCAAUUCUUGUGUAUGGCAAGAGAUGAACGGUUGAAAGGACAAAAGAUUUUAUUAUUGAGAACUGGGGUAAGGAAGAAAAGGGACAGAGAUUCGAUCAAUGACAGACAGAGACUGGGGAAGAAGAAGAGGGAGAGCUUGUGGUGGCAUGAGAUAGGAUGGGGGAGGAGAAACCGAGGAAGAGAUCGGGGCCGUUGAGUAAGGGUAGGAUAUCAAUGCUUUUCAAAUUUUUAAUGAAUUAACGUUGUCCGCAUGCAGAAUUUUCUGACUCAAGUUGUGCAUUCGUUUGCUUUGUAAGGUGAAUUAAACUAAGAGAGCAACAACGACUAAUAAAGUCUUGAUCAAACCUCCUUAGAUUAGAUUAGAUUAGAUUAGAUUAUAGGCGGGGUUCAGACCUCAAACCUUCAAGGCUUCAACCAAAAAAAAAAAAUUUAAGAAUAGUAUUAUAGCAUUUUUUUGAUUUAGUUAAAUCUGUAUACUCACUAAUCUCUAACACAUGCCUCCUUAAACUUUCCUUCCCCUUAAAUAAGAAUAGAAUAGAUUAUACAAUGUAUCGUUACUGGCACGACAAAAAACGCAGCCCCCAAUUUGUUUGGUGAGAUUUGCGUCUGCAUGACAUAAAUUUUUGUUUGCAGCUCUUGGAAUAUUUGCUAUGCAUUUCAUCAAUCAACUAACUAACGGGUCUUGUCUUGAAAGAAUGGCUCUAAAAUUUUAAUAGACCAAACAUAAGUGGUCGUUGUAGGAGAAAAGAGAGAACAUAGGUGGAGUCGGCGAAAUGUUUUAAGAACAAAUCUAGGGAUAGUUUUCGCAUCCUGUACAAAUUCAACCUCAUUGACUAGAAAAAGUUGAGCCGCCAGACUCCACCUACCUCCGUAUCCAAUCCACCAUUUCUGUUAUUGUUUUGGCAACCCUUCAAUGACUUAGAGGCCAUUCAGAGGUUGCUGAGCUAUAUAUAUAUAUAUGCGUAGGGCAAAAAAAAAAAAAUGGGUGGGGGGUUAGAGUAUAUGUCAUUGGUUCUGUGACCUCAGUCCUCUAUAGCCGAAAGUCAAGCAUCUUCUAUCUCUUAGAAUAAAACACCUAGAAGGCUAGAACCAAUACGCAAUAAGUGACGCAAUAACUCAUGUGGGCUUUUGGGCAUACAAGUGACGCAAUAAUAAGACAACAAAAGUAGAAGAUGAUGAUCUUCUUCAACAAAUUUGCAACCAAAUAAGAAAACCUCAAAGCACCCGACCCGAGGACAAAAUUUUCAUAAAUGAUGAAUAGGAUCGAUGUUCAACACAACAAUGAGGCUAAUCCCUUUAGCGGGCGUGUAGACAAGCAAAACAAGCCCUAAUAUCAAAAGAAAGUACGAAAGUUAGAGAACAUAUUGCAUGAAAACAAAUAAUAAUAAUAAUAAUAAAAGAGUACCCCAAAAAAGGCUGGAUUUUGACAUGAAAAAUUCUUGGCACCCUGGAGACUAGAAGUUUGCUACUCAAAAGUCAGCUUCAGAUUAAACUUCUGCAUAUAUGCUCAUCGUGCGCAAGUCUAGCACGGAGUCUGAAGGGCAAAAGCUUGUUCAAACAAGGAAUGGCAGCUAGUAAUUUAUUUUUAAACGACAAAGGAUGAAUAUAACAUCAAGAAAAAUACACCAAAUCUAUACUCGUCAAAUGCUGAAAAGUUGACUUCUAAAUUUUCAGAUGUAUCCAUGGUACAUUACAAAUUAUGUUGUAAGAACAGGUGUUCUCGAAAGUUCUGAAGUCCUUGUGAUGGGGAUAAUGGAAGGAGAGAUGACUAAAACGUUGAUUUUACCACCAGACGAUUUGAUUCAUUGUCAUUCAGCCUCAGACAACAAAUUGGUUCUAUAAUUACAAAGCUACAAGGAAACAAAGCACCCCUGCAUUGAUUUCUAGGGAAUCAGUAUAAACUUACAUCAGUUUGACUCGUUUACAGUUUGAAGCCAAAUUUCGGAUCCCUCGGCCAGUUACAGCAUAUGGAGCAGAUGCUGAUCGAAUAGAAGGUGACUUGUCAAUGUGGGCAUAGCGUCCAUUGCCAUUCCAGUACAAAAUGAUACGAUUUGUACAAGCAUGUGACCAACUAUCACCUGCCCAGCAAGAUUUAGGAACUCAGAAAAGGAUAUGUCCCUGAUGACCAGAAUCUGGAAUCAGGUUGGAUGAAAGACAAAGAGGGAGGAAAAAUUAACUAUAAAAACAACAGUAGCAGAGCACCCAAGGAAAGACAAGUAUAAGAAAAUUAUUCUUAAAGAAGACAGAUUCUUACCUAGAGCAAGAGUCAGUUGAAAUGAACCUCCCGAAUACUUGGUGGUUACUUGAUUCAACAAAAUAACCUGUAUUAUGAUGUCCUCUGGUCAUUAGAGUGCACAAACAUGAAGUAAUGCCAUUCAGUUGGAUAAGAAGGAGACAGCUUAAAGAAUAUGAGAAGGAAAAGAGAUAGUCUAAUUCUUACCGCUAGAGUAAAUUUCUUUGCAAGUUUCAUCAACUUCAAGGCCAUUCCACCAAGUAAUCGAGUUCUAAGUGCCAUGUCAUCAAAAUCUUGACGGAAGUGAAAAGUAAUGCUGUCAACAAUAACAACCUUGAUCUGUGACAGUAGAGGAAUGUCAAUAAUUUACAACGAAAAUUUGCAUAAUGCAAGCUCUCAAUGACAUCACCAACAUCAUUAAAAGAAAAGAAAAAAAAGAACUUAAAUACUACACCUACAUCUUUAUGCUCUGAAAUGAACUUCUCCAAGUAAUUUAUCACGGCGAUUUGCUCUGUGUAACUGCAAAUGCGAAAGUAGUAUAUAUUGGCAAGAAAAUCAUUUGCCUGCAGAUUUACUUGACGGGCUGGCAAAUCUUUACGUAGAAAGCUAUCAUAUUCUUGCAUGUCUUUGAUGCAUGCUUCAGCAACUUGCUGAACACGUUCAACCAUAAAGCUGCCUUCUGUAUCUAAAAAAAGAACUCAUAGAAUCUUCAGUUGAAAUGCCUUUGGAGAAGCAGUAGCAGAUUUAGUCACACCACCAUGAGUAUUUUGUGUACCGUACUUACCAAUAUAAACUGCUUUCCCUGCAAGGCCACCAUAUUCAAGUGGAAUUUGAACAUUGAUGGCAAGUUGAAUACUGCAUGCUAGUAUAUGUCUUAAUAAGAACCAAAAGGAACAGAACAAAAUUUGUCAAUCAACUGUAAACAGGAACAAAUUCUUACCCAAGUUGUGUUUUACCAAUUCCUGGCACUCCACCUGACAAAAUAGAAAGUGAUAAAGCUUGAGAUUGUCAGCAAUUUGUAGAUGUCCUCUGUCUCGUUCUCUCUCUCUCUCUCUCAAUGAAAGUGUUUAAGGUACCAAACAUGGUAGGAACCACCAUAGAGAUGAUAAAAGACUAACCAAUUUCAGUAACUUCUUUGCAACUUAUUCCUCCACCUAGGAUGUCAUCAAGAUCUGCACAUGAUGUGGUAAUUCUUCUGCAUGAUUCCUCCUCAUGCAACAUGUCCCAGGCGGUCUGUGCCCCUAAACAAGAAGAAAAAAUUAAGAUUCAGUUAGCCGAAUUUUGUGCAUCCCUUGUAAGAGGCCGCAUCUAGCAGACAAAAGAAAUAUCUUACACAACAAGAUCUAUGGUUAACAAAUUCCUUCAUUCACAAUCCUCAGUAAACAAAAUUUACACACACACAAUCGGUGAUACACUUUUACAACUUACUGUGUUGGCAUGCCAGUAAAAUGGUAGAAAAACAAGAAGAUAUUCACAUAUUCACCUAAAAAAAAUCUCAAGUACAACAAAAGUGCUAAUUCGGCAUAGUAGGUGAAUCUUCAGACUAUAUAUUCCAUAACGCGAAAUGUAACAAAGCAAGAAAAAACUAAACAAGCCCAGCAUAUCACUGUAGAUUUGCCCUCCUUAAAAAUAAUAAAAAUAAAAAUUUUGUAGCUCCACGAAACGGAUACAUCACACCUAUUUGGUAAAAGCAAAAGGAAAAGAUUACCAAGUACAAUCCCUUUAUGAUGAUAGUCAUGACUCAUGCAUUAGUGAAGUAAAACAAAUAGAACAACUCCACAGCAACAUCAAAUUCCACAGCAACAUCAAAGGCCCCCCUCAAAAAAAAAAUCACAAUAAUAAUAUAUAAUCAGCAUUGAUAAAUUACUCAAACCAUCAACAAUAGAAUGGUGACUUGGAAUGGUUCUCUCCGGUCCACCCCUUUGGGAUGCCACCUUCAAAAUCCCAGUAGCCUCGUUCUCUGAAAUCCCCAAAUCUAGCCAUUAAACAAGAGAAACCCGUCAGGGGAAAUGUUAUAAAAUAUUCAAAAAUUUAACUCACACUCAUUUAGCGCAAAGAUUAGCUAUUAUCCAACAAUGAGAUGUAUUUGCAAUCAAAUACGAGUACACAAGAAAAAAGAGAAUAGAUGACAUAACAGCUCUAGUAAUACCAACAAGAAGGCAUACCACGGGCGAGGUGGGCGGCGAGAUAGAGCUGAGGGAGGAGAUAGAAAUGUAGCCGGCGGAUAUCAACUUUGCUCUAUGCGAAGCUGAAAUUGGGAGACUCGAUACUUCCAUUCUCUCUCAAAUUUGUCUCAGUGUGUGACUGUGUGUUUUUGUUUAGAAGCUUUUCGCGGUUUUUGUUCAAUUGAGAAUCUGUUCAAAGGGUUUCAAUUUCAAUUCAAGUGCUGCUGCAAAGGAAGCAUUCACAAUACUUAAACGCUGCGUUUCAGAAACAUUAUAAAAGUUUCUUCGGCCCAGAGACUCUACCAAGCUGGCCCGAAUCCGUUGAACUCGUCUUAAUUAGAGAAAGUUCUGGUUUGCUGUAAAAGGUUGAUAUUGAUUUUGUUUCCUAUCGUUCGGCCGCUGCUACAUACGCGCAUCGCAGCAGAAGGCUUAUUUCAUUGGGCCCGAGUUUUAUUCACUCUUGAGUCUUGACCAGUUUGAAUUCAUUCAUCAUUUAGGGUCCGUUUGGUUGGACUGACAAUAUUUUCCCUAGGAAAAUAUUUUCCAUCGAAGCCACUUUCCUGAAAAAUCAAUUCCUUCCCCAAAAUUUUCCAGUGUUUGGUUAUUAAGUGAAAAUAUUUUCCAAAUUCCUUUUUUAUAAUUUUUCAGUGUUUGGUUUGUCAAUCAAAAACCUUAUUCAUGGUACAGAAUUAGAACUAUUGGUACGUAAAAGCACCCUAAUCAAGUCUAGAGUGACUCAAAUCCCUGCUUUAAAUGUUGUCGGCCUCAGUUGGAUCAAAAAUCUGGAACAAUUCAAUACAUACAGAGGCAAAUAUAUGCCAAAAUAUAAAAUAUUGCUCAACAAAAACAAAAAUCACAUCUCCAAAUGGAAAAUGGUCCCAAAAAUAUCAGUUGCCCAGGCAGUAAAUCAUGGUUACAUCAUUAAUAGCACUGAAGAUUAUGUCCUUAAUAGCAGAGAUCUUCUGAUCUGUGACCGAUUGUGGAGAGAUGUAUCCCCUAUCAAUCUGCAUGUCAAAAAGAAUACUAACCAAGUCAUAUUUAAAUCACAAUUAUCAAGUAAACAAAACGCAAAGCAGGGGAAAAAGAUUUUCAUAUCAAGACUUGGGAAAGGCAUGGGGAAGCAGCUCGAACAGACCUCCAUUCCUUCCUCCACAUUGACUGUAGUCUCAAAGGAAGAGGAUGACUCAAUGGACAAGACACCAUCAGGUCCAACCUUGUCAAUUGCAUCAGCAACCAUGAUUCCAAUAGUUUCAUCAUUUCCAGCAGAGAUAGUAGCAAUGGCUGCAUAUAGAGGAAGAAAUACAUCAAUACGAAUUUCUCUGGUGACAUCAAACUAGGAACUAAAUGGACAAUACAUAUGGAUCCACAUCAUAAGAGCCAAAAGAUAUACCUUUGAUAUCUUCACGACCUUUAACUGGCCUGCCCUUUUUCUCUAGCUCAUCAAUCAAACCUUGUGCAGUGGUUUUUGGGCAUGAAGAAUGAGAAUCAUGGGACAAUAACUUCACUCAUCCAUGGUUAUAACAGGCAAUGAUAAAUUUUUAGGAUUGUUAUCUCUGCAGAGCACUCCCUGCAACGGUAUUAGCAUAUAGAUACAGGGGCUGCUAAGACGUGGACGUAUCAAAGAGCGGCAGAAAUAAUUAGACACGAUACAAAAUGAACAAAAACAUUUAAUAGCUCCAAUGCCUCUCACGCAAACAGCUUUUCAGUACCGAUAGUUAAUAUUUGGAUGCCAGUACAACCAUAAAUAAUACAAAACCAUGACAGAAAAGGAUGACCAUAUUCAAUAUUACAGUUGAGACGAGAUUUUACAAGAGCGAAAUCUCAAAUGUUAAAAAGUUACAGCUCAACUGAGCUUGAAAGUGCCCUGCGGGUACUAACAUAAGCCUCCACUAGCAAGAAACUGCUGACUGAGAGUUUCAUUUCAAGGCAGAUAUCUAGUUUAAUAUAUACACUUCAGAAAGAUCUGUAUUCAAGUUCAAAAUUCUUCGAUCAACUGAGUUCCUAGCUAACUAACUUACAUCCUUUCGUCGGUCUAUUUGUGCAAAUAAACUAGCCUACUGUGUGACUAAGAAGCUACUAACCAGUUUCAUGUCUUAAAUAUCCAUCUUGAGUACAAUAUUGUUGACAUUGCUCUCCUGUAAUUUCUCCAGCGCAACAACCUCAGCCCGAUAAGCUGCUGCUGCAGCCGCUGUCCUUGCCCUCUCUCCUUGAGGAAGUUCACAUGCUUCGCUGAGAGAACCCAAUCUCAACUCAGCAGGUGGAAUGAAACACUCUCCCGACAGACCAGGAGCAUUAAAGGCUACUUCCUCGAUGGUCCAUGCUUCUUCCAUCCUGGUUUUGGUAUGACUCAUUGCUGUAUCCCGAACCUGAAAAGGAUAACCACUGAUCGCCCAGAGUGAGCAAUCACGAUCCCCUCAACAGGCUCACCAGAUUGUAAGAAAACACUACCCUACCCUACCCUACCCGGAUUCUGAUUCCAAGAAUCAUAAAACCCCCAAAACUCAGCAGCCAAAUUAAUUCAUUAGCAUCAAUCAAAUCAGAUUUAACACUAAUCAGAUAAGAACAAACUAAAACAAAAGCAAUCCACAAAUAUUCAUUCAAAUCCAACUUCAAGAAUCUACACCAGUAAUUCUAGACAAUUUUUCAAAAAAAGGGAAAAGGGAAAAAAAACUAAUAAGAGAUCAUCAUACCUCUGGAAAUACUUAAGGAGUCUUCACCUUUGUUGAAAAUGCUAUUGUAGGAACGGGAAUGAGAUGUCGCUGCCAGAGUGGGAUGAGCCGUUGAUAUUGGCCGCCGUAGUUGGAGAUGCCGCCGGCGAAGAAGGGAUUUGUUUGCUGAUGAGAUGUCGCUGGAGAUGGUUUGUUAUCACUGCCCCGAAGAAGAGACUGGUCUUUCAUCGAUGGUUCCUUGCUUGAGGCUGUGAAAAGAAGACUGCUUUUACGAGAGUGAAGUUAUUUUCCUCUCGUAAGUGCAACUUAUUUUUCUCUCAGAAAUUAUUUUUCUAAAUUAAUUGACAACCAAAUAAUCAAAAAUAAGGAAAAUGUUUUCCAAAAAACCUUUUUCAUCCAAACAAACAGACCUAAAAUUGUUGUUCAUAUGGGCUCUUUUUAUUUAGUUAACAAGAAUCAUAAUCAUAUUAGUAAUAGAAUUAGUUCAUAUGCUUUAAGCAUCAUUCAAAACGAGAAAUUUGAAUUUCUUAGUAUCAGCAUCAUUCAAAACGAGAAAUUUGAAUUUCUUAGUAUCGAAAUACACUGAUUGUAUAAUUUCAUCGAACCUUUACUAGAAACUGUAAAGCUUUUGUUAAUUUAUAAAAUCACUUACCGUUCCGAAAAAAAAAAUCAUUUCCAGCGAACAUGUCUUUUUCUUCUUUGAACACAAUUAUUCGUUCGUAUACGUCCACAGAAUCCCUGAACAGUUUAAAAUACUCAAAGGUUGUCUCGACAACUUUGCUGAUGCUAGAUGACUCUGUUUCUUCUGCAAAAGCUGGGAAGCUUUCUAUUCCUUUGCUGUUAGAGUACAAAUACUUGAUGGUAUAUUGGUAUUGAUAACAUAACGCACUCUAGCAAUAUCAAUUCCCAAUGCAUAUGUCAACCCGGUAAGGUAUUCUGUAGCGUACAAGAACUAAACAAACUGAUAUUGAACUUGGCAGAAUUAUCUCUAAUGCAUGCGUUGCAGUUUUAGAUUUCCAGCGUAGCUAAAAUGCAAUUUUCAUCUCUAAGUAAGUGAACGUUUGAUCAAUUGAUACAACUGCACAUGGGGGAAAAUUGCACUCUACAAACCAAAAUUUAUGAAGCAUUAUGCUUGUGCAUGUACAGAAACACAGUGCAGAUAACUGAAUAAACUCUUUUACGUCCUGAGAUGAAAUAAGACCAAGUUGUUUAAAUUGCAGAGAUCCGGGGCUUGUGUGGAUUUAUAUGGUACGAGUGUUAGCUAGUUAAUUGAGGGCAUAAAAGCACAAUACCAAGAAAUGUUGAUGGUCAAGAGGAUUUCAUUUUCUUCAUGAAGUCUUCAACCCUUGUAGCAGCAUCAUGCUCUUGUUUUGUCUAAGUUCAUCCAGGAGCAAGCGACAGGUAACAUAUCGAGGGGUUAUGUCUUGAGCUAUCAUUUUCGUGAAGUAAUUAUAUGCCUCUUCAGGUUUAUUUACUUUGCACAGCCCAUGGACCAGAAGUGCAUAAGUUGACAAAUCAAAACUCAGAUGAUGCUUGCUAGACAUCUCAUCCAGCAGCAUACUCAAGCGAUCAUCUUUGUUUCCACCUUUAAAGCAUGCCUUGAGCAGAGGAAAAUAUGUCUGCACUUCAGGCUUACAAUAAGUCGACUUUUCCAUAUCCCUGAGAAACUCCAACGCCAAUUCUUCUCGUUCCUGCUGACAAAGCAUUGAAAUCAUUGUAUUGUACGUUGAUGUACUUGGGCAACCCCCAUCUGGGGCAUUUCUACCUUGAAAACAUGAAUAGCAUCACUAAUUCGUCCAGCCCUGCCUAAAGUAUAAAGAAAAGCAUUGUAGAACAGUGUAUCAGCUUUACAUCCAACAGAUUUCAUUCUAUCAAUUAUCCGCAAGGAUUCCUCAAGUGCCCCAGACUUCGUUAAUGAAUGCAUGAUUGUGGUGAAAGUCACAACAUUUGGGGUGCACUUUUGAUCUUUCAUUUCAUCAAGCAGCUCAUACACCCUACUGAAGUUAAAUUGAUGGCAGUAGAACUGAAUAAUGGUUGAGUAGCUGAUAACAGUGGGCCGAAAACCAUGACCUUUCAUCUCUUCAAUUGUCCAGUGUGCCUCUUCGACCCUAUUAAUUUUGCACCAACCAUGAAUAAAUAUGUUAAAAGUACGAGCAUCUGGGGGGAUGUGCGAUUUAAGCUUCAAGAAAAUUUCCCGAGCCUGCCCAACUUUUUUCUCUUUGCAAAGUGUGUCAAAUAACAAAUUCAUGGAUUCUGUAUUCUUCUGCAACCCGAACUUUUCCAACUCAUCAAAUAUCCUUACAGCAUCUUCCCACUCUCCUGCACCAGCAAAUCUUCUCAUAACCUUUGCUAUGGUACUAAGCGAGACAAGAUGAGCCAUGUUCAUUUCAUCUACAAAAGCACACAUCUUUUCCAUCUGUUUCAUUCUUCCCAAUGUGUCCACCACUUUAUCAUAUAAAUUUGGCAAGGGCUUAUAGCCUCGAUGUAAUUCUGCCCAUCUGAAAACACCCAAUGCAGACUUCCAAUCAUCCUUUAACCUGUGCAGCAGCCUAUUAAUAAGUUCAUCAGUUAUCUUUGUAGCAUCACAAGCAGGGUCUUGCAUGAGAACCUGAAAAACCUCAUCUUCACUGUUUACACCAUUAAUUUUAUGCAUAAGAAGAUGAAAAUCGAAAUCUCUUUUCAAAUCUAUGCAUUCUUGUCCCUGAUCAAAAUCCCUUUCUCGAAUGAAAUGGUACUGCCUCACCAGAGAGUGACUACAGAAGGCAGAAAAACAGCAAAGGUAAUUUCUAAAUAUAACAUGGGAAGUGGCUUGGUUUACCGUUGCAAGUAAUAUAUUCUUCCUGGAAAUGGUGCUAGACAUAGAAUAUCACGAAGAAACGUGAAAAAUUGUCUUUCUGCUUGUUCAAUCCAGCAACCCUGCACACCAAGAAAUUAGUUAUUUAAUGAUCCUCAUUUCUUAUAAUCUGAAUACUUAUCAAAUCAUACCACAAACAAGAAUAUUCACGAAUUUAUCAAUCAAAGUGUACAAUUUAACCAAAAAAUGUACAAUCAACGACAUGCCAUUGCCAGCCGAAUAAGGUGCACAUUUGCUAUAUGUAAAAGAGAAGGGAAAUGGAAAAACAAGAAAUGACCAACUUUAAAAAGUGUAUAUAUAUUCCGUAGAAUGCUAAAAUAAAAACAUGAAAACAGUGAUUAGCAACUUGUUCUUUCUAAUGGUUAAACCUAAAACUUCUUACGCGCCAAAGAAACCACAAGGAAAAUGCAGGCAUUUAAGGUGACAUUUCCACGCCGGAAAACAAUAAGCAAUGCUUAUUAUUCAGCAAAAGUGGUAAACAUCUGAAAAGAAAACACAAUAAUGCCGAAGAAAUUUCAGAUUUAUUAUUUCUGUGGACUAACUACAGAUAUCCUCCAAAGUAACAAUCCAUAAACGAAAAGAGAAAAUUUGCAGCCAUUUCCUUACGAAAACUUGAUUAGGACAGCUUGUUAGCAAAGCUAAUAACAAGCCAGAAGUGGAAGAGUAAAUUCAUUAAUGAAAAUGCAAUGGAAGAACGGAGGGAUUACAACCCGUAAAGAUCACAUUUUUCAGGCACUGGGGUUGAUACAGAAGCUAAAAUAAGUAUACAAGCUGUUUGAUCAUAUGCCUCGGACCAAUAAAAUUGGCGAGCGCAUGAACUAUCACUGACACUAAGCUGGCAAAAACUGACAGCUUUGAAAAAUUUAAGCUCGAAAAGUAAAGAGCGGCGGCUUCAGACAGUAGUUUAUUCAAUCGAACGACAGGAAAAAAAAAAAAAGAAAGGAAAACCGCACUUCAUGGCAAUUACGGUUUGCAGAAUUGCAGCUACAGCCACAGCCCCAGAGAAGCAGAGGCAAUGACGUCUGAAAACUUCAAUUAGUAUACCUUGGGUGAAAAGGGAACUACGUCUCCGUAGGGAAUGACAACGGACGGAUUGCCGGCGGUCGCCCGAACUGUACCUUCGGUGAGGAAAUGAGGAAGAGUAUAUUUGUUUCUUGAUGGGAAUAGAAUGUAUUUGGGACGAACAUAAAUAAAAUUUACACACACAGCAAAGUAUUAAGGGCAAAAAGCCUUCUCGAAUUUUAACAAUUUUAUAUUUCUAACUCUUCGACUAUUAGUUGUACAUUUUUUUUGCCCUUGAAUUAUUAAAAAUGUACAUGUACAUCGACGUACAAGGUUAAAUGGAAAGAAAAAGAUUUUCUAUCGAAAUAGUAGAAAGAGCAACUUCAAAUUAGAAUUUUAAACUUUUCACACUCCAAGGAAUAUUUUGGUAUAAAAUUUAAAAUAAUUGGUAAAUUAGUGAUAGAUCUGCUAAUUUUAUUCAGUGAGAUUCAUUAAAAAUAGAGCCAAAUUUGAAAUCUACAUGAAAUCGAAGGCUUGGAAUGUAAUUUGAUCCAAUUUUGACAAUGAUAAUGAUAUUGAAUAAUUAUAGUUGUCAACAAACUUGAUUUGAGAAGGAAUAAUGUCAAAAUGACUUUAUUUUGGGCUAGUCUCAAUAUUUUGAUAUAAAAUUUAAAAGAAAUGGUGAAUGACAAGUAAAAUAAUUGAUAAAUCUACUACUCUUUAUCUAAUGAGAUUCAAUAAAAAUGGAGUGCAAAUUUGAAAUCUAUACGAAAAUCGAAGGUUUUGAAUGCAAUUUGAUCAAAUUUUGACAAGCCAGUGAAGAGUUGCACUUGAUUUGUACGAGAAAGGAGAAUAUAUAUAUUAAAAAAAAAACAUCGUUUAUGAGAUAGUUUCGUUAGAAUUAUCGGGUUCAAAUUUACGAGAGGACUAUAAAUACACGCUUUUAAUAGUUUAUAGGCUAAAAAUAUGCAAAUAAUAGUUAGAGGACUAAAAUUAUAAAAUAGUUGAAGAUUUUGAGAGCCAAAUGGACUUUUUACCCAAGUAUUAAUGUACAUCAUAUGACGUAAAACUAAACUGCACAAUCGUGCAAAAACAUUUACCUGCUCCAAAUCCAUAAUUUUAUAAUACUCAUGCUAAAGUUGACAUCUCCUUUAUUCGUACUUAAAAGGAUAUUUUUUCUAAUGAGCUACUUGGGCCUUAAAAGAUACUAGAUAAAAGGAACAUACACAUGCAUAUUGUUUAAUUUUCUAUUUUACAAUUACCUUUUCUAGCAUUUUUUAGCCAAAUAAUUUUUUUGGUAUAACUAUACAUUUGCAAAUGAAAAUUUGCAAAUAUGAUGCAGCAUAUCAUCCACUGCACGAAUUGUUGAAGAGACCUUGUUUGGAUAGUCAUUUUCCGUCGGAAAAUCACGUCGUUUUUCGUGAUCACAUUUCCCUAUUACCUUUUUUCCUUACAUACGUCAAAUCGCUACAGUAAUUUUUCUAAAAAAAAAUCCUAGAAAAUGCAAUCCAAACACUACCUUUGUCUAAUCUCUAACAUUUUGGCCGCACAGCAUUGCUCUAUAAUUAAAAAGACCUUCUAGGUCCUGUACAAUCCAAAGAUAGAAGGAAGAGUGUAAUAGCUCACUUAACAGAAAAUUGGCUUAUGUUCAUUCUAUCUAAGUCUAAACACUGGUACACAAUGAGCAUUGAAUAACUUAUGCCGUGCUCUAGAAAAAUGUUCCUUGAGCAGAAAAUCUUCUAGGGUAUCAGCGAAUCCACACAUUUAUAUUGACAAGGGAAUACCAAGAACUGUCCCCGCAGAGCCAGUUUCUUGAUAAAAUUUGAAAACUCUUACUUGAUGCAAACGUUCAGCUGGCGACAGUGUGGAGUUGCAAGCUAUAUCCUUCAAAAACAUUAGGGCUUCAGCCAUGACAUCAUUCAUUUGAGAAAGCACCAGUAACCUUCACACUGUGGGCUUUGGCUGUCCUAACAGAGAUGCCUGAACGAGAGAUGUCAGCGACGGAUGAAUCCGAGCCUUUCUCAUUGAUCGGGCAUCACUUCUUCCUUCCGCAUACUCCUCACCUAAUGGCCACCUUGGCCGCAAAUCAAGCUGUUUCAUGCACGACAUUCGUCAACAUAUUACUAUCCAAAAAAAGAUAGAAGCAUAGAUUCUUGCUACUUUUCAAAAUGAAAAUCCUCAAGACCACAUGAAAACAAAAGCAAUGAACCCAACCACCUGUAGAUACUACAUUUCCAACAUAAUUCUUUCAAAAAAUGGAGUUCCUCCAAUCUCCACUUAAGGUAGCCUGAUCCCUUAAUUUGUAAUCAGUUCACGUUUAAACAUGCAAUUCAUUUGUCCAGAUUAACUAAAUAGAGGAAUUUUGAGGAUUGCUUUACAAACCACGUUAACCAAACCUGAAGUAACACAUUUGCCCAAUUCUUUGCUUAUUCAAAGUUCAAGAGAGCAGAAAAUGGAAAUUGACUAAGCUAAUUAGCAUUACGGCAGCAAGUCUGAUCCAUGCGACCACUUAACUUUUUCUCCAUCAACUAAUAGGUUUUGGAAACCCAUAUGAAGUGAGAAGUCAUGAAUUAAUCAACUUCUUCUUUCAUAUGAGAAAAGAGGCAGUAAAGACGAAAAAUAUAGAGCUUACUCUUCUAUUAGAGAUAUAGCAUCCAAAUCAAACAAAUUCUAGCCAAAAAAAUCUUUAAAAAUCCAAAUGAAAGCACCAAAAUGACAAAACCUGGGCAUCUUCAGGUUCAUUGGCAGGUGGUGGAGGAUCAUAUCUUCCUACCCGGAAAUGUUCCACGCCGGUCCAAGCAAUCAUUACACCUUUCAGAACAAGCCAACAUUAUUCUUCAAGACAAGGCCCAACGUACUAGCUUUUCAAAGUUCAAAUAAUUUAGGGUUAAAAACAAAAAAGUCCCCUGUGAUAUACCUAAUAUACAGAAAAGGCCCACAUGGUUUCAAAACAUACAAAACGACACCUCAUGUUUUGAACUAAAUUAUAAACUAACAGAAUUUGUUAAACUUAACGAAAUGACAAUUUCGCCUGUUAAACUUAACGAAAUGACAAUUUCGCCUGUUAAACUUACCGGAUUCUGUUAAGUUUACCGUUAGCUUUACCGAAUUCAGUUAAAUUUUCAUUAAGUUUACCGGAUAACGAUUUCGUCUGUUAAACUUACGGGAUUCUGUUAAGUUUACCAUUAACUUUACCGAAUUCCAUUAAAUUUUCCGUUCAGUUUACCGGAUUCCAUUAAGUUUAACGAAUUAUAUUAGUUUACAAUUUAGUUCAAAACAUGAGGUGUCGUUUUGUAUGUUUUGAAACCAUAGGGGGUUUUUCUGUGUAUUAGGUAUAUUACAGGGGAUUUUUUUGUUUUUAACCCAAUAAUUUAACAUUACCAAGAUUUGGGCAACUUUUCCACAGAUGCAAAUGAACCCCUACCAGGCCUAAAACAAAUUAAUUAUGUUCUCAAUGAUGGGUAGAUAUCUAACAGAUUACCACCAGAAAUUGAAUGCCGAUGCAGCUAUUCAAUUGAGACUAGCCUAUUCACUUUAUUUUAAAUUGCAAAAGUAUUGUCUGUAAUGAGCACUUGGAUCCAUCCUUAUGUUGUAGUACACGAGCUUGAACCACAGAAACCACACACAAUCUAUCUACAAGUUAUUUGUCCGAAGUUUGUAUUUUUCAACUGCCAGUUAUUAAAAUCAAGUACCUCUGCAAAUUAAUCACUUUUGCAUUUUCUCAAUGUUAACUGAAUUAGCAGGAAAAACACUUAGCACCUUACCAUUAUCAGUACAGAGGCUAGGAGGAGGGCACAAAAGUUGCAGGGCAUUCCUUUCCACUACCUGAUUAAGGCGAGAGCGGACAAACUUGUUUGAAGCAACACCUCCGGAAGCUACCUACGAUGGGAGUAUAAAGAAAUUGCUCUGAGACAAUAUUCAAACCAAUAUAAAGCAACAAAGCGCAUGAAGUCUAGAAUUCGAGAGUACAACAGCGUGGAAGCCAAUUGGGAAUCUUAUUUCACGCACCAAAUACUUCACAGAAGGCUCAAUUUUCAAUGCCCAUUCAAUUGCUCGUUGGCAUUUUUCCUCUAAAUGUAAUACUGCAACUCGCUGCACAAAGAUACUUCGCCAAUGUUUAAAAAAGAGUAAAGCAAUAAAGAAGAAGAUGCUCAUUGAACACUAUUGUUAUAUUAUAUUUAAAGAAAGCAGACAUGUGGAACUAUAUGUUAAAACUUGAUUUUAUUUUCUUUUCAUGAAAUAAAUGCCAAGACCAUUAUCACCUGGAAAGAGGCAGCAAUAUUUGCCCUUGCACCUCUAUCUUCACUACUAGCUGAAGAAAUGGGGAUUUCAGCAUUGCUGCAUGCACAACGUCCAAGGAACAAAAUAAGGUCAGAGGUGAUGGAGAGAAGAGGAACUUUGAACAUCUAAAUGUUGAAAUGAUUGAUUGCUGGGUUAACCAACAAUAGCUGCAGGGACAGAAAUUGUUCCAACUACACGAUUAAUACUUUUUCCAAGCAUAUUCAACAUGAUUGACACAGCUAGAAAAGAAGAUUCUUUUAGAUCUUUUGGCAUAUUUUCCCAGAUAUGCUAUAGUCCACAGCUAAUAUUUCAGCAUUUUAUAUCCAAAUAGAAGAUUCAAAAGGAAGAAUCUGGGACAAGACGUGACCUUCUUAUCAACAGCAAUAAAGACAAUAUUUCUUCAUGGGAAAAACAAUGUUUUUCAUAGGCUAAAAGCACCUACAUAUUCUGUGCUUCGAUUUCCAACCUCACUUGAUUCUUUAGCCCUGCAUAUGAGAAGUUGCAGUCUUUGUGUUGUUUCAUAGGAACCUAACAAACAACCACUUCAAAACCUGAGCUCAAUAUGAAGAUCAAAUUCUGGUCAAACUGUUUCAAAAGAAAACAAAUGACACUUGACAUAAAAUUUCUCCAAACUUACUCUGAAUUUGACUGCUUCUGCAUCUCCCUCAUGAGCUAACUCCUCAAUUGCAGGCCCUCCACUCCUCCUCAUAUCAAGACCAAGCCAUUUUGCAGUCUUGUCAUAUGCCUCCCCAAUUGCAUCAUCAACUGUGGUACCAAGUUGUAUGUAAUGGCCAAGAUCCCGGGCAAGAACUAAAAGGUUGUGUCCUCCUAAUGAUCAAAAUGUUAAAAGUGCAUUGACUUAAUAAGUUCUUCCCCCCAAACCCCCCCCCUUCUUCCCUCUAAGCAAAUUGACUUAGUAAGUUAAACUAGUAACUAAGUUAAAAGGGUCGAAGACUCAAUCCAGUAAAUGACCAAAAUCAUUUCACCUAAGACCCAUGUGCCACUUUACAAAAAACAGUACAGGAAAUGUGUUAGAAUAAUGUAGAGCCCUCUGGAGCAUAAUUCAAGAUUUCUUAAUUUUCAAUCCAGGUAAUUGGUCCUACAGCACAGCUAAUUACUUUUUCUAUUUUUUUUAGCAGAACUCUAGUCUGUCUCAAUUCUUCUUCAAGUGUGUGCGUACUGUAGCAUUGAUGCACAUUUGAAAAUGGGAAAAUAAAUGUGACAAAUUUAAAUGAGUGCUGUGAUUUAUCAUACCUGAGAUGAGCAGGGCGAGAAAAGGGAAUUGCAGUUUCUUUUCUACUAACCUAGAGAGGGGAAAAAAAUUGAAUAAGGCAAAUGAUUUUCAUGAUAAGUUGAAGCUCAUACUCUUUCAACUUUCGACGAACUGAGCAUAGUUGCAUACAAGAUUUUUGAUAGUAAUAGCUACAGAUUUAUUAUUAGAAUUGGAGUGCAAAUUCCAUCCACGCUUUAAGGCCAGAUCUCUUUAUGUUCACCUUUACAGAUGAGGCACCGGAAGACAAACUAAUUGGAGAAAAACCUAAAUCAAUAGUACUUUUAAGUAUCAGGUAGAUUUCCAAGUGAUUUUCAAUGCCUCAUUUCUUCACAAACCAGUUAAGUUGACCCUCACCAUAAGACAAGAAAAAUGAAAGUCAUAUCUCAUUAAGCACAUUGAGUAAUAGAAGUCUCUUAAAUGGACAAAAGAAGGAAACGAAAAGGUCAAAACAAAGGUCUAUCUUGUAAGCUUUUCUUGCAGAGCUCACAUCUUGCCACCAAAUACAAUUUUCUCCUCAGUUUAUUUAGUUCGUCUUUUCUACCACAUCAAUCAUAGCCAUUACAUUACUGAAUUCUCAAUUAGUGGCUGAAAUCAUGAAUGAUCCCCCCCCAACCCACAAAACAAAAAAGAAGAACCCACAAAUUUUCCAGGAACAUGCAACCAAAAAUCAAACUGAAGCCAUUUAGCAAAGGAAAUAGCAAGAAGAUGCAAAAUUUAUAUAUUGGCUUACAAACAACACAUAAAGCUAUUGUAUUUUACUCAACUAUCUGAUAAAAUUUCAGGGGAAAAAAGGCAACAUGGCUAAAGGGCAACCAUGGCAUUGAAUUCAAAAAAGUAACACUCCUAAUAUGCUUUUAAAACAAUUUACAGUAAUAUCUUAAAAAAUGUGAUUUUGAGUAUGAAUUGAACAUGUAUUACCUAGCUACUAAGGCAUGUGCUUCCAUGUGGUGCACCCCACUAUGGGUAGAUUCAAUCUGCCAGCAAUUUUCGAGCCUUUUGCACACCAACUACAUGUGAAUUGAAGAAAGGAUGUUUAAGGAAUUUUAUCAUGUUGCUCUUUGGCAAACAAACAUCUAAAUAACAUGAUAGAAUUGUCAUUUGACAUCUUAAACAUACAAUGAUCCCUGACAGGGUUUCACAAUUUCAUAUGGUCUAAGGUUAAUGCUUAGGGAAACCAAAUGGUUUAUCAAUUAGAACCACAUCAUCUCCAGAAAAUUCAAUCAAGUUGAGUUCUGGAGUUUUAAAUUAAAAAAAAAAAAAAAUUACCACGCAAACAAAGGCUUAAACCAGGACCAAUAGUGACUGCAACUGCAGUAAGCUCCUUCUCAGUCAGUUGAGCUUUAUCUAAGGCUUCCUGUACUACCUGCAAAAUAAAUUAUUAUACUUGGAAGAACAAACAAGAAGAGUAAAUGAAAGAGUUACAACUCUUAUUUGAUAAUACACUUUAAGCCAUGGAUAUAUCUUCUUUAAAAUUCAAAACUGAAGCAGGAAAUCCUAAAUAGAAAUUCAGAAACUAAUUCAAAGCCACUUAACUAUUAUCAUGAAAAUAGCGUAAGGUAAGAAAGAUACAGCUAGCAACCACAAUCUCAAGAAAGCUGUUCUAGUAGAUCAUGGAACUAAAAGGAAACAAAUCAAUAAUGAUGAUGAUAUAGUUCUGCAACAAAAGCAAAACUGAAGAUAAACAUAAUUGCCAGAACGCUGACAGCAGUAAAAAAGGCAACUCCAGUUAAAGACAUGUCUUUUAAUUUUUUUUCUUUUUUUUUGGUUGCGAAUAAAAUCAAGCAACAAACUUAGUUCUUCUAUUACAUGAAACACAAAAGCAGAGUUUGAAAGCCAGAAAUGGCAAAUAUCAUAAACUACACAAAAAACACAGAGAAGGAUUAAAAAUCAUAGGCAGCAUACUCAUGUCUAGAUUCUGUACCUGAUCAAUUACUUGUGCAUGUGCUUGUUCAGCCAUUUUAGGUGCAACCCCCCAUAGCGAGCAAGCAGAUCCGCCUUCAUAUCAUUAGAAUUCAUAUUCAAUACAACAGAUACCACAGUUGCAAAAACAAAGGAUGGUUUGUAUUGCUUGGGAAUUUUAGUAUAAAGAACACACAGAAAAUUUGUUUCUACUAUUUGGGGAGUAAUGUACAUAGACAAUAGUGACAGCAACUUGAUUAUAGUAUAAACCUGCACUAAGUUUAUAACCCAGCUUUCAUGAAUUAAGAUUAAAUUUUAUUAUUACAAAAGCUAACUUAUAGUACUUUGUAUCUUGACAUGAUUAAGCACAACAAAAUGUCAAGAUCUAUACGAAGCUUAGAGUAUAACAACUAUCAAGAAUAACAAUACAUUUACAGUAAGAACAGAUAUAUGUACUUGUACUAAGAUCAGCUACCAUCAAAGUUUUAUUCCCGCUAAACAAGAUCACAUUUUUUAUAUUAUGAAAGUAGCAAGAGCCAGCAGAAUCUUUCAUGCUUCUCAAUAAUUCUCAAUCACAAGCGCGUCAAUUGAACUAAUGCACAUAAGCAAAAGCCUAUACUUUUACUUACACAAACCUAUAAGACAAUACCUGAGAAGCCACAACUUGGCUCAGAAUCUCACCACUGCUUCGAACCUGAAAAUCCCAAUAAACAAAAAACAUGUUAUUUAUUCUGUAAACAUACAGAACCCCCUUCAAAAAAUGUUGCACCAUACAAAAGAGCGAAAAGAUAUUCAUAACCUACAACAGCAGCCGCAGUAUCAUCACAGCUGGUUUCAAUGCCCAAAAUGACUAAAUUAUCAUCUGAGGAUAAUGGGUUUGCUUUUGGACUGCUGCUGAUUUAUUGGAAUACGAGGAAACUAAAUGGGGCGGACUAGAAUUGAGUGGAAAAGCAGAGGAGAGAGGUGGCAAUACAGGUCUGCUUGGAAUUCUCAAAGCUUUGAAGGCUCUAAUUGUUACGUAUUGAGUGGUUUUGUGAAGUAGGUUUAGGCGCCAAGAAAUUCUUGAAGAUAGGGUCGGUACCAACCCCGUCAUCUCCAAGUCCCGCCCAGGUAGGGUGAGUGAGUGACCUGAUCUUCCUUGGUGUGCCGGUGACCCCAAAGUAGGACGUAGAUUUACAUCUGGGCGGAAUUGCAAAUUUCCGGGUUCAUUGGUUUUAGAAGCAAAUAAUGCGAAUUUUACGAUUAAACCUCUGUCAAAGAGCUAUGGCAAUUUUAAAAUGAGACACUAACGGCAUUUCAAUAUUGUUUAAUUUCCUGUCUGUUCUUUUUUUUUUUUGGUCAUUGUCCUUUUCCUUUCACUUUUUCUUACUUUUUUUUUAUUGUUACCUUUCAUUACUAGAGAAUUUUUCUUUUGAAAAAACGAAAAUUCUAGCCAAGUUCACAUUUUUGCUCAACUAAAACUACUGUGUCACAGAAAAAAAAAGUAUUAUUUAGACUUUUUUGGGACAAAGAGGAAUACUAACAAUACCAAAAAUACGUUGAAUUUGACUAAAAUAUGUGCAAUUUUUGUUCAAUUUUACUAUCAGUGUCUUAUUACUGUUGACAAUUCAUCAAAAAAUUGACUGAAAAAUCAAACAAAAACAAUUUUAAUACAAUCAAAUUGUGUCAUUAAUUAGAUAUGGUUUAUUGUUUUAAACUAACUAAACCAUUUCAAACUUAAGUUGUAUUGCUCGAUUUUGGUUCUUGACUAUCAAAAAUUAAAAGUUUGAAAAACUAAAGUUCUUUUUUUUAAAUAAAAAUGCUGUAUUUAAUUUUGUUUUUCACGAUGCACUGGAAAAAUAUAGUGAUUUGAGUGCUAUUAGGUGUUGAGAUCUUUCCUUAGAUAAAUUAGAAAUAUUUGCUUGGAAAUUGCAAUGACGUAAUUUGUGAGUUGCUCUCUAUUUUUAGGGAAUUGAGAAAGAUCGCUAAUUGUUAAAAAUAAAAAAAUGAAGAAAGGAUAGCAAAAUGACUUUCAAAAGCACUAGAACAAUAUGCAAACUCAAAGGAGUUUUCUGUCAAGAAAUGAGGUUAAUGAAACAUUCGAAGUUGUGUGGAUCUUUUACAAGGGUUUUCGGCGGAAUGGUAUAAAAAGUAGAAGUGGUCGAUUAUGUCGCCAAGCCUGUUUUGAUUGAUCAAUAAGUAAAGGCUGAAAAACCAAAUUAAAGUGCUAUUGCAAUGGCUGAUGUUAUCGAGUUAUUGUUAAAAGGAUUAAUCGCACUUUAUCCCCUUUUAAGUAUAGGUCAUUUACACUUUAUCCUUCAACAUUUGUUUUUUGUCAGUCUACCAAAAAUUAAUGGUCAACUCUAAUGGACAUAAACAGAAUAUUGAAAAGACAAUAAUAUCCUUAUGAAAAUAUUGAACAACCCAAAAAUGCCCAUAUAUAUUGGUUUAUGAAACGCAAGUUUUCAAAAUUACCCUGAAAUAAUGGAGGAAAAUUUCCUUCCAUUUGCACGGGACAGAAAAAGAAAAAGAAAUUAGGGAACACAAAAGGUUCCCUUUUGUUAUUGUCGGGUCACUUUCUCUUCCUUUUUGCCAUUGUCGGGUCACUUUCUCUUCACUUGUGCCCGAAGCCUCAGCAAAACCUCCAUUAAAAAACUUGAAAAUUCACCAGUAUCUUGAAUGGAAAAACGGGCAAUCGAUGAAGUUGUUAGCUGACGGCAGAAUUGAAUUUGAAAUUGUGAAAGGAGAUUCUGAGAGCUUGGGCAACCCUUAAGGUUAGAUUUUGCAAUUUUUUCUCGAUUUUAGAAAUUUCUAAUUUUUAAUCAAUUGUAUUGCACAAAAACAACGAUAUGGUUUUUUUAAUGGCUACAUGGGCUUUAACGUGUAGACAAUUAUUUGUUUGAAAUCUAUUGGUGUGUCCCUUGAAGUUCAUAACAAGUCAUUAUCGGGUUAUGAUGAAAAUGAUGGGUUUUUAACAACUUUUGUUUUUUUUAAUUAUUAAUUUGCUGGAUUCUUUGUUUACUUUGGAUGGUUAUAUGUCAGCUGUUACAUAGACAAACUAGGAUUUUUUAUUUUUGUGGGACAAUAAAAGAUGCCUGCUCUGUAUUACCUGUGCAUGCACUAAAAAAGUUGCCUUUGUGUGAUUACAGAAGAAUGGAUUUUAAAACCUAUGUUUUAUAGGUUCACUACGGAGGCCAUUUUGCCCAUGUCCCAAAUUUACAGUGUGUGCGGAAGAAUUUGCUAAUUUUGAUGAUGUUGACCCUGAUUUGAUGUCAAUUUUUGAGUUAAGAGAUGCUUUUAAAGACGUUGGAAUUUCACAUGAAACAGAGGUGUGCUAUAGGGUUAGGAAUCUUGACCUUGAGGUUGGUCUUAAACUGUUAAACAGUGACCAGAUAAUUCUAGAAAUGUUUGAGGCAAAUAGAACUCAAAGCAUCAUACAACUUUAUGUUGGUGAGAUCCCUGAAGAAGAUUUGCAUGCUGAUGGAACUAUUGUAGAGGAUAAUAUUGAGGUUAAUGGUGAACAAAAUCUAAAUCCUAAUACUGAACAACCCCAAAAUGAUGAGGCCGAAAGUGAUACUUCAGAUGCUUCACAUAAAGGUGAUAGGGAUGGUUGUAGGGAAGUUGAAUAUGACUCUGACUUUGAUUUUUUCCUAGAUGGGGAUGAUUUAAAUGAUACAUGUGACUCUGUAGAUGAUGUAGAGAGGGAUGGUGGUGAAGUAAAUUGUCACCUAAAACAGCCUGAAUAUAUUAAGUAGUGGAACUGAUUAGUGAAGAAUAUAAUGCAUACCUUAACUCCAAAGGGAAUGGAAAACUGGUCGAUGAUGACGAUGUUAGUGAUGAUGAAAUACUUAAACCAGAUUAUGAUUCAAAAAUGAAGGCAUAGAGCAUGAAUUUCCUUGAGUUUAACAUGGAAAGGGAUCUAAAAAAUCUUGAGUUGACUGUAGACAGAAUUUUCACCAACAUUAUGAUUUUAGAGCUGCAGUUAGAAUAUAUUCAAUUUUGAAUGGGUUUGAAGUUACCUUCACUAAGAAUGACAAAGACAAAGCUGUGAUUAUAUGUGCAAAUAAAUGUGGAUGGAGAAUAUAUGCUAGUGGCUAUAAUGGAAGCAAAGUUACACUUCAAGUGAAGUCCAUUAAAGGCGUACCUCAUAGAUGUCCAUGGUCUUUCAAGAACAAGAGUGCAAAUUCUAGGUGGCUGUCUAGGAUGUUUAUAGAGGAGAUUGCUGAUCAUCCGGAUAUGAAAGUAAAAGGGUUCGAGAAGAGCAUAAAAAAAAUAUAUAACCUGAACUGUACAAACUCUCAAAUGCAUAGAGCAAGAGAGAAAGCAGAGGAAGCACUGAAAGGGUCAUGUGCAAAGUAGUAUGCAAGAUUAAGAGACUAUUGUGCUACACUUUACAAAGAAAUCCAGGUUCAGUGGCAUUUAUUCUAACUGAAAAAUCCCAACUUUGUAAAAGCCCAAUCUUCAAGAGAAUAUUUGUUAUUUUACGCACAAAAGGAAGGUUUUAUAAAUGUAUGUAGGCCUGUAAUAGGAUUAGAUGCAUGUCACCUUAAGGGGAUCAUGGGAGGGCAGCUUAUGUCUGCAAUUAGUAGGGAUGCUAAUAACCAAAUGUUCCCAAUUGCUAUGGCUCUUGUUGAGUCUGAGUGCAAAGAUAGUUGAGGUGGUUUUUGGACAGUCUUACUGAUGCCAUUGGGACUCUAUGAAAAGGGUUGGGUAUUUCUAUCAGAUAGACAAAAGAUCAGCACACUACAAUCUGAUUUACUUUCCUUUAUUCCUCACUCACUCCUUUCACUAAUUCUGUGAUUUAUGUUUUUAUGUCAGGGAUUAAUUGAUUGCAUUGAGAAUAAGUAUCUUGCAGUGGAACAUCGAUUCUGUGUUAGACACAUGUAUGCUAACUUCAAACUGAAAUUCAAGGAUAUACCUAAGAGAUUUAAUGUGGGGGCAGCUAGGCUUAUUUACCCUGUCACUAUGAAAGCAAAAUGAGAGAGUUGCAAUUAGUAAUCCCAGAAGCACAUGCAUGGCUUAGUUCCAUACCAGCUAACCUAUGGACCAGACACACCUUUUCUCCAAGGACAAAAUGUGACCUUUUAAGUAAUAAUAUAUGUGAGAGCUUCAAUCAAUACAUUAAGGAUGUUAGGGAGGAACCCAUUUUGACUAUGUUUUGAAGCCAUUCAAAGGCAAAUAAUGUGCAAAUUUCAAGAAAAAAAGACUGGAUUCAAAAUGUGAAGUCUCAUAUUUGUCCGAGAAUUUGUCAGAAAAUUGAAGAGAGGAAAAAACAGGUAGCUCAGUUUGAUGCACUUGUGUCUACAAGAGAGGUGAUGAGGGACUGGUAUAGUAGGAACUUUUGCUGUUAAUGCAAUUCAAAGGUCUUGCACAUGUAAUGAGUGGGAUAUGACAGGAAUUUCAUGUGUCCAUACAUGUGUUGGACUUGUGCCAAGACAACAAAAGCCCAUAUGCAUAUGUUGAUAAUUGUUACUCAGCGGAAACAUAUAAAAAGGCAUAUGCUAGUGUUAUUAUGCCUAUGUCAGACCAAACAAAUUGGGUGAAUGCUAGCAAUGACACAUUACUCCCAUCUCAUAAGAAGAUAGCCCAGGUAGACCUAAAAAGUUAUAAGAAGACUCUAUUGGAGGACUUAUAUGUUGGAAAGCUGUCUAAAGUAGGGCUGCCAAUUCAUUGUAGUCAUUGUGGUCAUAAUGACCACAAUGCCAGAAGUUACAAGGUCACUGAUUGUUCAUUUGUGAGGCAAAAAAAGCAAGUGAAUGCUCAGGUAACUUCAAUCAAUAUAUGCUACUUGGUUAUUUUCUAUCUACAUCUGACUGUCAUUUUUGAUGUGUCGCAAGGUACAAGGGUCUACUAAACGAGGGAGGAGCUCGUAGGACACUCUAGAAAUGCUGAUACUGAUGUUGAGAGAAAUGUUGAUGCUGAUGUGUAGAGGAUGCUGAUGGACUAAAUUUACUACUGCAAAAGGCCCAAUUAGAGCUAAAAUGAGAGCGUAGAGUUACAGGCAGGGGUAAGGGUAGGGAUUCAGACCAUAAUAAUGACCAAACUAUGUGGCAUUGGACUUUGGAAUGGCCAAGGGAUAUCAAUAAGUAAAACAUAUAUCCCAUUUGAGUCUAACAUGGUGAGUUUCUUUUUAUUUGUAUGUAACUAAUUUAAUUUUAGACACUUGCACUGAUUAAAAACUACUUUUAUUAUGCAGAUUCCAAGUACUUCAAAAACUGGCCAGCCCCCUCCAACCCAACUGGUAAGCCUACAUUUUAAAACUCUGCAUGCAUGGCCAUUUUAUACAUGCUCACUUAUUGUUUCCUAUUGAUGAUAUAAUGGACAAGAACACCUACAUCUGGUGUCAAUUUGAGUACAACUACUGCUGUUGCUACACACCAUUCAAAAGCAACCACUACAAUAACAACUAAAAGACCAAAAACCAAGUUGGGUGAUGCUAAAACUGAAAGUUCUAAAAGCAAUUCAGGUGCUGCUAAAACUGGAAUGGUGAGUUCAAGUCUUUUGACUAUGUUUACAUGCUACCACCCCUAACAGUAGUUUGAUGCACUAAGAUACCCCUCAUCCAUGACUCUAGUUUCAAACCAAGAGUACUAGAUUUGGAGAAGCUGUGUUCUCUACCCAAGGAUCUUCAACUGCAAAUGGACGUUCAACGUUAUACGCAUACCUGAAUGUGUUUUGAUGUGAAAUAGUGUUGUUGUUGCUAUUUUUGUCAUUACUAGUACUUGAUUGCUUGUUUUGCAACAAUGUUAGAAAUUCUGAUGUUGUUUUUCUUUUGCCAUUAUUUGACAUGUUCUACGAUCAUGUUUUGGUUAGGUUCUACUAAAAUGGCCUUUGUUUGGGUGGCCAUGCAGACACAUGCUACGAUGCUAAUCUAAUAUACAAAAUGCUUUUAAUUUAAUAUAAUUUUCUUUCAUAUAUAUUUGCUUACAACUAUGGUAGAUAAAACAGAUUUUUGUUACCUUUGGUUCUGAAAUAGAGUACAUAUACAUAAUGCUAGCAAUCAGAAAUGUAAUGGCUAAUAUUUUUCUCCAUGAUGAAGAUCGAGCCAGCUUUGACCAUCAUGUAUGUUAUUGUAGCUGUUGGUUUUCAACUCGUAAGACAUAGACUUCUGUUUCUAAGGCUUCAUAUCUGCUUUUCAAUUUUUCAUGCUCCCUUUGUAAGUACAUUAGUUUCUCUCUUUUCGCUCCACCAGUUUAGAUUGCAGCACUGCACUUACUUCUUUUGUUUUGCUACAAACUUCAGAUCUACCCAUGAAAAGUGUCCACAUGCGUGUCGGAUCAAAAUAAAAAAAAUUAGUUGUUUAAACUCUUUCUAACUUAUUCAGGUAUAGAGCAAAAUUAAAGACAAUGUUAAAAAUUAUUAAUGAAAAAUUUUUACAUUGUAAUUUGAAUAGUCUUAAAAUUUUCUUCCCGAAUUUUUAAGUGUCCAAGAGGCAAGAGGUGCACAAUGAUGUCUCUUUCCACAUCCACAUAUUUUUUGGGGUGAUCUUUCAACAUUAUUUGAAGCACUUUUGAUAUUUUAUGAUGCUUUUGGUUGACAAAGAGAAAUUUUAGGAACUUUGAAGAGAAAUUUUAGAACUUUGGAAUAUGCUAAAAUGUAUGACAAAAAUUGGCUGCAAAAUACCACCUUUAUAGAACCCAACCAACGGCUUUUUGAGGGAAAAGUAGGCUAAAAGCAUCAGACACCAUUGAGGGGCAUUUUUGUUAGCCAAAACCAACAGCCCUUUUCGUAUAGCAAUUUCAAAAUCUUGAAAUUUUUAACGGUGCAAUUGCUGACGGAGGGAGUAAACUGACGAAAAACAAACGUUGGGGGGUAAAGUGAGAAAUGACUAUACUUAAAAGGGAUAAAGUACGAUUAACCCUUGUUAAAAUCCCCCAGUCCCUUCAAACCAACUGCGCAAGAUUGAGAUGUACAGAUCCAACAGAGUCAAUAUCCAAGGAAACUUAUGCCUGCAAGUGACGGAGUCAGGAUUUUUUUGGGGGGCCAAAUUUUUUUCUAAUAAAAUUAUUUUAAUAUAUUAUGUUCAAAAUAAUUUUCUUCUUUUUAAAUAUAUGACAUCUAAAAAUAUCAAAUAUUAAACUUAAUUAUAAAGGUAUGUUUAUUCAUAAAAUGCGGUAUACUCAUAACAAAAAUUAAUAAAAAAAAUAACUUUUGAUUAAAUAUCUUGUAACAUCACAAACCAUCCAAUUUGCACAUUAUGAGAAGAUGCUCUCCAAUGUGUCACCUAUGCAAUAUAUAUAUAUAUAUAUAUAUAUAUAUAUAAUAUAUAUAUAUAUAUAUAUAUAUAUAUAUAACCAUGUAAUAUAAUGUAACUAUUUUCAAUUGAAAAAAAUAAAAGUUAUGUUAACAUAAUUUGAAAUUUCAACAUCUUUUCUAAGAAGUAAAUUGAGUUCUACGCUCUUUCAUAGAUAGAACUAAAUGCAUUUAUAAUUGAAUCACUGCUAAAUUUUUCAGCAAUUUCAUUUUCUAUAUACACAGUUAAACAAUCAUUCAAGAAAUUAUCUUCCAUCUUGUUUUGGAACUUUAUUUUGAUUAUUUUCAUAAUUGAAAAUACCCGCUCUGUAGUUGCAGUUAAUACAAGAAAGUAAGAACACAUCUAAUCAAUCUGUCAAUAAGAGAAUAUAUCACUGAUAUUCUUGUCUUCACCAAGUCUUGACAUAACUCAUGAAUACCGAAUAAUUCUUGCAAUUCAGGAUGACUUGGAAUGUCGAGUUCAAAAAUAUUGAAGUUCUAUUCUUAGACGUACUAGUUCUUGCUUUUAACAAUUAUAAAUUGGGUCUUUUUAGCCCAUUAACAAUUAUGAAUUGGAUCUUUUUAUUCUAAUACAUCACAUUGGGUCAAUUUACUAUGGAACAUCAAAUUAUAUGUUUAAUUUUUGAAAGUUAAAUAAUUAGUACAAUAAAAAAUAAAUAACUUUUUUUGAAGAAAAAAAUUAAUUCAAAGAUGACUAAUUCAUAUAUAUAUAUAUAUAUAUAUAUAUAUAUAUAUCAACUCUCAUAAUAUAAACUAAAAUUGUAAAAAUUUAGGGGGGGCCAAUUUUAUUUUGCACACAUAUUUACAUAUCAUGAAUUAAAAUUUUCAAAACUUAGGGGGCCGUGGCCCCCUUUGACUCCAUCAUUGCCCGCACCCAUUACAGAUAUUACUCAUAAGAACUUCAUAUAUAUGUCCCUUUUCUUUCCUUUUUGUCAAAUAAGAACUUCAUAUCAUUUGACAGUAGUAUUAUUUGCAUGCAUCUCCAUUAAUUUUUAUAGUUUUUUUUUAAAAAAAUUCAAUAGGUUCGACUCUAAUUACCACUAUAAAUUAGAGCAUGCUUCCAAAAUCACAAGUCACUUAUAAAGAUUAAUACAAUAAUGCCUACCAACACUUCAUAUUGAUAUGUAGUUACUGAAAUCAAUUGAUAUGUAGUUCAUAUUGAUAUGUAGUUAAACAUACGAUUUUGUGAGAAAGUACCACAUCCUUGCCAAUAAAUGGUCCACUUUGUAUUAGUUAAAAGUCAGUUGACUUAGCUGAACAAUCUACUGUGGUCCAAAAUCUUCCAAAUAGACAAGUAUCAUUAGCUAGCUACGUUCUUUAUAGAAACAACAGCAACAUUUCUCGUAAUGCAAUCAAUUCCCACAUUCAUUUGAAAAUCUUCAUAGCUUCCGACAAUCAAACAGUUGAUAACCAGAACCUCUUGAUCUAACAACCCAAAAGGGGCAAAAAAAAAAAAAAGAUGCUAAAGUCUUCAAAAAGAAACAAAAAUUGAGCAGAUGUAGGCCGUACAUCCCCCAGGCUGUAGCGGUGGAUAUAUACUGAAACCAAGUACAAUAGAAAAACAGGAAGAAAGAAUGAAGUGUUCAUUACACAAUACACGCGAAUAAGUCACGCUGAAAUCUAGAACACCGUUUUUGAUUCACUGUUUCUCGAAAGAGUCAUGUAGUAUUAAUUAGUCAUCAAGUUAAGUUGAGGAAGAAGGGAACAUAUCCGGCAUAUAUCACCGGCGGCUUUGCAUUGCAAUUGCAUGGCAACCACGUAGUUAAACCACUAGAUACCAAGUUGGUAUUUACCAAUUCCCAUGUCCCGAUUAUCUUCUUGCCUCCUCCUAUAAAUUCUCUCUCGCCACUUUCUCGCUUCUGCUCCCCUUCUCAUCAGUAAGAUAAAAGAUGGAGAUGACUCAACAACAUAAAAUGUAUGAGAAUUUUAACAUGUCAAUCACCAGCAACGAGUCCAAAAUGUACACUCUUUUGUAUAAUACGUCAGAUUUUCUUCUUUCUUUACCUAUAUUGGGAUUAGAAAUUUUAGAAAUUAGACUACGUACCAUAGAUAUCAUGCUUCUAAUUAUUGUCCCCGCUGCAGCACAGAAUCUUAUCAGAAAACUCAUGAAAAUCUACUUACAGCAUUUUUUUUCCUUCUAAUUUGGUUAAUUUUAGUUGUACUGUAUUCAUCUUCUACAGGUUAAUGUGGCGCCUUUAAUUCUUUUCCAUCUAACAAAUGAGUUUCCUCGACCAUACUAAAGGUGGCAAACUUCGUCAUUAAGUUUCAGUACGAAAAUCAAGACGUUGAAUUCACAGAACGAGUCUCAAAGUUCAAGCCAGCCCUUUUAGAUAGACGAAGCAAAUAUAGAAACGUGGGGAAGCUAAUGAUAUUCAUGAAGAAAAAAGGAAAGAAUACAAACAAAAGUAAAAAGAGAAGGGAUGCAUUGCAUGUGAUGUGAUACUAAACAACACAAAACAAAAACAAAAACAAAAACAGUAAAGGCAGCCACGCAUGUGAUCCCUUACAGGAAAUUUUUUUUAGUGGCAUAGUGAAGAAAGUUUUUUGGGGUGAAAAAAGAGUCUUUUGGGGUAAUUUUUUUUUUCUACAAUAAUCGUGGUCUUCCUGGCACGAGUUCAUCAUUUAGGCAUUUGCUGAUGUCUGUAUCACCAUUGUUCCAAAGUUCACAGCAGAGGAACAAAGCGAGCGACUUCUAAUUAUGUUGUCGUGUUAGUGAAAAUCCAUAAUUUGUGUCUAUCCUAAAAAAAUAUCAUAUGCAAUAAUGUCCCAUUUUGACAGUCAAAAAAGAAAAAGUAUUUAAUGUCACUUUUUCUCUUUCGGUGUGAUUAAUGGAAUAUGAUACUUAACCUUAUCUAAAUUUUUUUCUUAUUGGUGGGGUUAGUGAAAUAGUAAGUUGUGUCCCAUUGAAAUCGUAGGCUGUUCAGUUUCUGUAUUCUACUUUGAUAAGAUACUUAAUUUGCCAUUUCACUCACCAGCUUUGGACAAGAUUUCUGAGACCGAAUUUGGUAAAACUCGUGUACAUUUUGGAACUAGCAUUUUCAAGCCAUUGAUAUGUGUAAUUUUGCUGGACUGUAAAGUUCUCAAAAUAAUCAUCAUGUGAAUUCAUACCUUUCUACUUCAUAAAAUGUGCUGUAAUUGCCUUCGAGUUUGAGCUAUUUAACUUCAGUAAAGCCAUCCAGUCUUAUACAUUGCAACUAUAUGGUUUUACUCAAGACUCUCAGGAUUCCACUUCAAUUUUGAUAUUGUUUGUAGUGAAUUUAAAAGAAUAGUUCAUAAGCUCUUUACAUCCAUGUUAUACUUUGGGCCCCUGUACAAUCAAACAAAUCUCUUCCCAAAGAUUACCUUUCAAAAGAAUGAUACGGCAUGUACAAGCUAUUAUAAUUGCGAGGUGUCUUUUAUAACAUUAGAGUGAAAGCCAUAUCAUAAAGGGUAAAUUGUUUAACAAAUUUUAGAACUUUUUAGAAAAGAAAAAAAUGAUUCUGUCUUUGGACCAUCAAAAGAGUUCUUGAAGACUCUCGAUUGCUGAAGGGACGUAAUCAUAAACUGAAAUUUAGGUACCUGUUUCUAGAUAUUGUUAAUUUCAAGUAGUAAUGAAAGUGGCUUCCUAGAUAUUAGGAUUUAGGAGUAAAGUCCUUUUAAGCUCAGGGCUUUAUUUGGAGAUUAGUUCAACUGUGUAUUAUAUAUUUGUACUGGUGAAAGUAUGUUUCAUAUCAUUUGGCCACUGGAAUUGAAUUACUAUCUUACCAUUAUUGUAUGGUUCUUGGAAAAUUUCAAGAACUGCACUUUUCUUUGAAAAUAGAUGUUCUAGUAUAACAUCUUUAAAAUUUUGAAAACUGCAAGAAAAACGUACGUUCUAUACUUUUAAACAAAAUUGGUGUUAGGUGGGAUGAGCUUGAUCUCCUAUAAUGCAGGAUGCAAGAAAUAGACUUCCAAAUACUUGCACAAAAGAUGGAUCUUUUGACAGGCAUGGGAAACCAGCGAUUAAGGAAAAAACUGGUGGAUGGAGAUCAGGGAUGAUUUUGCUAGGUACUUUUUACGUUUUCUUGUUUACUACACUCGCAAUCUUGGUAGCCUUAGUACCCGCUUAUCUAAAUUAAAGUACCAAUGAGAAGCCUGAUUGGUAAGUUUACGAUUAAUUGGCUAAAGACAUGCCGCAAUAUAUAUGUGUUGUUAAAACAUCAUUUUAAUGUAAAUGACACAUUUUCCUGCUCAUGGCUUGUCUAGUCAAUGAAGGACUUGCUGCAGUUGCAUUUACUGGGGUGGAAGUAAACAUGGUUCUUUUUGCAAAGUCAGUCCUCAGGCAAUCAAAUGCAGAUGCAGCCAAUACGUUCAGUCGGUGGAUGGGAACCCUCAACAUUUGUGCUCUUAUAGGUGCAUUUCUCAGUGACUCCUAUAUGGGCAGAUAUGUCACUUGUGUUGUUUUCCAGACCAUAAUGGUGCUUGUAAGUGAACAUGCCAGAAAUUUUCACUAGUUCUUUAGGUAUUUCCUCUUUUCUAUACAUUUUGGAUUGCUUCUCCCUGUGAUUGGUAAACUUCAUUGUUGUUGCAGGGUUUGAUUAUAUUAACUCUUUCAACGCGCAUAUUUAUGAUUGAACCAAAAGGAUGUGGGAGAAUAGGAGAACACUGCGAUAUUAAGUCACCACUUGAAACUGCAAUAUUCUAUAUAUCAAUCUACUUAGUAGCUCUUGGUAGUGGUGGAAUGGAACCAGCACUUGGUACAUUCGGUGCAGACCAAUUUGAUGAGGAGGAUACAGAAGAAAAGCGAUCAAAAACUGCAUUUUUUGGCUAUUACUAUGUCGCUUUGAAUCUUGGAUCGUUGAUUGCUGAAACAGUCUUGGUUUAUAUAGAAAAUCUGGGGAUGUGGGAGCUGGCCUUUUGGAUUUCAACAUCUGGUGGUUUUUUUGCUUUGAUUUUGCUGUUAUGUGGGAAUUCUAGAUAUAGGCACUUUAAGCCUGCUGGCAAUCCCGUUUCAAGGUUCUUUCAGGUAUUUGUGGCUUCUACAAGAAAAAUGAAACUCGAAGUUCCCUCAAAUGGGAAGGGGCUCCAUGAACUUCAGGAGAAAGAUGAAAAAGACAGUACCAGAAAUAUAGUACAUACAGAUGAUUUCAAGUAAGUUUCUUCAAGUCAUAUGCCUAUCAAAUAUCAUCAGUGUACAAAACAAUGGCCUCAUCUGUACUUCUGCAGAAAAUUGCUAUGCACUUUUACUUUCUAGACUAACUUGCAUUUAUGUCAUUUAAGAUUGUAUGAUAUGAAAAACUCGUAUAUGCACUCAUCGAAUUAAAAACUUGAGUUUAUCCAAUCUGACAGUUUCAUCAAAAAGAGAAUAAUAAAUCCAUUUUCAGGUUUCUUGAUCGGGCAGCUUUUGUGACAGCACCAGACAUGAUAACCAUAUUACCUGGCAAAAGCCAAGCUCCAAAUCCGUGGCGUCUCUGCACUGUUUCUCAAGUUGAAGAAGUAAAAUGUGUGCUGAGGCUAUUGCCAAUAUGGUUUUGCACCAUUGUUGCCUCCAUAGUCUUUGUACAAGUUCUUUCUCUCUUUGUUGAGCAAGGAGCUGCAAUGGAAUCAGUAAUCUUGGGAUUUCACAUCCCUCCAGCCAGCAUGACUGCCUUUGACAUUAUAAGCACAUCUACAUUCAUCAUUUGCUAUGAGAAGUUUAUUGUUCCUUUUUAUGUGAAACUGACUAAAAGGAAGCCAAAGACUCUAAGUGAAUUACAAAGAAUAGGAAUUGGACUGGUGAUUUCGAUUGUAGCCAUGAUAAUUGCAGGAUUUGUCGAGCUGCACAGACUAAGACAUGCAAUCCAAAAAGGUCAAGAAACUAGUUCCCUGAGUAUUUUCUGGCAGACUCCUCAGUAUGUAUUAGUAGGAGUAGCCGAAGCAUUUGUAAUUGUUGCCCAGUGGGAGUUCUUCGCUUCACAAACACCAGAUAGAUUGAAGAGCUUGGGGCUUGGUUUAUCGAUGUCUUCUUCUGCGUUAGGUAGUUACUUAUGCAGCAUAGCGCUGACAGUGGUGAUGAAUAUCACAUCGAGGCAUGGGAAGCCAGGAUGGGUUCCUGCAAAUUUAAAUGAUGGCCAUUUGGACAGAUUUUUCUUCCUUUCAGCAGCUCUCAUUGCACUUGAUCUGGCAAUGUUUGUCGUGGUGGCUAAGAGGUACAAGUGCAUAACAUUAGAGAAGCGAGAGGGGGGAGCAGAAGCAGGUGCCAUACCUUGAACUAAUCAAAUUGCUUCUCAUGUCUAUCUCUAUCUGGAUCACAAGUACUUGAAUGAGCAUUUUUGUAGCAAGAUCAGUAGACGUGGAUUGUAGAAGUGAUGUAAAACGCAAAUAUGACAACUUCAUGACGAAAUAUAGUAUUCUCUUUGUAUUUUUCUCAGUAGAUCCUAUAUAUAUAUAUAUAUAUAUAUAUAUAUGUGUAUGUGUAGUUUAUUAGAACUCUCUGUGAUGAUGACACCAGAAAGUACAGCUCAUAUGACCCCGUUUACAAGCUGGUUCAGCAACCAAUUAUGGUAAUUGCAGCAGUACCUUGUGCAGACAAGAAUGGUAUAAACAGCCACCCAGCCAGAUGGAGGCUCAGAUCUGGAAAGCCUCCUCGCCUUCUAUAACGCUUCUGGCACAGCAUUGGGAGUAAAUAAAUCUGCAAGAGGAAAUAUGAGACACAACCAUAGCGUAGCGUCUAACAAAUAAAACACCAUGUUAAAGUAAUAAAGAAAAGGCAGAAGACCUCUUUGGAUUAAACGAAAGAAAUAACUCAACAAGAAGAAUUUGGACUGAAGACAUUAUUCAUUCUUAUUUUUGUUCUCCACAAUAAUGAAGGAGAUUAUAAUGCAUGUAUGAAUUUUAACAUGGCAACCAACUAGUAAAUGGAACAGGAAACUGUGACAGUUGAAUUCCUUUUCGAGCUAGCUGCUCUUCAUACAACACUAGGGAGUGAAAAAUGCUUGGUGUGCUGCUUCCCUUAUGAAGCUUUUGGGCUUCAGUGUAGCUCUUUAUUGGCAACAUCUGUUCAUCACUUUGAUAUCUUUGCAGUGAGUUCUCUUACAAGCUUAGCAGCAACCAUUGCUGUCAUCCCAUCAACAGUAUCACGCUGGGGUUGAAUUCCACCACGUCUGCAGCAAUAACAUUACCCUGAAGAUUGUGAAGUAUGUUGAGAACAUCACGGAAAGAGAGGCCUCCAGGCUCAAUGUGAGACACCCCUGGGGCAAAUGCUGGAUCAAGAGAGUCCACGUCUACUGAAAUGUAUACACCCUUCACCCCUUCACCAAGUUUCUGCAAAUAGAGUAGACAUUCAGAAUAAGGUAAAUUGAGUAUGAACCAGAACACCUUGAAGAGUAGACUUGUUUGUUUGCUCUAUAGCUCCCCUUGACCAAUGCAUAAGUAUUGGAUGAAAUGUAGAUUUCAGUUCGUGAAAAGGAACCCAAGCAUUUGACAAUGUCUAAAGAAUGAAAAUCAGCUUUGUGACAUAGGGAUUUUGUUUUGGGUCAGCAAAACUUGGACUCCAAGACUAGACGAUAAGAUGACAGAAACUAUGCAUAUCAAAUCUUUUCAAUUUGAGAGUUGCUAAUGAUGAACCUCCGUGAAUUUGUGUGUCUGUGAGAGAGAGAGAGAGAGAGAGAGAGAGAGAGAGAGAGAGAGAGAGAGAGGGGGGGAGGAGAGAGAGACCAAGUUCUCCAAUAUGUGACGGUCUCUGGAAAAGGUUCGCAUCUCAUAUUGCUCCACACCAAAUCUUUUUCCUUGUUCACGGCCUUCCUUUGUAAUUGAUCUAAUUCCAACCUGUGCAACAAGCAAGCGCUUUAGCAUUAUACUUCUCAGACAUGAAAUGUCCGAUUAUCUCCUAUUCCACCAAUUUUUACUCAAGAGCAGAGCUCCACUCAAUCUAAACAUACAGAAAAGGACAAAUGCCAUUGAGCCUUCAAAUACCUUUCUAAGAAGAUAAUGAGAAAGAGAAGCUUAACAAUUUUUUAAUAUAUUUGGAAUCAAAUAAGAAAAGUUAUUAGACAGUCUAAAGCUGAUAAAAACACCUUAGAACUAGCGAAAUCAAUUUGCGUUCCUAAAAAUUAAUUACAUCAAAAGUGAAUGCUUUUCUCAUAUCAUCACCAAAAUAUCUUUGACCAGAGAAAAAAUUGGAAGUUUGAUUUUUCAAAACAAAAAAAAAAGCAUGUAAUUCAAAUGGCUUACAUAAUAAACCUAAAGGAACAAGUUAGAAGAAAAAUAUCAUUCUAAAGACUACCGCUAAACAGAAAGUAGAUUUGGAUACUAAGUUAAAGAGGAAUAUCAAUAAAAUAUAUAGCAAUGCAUUCAAAUGGCUGGAUUACUUGCAAAAGCCGGCGAGCAUAACCACCCUCCAUGAUGCGUGCAAAAGAAGACGCAUGAGAAUAUUUGUUUCCUUCAAAGGCAUGAUAAAUAUCAGGAUGGGCAUCAAGGUGAAGAAUAUCCACAGGACCUCCAAGCUUCUCAGAAACGGCUCUCACAACAGGGAAUGAUAUAGAGUGAUCCCCACCCAAUACCAAAGGGCGCAAUGGAUCCUGCAUUUACAAAAUGCAUACACAAGAAUUUCCAUUUAAAACAGUUGAAAAUCAGUGGAAGAUGCAAUUGAGCAGACAACAAAAGGCAUACUAUUGUCAUCAAGAGGGGAAAAUAUUAGAAUCAUCUGGAACCAUUCAGAAUCAGGAGAAUCAAGGACAAUGCAAUUUCUCAUACUCCCUCCGUCUCACUUUGAUAGUCCUAUUUUACUUUUUCAUCUGUCCCAAAUUGUAGUCCACUUUCUAAUUGAAGAAUGUAAUUGUAUUUUAAUUUUCCUAAAAUACCCUUAUUCAAUGUAAGUUAUUGUUACUAUAAACCUACCCCAUUUAAUAAGAGUUGAUUCUUUUUUUACCAUCAAUUCAAGUUCCCAUAAAGUUGUACUCUAAUUAAUGUGAGGGUAUUUUAGAAAAAUAACUAUCUAAAUUGAUUGUUCCAACAAAGUUAACUACUUUUUCUUAAACUGUAUGAAAAAAAAAUCAGGACUAUCAAAGUGGGACGGAGGGAGUAGUAUUUUCCGGGUAUCAUGAGAUGUAAUUAGAACUUGUAUAUAGAAUCUGCACUCAACACAUGCUACUUGGAAAUUUUACUAAUGAAAAAACAGCUAAGAAGAAAAAUAAUGAGGAUUCUAUUUCAAUUAAAAAAUAUACGGAUCUUAAACAGAAGACCAUGGAUCUUAAUCAGCACACAGAAUUGCAUCUUACAAGGGCAUCAAGUGAAAAGCUGUCCUAAUGAUGACUAAGACACUAAAAGCAGGCAUCUGGAAGGGAAUGAAAUCAAGUUGAAACACAGUAGAGGUUCUUAAAGAGCCAAUCUUUGACUACAGAUGAAUGGUUUGCUUUCCAUAUAUUUGUUCAUCAAGAGGGAGAUGGAUCACAUUAGAGCUAUGGGAUCAGUGAAAAAAUUCAAUUACUUAAUGUAUAUAGGUCAAAAGGUAACAGUUCAAGCACAUGCUGUAGCUAUAUAAAUAUAAACACAUAAAAAGAUGGAACUCUUUCAUCUUUGAUGCCAAUCUUGUAUUUCUUUUUCAGAAAACAUAAUCUCUAAAGUUUCAUUGUCACUCAUCAAAUAAGUCCCUCUACUGCAGAUUCCCUAACAGAGAGAGAGAGAGAGAGAGCUUCUUUCAUACAGUACAUUCAUCUGUCUACAAAUCUUCAAGAAAAUUAGUGGCAAAGCAGGAAAAAGUUUCUAGCAUUGUCAUCUCUAAGCUAAUUCAAAUACAUCCUUCCUUCUCAGAAACAUCAUGUUGGCCCUAGCAUUCAUGCCUCUACAGAGAGAUAGAGAAGAGAGAGAGAGAUUCACUGUUAAAAACCGGGAAACAUUAUAACCAAAAUAGCUACAUCAGAUGAGCUCUUUAGCUUGAUUCUACCAGAGAAAACAGUGUAAUACGUAAUAGAAAAAAUACGCAAAAGGUGGGCUUACUUCUUCCAUUACUAGCUUGACUGACUCACUUAUGAUACCCAUUAAUCUAUCAUCAUCUACACCACAAUCUCGGAUCUCUUGUACUGGAACAUCACCAACGUCAGUUAAUACUCGUGGAUCAUUCAAUUCCUUGCCUGCAUAAGACCAAGAUCAUGAUAGAGGGAGAAGAUGUAUUUUUCAAAUAUUUUCUAGUAGAAAGCAUCAGCAGUGUAUAUUUGUCCAAAUUUGUUGACAAUGCAUGAAAUUAUGAUCAUAAUUAGAGAGAAAACAUAGUAAGCUACCAACAUUAUUAGGGGAACUGAUCCUACCUAUCAGAUGAAAUUUAUCUCCUAGCUUUGAGAAAAGUGUUAAGGUAAUUUCUCGAUUCGAAUAAGGAAGUAAAGAUUGGCAAAGGCUCAUAGAACAGUAGGCAGCAACAAAAUAAUGGACCACAAACAAGCCAAAAAAACUAUUAAUAACAGAGACCAAAUCCUACAGAAAGUAAUAAAAACCACUAGCAUCACAAGGGAAGGGGUUUGUUUUCCACCUCCUUUGGGUGGGGAAUUGAUGGAGGCUUAUGAUGAUGUCCUUAUUUAUGAAAUGAAGCCAAGGGGAUCCAGUAGAUGGCACAGCUAGAAAAUGAUAUUGACUUUUUUUAGUGUCAGUGCAACAAGGAAUAUUAGAUGUUCCUCUGCAACUGGUUAAACAUAAAUAAGACAAGGAACCCAUAAUCAACAGUCAAAAUCCUUAUCAAAUACUAAACUAGGUUAAAAAGAGACCAGUGGCAAGACCGAAAUGAAGACAUAAAAUCCUCUUAAUCACAAUGAAACAUUUCUAACCCUCUUAAUCAAAGCCUUAUGCACAACGGUUAUAUGGAGGCAUUCAUGGUUGCCUGAAUGCAAACACUAAUCAUUUCACAGAUAAUUUUGCUUUGGACAACAUGGAGCUCAACAUCCAUAUGUGUUUACGUAAUACUAGCAUAAAAAUGGCUUCACCUUCUUCAGUUGUGGAGUUUGUGCUGCCACACCAGAUAGCCUCUCUUAUACGAGGGGGAGCAAAUGCAGGCCCCUGAAGGAAUGAAGAGUUAUGCCCUAGAGGAACUCCAAGAAGGGAUGCUGAUGCUACAGCUCCUCCUAGUGCUCGUAAAAGUUCUCCCUAACAUUAAUUUUAAAAUUAUUCUCAUAGAACAAAGGAAAACUUGAAGAUGAAAAUUUUGACAGAGAUCAAAUCAUACCUUGAGCUUAGCUCUCUCACGGAUAAAGGUAAGAGAUGCCUCCAUAACGCGAUUCUGCCCCCUCUCUAACAAGUCCUUGGGCACAUUUGCAGCAUUUAGUUUGUGCAAAUAACGAAUUCCCAUCCUCCCAAGAUUCUUCAUAUUGUUAGAUACUGAAUACAGUGCCAAAAACAAUCCCUAGCACCACCAUGUACAAGGUAUUCAGAGAUUAUGAGUGUAGCAUAAAUACACAACAACACACCCUUGUGCAAAAAUGGUAGUUUAGGGUGCUAACUUGAAAAGGUUUUUGAGUAAUCCAUUCCAUCCCUAUAAAGUUUUUGAGUAGUGCCUUAGAUAGAGGUUAGCAGAAGCAAUAGGAAGUAGGACAAUAAUUUUCAAAUAGUCAUAAAAACAGUUAAAAUCAAAAAGCAAAACAAUGCCUUCCCUUUUGAUUGUCGUCCAGUUAACUAUCGUCAAACAAAAGUUGCGCCCAAACAAUCAGAGCCCACAAUUUCAUUCUUUUACCCCUGUUUCUGCACGAAAAAUUUCGGGGUCCUUGGAUACAACGGCAAAAUCCCGUUUUUAGGUAUAUUGAGGUGCCCAAUUCACUAUUUCUCUAGCUUUUAUCUCUGCGUCCAUCUUUUCCGCUGGCAAGUGUCAACCAAAUAAAAAUAUUUUUGUUCUUUAAUGGCACUGGAGUGUAAUUCUGUAGCUUUCUUUAAUUUUCUCGUCUUGGCAACCAAUAUUCACAAUCAACCAUGCAAAGUUGAAAAAAGGAAAACAACAGCUUUUCUCUUUCACUAUUCUAAACAUCAUCAAGACACGAUUUUUCAAAAGAAUAAAGACAGGACCAAAAAACCAUAGCAACAAAAAAAGUCAAGAACUCGGGAAACUGGGGAAGAUGGAAAGAACAAACACUUACCAGCCCAAAAAGAGACACAGAGAAAGAGAUUUGCAGGGAUGAGCCUUGGGAAUUUCAAUGGUUGAAGGGUUGUUUGUGUUGCAAAGUUUUGAGUUGAAUUGAUACAGAAAGAAGAAGAGGAAGAGACGAAAAAAGUAAUGCAGGUGUUUGGAUUUUGGUGGGGUUUUGGUGCCAGUGCUUUGAUGACUAGUGCUGCUGUUUUCUUGCCUGCUUGGCUACUCGCAGCGAAUGGGUUACGGAAAUGGAGCCAAACUUUGUGAAUAUUGAAUUGGAUAUUUUAAAGUAUACUCCAUGGAAUGGAAUGGGGAUUUGUGGAAUCGGAUUAGAACGGUUUACACGUAAACAGUACGAGGUAUGAAAGUGUUUGCAGUCUUGUACGCCACUUGCACUGCCAUUUUUUCACUUUAGCCACUCCAAACCCAGUGCAAAAAAGAUUUCCCUUUUUUUCUUUAAAGAGUGAGGGUCUUCCUUGUGUUGUGGCCUGUCGGAAGCAGCAAAAAUGAGAGCUUACUCGUACUGGGAAGCUCAGCUGAUAAAUCAGUGCUUAGCGAUCAUUCAUUUUGUCAUAAUUAUAAUUAAUUAAAGAAAAGGCAUUCUUCACUCUCAGGAGGCACAGCACAAAGUGAGCAAAUCGACAAACGAACAGUUCCAGAUUUGGAACGUGUAGCAGCAGUCGCAGUGGUAGCAGUAUUGAUUUGGGCACCAGUACUCGUGGAGAUUUUUUGCGAGCCAUCAUCUCAUAACGACUUGUGACACGUAAAUGAAUAUCUUCCUAUAAAACUAUGACUAUUGCUUAGUUUCCAUAUAAUAGUACUUGAUUUGCUUGCAUAUUAAACAUAAGUUACGAAUUAGAAAUAUCCUAAUAUGAUCUCACACACGUUGCCAUCUUUGUUAUUAAAAUUAUGUUUGACAAAUUUUUGUAUUUGGAUUGCAUUUUUCAUGAUUUUUCAUGAAAAAAUUACUGUAGGGAUUUGAUGUAUGUGAGAAAAAAAGGUAAUCGAGAAAUGUGAUUACGAAAAACGACGUAAUUUUUUGACGGAAAACAACAAUCCAAACAAUAACUAAACUUGUUAUUUUAAAGAAUUAACAUGUUCAUCACUCACAGAGACAUGCAUAAAUACCACAAGUACAGAGCAUUGAUACGUGAUUAUUUGAACUUGCAUCAUGAAUAUGUUUUCUAUACUCUUCUUUAGAUCUAUUCAUCUGUUAAAUUCGUACUCUUUUUAACUAUAGUAGAUAUGUAAUUUAUAGUGUGUGUUUAAUCUAUCAUUAAGACAGACAGUGAUGUAAUCAAAUUGUGUUGGACAAUUUCUAAAAAUCUAUUGUAAUAAAUUUGUUAUCAAAAAAAAAAAGUUUUCAAUACUCUUUUAAUCUUUCUAACCAUCUUUUAUGUCACGUGCAUCAGAUUAAAAAAAAAGUAUCAUAACAUUAUUUAAAAGAGGCUUUUUGUAAAAAAAAAUUCUAUUCAGAAACUUUAUAGUAAUACUUCUAAAGAAAGACUCAAAACCUUACCGGAAAAAUCUAAACAUCUAAACAGCUGAACAAAAAACAUGCAUGCGUCAUGCGCGUGGUACCGAUUGAUGGCUAAAUGAAUUGAGGUGGGUCGCAGAUAGCAGGCCAAUCAAUGCAACAGCCCGAGCAACAUCGGGCAGGAUGAAUGAAUCUCGGUUACAGUGUUGGGCUAAAUGUCUAGAAGCUCGUCUGUUUAUUUGGGACUUAUUAGCCCAAUACAAUAACACAAUCCAUUCCAAGGUUUCGGGCAGCAACCUCCAACACGGUCCCGAUCUUGGGUUUGGAACCUUCCAAAACGUUCUUUGUCCGCACCUCCCAAAUUCCAACUUCCAGAAGCGCCUGCUUUUCAGCAAGAAUUUUCACUUUUAGUCGAUUUUACGCCACUGCCUAACAAAACAGAGGCAGAUGGCCGAGAUGCCUCUGCUUCACCAGAGACUAGCUCUGUCCCUCCACCACCAUCACCAUCUCCUCCUCCUCCCGCCGCCACCACCACCACCAAAAGACUAUCCCAAAGAAUCCUCAAAUCACCAUGUCCACGGCAGCUUCAUCACACUCUCCAUCCACCCACCAACACUCGUUAGACCAACAACAACAGCAACAAAAGAUCAAGUCUUGAGUACCAUAACCAAACAAAACACAACUUCAACAACUAUGCCCGUGGCCUUAUGGCCUUGACUGGGCCAACCAACCCAACCCUUUUCGCCGUUACGUAUCUUCCCACUCCUCCCUCUUCUGCACCCUCCCUCACCCAAUUCUCCCGCUACCACCCGGGACGGCUCUCCUCCUCCUCUGUAUCACACGGUUUUCAAUUCUUUACCGUCCCCAAAACCCAUUUCCAAAACCACUAUUUCUCAAUUUUUAUGAUUCUUUAGCCUUAUCAGCCUGGAAAACUACUGGCUUCUCCACUUGGUCCCUCAGGGUUAAUCCCAGCAGUGGGAAUCUUCACCCACUGAGGCUUACAUCAUUGCACCAAUUGAUUCUCUGAUUGAUCACUCAUUUGUCGCUCAUUAUGCUCCGAAAGAGCAUGGUUUGGAAAUUAGAACCGAAAUUCCAUCUGGGUUUUUCCCAAAAAUUUCCCCAAGAACUUUUCUUAUUGGAUUUUCCUCUAUUUUCUGGAGGGAAGCUUGGAAGUAUGGUGAGAGGGCCUUUAGAUAUUGUAAUCAUGACGUCGGGCAUGCCAUUGCCGCGUUUCGAUGGCCGCGGCGGCUUGGGUGGGAAGUUAAGGUUUUGGAUGGUUUGGGAUAUGAUGAAUAGAGAAACUAAUGGGACUUGAUGUUUUUUCCCGAGUUCAAAAUCCCGUCCAGGCCGGUCAAGGGGAAGAUGCCUGAGAUUGAGUUUGAGCAUCCUGAUUGUGUGCUUCUGGUUUUUCCUAGUGGAAGUGAUUUUGCGUGACUAUAAGGGGUUGAGUUUAGCUAUAUCCAGUUUUCAACAUUGGAGUGGAAAGGGAAGCCGAAUUUGCUUAGUAAAGAGCAUGUGUGUUGGGAUAUUAUUUAUAGGACCGCCGAGGCAACAAAAAAUCCUUUAAACAUAUUCAAUCAAUCCAUAGUUGCUCCUUUCUGGCAGUGGAGACAUUAGUGAGAGUUCUUAUAAAGGUUUUAGUUUGAGGGAAAUGGUUAGAAAGAGAGGAGUGCAGUAGAUAUGGAUGGUUCUACCACAAUGGCAAGAGAGACUUUUUAUCAGAUUUUGCUGCAUUGUAUGCCUUCGGGUUUUGGAGUGGAGAAGCAAAGGAAACAGUUAGCAUUGCCAUUUAGGACGCUUUCAUGGAUUGUGAAGUGCAUGCUGCCCUUUUUGUUCAUAGAGUUGUCGGAUUGCCCAAGGGGUUGUAUUUUUUGGUGAGAAAUGAAGAGCAUUUGGAUGAUUUAAGGAAAUCUACAAGGUCUGAAUUUAAGUGGACCAAACCAGAUGGUUGUCCGGAUGAGCUUCCUUUGUAUGAACUCGCAAAGGGUGACUGUCGGGAGCUAUCAAAACGCCUAUCCUGUCAUCAGGUGUGUAUGUUGACGACAUUCCUGAUGGCAUUACUACUGAGCUCUUGACUACUAUCGCAAUUCAUUGUGGGAUACUUGUUAUUUGUGUGUUGUUUAAUGUCCAUUUCUAAAUUGUAAGUGUCGUAGUUUUACUUCGGAGGGAAUUUAUCUGCAAGGUAGAAGAUUAUAUCCAAGCAUAAAAGUAAGGAACAUGCGAGUCAUGGAGAGAACCAUCUAGUGCCACAUACUAGUUUUUUAUGAUAUGUUUCGAAAAGUAAAUAGAAAUUAGUUUCAGAUGGACUAAAAGUAAAGCAUAAACUUAAUUUGGAGCAAAGGACGAGUAUCUUCUAAAUGCACCUGGCGUCAAAUUUCUGAAUUACUAAGUCUGGAGUGUGCUUCACAAGUUCCUACUUAGAUCAGUAAGCAUAGGCAUUCGGCCUUCUUUUUGGUUCAUGCUGGGAAAGUGUUUAUAAUUAUCAAAUAAUCAUGAGAAAAGAAAGUUCUCCUUUAAACUUUGAUGCAGGAUGAAGAUGUGUUCAGUUUUUUCCUCACUUUAUACCCUGCACACUUCUGUACUGAAUAUCGCUAAUUAUGACUAACAUUUUAAUUGACAUUGGAGCUUGUUUCUAUUUGCAAAUCAUGAGGAUGAUGAGGAGUUUGGUUGCAUUUUAUGUUUCUUUAUUAGGUGUUUGACAAUAUUGGAGUGCAAACUAUAGGUGGAUCUGCAAUACGUUAUUUUUUUUCAGGGCACAUGCCCUUUUGGACAUUCACCUUGCAUCUUUUCUUUUUUAUGGCACUGGAAAAUGUUAUCAUAGAAAAGUUACAGUAAAUGUUCAGCACAGUUAGUAAUUUUGACAAAGGUUUUCAGCAUUAAUUGUCAUAGCAAUAAGACUAUAUGGCUUUGUGAAUUCUAUAAUAGAUAACAAUUUGACGUCUUCCCAGACACAUUGAAUAUAAGCUGCCCCACGGAGAUUAUGUUUUGGCAUAACUGCUACUUUGACUCUGCGCCACAAGCAGUGGCUGUAAAUUUAGUUGUUUAUGUUUCUGUAAAGCAGGAAGGUUGAGAUAGACUGCUUGUGUUAGAAUUUUGGGGCUACUUGCAUAGAGUCGACUUAUCAUCCUGAUUCAGAGGAUCUAUUUAAUGGACUUCUCAAACAUGACUAUCUAAUUAUAUCUAAUUACAGGACAUUGCCAGUGAUGGUUGCUUCAGUCUGGGUAUGGUGGCUCAUUUGGAGCCUACCUUGCAUGAAAAAGGUUCAUGGAUGUAUCCUCGGUUAUUUUGGGAGACGGGGGUCCUUGGCCAGGUCUUGUACCUUGAAGCCCAUGCAGUUGGGAUCUCUGCUACUGGAAUUGGUUGCUUUUUUGAUGACCCUGGUAUAAUUGUCUCUUUGACAUCAUGUUUCAUUUGGAUGGUCUACUUCGUUUUGUGUGUGUGCAUGUUUGUUAUGCAUCCUCUCAUUCAAAAGUUCCAUUUCCGAGAUCAUGCCAUCUGUAAUGGAUGAGCUUCUUAAAAUCCGAGUUAACACAUCACUGAACCAUAAAUCAGGGAUCCAUAUAUGGGAUAGUUUGUAAUUGUAUCCGAACUGCAGAAUUUGUAAAGGCAAAAUGCUCUAUUUUUGUAUUUAGUCCAAUUUCAUCUAUGAGGUAUCAGCUUUAUAUCUUGAGCACCCUACCUAUGGACACAAGAAAAUCCACGAUUCAUAAUUUCCUCCCUUUAUUUUUGACAAAAGGAACUUCACUCUUUCCUUGAUGUCCCAUUGCCUGUAAGUUCUAAACCUUUCCUCGACUUCUUGUACCCAAGUUUCUGAUACCCCGUACUCUACCAAAUGUCAUUAAUGGUUGCUUACUCUUAAAGUGUCAUCUUGGGGCAUUACAUGUCUCUCCUCUCGCUCUUAAAUUUUCCAGCAGAGGAGGGUGGGACUCAAGAAGCUUUUUUUGUUUUUUUUUGGUUUGUUUUUUGUUUGGGGGGGGGGGGGUCGUCUGAACCCACGACCUUUAAUUCCUGGAGUUUCAAGCUUAGCCACUAGACCAAUGCCUCGUCAACCACCUCUCAUCUCUCGGCCACGAACUCUGCUAAAUUACAUUACUGAGAUUAUGAGAAAAUUUGGUCUGGUUAGCUAAUGUUUUAGCCUUCAUGUUAGGCUUUUCUUAUUCAGGGUGAUUUAUUUCCUUUGAUUGUCCUUGGCCAGAUUAGUAUGCUAGAUUUAUUUGAAAUAGGUUCGAAUUUUGGGAAGAAGGAAUAGUUUAUCUUGGGAUGUUUCUUUGACGCUGUUUUGUUUCAUUUAUGUCAGUACAUGAAGUUCUUGGGUACGAGGAUCGAAGUAUCAAAGCCUUUAUCAUUUUACAGUUGGAGGCCCAGUUAUUGACAAGCGUAUAAUGAGUUUACCAGCAUAUCCUGGCCCAGGCGUUGAUGCAUGAUGAGAGGAGAUUAGAAUGAUACUCAGCUCACCCCUUUCUGCAAACCUUAUACAUACUACUGAGAAAAAUCUGCAUUAGGCAGUAUUGUUGAUUCUUUCCCUCUGUAGUUAAGCUAUCAUUCUCCUCAAUUAUUGUAAAUGAUGUAAAUUUAUAAUGUGUCUGGUCAGUUUAUUCACAUAAACGAAGAUGAUCUGCAACAAGUCUUCUCCUACGAAUUGUGGUUUGCUGCACGCAUACUGAAUUGUACUGGCGGAGAUGGUUGCCUUGAGCUUCCCCAAAGGAUGUCAAGAUGGUUUGUGUAUGGCAAGCAAAUUGCAAUAAUUUUUGCCUUUGUGACUAUCAGUACGUAAAAUUAUGCAGGAAGCAGAUUGCAAUGAAACAAAUAAUGAGAAAGAUACUUCCUUGUACUUUGAUACUUUAGAAGGGUUCGAAAGUCCACCUGAUGCUUGGAGCUCGCAUUGAAGUGUUAAUCAGACUGGAAAAUUUUUGAAGGAAUACGGCUUAAAUAAAAUCCUUCCAAGUUACUGCUAACAUUCUGUUAAAUGGAUUAGCUUCAAUUAUUACAGCACAAUAUGCCAACAGGAGAGUAUUUAAUGGAAAAUUUCCCAUGAGAAACCAAGGGAUCUCCCAACGACCUGACUUAGCCAGAAACGAGUUGGAGAAGACAUCGCAAGUGGCUAGCUAGGAACACUCGACCUGUACGGGUUUAUGACAUUGCCGCCUCAUAGGCUGGAGCUUUCACUACAUCGCACAAUUGAAGAAUUAAACCAUUGCAGGACAUUUAUCAUUGCCCGUGCCUGGGGGUUUAUUGCAGGGACGAGGACAUGGUUAAACAAUAAUGAUGAAUUUAUUGAAAAAAUAUGAACAUAAAGAAUUGCGGAGAUCGAACGAGUUUUAUUGUAAUUGUAUGUUCCAGAAAAGAUCCUAUCAGUAUCAGCUCUGCUGCUGGAAAUCAUAGAUUUACAUAUGGGAUGAAAGCUGUACUAGCGUCAUCUUGGUCUGUUACUGUUUCACCUCCAUGCUGUGAGUAUCAAUGCCUAAUCAAACAACUAGCUUAGAACUCGGCAGAGCUCAUCUGCUUCUAGCUACCAAACUGUGGUCGCAUCCUGCACGGCACUGAAUGAUUGUCUAUAGUACACUUCAACAAGAAAAGAAGGAUUUUGUUAUACACCUUUUUCAUUUUAUAGGCUUAGACUACCCUUUCUGCAUGGAGGCUGAGGAUGAAUAGGUUAAGCUGUUGAUAAUACUCCUCAAUUCCCAUAUCCCAGCCAAACUGGAUUUGAAAGUUAAAAAUUGCCUCCUUCCAAGGCUGACACAGGAUAAAUACUCAUCUUUAAGACAUUAAAUCUCUACCACACACAGGACCUUGCAUGUUGAUUUGCAGAGGAAGUCACCAGCUAAAGAAAAUCCAUCAGUCUUGGCCCGAAAGAAAUUGCAGAUGUGUGAAUCAUAAUUGUCCCUGUCCUUUAUGCAGAAAUCAGAAUUUAACAAAAUCAGUGUUUUUUUUUUUAAAAAAAAACAAUUAAAAUGAUUACUUACCUCAGGUAUGCCAAACUGAUACUUCAGAGAAAAAACAGGCGAGAUUCACAUGUACGGCAAACUACAUCGUCAUUCUUCUGAUUCGUGACUUCAACAAUUCUGAUUAAAUGUACUGUCUCGUUACUUGUAGAUCUACACUUAACACUGUCAGACAAGUUGUUCUACCACCAGGAUUCAGCGCCUUCCAUAAUGAGGGCAGUUGGUUGCAAGCUAUCUUCCCAAAUAUCUUCCUGAUUAUUCAUUAUGUUUGAGCAUAACCAGUUCAAUAGCCCUCAUCAAGAAUGACAACACCCAAUGAGUGGAAAUAUGUCCAAUUGUCAAGCGACUGGCUUCAUAAAGAGUCUGAUGUCUCCAUCUAGUACUUGAAGGAAUCAAGAAAAAGACCAAGAGAAAGUCCAGCUUUCCAAUAAUUAAACAUGAUGAUUAAGCCCCUCAACUUGCCAAUCAAAGGCAGAGAAGCUUUAUACAUGAGAGCUCCAAUUCCCUCCACUACAGCAACGGCUAAUGCAGCAGAUAGAAUAUCCCAGUCACCAGUUUGCCCAAUAACAGUGGCAAAGGCGUUGCACUGUAAAAUCCCACCAAGAAGAAGAGUAACUUCAUACGGGAAAUUCUUCCUUAACUCCCUGAUUCUUGUUUCUAACUUGACCCGAAUGGCUUGGAUAGCCCUAACAAGUCGAGUUCCACUGCUGCUAUCAUCUGUAGGGGAAGAAUUUAGCCUGUCACCAUCUGCAGCGCUUCUAAUAGACCACUCCCAACUCCUACAUGAUUAAAGUUGGAAUUUUUAAUUACAUGCUAGAACUAUGUAAAUUCCUCAUGGUAUGAUAAAAGUACAUACAACGUUUACCUAGUGACCUCAUGCCAAAAUGGAGCAUUUUCUACUCGUUACAUCAAGAGAGAUGAAAGAAUCUAUAUGCAUGCCAAAAUUUCAAUAUCUUUGAGGAGUCUAGCAUGAAAGACAUACAUGCACACAUCACAAAAGAAUGUUCAUACAUUGUAAAUGGCCAAGUCAGAAAGUAAUAGUUAUGUGCGGUUACAAAGAAACUCACAUGAAAUUGUUGAAUACAGAAGGACGUGCCAGGUGAGAGAGAGGGAAAUGACGAUAUAGAGCAUUCUGCCAAAAGAAAAGGCAGUUUUAUUAACACGAAGACCAAGGUACACACCAGGUGGCUUGAUCUUGGGUCUUUAGGAGUAAGAAUUGUGGAACUUGUAGGAUAGCCAGUCGAUGGUAUUUUCCUGGCUAUCAUGGAGAACCUGCAUGUCAAACCUAAAAUGACCACAUCAGUACGAAGAUAAUCAUGAAUAAGAACUGAUGAAUGGGAUCGAUCAUUUCUAAAAGAUUUCCUUUCCCACCUGAUGAUGGUAAUAGAAGAGAACAAUUGAGAUCAUUUGCGAUCAGAAACAUGAAACUGACAUUUCCGACUUAAAUAAGAAAAAGACACUGACAAACGCUUUGGAAAGUUUGACAUAAUAAAUGCAUUGUAUCAGAAAAAAGUUGAAAAUUGUCAAAUUUUUAGGAGUAAUGACUUCUUAAAGAACCAUCUGCUGUAUACAUUACUGUUGUGCUCUCUUCUCCCUUAUACUUCAUAUAUAGAUGAAAUCAAUGGAUGCUAUGUCAAAAAGAUAUUACAAAACUGAGAUGCCAUUUGACAAAGAUUUUUAGCUUCAAAACUUCUGCUAUAUACAAUUCAGCAAGCAAGCAGAUGAGACAAAGGAUGGCAGCUAAUCAAUCAAUAAUCAGUUUCUCAAAACAUAGGAAUGCAAACCAAUGCUGAAUCCUUAAAAUUGCAAGUUGUUUCUGCAACAUUCUUGGUAAUUUUGGACAUGCCUCAGGAUCCUUCAGAAGAUUGCAACUCAUUCAACAGUUUAUCACCAAAACCAAGUGAACUCAGUAGAUGUCAAUGGGCAUGUCUUGCAAUUAAUUGGCUAUUAUUCCCUUUGAGAUAUAAAAAUGAGAAACCUCUAAAUACAGUCAGUUUGAUUUGGGUUUUUUCUUCAUUCCUCAUACAAAAUUUGCAUGUUUUAAUAGCCAAAUUGGUUCUUACAUCAACAACCGUGACAUUAAGCAAGAAUGACAGAUGUUAUGUAACUUCAGUUACCAAAAUACACUAGCACUCACAAAUGGCUAAGUCAUUCAUCCUCUUCAAAUCCUAUCAAUCCCACACAUCUUCCGGUAGCCUCCAGCAGAAAAUUCAGAUCCCACUCUUUCUGAGCACAAGAAUUUACUCUCAAACUCCCUCAACAUCACUCAUCCACUUAAAAAUUAGGAAUAAAAAACAGCAUAAACCCAUGAAGACUUACUUAAAAUGCGACAUCAAUUUGUAAAAACCUGUUCUUUAUUAAAUUCUUGGAUUUCUUCUUGUCUAUCAAUCAGUUAAUGUUCCUCUACAAAUACACGAGACACAGGCAGAACAAUUCGAGACCAACCGAAAAGUUGCAUUGAUAUUAAGGAGCAUAUAAAGCGCCUAACUUUACACAGCUUUUCAAAAACUUGGCCAGUCAAACAUUGAACCGAAUUGCAAAAGUCUUUAUCUAUUCUGUCUUUAAUGAUAAGGUACAAAAGUUCAGACAUUAUAAUUGCAUGAAAAACUUACAGACUUUACGGUGGGAAAGAAUGGUAUAUAAACCUUCUGCCACUUGGGUUUUGGCUCCACUUUCUGUUUUCCUCUGUGGGAUUUGAUAAGAGAGGAGAGGAGCGGGCGAAACUGAGAACUGAGAAGACCACCAGACACCACCUCUGCAUUUCUAUUUCUUAAACAUGCCCCCCACCCCCUUCUUCAUCUUAGAUUUAUUCAUAUUAUUUAAAGCUCCCUUUACAUUUUAGAAAUUCAUCACUUCCCCCUGAUAGUUACUGAACUGAUCUUCUGUAUAUGGCAUUUGAAAUUUUAAUUUCAGCACUCUUAAGUCUCAAACUGGAACUAAUUUUCAUUAUCAUAAUUGAGUGUCUGUCAAUUUGCUCAAAAUAUACUGAUCGGACAUCAAUUGAUUCGUACAUAUUAAUUUUGUAUUUUUGAAUAAUGUGGUCAGCAUUAAUUAAAAUUUUUACUUAAUCUUGAAUUCAUCAUAAAUAGACUAGGAUAUUAAUUGAAUUAAAUUAUAUAUUAGUAGACACCGAUAAACUUCAAAUUUCAACUUUUAGUCCUAAUCUAGCACGAGUUUGAUCUUGGAGUUAGAAUUUUUAACUUUUUUUCUUUUUUAGAAUCUAUAAACCAUAAUAAGUAAUCAAAUCAAUAUCAAAGUAAAAAUAUGGAGCAUUAAAUUUAGUGGAUUAACGAAUUUGCCCUUCUUUAUCAUUUUUCUUCAUUUAUUUCUUUUUCCUUUUUAGUUUUUAUCUUCAAUCGACAACUAAUCUUUCUUGACUUUUUUUACAAUUAUAUUUAUAAAUGAACUUUUCUAUUUAACCCUAUUUUCAUUCUAUUAUAAAAUUUAACAUGUUAUUUGAUUUUUAAGAAUCAAUUCAUCAUCAUGUGUUCAUUUAAUUUGAAUACUUGAUUAAGUGGGCCUUAAUCUAAAGGUGAUGUAUUUUCAUUGUAUAUGUACUUUUAUUGAACAAAAUCCAAAGAAAUAGAAAGAUCAAAAUAAAAUAAUUUAAUCUAUUUCCUUUCUAAGACAUUGAAAAGGAAAUCUUAGUAGACGAAUCAGUAUCACGAGAAACAAAAAAAGAAAAAGCAGAAAUUGACAUUUUUAGUUACAACAUAAACAUUUUCUACUAACCAAUAAAUCAUAUUCUGAAAGUUUAACUUAUUAUAUGUGAUGAAUCAAUUAUUUCAUAUGAAAAUAAAUUAACUAAUAAAAUUGAUUAUUAUGAUUUGGGAAAAAUAUACAGAGUACUCCAAAUUACAAAAAAAAAAUAAGAUAGGAGAGAAUGUAGCGACAUGACAAAAUUGAGAAGGCAAAACAAAACGAAAAAGGAACUCAGCUAGUCCAAGAACUAAAUUCUUAAUGGUAAAUAAGACUAUUUGUCAUGCUUUGACAAAAGUUAAUCAAUAACUGACCCAUUAAUUUUAGGGGCAAGCUGAUGAUAAAAUAAUGUCAGAGAGGCAAAGCACAAAUUACCCUAAUUGUGAGGAGUUUUGUGCAAUUGAACUUUAAGCGAAUAAUUUUAGAAAACCGAAAAGAAACAGGCGUGAAAGGAAAGUAGCUUUGCUCCGUUGAUUGCUCCUGGGCUGUCUGGUGGGGUUUAAAUUGUGAUAACUUCUAGAACAACUCACAGAUCAACGCCCUCGAUUCCGCCUGUGUUUCUGCCACUCUUCACUCAGCCAGCGGUGCAUAUCCGAUCAGGUACUCGCACCGCUUUCUUCUUCUCCGUCAGUUUCUCUGCUCUACUGUUAUGAUAAAUGAUGCAUCGUUUUUUAUGUUUAUGUCAAGUAUAGCGAACAAGUUCAGUGUAAAAUUGAGUUGAUGUGCGACUAUAUUGACAAAUUGUGGAAUUAUGGAAUUGAAAAUGUGAAUCGAAGGCUUUUAUUUUUACUUUAUUUUUAAUUUGAGUGAGAAAUUUUGAUAGGAUAGCUGAAUGGUUCAGUGGAAAUGAAUACAUUUGACAAAGUAAUUAUUCAAGAAUUUGUGUGAAACAUAACAUUCAGCUGAUAAUGGUACAAAAUGCUAUCAUGAUAUUUGAACGGGCUUGAUGUGGAUUUAACUUAAAGUCGCUUGGGAGUGAUUGAAAGGGUAAAGAGUUUCAAAUAGUUGUGCUUGCAGCUUUACUGUACAUUUAUGUGGAUUUAGUUUCUGAGGUGUGCUAACUAGUCUAAAAGGUAAAGGCUGCUUUUUUUUUUUUUUUAAUCGUGGACAUUGUUUUGGGCUAUCACCAAAUUUAUUUUUAGGGCUAUUACAAAAUUGCUUAAAUAGAAGAAUUAAUGUUCUAGCAGGUGUCCUUUAACACUUUAAACCUUAUUUAUAUGAUUCAGAAGAAACCUACUAGAAGGAUUAGUGGAUUUAUUUAUAAUAAAUAAAAACAGGAAUGAUUUGUCAAUCAUGCAAAGGGACAAUUCAAUGGCUGAAACUUGAGGUGACAUCAAUUGAUGCGCAUAUUAAGAACAAAAGAAGAGGGAGAGGUGGAAAAGUAUGAUGUCAACUUUGACAUGUUUGGAAACUUAGAUUGGAGGAUUUUUACCCUUGUUUUUGAGAGAAUUUAUGGGGAGAUUUUUGUUUUGGAAGCACUUAAAUUUCAUAGAAAAUUAUGCUUAGCUAUUCAGCACAAGUUUAAUGAUAUUGUCAUGCAGUGAACCCAAGUCAGGGCUGCAAAAAAGGAAAAAAAAAAGGUUGGAAACUUUAGCUUUUGGCAUCUUCCAAAACAAUUUUGACACAAUUCCUGUCCUGGUUUUCUUCUGCAAUUUUUUGGAAAAUGGAGUUCUUUCAGAGUCAAAUGAGCAAUUUUGAGAACAAACUUAAAAUACACUGUUUACUCUCGCAGUCUAACGUCUUUCAUUCAAGUAAACCAGAGAGGACAAGUUACCCAAGAAUGUCAGAUUUAGAGAGGGCAAAGAAAGAGAGAGAUAGAGAGAAUGAGAGUUGAGGAUUGCCAAAAACACUUGAAUGAAACACUUCUGUUGACUUACCUUUUCCAUGUAGUCAUUACUUCUCCUCACUAGAGGAGAAAUGGAAGGACAACAUGAUGAGGUCUGGGCUUCAUUAGUGGCAGAUGGAAUUUCCUAGGUGAGAAACUGAUUUAUGUCAAGAUUAAUCGCAUAUGAAUGGGGCUGUAGAAUGUUGGCUUAGAACCUCAUCAGAUGUGAACCAAUGAAGUUUGUAAAUGACCUCAUAAUGUUGUCCUUCCAUCUUGUUUGUGAUUUUAAGCUUUCAUGCACAUUCUGCAUUAUGAGGCUUUUGCAAUUCUAGAAAAUGAAUCAUGUCUUUUGCCCUUAAUACAAAAUUGUUUUGCAAUUUGUCUGCCUUUGCGAGAGAAGGGAACUUACUUUAUGUUGGUUUCAUGCUUUUACUCCUUGGUGGCAUCUUGCAUCUGAAUUUUUUGUAAGACAGUUGUCUGAAAUGGUUCCCCUCCCCCUGUCCCCAAAAGGGAAAAAGAAACAGAAGCCCUUCCAUACAAAAAACCAUUUAAGGGCUGUGGGUACCAUCAAUUUUGUAACUGAUGUAAUUGUCAGUUUUGGCACAGAUCAUGAGACCAACAAUGUUCAUGCAUACGCUUGCAGUGAAUCAAAGUAUAUUUCCUCUCAUCUCUUUUUUGCCUGAUAAGCUGGAUUGGUGGUUUUCAUUGUACUGUAGGAAAACGUAUUGCAACCUGUGGAAUUUGGCAAAGAAGCUCAUUUUUUAGUUCUCUAUCAAGGAGAAAGUUUAUUAUGCUUUCAAAGCAGAUCCAACUGCAGGUACGUGAUCUUUAUAGGUGUGCUUUUGCAUGAGAGACUCAUUUAAUCACUCCAAUGUCUGCUUAUUCUUAUUGGGAAAUAAAGUAUUUUUCAGGAAUGGUCUAGCACAGCAUCUGCAAUAGUAGUCUGUGUUAAAAAGAAUAUAUUUUGUUAUCACAAUUUUGUUAUAGUAGAGGAAGGAUGACAUUUUGGCCUUAAAAAAAGGAACAGAAAAGGAAAAGAAUGGAAUAAUUGUGAUCUUGACCAUCGUGAACAGUUCUGUUGUUUAUCAAUGUUUAAAAAAGUGUUGUCUUUUCUGUGUCCUGUUCUUAUCAGGUAUUUCUGAGACUGCAUAUUUUCCCUCUUCAUUAGCUUUAUGUAUUAAUGACUGGAUGUCAUCAUUGAUUUUCUCUUUGCAGGCAGAUUUUGCUGCUACAACUUUUUCUUAGGUGAAGAGUUCUUGAAUUUAGUUCCUGUUGGAGAUAGAUAUGCAACCCACAGGUGGUAAAGAUACCCAACUUCGUGAUAACAAUAGCCAGAAGGUCCAUCCACAACCCAUGGAAGAGGCCAUAAAUCAAAAUCCUGAAGCAUUGGAAGCACUAAUUUCUAGGAUUUUUACAAACAUUUCCUCCCUGAAGUCGGCCUACAUUCAGCUUCAAACUGCUCAUACUCCCUAUGACCCGAUAAAAUUCAAGCUGCUGAUAAACUUGUGAUUUCAGAGCUGAAGAAUCUCUCUGAACUCAAGCACUUUUACAGGGAGCAUAAUCCAAAACCUGUUUGUGUCUCUCCACAGGACUCUCGCUUGGCCGCAGAGAUCCAGGAGCAGCAGAGUCUAUUGAAAACUUAUGAGGUUAUGGUGAAGAAUUUCAGUCUGAAAUUCAGAAUAAGGACUCUGAAAUAAAUCAAUUGCAGCAGCAGAUCCAGGAGGCAAAUCAGAAGCGAGUAAAACUGGAAAAGAAUCUCAAGCUGAGAGGCUUGUCAGCCAAAGAAUCAGAAGGCUCAGGUGAUGAAAAUGGUGUCUUUUCUAUGGAUUUGACCCCUGACCUUAUCAAGUCAGCUGUGGAAGCUGCUUAUAAAGCCAUUCAUGAUUUCUCUAAGCCGCUAAUCAACAUGAUGAAAGCUGCUGGGUGGGAUCUUGAUGCAGCUGCAAAUUCCUUAGAGCCUGAUGUUGUUUAUGCUAAGAGAGCUCACAAAAAAUAUGCAUUUGAAGCCCAUAUUUGCCAACGAAUGUUCAGUGGUUUUCAGGAAGAAAGCUUUUCUCUGAAACUUGACAAUGUGACCAUGGAUAAAGGAAGUUUUUUCAACCAAUAUCUUGCCUUACGUGAUAUGGAUCCUCUGGAUGCUGUUGGGCAAAGCCCAGAUUCCCCUUUUGGAAAGUUUUGUCGGAGCAAGUACCUGGUGGUGGUUCAUCCAAAGAUGGAGGCUUCAUUUUUUGGCAACCUGGAUCAGCGAAACUAUGUGAUGGGUGUGUGUCAUCCAAGGACACCUUUCUACCAGGCAUUCUUGAAACUAGCCAAGUCUAUCUGGCUUUUACAUAGAUUAGCAAAUUCCUUUGACCCUAUGGUUAAGGUUUUCCAGCGUCAAGAAGGGGAGUGAGUUCUCUGAAGUGUAUAUGGAUAGUGUAGUGAAAAUUUUGUUAUUGAAGACGCUGACCAAAAGCCUAGGGUCGGUUUAAUGGUUAUGCCAGGAUUUUGGAUUGGAGGCAGUGUGAUACAGAGCCAAGUCUACUUAACAGGUGUGAUGGUUGCAGAAUGACUUUUGUUUGUACCAGUUGGAGUUCUGUCAAAACCUGCAUGUAUGUGCUGUGUUAAUUUCUGUGUUAUUUCUGUAUUUGGUAAAAUGUUUCUGUUGUAUUAUCUGCAUUUGCUAAGUUGAUAUGAUAUGUGAUUGAAGUUACUAUAUUGAUAUGAGGUGUAUUUUGGUCUUCUGCCAUUUUCUGAUUUGACGGCGACUCUUUUUCACACACACGCACAACAAGAGAGAGGCUAUUUACCUUCUGAGCGUUGGCAGUUAGUUUUGUGCUUGAUGUGGAGUUUCCAUUCCUAACUGGUAGUAUUAUGCAGAAAAUUCGUGAGCAUGCAUUUUCCUUCUCAGAUGUUUUAGACUUUAGAGAGCUUAUCAACUUGAAGUAGCUGACAAGGUAAACUUUGCCAUGACAUGAAGAAUUAGCAUUCUUAGCUAGUGAGGUUAUACGGACACAAUCCUAUUCCCAUGCUCUGAAUGUUCUUUUCCUGUUGAAGAAUUGCUACCACAUGAAUAGGUAAACUGAUUAUUUUUCAAUGCUCGAGUUUGAUGCAUGCUAUGUCGAUAGUUCCUUAAAUCUUUUAAAACUACUGCAACAGCUAUGCUGUUAAUAUACUCCGUCUCACUGCAUGCGUGGGUGAUUCCUGUGAAAUUUGAUCCAAUUGAGCCUUCUGAGAAGAGCCUCAUCAAAUUAUUCAGCUGUAUAUUGUUUCAGAAUUGGUACGAUUAAUCUCUCUGGUGUAACUGCAUGAGACCCACCGUGUGCACCUAAACUAUGAUUUUAAAGCAUGGGAUCUGUUUCCCCAGAUAUUUCUGAAAAAAGGGUGAAGAAAAUUGAUGAAUUGUCUUGUUGGGAGGGAUCUUGUUGCCAAUCAAGAGUCAGAAGCGAACGUCCUCUGUCAAACUCUCUAGAAGAACAGAAUUGCAAAAGUUUCUUAUUUCGAUUUUUAGGCUACAAGAAAUUAUUGACCUAGUGCAAGAUGCGCUAUGCAUGGACCAUGGUGUGUGCUGCUCACAGUUUUGAGCACAUGCUACAAAAGAGGGUCAUUAAUUAUAAAACCUCUAAUUUGGACGGGUUGAAAAAACUCCCUUUGAUUACAUCCAAAUCAAGCAUGAAAGCUCUUUUUUAACAGCUGACAAUUCACGAAAAGAAUUGGAAGCAAAGUUAUGUAGGGCACUAAAAUUUGAGUGAACAUAUUAUCCUUAAAUUAAUCCUACCUUGAACCCUUUUUUUGGUUUGAUUUUUCUGAGCAAAUCGUUCUUUGAACUUAUAUGGCAGUCAUAUUAGAAUAAGAGAGUCGCAAAUUUACUGUUAUAUGUAAGCUAUGAGUUUAUUUUGAACGUCAGUUAGAAUGAGUUUAUGGUACAAAAGAAAAUGUACCACAAGGGGAAAAUUAAGUCAGGAACAAAGAUUAUUGGGAUUUCUUGGGAUUGAGAACUUGAAACUUUACGCUAACAAUAAUAUCUUCUAUUGCUCAAGGGCCAGUUAAGGGACUUGAUUUAAAAUGAUUGGCAGCUGCAAGCUGAAGCCACUGGCCAAAUAAUCACACCAAAGCCAGCAAGAUGUUUAUCAAGUAAAGCUCUCUUCCUGUGAUAUUCCUGGCGCCGACAACUUGCCGCAGGCAUCGAUGGCGCUGCUUAGCAUUCAUUCUUGGUCAAACCAAACCAUAGGCGUUCAAACAAUAAUAUAAUCUAUAGCUAACGCCAUCGUUUUAAGAUCACUGGGAGAAUUAAUUAAUUAAUUUCAAUGACAUCUACAGCAACGGAUAUGCACUACAGCUGUUGAGUCACAAUUAAUGUUAAAUUGAGUACAGACAAAAUAAAUGCAGGAAUUAAUUGAACAUUUGAGAUCUCAGAAUUUAGAGAUUUUGGAUUUGAAUCGCAUCUCCUUUCUUCAUUUUUUUAAUUCCACUCCUUUCCUCCAAUAAACUACCAUGUAACUUUUGAUUCUUUUAUCUUAAAUGAAUUUUUUCAUCCCUUAUAUUCCCUCCGUCCCACUUUGAUAGUCCUGUAUUCCUUUUUCAUCUGUUCCAAAUUAUAGUCCACUUUCCAAUUGAAAAAUGUAGUUGUAUUUUAAUUUUUCUAAAAUACCCUUAUUCAAUGUGAGUAGUUGUUACUAUAAACCUACUCCAUUUAAUGAGAGUUGAUUCUUUUUUUACCAUCAAUUCAAGUUCCCAUAAAGUUGUAUCAUAUUUAAUGUGAGGUUAUUUUAGGAAAAUAGCAAUCUAAAUUUACUUUUCCAACAAAGUUAACUGCUUUUUCUUAAACUGUGUGAAAAAAAAAACAGGACUAUCAAAGUGGGACGGAGGGAGUAUUAGUAUUGCAUUUAUCUUGUGUAUACAUACACACAUACAUAAGUACGUACCGAUUAAAAUUUUUUCGAUAAAACUUUAAAAAAAUUUUCUAGCUAGGUGAACUUAGAGUAUAAAUGCCUAUUCUAACGCUAGGACAUGCAUGGAUGUGCACGUGAAUCCUAACGACAAUCUUGCCAGGCAUGACCUAUUUGGUCCAUUCGAUCAAGAUAAGCAUCAAUUUCAAACAGAUCAGAUUGCUUAGUUACCAGUGUACUUGUACUUAAAUCAUGGUUUCUGCUGCUGCUGGAGCCCUAUUCUCAUCAGCUUCCUGGAAGCUCCUCGCGCAUGUGCAAGGACCGGAUAUUUAAAACCCCAAACGUAAAGAAAAUAGUGUAGUAAACUUUAAGCUAUGACUACACGAGGAUGACUUGUGAGACUUCUAUAUAAAUUCUCAAGUCUUCUCACAUUUUCCCAUCACGAAAACCAUCGAAUCAAAUCGUGCUGGAUUUUUUUUUUUUUUUUUUAAAAACAUGGCAAAAAUUAGCUUCUCUUUCCUUCUUCUCCUCUCUGCUAUCUCCAUUGCAGCUGCAAUCGAGCUGACUUCAAAUCGAGGCUCUGGUUUCAGGGCUUUCAUCGAGCAAGAAUGCCGAGGCACCCAAUAUUUCCAGCUAUGCGUUCAUUGCCUUUCAAUUUUUGCGCAUUCCACUACACAAACACCAGAGCAAUUAGCCCAAGUUGCAUUGAAGGUGAGCUUGGUGAGGGCAAGAUAUGCAAGAGCUUAUAUAACCAAAGUUGCUCAAGAUUUGAGGCUAAAGAAGACCAAAGAUUACCAAGCCGUGCAUGAUUGCCUAGAGCAAAUCAAUGAUGGUGUGGAUCAGCUCACGAAUUCGGUUAAGGAGUUGGGAAGAAUGUCUAUAGCUACUGAAACUGAUUUCUUUUGGCAUCAAAGCAACGUUAAUAGCUGGAUGAGCACUGCAGUCACAGAAGCACUAACGUGCAUGGAUGGGAUCUCAGGGCAUGCAAUCGGAAGUAAAGUGAAAUCUACCAUUAGAGCAAAGGUCUUGAACGUGGCACAGGUUACUACCAAUGCUCUAGAUUUUUUUAACCGAUAUGUGUCAAGACAUCGAGCCUCUCAAUCUCAUAACCCCAAUCCCUGAGUAUAGAAACUCCCCCCUAUCUUUUUUUUUUUUUGGGGUUAUGUUUUUCUGAGUCCAAAGUUCCUGCUUUUUUUUUUUUUUCUUUUUUGGGUUUUGUAUUUUAAUUCAGACACGUGUAAGGUGAAAGACAUCUGUGAAUACAAAAUUUUGUACAAGAAAUGGAAUUAUAGAGGUUCUAUUCUUUCUUGUAGUUGAUUUAGCGAAUUCUACUUAAUUAUUUUACAUCUUCAUGUCAUCAUGUUUUUUAGAACUUUUAUUAUAAGUGGUAUUAGAAAAUUAUCCUUCGAGGUUUCUUUUUCUUCCAAUUUGGAGCUAACAGUCUGAACUUUGACAAAGCCUUAGUAGUUUAUGAUGGCAACACAAUUUACUGCUAAACUUAUAUGUGGGGUUGAAUUGGAUCAAAGGAAUCAAUCGAAACAAGUCAAUUAAUUAUUCGUACUAUUUUCCUGUCCACGUGAUUACCGAAACUAACUACGAAAUUCAAGUGAAUUUGAGAUCGUUGUCAAAGAUGUUUGCGAAGGAAACUUAGAUCAGCAGCAGCUGGUUAUGAAAGCUGCAAUUUCUUAAUUCACCUUUUUAUAAUUUCGAAAUUGUAAAAGAUUGAAAAAUUAAAGUUAAGCUUGUAAAUUCACACUGAUACUGGAAGCAUGCCUGCGUAGUGCGUGAAGGCGAAAACUAAGAAGACCACUCAAUAGUUUGAUGCCACAUUUAGAUUCCGUUCGUUUGGUUUCAGAUCAUGAAAGGGAGUUGCAUAGUCUAGCUACAAGAACAACAUUAAUCGAGAGACUUCCAUAUGAGACGCAUAAAUUCCUGGUGCCCUUUGCACCCUAUCAGGUUACGAGUUACGACACCAGUAUUUCUCUCUUUUCCACCCCACCCUUUCCUCGAAGGCAAAUCAUCAUGUUUCCUGAUAGUGUUUUACAUGCUUGUUCAUAAAUAAUAAUGCGCAUGCAAACGAUAUUUUGAUUUGGAAGAAGUCAUCAUCAGAUCAUCUCUCUUCUCCCAUCAUUCUUACCCUCCUUUUUUUCUUCAUAAUCCGUGGGGCUUAGUCUUCGUACCACUGGCUGAAGGUACCGACAACCAAUACAACUAGGUUAUAGUCAACCGCAAAAAAUUCAGUCUUUUGAAUACAAACCUCAUUUUCUGGGGCUUAUGCCGAUCACAUGAGUAGGAUUUUCACUGCCUUGUUCAUCAUGUUCAUUACUACCUUAGUUGGGACCGUUCCCCAUAGAGAGGUGAUAUAUAUCAUGGUUUUUCUGGAUCAUCGUCAAGCCAUCAUGACUUGAAAUCUCUCCAAAACAUCUGCUCUAUAGACAGUUAGUCUUGGUGGAAAGCUGUUGGUUUCUUGCAUUAUGUGGAUUUAUAUGCUCCAAAUUUGUACAGGCGACAGCUGGUUGCUUAGCUUUAGUUGGGAUUUUCUGCUAGUAUUUUUCUUCAAAGUUGAUGGAAGUAAUUUAAGAGUUUAGCUGAAGUAGUAGUAUACUAUUUUAUAUAGAUGGCUCUUUCUCUGUGCUCUUCUUGUGUACAUUCAAGCCCUAUUGAAUAAAUAUUCGUUUUACCUAAAAAAAAAAAUAAUAAAGUAAGAAAUCUAGUGCUUCACAGCGGUCUUACAUUAUGCCUUGAUAUGUCAAUCAGUAAGAAGAUCUGCUAUUUUAGUGCUUAAUUACUUUCACCCUCGGCAGUUGAUAAAUAGGUAUGAAAGGAAAGAACAGGUAUCUAAGAUUUUCUUUAAUGAUUUUUAGUGGCAAUUGAUAGUGUGAGAAAACUCUGCAACAAUGGAAAUCAAACUAGGAAGUAAAGAAGCGCUACUCAAAAUUCUCAUAAAUAUUGACUCACAAGCUAAUAGCUCCACAGCAUUUGCAAAUAUUACCACAUUUCCCCUUCGUUUGCAUUCCUCAAGUGCCACUAGAUCCUGACUGACAUCUGUAUCCCGAACAGGAAAAAUGUCAUUACGUCAAAAAGUGCUAUUGAAGUUUACACAUCAAUUGGCAAUUCUAAGUGCUAUUAAAAGCCAAAAUUUCUUGUAGUCUUUAUCUCCAAUUUUUGCAAAUUAUAACCUUAAUUAAUUCAUACUUAUUUGGGAUGAGACAUUGACCUAAUGAUCAAGGUUGAGACCCCAACAUUAAAUCUCUUGAAAACUAAGCUUUACAAAAUGUGAGUUUACCCUAAUUAUAUGUUAGUUUACAUAUAAUCUGCCACAGCUCCCUUUUUCAGUUUUAACAUCCUUGAGCCGGUGGAAGCAGUCUAGACCCGCCUCUGCUAACUGCUGAAGUGCUCACUAGUACUAGACAAGCAUCUUCGCAGGUUCAUUCUUGUGGACUAUUACAAGUAUGUUAGUUUUCUAUGUAUCUGUGUGAGUACAGAUAAUACAACAUCAACAGCAUAUAACACCAUAGGCAGCUACGUUAUAUGCCAGGAGAUGGACCAACUCUAAAUUACGUCAUUUUUUCUUUCCCUUUUUCUCAACGAUGCAACAAUCUAUACUGCUCGUCUUAUGAGGGAGAGGGAGUUCAACUGGAGCUUGUCUGAAGGUUGUAUUGCGGAUGCUCUAUCAAAUUAAGGUAUAACGAGUAAAUUAUUGUAUCUAAAAUUGCAAAAUGGUAAUUCUCAGGAAGUAUUUGGUAAGACACACUGCCCUGUUUAAGUACCAAUUUUCUAAACAGAAUCAUCUAUAUAUGCAAUUAAUUGCAUAAUAACUCACUACAAAUAUACCUACAAAUAUAGCUACUAAAUAGACAAUAAAAUAGAUCACCAGAAUUUAACAAGAUUCGGCUAAUUUGCCUACAUUCUCGAAUACCAAUGACAACUUAAUAUUUCACUAGAAGAAAUAUUACAAAGAGAGAGAAGGAAACAAGUUAUAAUUCUCUUGCUUGGUAUAUUUUAUCCUAUCAAAGGAUUCUUCUAUUUAUAGUUCACAAAUGAGAAAAUUUCUAACAAAACUAACGCUAUGGGAUGUAGAGUUUGUGCACGAUUGUCAACAAUUGUAACUUUGUACAAUUGAUAAUUGUGGCUAUUGAGCCAAUAAAUCAACAAAUCUUCACCUUGGCGAAAUCUCUACAUCUUCAAUGCCUCACUCUUCUCCAAACAUUCGAUGGUGUAUUCAAAUGCGCUGUUAAGUGUCAAUCUUCAAGUUGUGCACAACAUUUAUUAAAUUCAAACAAUGUUGGAAUUUGAUAUUUGUUGUGCACAACUUGAAGAUUGGCACUUGACAACGCAUUUGAAAACACACCGAAUGUUGGGGGAAGAGUAAAGCAUUGAAGAUGUAUAGAUUUUGCCAAGGUGGAGAUUUGUUGACUUAUUAGCUCAAUAACCACAAUUGUCAAUUAUGUAACUCUACAAUUAUUGACAAUCGUGCAAAACUCUACAUCCCACAUCGUUAGUUUUGUUGGAAUUCUCUCAUUUGUAAACUAUAAAUAGAAGGAUCCUUUGAUAGAAUAAAAUAUACCUACAAAUAUAACUACUAAAUAGACAAUAAAAUAGAUCACCAAAAUUUAACGAAGUUCGGCUAAUUUGCUUACAUCCUCGGACACCACUGACAACUUAAUAUUUCACUAGAAGAAAUAUUACAAAGAGGAAGCUCUACCAAAUUAAGGAAUAAUGAGUAAAUUAUUGUACCUAAAAUUGCAAAAUGGUAAUUCCCAAGAAAUAUUUGGUGAGGCACACUGGCCUGCUUAAUUACCAAUUUUCUAGAUAGAAUCACCUAUAUAUACAGUUAAUUGCACAAUAACUCACUACAAAUAUACCUACAAAUAUAGCAACUAAAUAGAUAAUAAAAUAGAUUACCAGAAUUUAACGAGAUUCAGCUAAUUUGCAUACGUUCUCAAACAUCAUUGACAACUUAAUAUUUCACUAGAAGAAAUAUCAUAAAGAGAGAGACGGAAGCAAGUUAUAAUUCUCUUACUUGGUAUAUUUUAUCCCAUCAAAUGAUUCUUCUAUUUAUAAUUUACAAAUGAGAGAAUUUCUAACAAAACUAACGAUGUGGGAUGUAGAAUUUGUGCACAAUUAUCAACAAUUGUAACUUUGCACAAUUGACAAUUGACAAUUGUGGCUAUUGAGCCAAUAAGUCAACAGGUAGGAGGUGAAUCUCCGGACCAAAUAAGUGCGAUACCGCGCUCUCUAAAUUUCUUAAAAUAAAGGAAGCAUGGUGCUUCCUGUAAUGCACUAGGCAGGCGUCACUUAACUACGUUACUUAGCCUUGAGAUUUUAACACUUAAUAGUUAGUUUAUGUGAAUGGUUGCCGUCCUUGAACCCUUUCAGAUCAUGAGUCAAAAGACUUUUCUCUCUUUCUGUUUUGUUGUCAUUUUCCCCCCUUCUCCCUUGACAAGCUGAAAUUAUAAUGUUUCCUGAAAGCGCUACACACUUUUUUAUUUCAAAAGAUAUUCACAAAUUUAAUUUGAAUGAAGUCACCAUCAACUUUUUUCCCUCUUCAUCCCUUAUUGUAACUAUAAAUACAUGCACAACCUGUGAAGCUUCAUUCACACCACUAGUUACAGGGUACCAAACUAUCAACACAGGUUGCCUAUAAUCAGUGAUGGAGCCAGGGUUUUUUUGGAUGGGGGCAAAAUUUUUUCCUAAUAAAAUUAUCUUAAUAUAUUAUGUUCGAAAUAAUUUUCUUCUAUUUAAAUAUAUGACAUCUAAAAAUAUCAAAUAUUAAAUUUAAUUAUAAAGGUAUAUCUAUUCAUAAAUAUGCGGUACAGUCAUAAUAAAACUUAACAAAAAAGAUAAUCUUUGAUUAAAUAUCUUAUAACAUUACAAACCAUUUAAUUUAUACAUUAUGAGAAGAUGCUCUCCAAUAUAUCACCUAUGCAAAUUUCAACAUCUUUUCUUAUAAGUAAAUUGAGCUCUACGCUCUUUCACAGAGUUAAAUUCAUCUAUGAUUGAAUCACUGCUAAAUUUUCAGCAACUUUCUUUUAUAUAUAUACAGUUGGACAAUCAUUCAAGAAAUUAUCUUCCAUCUUGUUUUGGAGCUUUGUCUUGAUUAUUUUCAUAAUUGAAAAUGUUCACUCUGUAGUUGCAAUUGAUACAGAAAGAGUAAAAACAAAUCUGAUCAAUCUAUCAAUAAGAGGAUAUGUCACUGAUUUUUUGUCUUCACUAAGUCUUGACAUAACUCAUGAAUACCAGAUAAUUCUUGCAAGUCAGGAUAAUUUGAAAUGUUGAGUUCAAAAUAUUGAAAUUCUAUUAUGAGACCUACUAGUUCUUUCUCCAUAAAAUCAUUCGGAUAGAACUUCUCUGCAAGUUUACAAAUAUCAUCAAUCUUGAACAGCAUAAAUCCAUUUAUAGAAUCUAAAGCAGUGCUCAAAACAAGAAAUUCCACGGCAUGAUCAUUAAACCUGUUAUGUAACUCUUGCAAUUGAUAAUCAAUUGUUGCAAGAAAUAUAUCCACUCGAUAAUAAUGCUCCACACUAAUCUCAUCAUGAUGAUUUCGAGAUCUACCACGUCUUGCAAUAUAUUGAGCAUUCAUAUCCGGGAUAUCAAUUUAAUGUUGCUCACAAAAUAAUUUAAUUUUCACCAAAAAAUCAUCCCAUUUUGAAUCUCGAAAAUUCUUCAGUAGCUUUGUUGUGCUUGAGACAAGAUGCAUUGCAUUCAAAAUAUCUUGAGAUUUACGUUGCAAUGCUAUACAAAGAAGAUGAGUAAUUUUCAUAAUGUCUUUUUUAAAAUGCAAAGUGAAAACAAGCUCAAAGGAUAACAACUGAUUCAAAGCAAAAUUUGCAUCUCCACGUUAAGAGUAUGAACCUCCAUUUACUGCAAUGUUACUUAAAACCACACAAGUAGCAUUGAACAUUUUCAGUAAACUAGAAAUAGAAUUCAAAUGAGAAUCCCAACAAGUAUCUCCAACUCGUUUUAAAGUGGCAAUUUGAUUAAGCCCCUUUCCAGUUUCAAGUUCACCAUUAGCAAUCUUAGUAGCAAUUUCAAUUGCUUGAGCCUCCUUUAAUUCAUCAUUACAUUUGCUAGAUGUAAUAACAAUGUUGAUAAUAAAAACUAAAUUGGAGAAGAAUUGGUGAACAGAAGCUACUUCUCUAGAAGCUGCAACUAAAGCAAGUUGAAGUCUAUGGGCUAAACAAUGAAUGUAAUAGGCAUAUGGACAUUCAUGGCAAAUUAAAGCUUGCAAGCCAUUCCAUUCACCUCUCAUAUUACUAGCUCCAUCAUACCCUUGUCCACGAAUGUUAUGAAUGGCCAAAUUAUGUUGAGAGAGAGUAGAAAAAAUAGCUUCCUUCAAAGUUAAAGCCAUAGUAUCACGGACAUGAAUAACACCAAAAAACUGUUCGCGGAUGCAUCCUUCCUUAUCUACAUAUCUCAAAACAAGAGCCAUUUGCUCUCUUUAGGACUCAUCACGAACUUCAUCAACUAUAAUGCAAAAUUUUGAAUUUCCAAUUUCUUGGCAAAUUUUUUUUCUAACCUUAUUGAAAAAUAUAUAAAGAAUCUCCUUUUGAAUUUCAGAAGAUGUAUAGGAGGCAUUGGAUGGAGCAUUUUCUUGACCAACAUUUGCAACCUGUCCAUUAAUAGAGCAUAAUUAUAAUUUUAUAAAGAUAAUAACUAAAUGGAAGCAUAUUAUGAAUUAAAAAGAAUUCUUUUAAGCAUGGAUAUUAUAUAAAUUCAAGAAAGAAUGCAAAGCUGGAAGAAAAUCAUUCUUACCUUAUCAUUAUAAGAAGCCAACAACUUGAUAAGUUGAUGAAAGUUUCCACGAUUAAGAGAUUUUUCACUCUCAUCUCGUCCUCGAAAGGCACAACCUUGAAGUGCAAGCCAUUGCACUACAUCAAUUGAAACUUGAAGCCUUAAUCGAUUAAUCUCAACUUGCUCAAAACUUUGUUUCUCAAUGAAAGUUCCAAUGUGUUGAGAAGCAUACAUCAAAUCAUUGCAUGCAUUUACCGCAAUUCUGUGAAAUGAGUUAGGACUUUUCCCCACAUGUAGUAAGAAAGCACAAUUAUCUCCAUUAUUGACCUUCUUCCAAUUGUUAAAGCCACCAAGAACAAAUGCACUUAAUUCAACUCGUCAAUUUAAUUCACAUUUCAUAAGUUAUAUACAACUCUAGCAAAUUAUCAUAAUAAAUUAUAUAUAUGCAUUAUAUUAGUAUUUCUUUGAACCACAAAUAAAGUAUGGAAUCACAAUUUUAAAUGAUACACACUUAUUAAACAAUAAAAUACUUUAUACAUGUCAAAUUAUUUUUCUUGAGAAAAAUAUACUACAAAUGUAGUAUAAUAUCACAAUUUUGAUACUAGAAAUGUAUUUUACAAGAGCAUAAGAUAAUUGGAAAGAGGGAAAGGUUAAAUUUCAUAAUAAAUUAAUUAUAAAAAGGAAAAGGUUUGGUACAGGUACUAAAGAAUGGAGCCACUUCACUUCAAUUUAUUAGAUUCUACUUUCUAGCACCAAGUGACCAAGCCACGGAAGCCACCAAACGGUCCAAUUGUCCAAACCAAUCACCCGACACCUUUGAUGAAUCUUCUUUGAAUCUUUAUUGUAUUCUUUUCCAGUUCUCUUGUCUUCUUUGCUCUUUUCAUUUUACUUUUGUUGGCAACUACCAAGUACCACCGUGAAAGAAAGAAAGAAAUGAAAAGUGACCCACACUUUCCUUUUUGAUCCGCAGAACAGAGAAGUAGGCAAGUAGCUUACUUUGUAAGCUUUUCUUAGAAUAGUAAAGAUAAAAUAAUUUUUUAAAAUCCUUUAUCCAUUGGGCUAAGUGAUAUAUUUGUAUUUGGGCCAACAAAAUAAUUAUUUUUAUUUUAGCCCAUUAACAAUUAUGAAUUGGAUCUUUUUAGUCUAAUACAUCAUAUUGGAUCAAUUUACUAUGGAACAUCAAAUUAUAUGUUUAAUUUUUGAAAGCUAAAUAAUUAGUACAAUAAAAAAUAAAUAAAUAAAAAAAUUAAUUCAAAUAUGACUAAUUCAUAUAUAUAUAUAUAUAUCAACUUUCAUAAUAUAAACUAAAAUUAUAAAAAUUUAGGGGGGACCAAUUUUAUUUUACACACAUAUUUACAUAUUAUGAAUUAAAAUUUUUAAAACUUAGGCCCCCCUCUGCCCCCCUUGGCUCCAUUAUUGCCUAUAAUCAACUGAAAAAAAAGUCUGUCGAGGAUCAAUACUACCAUCAUCUUGCUGGCAGCGUCGUUGAAGUUGAUUUUAGUGGCCAUGUAAAAGUACUCGCUCAACUACAAAGGUAUUAUUGGGCUUGAAGUGAACUGUCUAUGGCGAUCAAAGUUUUCCUUUGCUUUUACACAUAUCACAUUUGUACCCAUGGAGCCUUUGUUUACCACAACCAACUAUAGAAGUGCACGAGCUAACGAGUCCAUUGUUCUUGCUAACACCUUGAGAAAGAUCAAUCCCAGUGGAGUGGAAUCGUAUUUAUUUUUCUGAUUACCAGUAUUGCAUAUCGCGGGGUUGAACAAGUUUAGGAAGGUGCCAUUCUUUCAACCAUCUUUCAUCCACAACACAUUUUUAAAGCCAAAAUCUUAAUUGAACUUACACCGCUCCAAAUCAUGCAAGAGAGAACUUGUUCAUUUUUUUUUCUUCAAUCUCUCUGUGUUUUUUUUUUUUUGGGAACUUAUGUAGUUCAUUGACUUGUGCACUCCAUAAAUCAUGUGACUUGUCAAAAAGGGUUAGGUGCUAAAGAGUUUGAAUUGUUAACUCACAAUUUUGCCUACAAAUAAUCAGGUCAUCCAAUGACAAAUGGACCAGUUUUUUUCUUGUUAUAAUUAAGAAUUUUAAAGCAAAGGAAGCUGGCGUCCUCUCAAGGUCAAGCAUAGCACAAGCACACUUAUAUAGCAAUUAAUUCUUAUACAUCUUCACGGACUUCACUCUCAAGAGAAAGAGAGGACAUGAAUAUUUGUCAAUUAUCUCAACAUGAUAUACUUCAUUGUAAAUAGUUUGUCCAUUUCUCAUACAUGCUAGUUGUGUAACUUAUUUAUUUUUUUAAUUAAGCAUCAAUAAUUUACACCUACUUCUACUCUUACAUUAUGAGAAAGGGAACAAAUCUGAUUGAAUCAUUAGAAAGUAAAAAUUGGAAGGGAACUAAACUACCUUUGAAUAGAGCUGCUAAAUGGAACGAGCAGCUCGGAAGUUCAAUUGAGUUCAACUCGGUAAGGCUCGAUAAUUGUGAUAAACGAGUCGAGUUCAAGUUUGAAAUAUGCUCGUUUAAUUAACGAGUUUCAUUUGUUAUCCGAGUAAUUCUAUUGGACUUGAUAAAGAAGGGCAUGUAUGUCAUUUCACAAUUCAAAAGAAUAAAAAUUAAAAAUUAUAGAUUUUUAUUGUGGUUAAACUCAUGCAAGUUCGAUUCAUUUGUGAUAAACCAGUUGAACUCAAACUCGAGUUAUACGUCUCAUUUGACAAUCUGACUUCAAACACAUUUUAAAACUUGUCGGCCUAGUCGAGCGAGCUUGAGUCGGCCUCGAGUUUAGCUGGCAAUCAAAUUCUAGGCUUGAUUGACAGCACUACCUUUGAACGAGACAAGUACCCUUCGGCGCGGUUGAAUUUGGAGAAGUCACGUAUGCCAAAUUAUGUGCUCGGCCCAUACUGAUAGGAAGCAAAUUAAUACAGAAAUGAGAAGGCAUCAUGUUGAGUUGAGUCCUGGUGGAUCCGGGAUAUAGAAUCGGAGCAGCAGUGCUAGCGGGAAAUUAUAUACAAAUCAAAUCACAUUUCAGAUUUUCUCUUUUCUUCAGUUGCUCGUUCUGAGAUAGAAUUCAAUUGUCUCUCCCUCCCAAGAAAGAAAAAGAAAGGAAAAAAAAAAAGAGAGAAGUAAAGAGAGAAUGGCGGUGGCGACUAAGGUAGCAAUCGAAGAUGUAGUGAAGCAAGUGGUAAAUGAAGACGAUGACGAACGAGAUACUUGCCACAUCGUUAUGCAGAGAUACUUCCUCCAAGAAUGGAAGAUCGUUAAGUCCCUUCUCGACGACAUCGUUGCUGCCGGACGCGUCUCCGACUUCUCCUCUGUUCGCAAGAUCGAUCCAUUGUAAAUGCUCAAUGCUCAAUGCUCACCUUCACCUCACACUCAUCCACACACUUGAUUCAUAUUAUUAGAAUCGAAUUAGAUUUUUUUUUGGAUGGAAUCAGCUGAAGUAUUCAAAGACAAUCUGAUAUAGGAAAUGGAUGUAAGAAAGUUUUUUUUUUCUUUUUUGGGUCUCGCAAUUUUUGGGAUAAUAACUUGGGGCAAUAAAGUGGGAAUCUUUCGUUGAGAUUCUCUAAUGGAAUGAUUGUCAUUGUACAAAGAUUAUUACUUGGGCAAAAUUUGUAAGUUUCGAAAAUGUAGAUUAAUACUUAUCGACUAGCUCCUGCUAUCCUAGUUGGAUAGAUGGUCAAGUGCUGCUUUCUAAUUGAUAACGGGUGAUUAACUAGUAUACAUAAUUACUUAUGCACGUCUAUCCUUCUUACAGCUUGUUUUUGGAGGAGAUUGUCAUUUGCGAUUACAGCUAAUUUCUGUUUCAGCUGAAUAAUUGUAUUGCUGCGUUCUUUGCUGCAAGUAGCCAACUUUCAGAAGCACCCAGAGCUGCUUCUGGAAACAGCCUUAGUUUUUUUGAACAUUUAAAGGAAAAAUGUGGUUUCAUUUUGUUUUCCGCAGAUUUUCUGUAAACUUCUUAGUCUAUUAACCAAUGGACAGGAUGUCUUCACAUAUUGUACCAUAGUUAUGAUUAUAAGUAAAGUGCUUUUUACAAGAUUACAUGAACUUGUUUGGGAGAAGGGGUAAUAUUCAAUGUGAAGAUUCUUAAGAUGGUUAGGAUAAGGCGGUGAAGAGGAUGUUCUAGGACUAUCUGAAUAAAUGUGUUAGAAUUUCAGUUUCUCAAAAAUUUGUUACUAUAUGCUUCAUAUGUUUUGUACACAUAAGGAGAAGCUUCUAGUAUGGAGUUUGUCGAUUGAAUUAUAGGAACUGUGGUGGACAAUCAGUGAUAAACUCUGUCAGAAAAUUUACUCAUCUAUUGGCUACUCCAGUUUGCGGGAAAAUCAGUACUCUGUCAUCUUAUGUCUAUUUAAAUUUUUUUGAAGCUCUUGUAGUGCAUGGGUGUAGCUAUUCCUUGACAUUCUAGAAUGUGCGCUUUUGCAGCUGGACAAGUAUCAGGAACAAAGUCAACUGGUAGAGCCUUAUCUGGAGCACAUUGUUCCUCCAUAAUGUUUAUUAUUCGCUCUCAAACCGCUGAACUAGGGGUGGCAUCAGAGGGAAUUCUUGAUGUGAUCAAACCUUUAUCCAUCAUAAUUUAUUCGUCGUAACAGUCUGUGGUUAUAAGGCUGUCAUCAAGUUCUUCCCACACCAGGUUUCUGAUUUAGAACUUGCAGUCAGUCUCUUGGAGAAAUGUCACAACACUGAUUCUGGAACAUCACUGAGGGAAGAAAGUACAGGAGAGAUGGAGGCAAAAUGCGUGAUUCUACUCUGGCUUUCAAUUCUUGUGCUGAUUCCUUUCGAUUUAUCAUCUGUUGAUACUAGUAUGGUCGAUGGUAAUAAUGUUGACAGAGGAGAGCUGCCUCCCCUUGUACAAAGGAUUAUAGGGUUUGCAAAAGAUUAUUUGUCAAGUUCAGGUCCAAUGCGUACAAUCGCUGGAUUAUUGCUCUCAAGGCUUUUGACUCGCCCUGAUAUGUCAAAGGCUUUUUCCAGGUCUCUUUCUUAUUUAUAGUAUCUCCACCCACUUGUGUCUUAAUUAAAUGAAAUGGUUUAGGCUGCUUAUUAGAUCAAGUGAUUACCAUUGCAGAGCUCUUGAUUUAUGCUCUCUUGAACUCUGUAAACAAAAGGAUUAUAGAACUUGGAUGAAUUUUUUUUUUUAAUAUUUAUCAGGUUAAAGGCAUUUAGUAUCUGGGAUUAAGAAACCUGCACAAAUGGCAAACACUCUUAAAGAUGUUAUACUGGUUGAUAGUGGACUGGCAAAGGCUAUAGUUAACCUUUUAUCCCCUUUUUUGACUUAAAGGUUUAUUGAACACUAAAAUAGAUCUAAUUAUUUAAUCUUCUAGACUAAACGAGGACAGUAAAUGAUUAUAGUGAGGUUUACCAGUUUAUCUGUUUAAUUUGGUGUUUUGAAGAGAUUUGUUUCAUCUUAGAUUCAAUCAACUUUCUACAACUUUGUUGCUUUUCUUAGUUAUUUAUUUUUUCAAAUUAAUUAAGUUGGUAUUCUUUCUUUGUUUCUUUUCUUUUCUGUUUUUAUUUUUUAUUUAUGUAUUUAUUUAUUUGUUUGCAGCUUUACUAAUUGGACCCAUGAAGUUCUAUCUUCUCAGACAAACGAUGUUACUGAUCAUUUCCGAUUAUUAGGUGCAGGAGAAGCUUUGGCUGCCAUUUUUAAGGUCUACUUUUGGUUCUCUUUGUCACUAUUCUGCAAAUAAAUGAUUUCUGGUUUAAAUUGGGAAUAAAAAAGGAUGUUUUUAAAAGUGUAACUGAUGUUAGCUUUUGGCAUUGAUGUUUCAUAUGUAUAUAAUUUCCAUUUGAUUUUGUUUAUGUCAGCUAGAUGUAUUAAUGCUAUUUGGUUUUGGAUUUAUCUUACAUCAAAUCCUUGGUUGUGGUACAUGUCCUUUUUUCCCUUUUUUUUUGGGGAGGUGGGGGGUGUUGGCAAGAAGGGGUUGGAGAGGCUAAAUUUUAGCUUGUCAUUGGCUCCUUUCAACUUAGUAUCUGCAUCUAAGAUGUUGUCCAUUUUUUGGCUAAAAGUCACCUUUGUGUUGCCCCUUUACAUGGCAUGCAUGUUUCAAGGCCUCAUUCAAUCUUCUUAUUACCAAAGCAAGGUACUAAAAAAUUGGACUUAACUUCACUAACAAGUAGAAAGUGAAUCAAUGCAUAACUGGGGAAAACACCUGAAGAACUAAAUUAUUUGUUUUCACUAAUACAUCUAUCUCAACAGGAACUUGGAUGUUAAUUUUCCAUAGUAUCCUUGUUUGUUAAUAACUGUUUGUAUUUUUGAGUCUUGGGAGUCCUAUUUUCAGAACUUUUUUGAAUAUGCAGACUGGCAGCCCUAAACUGCUACUUGAAGUGGUUCCAACUGUUUGGAGUGACACAUCAGCUUUGAUGAAGUCGAACACUGCAGUUCGUAGUCCUUUACUUCGCAAAUUCUUAGUGAAGCUAUCUCAGCGGAUUGCACUUGCUUGCCUGCCUAACCGUCCACCAUCAUGGCACUAUGUGGUUAGAUAUGCUUCAUUAGUUUUAAAAUCAAUCUAUUUACAUCUUACAGUUUCUUCCUUUGAUUGUCUUUGAGUUUAUGGUGUCACCUCCAACUUUUCUUUCCAUAUAUUCCAUUCUCGAUGUCCAGAAUUGUUUUCAAACAAUCUAUGAAACCUAUUCUCAUCGCUUUCUUGAAUUGCCUCCCAUCCUUUGUUAGUAAAAGAUGAAAUACUUCAAAUAAAUGUAUCCCAUAUUAAGAUUGCUAUGUGGUAAGGGAUCAGAAUGCCUGAUAAUGUGUUGAACUAUUCAGGGGUGGCUUCUUGCACAAGUCAUUGAUGUGACAAGGCAUUCUGCUUCUGUUUUUUGUCAUUGACUACUUCAUCAUUCUUCCAAAAAUGACAUCUAUGGUGGAAUCUUAGAGGCUUUAAUGGUUUUGGGAGCUUUAGAUCUUUUGUCUUGGUUUUUUUUUGGUUCUCUAUUUAUGCUAGUAUUCUGCUCUCUCUGUUGAAAACAAGCUAUUAUUUUUAAAAAAAUUCUAAAGUUUCUGUGUACAAGAAUCAUGUUUUAACUAAGACAUGUUUUGUGUGUAGGGUAGAACUAGCACUCUUGAAGAGCAUAUCCCUUCAGGUGUCCCCAAAAGUGAUCAAGGCAAUGAUUCUUCAAAGAUUUUUUCUAACUCUUGCGACCAAGAUGAAUGCUGCCCUCAAGAGGAAGAUAUGGAUGUUCCAGAAAUAGUGGAAGAGAUUAUUGAACUACUGCUUUCAGGACUGAGAGACACGGUAUGUUUGCAGGGUGAGAUUCUACCAUAAUCUAACAAUUCUUUAAGAGCUGUCUCCAGCAGUUUGUUUGAUGAUGACCUAUAAUUCAGGCAGCGGCUGAGACUGCUGCACUGAGGCAGCUGUUUUCUGCCUUCUCACUCAUUUCCUGAGAAGCUGUAAACACCAUUUAAGUAUUUUCCAAUCAUGAGGUCCUUUUGCUGCCACCCAAGUGCUGGCAAUUUGAAGGGCUUGCAACUCCUGUUUAUAUCCUAUAUUCUCUUUGCUUGUAAUGUUCCUUGCAAAGAUUGUUGUAACAUGCAUUUGAAACUGAAGUUUGUGUCAAAAGUUUAUUAUGCUUGACCCCUUACGCUAAAGUAGCUGUUCUUUUUCCAUAGUGAACAGUAGAUGACUUGAGCUGAGUUUUCAGACUCCCUAUGUAGCUUAUGUACCAGCAUUGAAUGAUGUAUUUCAAACAGACAGUCAUGAAUGACAACCUAUUGGGUUUUUGAGUGGUUGAUAUGUGCUAAUUGUUUUAGUGGCUGGGAUUCUGUAAUUGGAUGUAUGACCAAGCUUCUUUCACACUUAGUAUUUUCUCACCAUGUACACGUGGUUGUGGUAAAAACUAGAAUAAGCAGAGUGGAUUCAUGGUUGACAGUAAAAGUAGAAACACCGAGUGAAGGUUGUCUGGCCUGCUAGAUAGAUUCCUGGUAUUUCUCUCAUACUUGUGACAAUUGCGAGCUUGUUUAGAUUUGAUAUGGUAAGUCAGCAAAUGUUGUUUUCUGCUACAAAUUAGGGCAUUUGCAAGGUUUGAUGGCAGCUUCUAGAAUCAAAGGUUCACUUCUUUCAAUGCAUUGUGUCGUAUCUUGAAAGCAUGCUUAACAAUUGUGACUGCUGAGUAAUAAGCAUCUAAAUGAAUUUUGAGAUAAAUUGUUGGGAAAUUUCCAAAGAAUCAAGUUCUUGAUGAAUAAUGUUUUCAUAUGAAGGCCCCAAAAAAAAGUAUUGUAUAUGAAGUCUUAUGAGUUAAUGUAUCCAUUGAAAUGCUCCUUAAAUUUGUUAUCUGUUACAAGUCAUAGAAAUUGGAUGCAUUCUCUUGCUUCAAAAUUUUGCUGUGUUUUGUUUAUCAAUUUUCCUUUAGUAGAUUGCACAAAGCAUUUCAAGAUGUUGACAAACAGGUAACAUUUAUGGAUAAAGUAAGCCUUGUGAUUUCUGUUUUCAAUGAUGAUGUGAAUGAGUAAAUCUCCAAACCAUAUUACCAGCCAAAAGUGCCAGCUAUUAGCAUGUUGGAAACUCAUAGUUACUAAGGACAACAACAUUGGUUUUGCAUGAGAGUUAUAGCUUGACCAGUUUCAUGCGUUUGCCUUGUUAGUUGGCCUAGAUGGUCAAACCAAGAGCUGGUUAUUCAGCAUCCUGCAAAAGGAGUUGUAAACUUCCUUUCCCUUCAGGUCUACGGGGCCAAUAGUGGGACUGGUUGCCUGCCCACAAACUGAGAAGGUUAAGUGCUGAAUAAAUUCCUAGGUGCAAAUGUUAGGAACUUAAUUUGCACCUGAUGGUUAAAUCGAUAACAUGUAUAAAUAGGUAUACAACAUUUUAUUAUAAUGUGUUAAUAGGAUUACUUUUUUCUAGUCUAUUACAAGCGAACCUGAUAAAAGGAUUUCACUGGUGGUUGCAUGGUAAUUAUCCCGGCUUGCGUGUGUAAAGAAAUUUUUCCCUAAUGAUGUGUUUGAGAUUUAUUUAAUGCUUUUAUGAAUACUAAGGAGCAACAACAUAAAUGGUAUGCAUUUGUGGGCUAAGGCUGUCAGGUUACUUAUUACUUUGGUAUAGUUACUUAUUACUUUGGUAUAAAGGUUUUACACCUUUUACUUUAUCCUUUGAUAUUCAUGGCUUAGAGCUUCAUGAUAUUCUUGACUAUUGCCUUUGAGAAAUAAGCCAUUUUAUACUCUGUAACAGGGUAUAUUUUUUUAAUCUCUUGGCUUCUCAUGUACACAAGCCUUAAGUUUGUGCUCCUUUAUUCAAUUUAUUAGUGCUUUUAUGUGGUUAAGUUUUCUGCAUUUUAAACAUUCACAUUAUUUACAUACAGAAAUUACUUAUCCUUAGUUUCUUCCAAUGUUUGUGUAAGUCAGCUCUCAUCAAGUGACAGUUUUGACAUUGGUGACUUUUUAUGAUUUUUAUGAUGUAGGAUACUGUUGUGCGCUGGUCUGCUGCGAAAGGUAUUGGUCGCAUUACUUCACACUUAACUUGCACACUUGCAGAUGAAGUCCUUGCAUCUAUACUGGAGCUAUUUUCACCUGGCGAGGUAAGCUGAUGCAGUGUUAUUUAGUCUGUUCAUCUACAAUUUAAUAAGUAGGAGCAGUUUUUCAAAUAUAUUUUGACAAUACUAAAGUGAAAUUGUAAUGUAAAUAUAAAUUAAAGGAAAAUAUAGAUAUGUUAACUAAAAGUUUGACUUCAUUAAGGCUUUGUUUGGAUGGAAAGUGUAUCCCUAGGUUAUUUGAAGUGAAGCAAAUAGUUUGCUUUACUUUCGGUGCUUGUGUAACAAAUUGUUGGGCAUUCUCAUGGUAAAGAGUAUGAUCCUUGAUGGCUUUCUAUAAAAUCUUGAAAUUCUGAAAGACACAAUGUAUAGCAAUUUUCUUUUUCUUUAGGAAAUUAACCAUUCACUUUCAUGGAAACCCUGGAUGCUUGCUGGGAAAUUUAGCAAACUUUGCCAUUCUUUCCUUUUCCUUUCCCAGAUUAUUUGUUUAAGAAUACCUGUGGAUAACAAUUAUUAAGUUUGUGCUUGAGUGCUUACCUCCUGGUAAUGUAUGAAUCUAAGCAAACUUUGCUUCAGUUAAUCUCUUACUUUUAUAUGUUAUACUGUGUCCUCAUUUGGUAGGGCGAUGGUUCCUGGCACGGUGGUUGCUUGGCCAUGGCUGAAUUGGCACGAAGAGGAUUACUUUUGCCAUCAAUUUUUGUAAAGUUGUGCCAGUUGUUGUGAAGGUUUGCAGCUUCUGUCAUCUCAUAUUUUUCUCUUAUUGCUUUUUAUCAAGAUCGUGAAGUUGUUUUUUUGCAUUUAACUUAUAAUAUUGUCCAUUGUAACUAUUGUCCCUAUUUGUAGUCCAUUGCUGUUAAAGGGGGAUAAAGAACUACUCUCUCUGUCCCACUUUGAUAGUAAGCUAGAUUUAUUCUUCCAAAAAAGUUAACUUUUCUUAAACUAUGUGAAAAAAAAAACCAAACCUAUCAAAGUGGGAUGGAAGGAGUAUAUUGAAAAUGCCUUAUUCGUCUAAGGAGGAAAAAAUGAAGCUGUUUGUGCUUCAUUAAAUUUGCAAGGAGGAAAUAAACAGCUCAGUUAUAUUUGUGGUUAUGUUAUAUUAUUUUUUUAAAAAACCCAAUAUUGCUAAGUGUUAUCCCUUCUUCUGCCCCAUGUAGAUAGCUAAGUGUUUAUCAGCUGGAAGCUGUAUGAGCAUUGUCGUCCAUGUCAGGUUAUGUGAGAAUAUUGCUUAGCGUUUGUUGUUUUGGGGGGGGGGGAGGGUGUGUGGGGGUGUUGGGGCCUGGCUUUACGGAGGGAGGGUGGAAUGUGGUUGCCAAUUUAGUAUAUAUGGCCCUGCAUCUGAAGUUCUUGGCGCCCUUCAGGAGGCUACUUUUGUGCAUUUUUAUGCAAUCUGUAUAUUUUAAGCCUUUAAGGUGUAGAAUGAUGAGAAACAAAAAAAAUUCGUGAAGUAGUCAUUGGAAAAUUAGUGACUACACCUGAAAACAAAUGAAAAUAGAGCCUGAAAGAAUUCUCAUUGCAAAGAAUUUUGAAUCUUUUUAAAUUGGAUUAAUUGUGUUUAUUUGUUUGGAAGUUUGGAAAUUGAGCAUGAAGAACAAACUGUAAGUGUGUGUGCUUGUGUGUGUGUGUGAGAGAGAGAGAGAGAGAGAGAGGGAGGGAGGGAGGGGGAGAGAGCGAGAGAGAGAGAGAGAGAGAGGAGAGAGAGAGUCAAGGAAAAAGAGAAAUGGAAAUAGGCCAGCAGAAGGUGCUGAGAGCAAUUCUUUUGGGGUUUUGGAAGUGUGUGGGCAGGGUUUGGGGGAUUGGAACAGAGGAAGAAAGAUAUUUUGUUUGAUUAUUAGAUUUACAGAGGUUGUCAUCUUUGCUGACAAAUUUUCAUGCUGUCAAAGUGAACCGUGUAACCUAUUUGUUGGUGAGAUUUUAUGUCAAUCUGAUACAUUCUAUGCUAUUAUAGACAGUUCGACCCUUUUGAUUUUAAGUCAACAAUCAGACACUUAGUAGUCCAAAAUGAUUAUUUUGAAGAAGCAUAUGCCUGAAAUUUACCCUCUGCUCAAUGCGCUUCAGUAUGACAUGUUUUCUACGGCGUUAAUUAUUCUUAAUGAUUUGACCUCAGAGUUUAUUUUACUUGAAUUUUUCUUCUUCUAAUUCAUGCUUUGACACUUUAAUCUUGCUACGCUCAAUUCAGACCAUACUCACUGAAUUAUUGUUUUGGAAGAAUUCUACUUUAGUGCAACCUUUACACCAUUUACAAGAUCUUAUUGGGGGCUUGUGAAACCAUCAUGUGCUAUGUUCCUACUAUUCCUGUCCCUGGUCUCUUGUUUUUCCUUUUUGUCUAAAGUGUAUGACUUUCCCCAGGAGCUUGGAGUGGUUGUGCUAUAUUACUUGAUUAAUGUCAUUGAUAAAAAUACUGUGUAACAGGCAUUACAUUACGACAUUCGAAGAGGUCCACACAGUGUUGGAUCCCAUGUACGUGAUGCUGCUGCAUAUGUUUGUUGGGCAUUUGGCCGCUCAUAUUAUCACACAGAUAUGAGAAGUGUACUUGAACAGCUGGCUUCCCACCUCUUAACCAUAGCUUGCUAUGACCGUGAGGUGCUCAAAUCAUGAUACUGUUUUCUGCUUUUCUACUGUAUUUAUGUUUGUCCUAAAAAGAUACUUAUUCAUUUACUAAAGAUGGUAAAAUUAUGAUUCUAUUAAAAGGUUAACUGCAGAAGAGCAGCAGCAGCUGCUUUUCAGGAGAAUGUAGGGAGACAAGGGAAUUUUCCCCAUGGCAUUGAUAUUGUGAAUACAGCUGAUUACUUUGCACUCUCUUCAAGGGUAAACUCCUAUCUCCAUGUUGCUGUCUGCAUUGCUGAGUACGAUGACUAUCUUCACCCUUUUGUGGAUGAAUUGCGGCAUAGCAAGAUCUGUCAUUGGGUAUGCUAUAUCUUUCUCCAUAUCAAAAGUUGGUCUUCAACUAUCAUUUGCCCUAUUUCUUUAUUCUAAAAGUUAAAUCAAGAAAGUUCUUAUCUGUAGGCCUCUUGUAUGUUUUUAUUAGAUUCCAAGCUUUAAAAGAUUAGGACAAAUAUAGUAACUUAUUUUGAUCAGAGCUAUAUAAUCAACAACCUAGAAAAUUUUCUUCAGAUCUUCUCCUAAUGUUUCCUUGUGCUGCUGAGUUCAUCACAAUUUUGUAAAAUCAGUCAAAAAUCUCAUCCUGAUCGCAAUAUAUUUUUAUUGGAUAGGCCUUUGGAUAGAGUUCAAUCUAGGCAUUUAAAGCAAAUCCUUAUUGUAGGGAGUGGGCCAAAUGCCUUCCAAAUGAACAGUUUAAUAUCAUUUUUUAUUUCCCAAAUUAGUCUUGCAUUGAAAACUAGAGUACAUGUUCAGUGUUAGUUGCCUUGUUUUUUCACUAACUAACUGACAUUCCAGUCUCCUCCAUUUGAGCACACUCAUUGGUUUUGCCUCGAUCACUAGUGCUAAGUUUCUUAUUUUUAAGUAUUUCAUCUUCUUUGACUCCAUUUUGUUCUCCUGAGUACAUUGACCAAAAUGAAAAUUAGGCAAAGUGGAAAGGAGAAGCCUUAGUCCUACAACAGUGUCUUAUUCUACUUGUCUAAGUGGGACAAGAUAGGGAUUUUGCAGAUUUCCUGUAAUUUCCUGAUAGUGCUAUUGUCCAUAUCGAAAAUUACUGACAACUAAGUUGUCUGUUUAUUUUUUUGUGAACUUGAAUCUUGUUUGAAGAACUUAAUAGCUGUUUUGUGCCUCAUAUUGUUGCUUGGCUGGAUAUUCCAUAGAAGCUCAAUUUAUCAUUGCUAUAUACAGGACAAAGGUUUGAGAGAGCUUGCAACAAAUGCUCUUUCUGCCCUUGUAAGAUACAAGCCUGAUUAUUUUGCGGGUGUCAUUCUUGAGAAAUUAAUUCCUUGCACCCUGUCAUCUGAUUUAUGCAUGCGGCAUGGUGCAACUUUAGCAGUUGGAGAAGUUAUUUUGGCUUUACACAAGUGUGGCUAUCUUCUUUCAACAGGUUGGUUCUCAUCUGCUGAUUUGAACCUCACUUUGUCUAAUUGGUUCUUUGCUUUGUCUAAUCGGUUCUUAUCAAGUGUUACUUCAUAGUUUUCUUAAUGCAGUUUUCUUUAAAUUUUUGACUUGCCUUCAAGUACUUUUGGUGCUGGUGUUGGUUUCUUUAACAAUUUACUUCAAUGCCCAUAUCUAGUUAAAGUUAUGAAGAAAAAUUUGUUCAAAGAGUUGAUUUGUCUCAAUAAAUAUGUGUAUCAAUACUGAGAAGUUAGUGGCUGAUCAGCGAUGAACGGUUUAUUGUCAUUUCUCCUUUUAGACUUUGAUUCGACAGACUAAUAAAUAGCCAAACUCAACUGAUACUUGUCUCAUUUGUACUCAAAAGUUGAGAAGCAGUCAACCUGAGCUUGUUUAUCCCUUGUUUAACAAUGCAUCAGGGGUUAUGUUAAUUAAGAAUUAGUAGGAGAUAUGGACGUUCCAUGGCUAUCUGGGGAUUUGUCACACUAUCUUUAUAAGUGAUACCAUCAUUUACAUUGCUUAAAUGAAUGCAUGAGAACUUCAGAUCUGUUAGUUCAUAGGUGAAUUAGUUGGUUUUUUACCUUAGAUGAUGGGAUAAAUUUCUCCUAAAUCUUUUUAAUUACGUAGAGCUUGUAGUUUGUCUUUAGUGUGUUUGUGCUCACAAUGUUAUACCAUAAAAUUGCUGACCCUGCUUCAUUAAUAUGAUGCAGAUAAGCAAAAGCAAAUUGCUGGUAUAGUUCCUGCAAUUGAGAAAGCGCGUCUUUAUCGUGGGAAAGGUGGAGAAAUAAUGCGCUCUGCUGUUUCACGCUUCAUUGAGUGCAUUUCCUUGGCUCAUAUACAGUUGACAGAGAAAAUAAAGCGAAGUUUUCUUGAUACUCUUAACGAGAAUCUGAGACAUCCUAAUUCUCAAAUACAGGUUUUGCAACUUGUGGAAGUAUUAUCAGUGGUUUUAUGAAAAGUUAAUUUCCUGUAUGAACUCUCUUCAUUGUGAUGUACAGCAUGCUGCUGUUGAAGCCCUGAAGCGCUUCGUCUGUGCUUACCUUGUUGGAUUGGGAAAUAAAAGCAUUUAUGACAUUUUGCCGAAAUACCUUGAACAAUUAAAUGAUGCUAAUGUGGCUGCAAGACGAGGAUCUGCACUUGCACUAGGUGUUUUGCCUUCAGACAUUCUUGCUAGUCAAUGGAAAGUUGUACUUUUGAAGCUCUGUAGCUGUUGCGAAAUUGAGGUAGAGAUUACUUAUGUUGCCUCAACUACAGAAAAUCUAUAGAAAGCCAUACCUGUGAUUGAACAAUUCUUGAUGUGCAGAAUAAUCCUGAAGAUCGGGACGCUGAGUCACGGGUGAAUGCUGUCAAAGCACUUGUCUCGGUUUGUGAAACUUUAACUCAGGAAAUUGAGCAUUCUAGUUUCUUCUCUAGUGAAGAUACUGUUUCUUUUCUUUUAUUUGUGAAAAAUGAAGUUAUGCAGAGUCUGUUUAAAGCUCUAGAUGAUUACUCUGUGGACAAUAGAGGUGAUGUAGGCUCUUGGGUUCGUGAGGCUGCCAUUUUUGGCAUUGAAAAGUGUACAUAUAUUCUAUGUCGUAGAAGUUCCUUGGUAUCUAUAAGUCAAUUACAAGAAAGUAAAUCCAUUCCAGAAUGGCAAAACGAAGAUAAUAUUCCAGAUGAUGAGGUCCAAUCAUAUUUUGAUGCAAGUCUUUCAACUACUUUGGUUGGUGGCCUUGUUAAGCAAGCGGUGGAGAAGAUGGAUAAGAUAAGGGAAUUAGCUGCUAAGGUUCUUCAAAGGAUUUUGUAUAGCAAUACGGUACCAGUUCCAUUUAUAGCUUGCCAAGAGAAAUUAAAAGAUAUAAUUCCUGAAAAAGCCGAUUCAGAAUGGGGGGUAAGUAAAGCAAGUUAUUUUAUAUGAAAAAUUCAACUUCAAUAUAUUUUGCCAAACAUGCCAUUUUAUUUUUAUUUGCAGGAACCAGCUUUCUUAUAUCCUCGGUUUAUUCAGUUACUUCAGCUCAGUUGUUACAGUAAAUAUGUGAUAUCAGGGUUGGUUAUUUCUAUUGGUGGACUGCAAGAUUCUUUGAGAAAGGUGUCACUGAGUGCUCUGUUGGAUUAUCUUCAAGGGAAAGAAGCAAAGGAUGGGGAGUUGAGUCUCGCCUCUGAUAUUCUUUGGGUUCUUCAGAAUUACAAAAGAUGCGACAGAGUCACAGUACCAACUUUAAAGGUACUUGGGGUUUAGGGUUCUCAAAAAAUGAUGGUUAUAUUUUGGUUUAUGUCAGUGUUGGAAUGGUCAAUUUACUUUCUGAAUUAUGUAAAAGCAUCUUCUAAUAUUUUGUGUACAAACAUGGCUCUCAAUACUUGAACAAGAAAAUAAACAUUCUCAGAUUAAAAAUAAAAUAGAUGCCUAAAAUAAUUCUCAGGUAGGAGUGCAAUGAAACAGAUGUGGACCUCUUAGUUGGAAGGCUGGUAUAUUUAGAAUCAUCUGCACUUCUAUUUUUUUUCUUCUUCAAGAAGUAAGAGUAAAUAAAGCUUUUUUAUGAUAGGCAUGCUUGUAUGGAGUCAAUAACUUUUGUAUGAUUCAAUUGUAACUGCUAUUGAACCAUGAAUUUAAUUUUAUGCUCAACAGAAGAACAUCAUUUGUUAAAGAAAGAAUACGAAUAAUUUAUUCUUUUAUUCAUUCUGGUGCUAGAAAACACUCAUCCUCAUGUUCUGUUGAUGUCCUGAGAAAAGUGGAGUUGUUUUCUUUUCUUUCUGCAGCUUAUGGUAAGAAUAUGGAAGUUUUUGUUACCGUUAUGUUUUAAAUUUUUAAAAAACUUGAAGAAAUUGAAGAAUGAGACAUUUUGUUUGUUAUACCUGGAUAUGAGGUAGUCUACCUUCAUUUCAUCAUCCUGUCCAUGGUGAGUGCUGGUUAUAAAUCAUGGAUGAGUGAUCCCUUUAGUAGGCUCAAUGCUACGCUGAUAAAUGUGUUGCUGUUUUAAUUGUUAUUUAAACGUGAUGCGUUUCGCACUGCAGGCAUUAAAGAGAGUAUUUAGCCCUUAUUCCCUAAGACCAGUUGACAUCUCAAUUAUAACAAAUUUUCAUUUCCUUUAGAAAAUUGCUUUUCUUAGCUCUAAAUCUGUAUUAACUCCAUUUUGUGUGUUUGAGUGGUCAAUCUGUUGCACUCAUGAUUCAUUUGGCUGUUUUCUUAUCUCAUAAUUUUUCAUUUUUCAUGUUUAUAAUUUUCCUUUUCAGACUAUUGAGAUUCUUUUCAGCAAAAAGGUGUUCUUAAACAUGGAGGUCAGUUGAUUCUCCAUAGUGAAAUGACAUAGCUUUCCGUACUUCAUUUGUAAAUAUACUUUAUUUCUCCCUUCUCCCUAAUAAAAUGGCUUUCUUCCUAAUAAUCUUUUAGGCAUAUACUCCAAUCUUUUGUGCUGGCAUUCUGGAUUCCAUCACAGUAGAGUUGAAAGGAUCUAAGGAUUUUUCGAAGUUAUACUCUGGGAUUGCAAUUCUUGGAUAUAUUGCUUCGCUUUCAGAUCUCAUUAAUAAGCGGGCCUUCACGCAUCUUCUGACUUUUCUCAGCCAUAGAUACCCCAAGGUAUACAGCACUAGAAGGUUCUUAAGAAAUGGUCUAUGAUGUAGAAUUCUCCUACUGUUUUUCCAGUGUUGAUGUGAUUUCUUCUGUGGCUGUUUAUUCAUGCACUGUGAUCACCUUGUGUGUGCAGAUUCGCAAGGCUACUGCAGAACAAGUGUAUCUUGUCCUCCUGCAAAAUGGGAGUUUGGUAGCAGACAUAAAUUUGGAGAAAGCACUUGAUAUUAUUCAGAAACCUGUUGGGAAGGUGACUUUGAUGAAGUAAAACGUAAAAAGUUAGAACUCUGUGAUAUGGCAGAUGUUGAAGCUGGUCAGCUUCCUAAAGCUACCAGUGAACAAAACAACACUGUACAGAGGCGUGAAACACUUGAUGAAAACGCGUCAUAUUCCUCAUUAGUUGAAUCAGUUGGGUUUUAGAUUAUUCAGUCAAAACCAUUUGAGGAAGGAGAAAGAUGGUAGGGGUGUUUAUUAUGUAAGAAAGAUGCUGCGAGGAAUUGAAAUCUAUUGCGUGUCUUUUCUUUUUCAGUAUGUGAGUGCUCAUCCGAUCAGCCACCUUUUAUUUCAAGAAUUCUUGCUAUUGCUAGGACUUUGCAUCAGUCUAAUUGCAGCUUGACCUGCAACUCUCUCAUCUUGGCAUAUUUAAUUUCCUCGUGUUCGAAAUGACUUUGGCUUGGGUGCCACUUUCUGAAAAUAGGCUUGAACGGGCUGUUAUUGAGGCUGUUGCCGCAGAUGGUGUGAGAGCUGUUAUUGAGGUAACAAAAGCUUUCAUGCUGGUGCGUUAGGUAAGAUUCUGAGACUGCAGUAGCGCGGAUGGCAAUUUGGCUGGCAGAGCCUUCUGUUGUGUCAGGUUUCGAAGGACAAGUUGAUGCUCUUAAUGUGAUCUAUAUACUUCAUCGGUCCUAUUGCUGAACAAAAUUAAGGGCUGUAUUGUAUGGCUAGAGGUUAGCAAAGUGUAAAUAAAAUAGAGAGGGAGAAGUUAAGUGCUGCAGACAGGAGUAAUGAGAGUGCAUUAUAACAACGUAAUUAUUGAAUCAGCAUCUUUGAGCUUUCUAAAUCACAUUAUAAAUCUACAUAGACUGUAUUAUUAGCACACAGUCAUUUAACUCCUAAGCAAACCAAUAUUAAAAGCGGACGCUAUAGCAGAUUCUUAAGAAAAAGAGAACUUAGAUCUUUGAGUGGCUUGUAGGUGCUUCUACAGCCAGACACAUUUCGAACUACAAACCUUCUUAUCAAAUUUUCAAUCCAAUAGAUUACAAAUGCAAGUCAAUUUGAUAAAGUAGUGUAAAAAAAUCCAGCAAAAAGGUAUGAUAUUCCCCCGAGAAUGCGAAGCGGGUACCACUGGCUUCUUGUCAAAGCUCUAAAGCACAAAAAUAGGUUGAGAUUGAUCUGGCUGGAUGAUAUCGGUUAUGAGUGUAUCCAGGGGAACACGUUGGGGGAUGUUGGCAAGCGUGCUGUGAGAACUUCAACCCCCGUCUCCGUCACCUGCAAAAUUGCACUUAAUUAUAUUGUGCAUCACUAGUUGAAAUUAUAUUAUCCCAAAAAAAAAAAAAAGGGUUAAUCAGAUGCACGACUUUUCGUUGCACUUGGCAUACAUCAGUUUCAAAGCAAAGAGACCAUGCUAGAAUGAUAAUCCUAGAAAACUAAAUUGUUCUGUUGCAGGGAUGUUAGUAAACACCACAAAUGCCUUGCAACUUUUGUAAACUUUGAAGACUUCUUAGGAGGUGAACCUUGGGUCUAGUCUAUUGCCACUAAAUUAACUUUAGCAGUGAUUCACAAAGGUGGCAAGGCACUUAAGGAAUACAGUCAAGGUGGAAAUGCAUACAUGCAUGAGAUAUUGUCCCUCUUGAAGGAGUCUAAAUUCUCAUGUGGUGUACGAACUCAUUGCAUCACUAAAAUGGACCAAUUUCAUCAGCUCCCAAGUAUAUGAAAGAAUAUCAAGGACCAGUAGCAAACAAAUCAGUAUUAAUGUGUUCAACACUAACAGAUCUCACCAAAAGAGUGUGUUCAAACUGAGCACUGCGUUUUCCAUCUGCAGUAACAGCUGUCCAUCCAUCAGGCCACAUCCGGUCACGCCAAACACCUGUCAGUGGGAAGUAGCUCAAUAUAUAACAUUGAGAAAACCUAAACCUAUACAUAUCGGUUGUGAUAUCCUGUGAAUGAAACUAGUACCUGCAUUGAUCAUUGGUUCUAUAGUAAAGGUCUGGCCAGCCUUCAUUAUACCAACUGCUUUAUUUCCUGCUCGGAGUUAAAGGGCAAAACCAGAGAAAUGGGAAUUCAACAGCAACGGCAAUCAAUCCUUUCUAUCUUCUAUAAUUUAUCUAUUUAGUACCAUUCAGAUUCACUGUACCCAAAGACAGAUUUCAUGGAGAAGCCAUAUUUCAAACCUAAAACUGGGAACCAGAAGGUUUCAAGCGAAAAAGAUUUCAUAAUGUCAAGCAGCUUUUCUCAAGGAUACUAGCAUAAUGCGGAAUAUUUGGUGCACAAUGGAAUAGCUCUCCAAUACCAUGACCACAAUAAGAUUUGACCUGUUUUACAAGCCAGAAACGCAAAAAAAUUUUAUAAAAAAUGAAAUUGAAGAAAUAUUUUAAAUUCUUUAAGCAAGACGUGGGGAACAAGGUACUAGCAGUUUACCACAGAGAAGCCUGACAUCAAAGCGUGUCGAUUGAUGACCUCUCCAACUUCACGAAAUCGUACCCCAGGCUUGACUAGAAGUAGCAAUACAAAGUAGUUUAAAAAAAAAAAUGAUACUCACUGAAUCUACAACUUAACUUCCCAAGAAAGUUGGAAUUUUGUAAGCGCAGCAUUCCAAAACUGAAAGUAAUAUCAGAACUUUGUGGACAGAUGCAAAUUGAAACAUGCAAAACCGGGAUGAAACAAAGCACAUGCAAUAUUACUUCUAAAUAAAUCACAACUUUGUAUCUCUCCUUUAAAGUAACAAUAUUUUUCCAGAUGGAAGAAUUUUUUUUGCAAAGAAAUGAGAUGCAUCAGAAAGGAAAGAGUACACGUCACAGAUAGAAGGAAAAGAGGGAAAGAAACUGCAUAAUAAGGCUACUAGAAAUGUCAAGUGAUGGUAAAGUUCAGCGCUGAUCUCUAAGAAACAGUUCUGGGGCUGUCAGGAGAUGGAAUACAACUUUGAUGUACAAAGAUCUCAAAGCAACACCCACCAAUAGAUAUUGCCUUCUCCAAACACUCGUAUGUACAUUGCACGAGCCGCUGAGAUGCUUCAUCAACGUUGCCCACAAAGAAUGUUUCAUUGAGAUCACCUGCAUACUCAGCAUAACAGACCAGUUAAUCUUGUAAGUUUAUAGUAAUCAGAUUAACACAACAAAAAAAUCAAUAGUACCAAGAGUUUACCAUGGACCCCUUUAUAGUACACAGUUACAUCUACAUUUACAAUGUCGCCAUCCUCUAAUUUCCUGAGAAGAUUAAGUAUAUAGCAUAAUGUAUAGAGGCUCAAUCCAACUUUCAGCGAGGCUUAGAUAUAAAAUAUAACAGAUUGUUACUAGAUCCUCCUUUCAGACUGUAUUACAUAAUAAAAAGCAACAUGAUCCCAAAUUAUAUAUAUAUAUAUAUAUAUAUAUAUAUAUAUAUAUAUAUAUAAGCAAGCAUGAAGCACCUCAUAAAAUGGAACAUAAACUAAAGAAAGUAAGACAAAAAUGCAGUGAUCAGCAGCAUUCUUUUACCUGCCUUCUGAUAUUGUGGAAUGAACAGAAAAAAGAAUUUCAUAUGAAAGACUAAUUGUGCAGAGAGAACAUAGUCAAACAAUUUUAAUCGAUAUGUUAAAUUCAGAAGUCAGAAGACAUGGUUAGGAUCAGCAAAAGGACAUCAAAAGAAUGUACGAUGUUUAACAGAAAAACAGAAGCGACUACCAUGAAUAUGCUUGGUUUCAAGCAGGAGGUACCUUGCAUCCGGAAUUCCAUGGCAGAUUACCUCAUUAACUGACCUGUGACCACAAGGCAGAAAAAUGUCGAAAAUGCAGGAUGAUAACAAGGAAACAUGAAUGUACCGUGCACAAUGUGGAAGUACCUACGUGCAGCAAGAUUUUGGGAAGAAAUGAUAGUUCAGAGGCGAUGGUAUCCACCUGCAGUGGAUAAAACUGAAAGUGUCAUGAAGGUCACGGAUAGUUGCCAUGUGCAAUAUCAUAUGAAAGAACCAAGAAUAAGAAACAUAAAAAUUGCUACAAGUCAAACAACAAGAUAGGACCACCUGUGCAAUAAUAAUUAUAGUACCUAACAAGAAAAGAGAAAAGAGAGGGAGUGGUAACAUCUAAGAAGGGGUAAGAAUUUCAAGAAAAUUUUACUAUCAUAAGAAGGAUCUCAGACUAUCUACAUCACUGAGAAAACUAAAAUGACUAAUCCUAAUGUACAAUUUUAGACUUGUUUGCCUAUCAUAUCAAUAGUUUAUCUAGAUAACCACCAAUCAAAAGAAACAGGUAAGUUUUCUAACAAGAUGUCUGCCUUGCUCAAAUGUGGUAGAAAUACAUGCCAGUGAUCUAAAUCCAAAAAUUGGCUUGAAGCUAACAAUGCAAAAAUGUCUUCCAAACUAAAACAAGGCAGAGAAACAAGUUGGAUUGUUCGCCAACACACAUCUGGAAAAAUAAGUAGCCCAGAUGACAAAUUUAGUGUACCGACAAAUUCAAGUUCUCAAUAUAAAAAUUCUUCUCAAAACACAAACAUGAGUGUACAAAGGCACAUGAGAGAGAAGGAAAAAGCAAUAAAUUUGAAUAGCAUCCUAAAGGAAAAACACCUGCAGAAACAGUAGCUUCAUGAACCACCGCAUCAAUUUCAUCAGUAGUUAUGCCAGGUCGAAUAACACGGGCAGCUGCAUCCAAAACUUCUCUUGCAAUCUGCGGGUCACAAACAAUACUCAUAACCAAUUCAAAAAACUUGUGUGUUCAACUAGCAUCUAUAGUAAGGUUAACGUCAAAUUUUAUCUUUGUCAUAAAAGACUGAAGUUCUUCCAAGGAUAAAUACAUAGAAAAUAAGAUAAGCAAAAUAUGAAAAUUGCAUGGAAGUCAAGAUGAAUCCCCCCCCUCCCAAAAAAAAAAAGUUUUUUCUCAGUCUCAAUCAAGUGUAAGAUAAUUUACUUUUCUUCAUCAGUUCCAGACUACCUUCUUCCUUGACCGAGAUAACAUAAAACAUCAUAUUCAUAUUUCUCUCUCUAACUUCAGAUAAUGUUUUCCAUGAUCAAUUCCUUGCUUUGUCCAUUUUUUGUUCUAAAGAGCCAUUGUGCCUCUUGCUUUUUAAAAAAAAAAAUUGAGGAAUGGGAUUUAAGAAGUGGAGAGGUGGAAGGGGGAUCAGAACCCAGGACUUCUAAGUCGUGAAGCCUCAACCUCAGCCACUAGACCAAGGCCUCUUUGGCUUACUGUGCCUCUUGCUUCUUAAUGCAGAUUAUUUAUAAACAGAGACAUAAAUUCUGCGGCAUGUACUUGGUUGAUGUGAUUCACAACUUAUAACAUAAAGAUUGAUAUCUCAAACCACCAAAUAGAACAAUGUACCAAGUUAAACAAAAAGACAAUUACUUACUCGACAAGUUUCUCGCAUUCUCUCAAUUUGGUCGGGAGUCUUGAUCUUCAAAUUACGUGUAUUUGCAAAACAUAAACAAAACUAAGUCACAACUCUCUCUUGUGCAGAAAUUUGAGACUAAAAUGUUUAGCUUCAAUCAGAGGAUACCUCAACAGUGUGCUGCAGGUCACUAUUUGGCUCAACCUUUGGGAUUCCCUGCCAUGUUAAACAUACGAAGUUAAGCAAACUCAAGAAUUAUAGCAUGAAGUUCCAAUGCAAAGUUAAAAUUACAGUCCACGAGCCUAACUGAAAUAAAGGAUUACAAUUUCCAUAUAACAACCAAGGAGAUAAAUUAGUAAUGAAACCAACUGAUCAUUAAAAUCACAUUCAUUCAAAUAAAAAAACUCUGCAGAAUUUCUGCUCUAUACUUCAAAACCUAUAAGACAAAAACAACAUUUGAAUGGGAAAGUGAAACACUCACAUCACUUGCCCAAUCAGGUUGUUCAACGUGAGCAGGAACUUCACGCUUUUUUGAUAUAGGAUACGGCCUUAGUGUCCUGAGCCAAAACAGAAGAGAUAAUUCAAAAGAACAUCCCCAAUAAAUCAAGGCAUUGGCCAUUUUGAGUCCCUAGUUAAUCCAUUGCUCUCAUUCUAACACUUUUUCUUUACAUGAAAGGAUUACAAUGUUCCUAAAUUUUUGGCGAACCUGAAUCUCAAGCAAAAAUUACAAUGACUUACGAGAGAAGUUGCUAUCACAACAUACUUAAUUGCACUUGCAUAAAACACGUAGAAAAGGAGAAAUUUUUCCUCCAAGAUCCCAACUCUUUAUUCAUUGGAAACAAUUUAUGGAACAUUAUCACUAGGAAAGGCAACUUCUUUAGCAAGAGGAUGAGAAGAAUUGGCCACACCAGGAGUCAAAAUUGAGUAAAAUACCCUGUCCAAUCAAAGUUUGGCAUUUUCAGUGUACGAGCCUGUCCUUUCUUCAAGCAAUAAAGCCAACUGCUUGCAGGAGAGGUAGCAUCUUGCUCAUUGCCAGGUGAAAGUUCCAAUAAUUUCGCUUUCAAGUGAAUUGAUUUAUGAGAACCCCAGGAUGCCUUGAAACAGUCCUGUGUGCUAGUAACAAAUGCAUCUCCGUCAAGGUAAAAUAUAAGCCAUGCCAAAAUAUUAAAUGUUUGAAUACAUUCAGGCAUACAUACAUGUUUCAGCGGCUCUUUUAUUGUCAAAUUUAUAAAACUAAAGAGUAGCUGUUUUCAGAAGUCUUCCUUCCAUUUUUUUUUGUUUCAGCUCUAUCUUUGCUAAUUGACUCUUUCAGGAAGUUAAAACCCAGAAGCAUGAAUAUACAAUUCACAGGUCAGAAUUACAAACCAGAAAGCAGCACCUUCACGGGAAGCUUCAGCUCUACACAUUUGGGGCACCUGCAAGGGAAAAUCCCACUGCUUAUUAUAUAUGAACCAGCAAGACAAUCAUCAAUUUAGUGUAAUAUACACAUGGCCCAUAUAAGAUUACUUCAGUAAGGAAAAAAGAAAACGCAUGAGUUUCUUCACCUUUUCACCAUUUUUAAACAAAAAUGCUUUUACAGCGAUGUGAAUCAUUGUACAACUUUGAAUUUGUACGCAGAAUGAGUAAUGAUUAGUGUAAACAAUUUAAGAAAGUAUAUAGGAUAAAGAUCACUAACUGAAGAUGAGCUGGUUUGCCACAUUUAGCACAGCACAAGGCUGCAGUUUCAACAGCAUCUGCUCCUCCACCCGCCAUAAAAAAAAAUCUGAUUUUUCACAAAUUAUCAAUCAGAUUUUUGAAUAUUUUUCAAAAAUUUUAUAUGGGUUCGAAAAAGAUUGCAUCUUUUUCGGUUGUUGCACAUGAAUAACUGACCUGGAAUCUGGGUUCUGAUCGUUUCCAGUAGGAAGAUUUAGGAAUUUAACGGAGCGAGGGUUGAGCUAGGGUUUUGAGCUCCGUUUUGAAGUUUGUAGAAAAAGGAAAUUUAGUAGCAGAAUAGCAACAAAACGAAAGAGAAAAGAAAAGUAGUUGAACAGGGCCUCUCUUUUCUUUUUCUAAUUCGGGUGUGGAAAUUUUUACCAUAUACAUAUUAGGAUUACUUUCAAUAAGGCCCGCCUCAAAGAAUGGCCUCUUACUCCAUUGUUUUAGGAGAAUUUUCGCUUGUUGGACCCUCGUGGGAAAAUACCGGUUUUCAUCCCUAAACUUUGGGCACAAGACACAUUUCGUCCCUCAUCUUUUGGGCAUGACACAUUUGGUGUCUGAAUUAAUAAUUUUUGACCUAAUGUCAUCCUCAGACAGCAAUUUAACCAACCUUUAACGGACCGUUAAGUAAAUGUGGCUAAUCGAAGCAAAAUUAGGUGGAAAAUGACGUUGUUUUCACUUCCUCUGCAAAUUUCCAAGACUAAGCUCCUAUUGCAAAUUUCUCUGAGAGUAAACCCCCUCUUCCAAUUAUAAAUAUAUAAUUAUAAUUAUAUAAUACAUAUAAAUAUUACUUGUAUUAAUAUUUUAUAUAAUUAUAAUGUAUAUUAGAUAUUAAAUUUAAUCAUUAUAUAACCUUAUAUUCAUAAUAAUAAAUAUAAUUAUAAUUAUAUAAUUUAUUGAUAUUAUAUACACAUAUAUAUUAUAAGGGAUAAUUACAUAAACCUCCCCUAAAUUAGCUUAUGGAAAAAUGGAAAAAUGGAUAAUUUAUGGAGAAAAGCCAUAAAGAGCUGGUGUUUUAUUAGAGAACUGGUUUAUUUUUAUUUUAUCCGAUAAAUAAAUUUGUUUAUGAAAAAAUGGGUACUCUGUUCUUAUAAUAGAGGAAAGCCAUAAAGAGCUGAAGUUUUAUUGGAAAACGAGUUUAUUUUUAUUUUAUUCGAUAAAUAAAUUUAUUUAUGAAAAAAUGGGUACUGUGUUUUUAUAAUGGAGGAAAGCCCUAAAGCGCUAGUCUUUUAUGGAAAAGCGAUACUUUACAGAAAGUGACCGCGAUUUGGUUUAUGAAAUUAUCCAAAAAAACAAUUUAGAAUGAAUUUGUUUAUUUAAUUAAAUAAUUAUUAUAUAUAUUUAUAUAAUGCAUAAUAUAAUUAUACUAAUAUAUUUUAUGAGUAUAAAGUAUAUUAUAUAUUAAUUAUAAUUUUUAGUAUAUAUUAGUAUAUUUAUCAUAAUAAAUAUAAAUAUAAUUAUAUAAUAUAUUAUUACUAUAGACACAUAUAUAUUAAAAUAUAUGCAUAUAUAAUAUACAUUUAUAAAUAUAUAUAAAUAUAUUAUUAGGGUAUAUACCCUAAUAACUAUAAUAUAUUUAGGGUAAUAACUAUAAUAACUAUACCCUAAUAACUAUAAUAUAUUUAUAUAUAUUUAUAAAUGUAUAUUAUAUGUGCAUAUAUUUAUAAUAUAUAUGUGUAUAUAGUAAUAAUAUAUUAUAUAAUUAUAAUUAUAUUUAUUAUUAUAAAUAUACUAAUAUAUACUAAAAAUUAUAAUUAAUAUAUAAUAUACUUUAUAAUCAUAUAAUAUAUUAGUAUAAUUAAAAUUUAUAUAUAUAAUAUAGUUAUAAUUAUAUAUUUUAUAAUAAUAUUAGUAUAAUUAUAUAAUGCAUUAUAUAAAUAUAUAUAUAUAAUAAUUAUUUAAUUAAAUAAACAAAUUCAUUCAAUUUUUUUUGGAUAAUUUCAUAAACCAAAUCGCGGUCACUUUCUGUAAAGUAUCACUUUUCCAUAAAAGACUAGUUCUUUAGGGUUUUCCUCCAUUAUAAGAGCAGAGUACCCAUUUUUCCAUAAAUAAAUUUAUUUAUCGAAUAAAAUAAAAAUAAACUCAUUUUCCAAUAAAACUUCAGCUCUUUAUGGCUUUCCUCUAUUAUAAGAACAGAGUACCCAUUUUUUCAUAAACAAAUUUAUUUAUCGGAUAAAAUAAAAAUAAACUAGUUCUCCAAUAAAACACCAACUCUUUAUGGCUUUUCUCCAUAAAUUAUCCAUUUUCCCAUUUUUCCAUAAGCUAAUUUAGGGGACGUUUCUGAAAUUAUCCCUUAUAAUAUAUAUGUGUAUGUAAUAUUAAUAAAUUAGAUAAUUAUAAUUAUAUUUAUUAUUAUGAAUAUAAGUUUAUAUAAUGAUUAGAUUUAAUAUCUAAUAUACAUUAUAAUUAUAUAAAAUAUUAGUAUAAAAUAUUUAUAUGUAUUAUAUAAUUAUAAUUAUAUAUUUAUAAUUGGAAGAGAGGGUUUACUCUCAGAGAAAUUUGCAGUAGGAGCUUAGUCUUGGAAAUUUGCAGAGGAAGUUGUUGAAUUGAAAGAAAAAGGGAAAGUGAAGACAACGUCAUUUUUCACCUGAUUUUGCUUCAGAUAGCCACAUUUACUUAACGGUCCGUUAAAGGUUGGCUAAAUUGCCGUUUGAGGAUGACAUUUGAUCAAAAAUUGUUAAUUCAGACACCAAAUGUGUCAUGCCCAAAAGAUGAGGGACGAAAUGUAUCUUGUGCCCAAAGUUUGGGAUGAAAACCGGUAUUUUCCCGACCCCGCUGUAUGAAAUUAUUAUUUCAUCCUAAUUUUGUCCCUCUUGUUCAAAAUAUUAGGACAUUUGAUAGCUUAUCUUAUAUGAAAAGAAAAAAAAAAAGAGACUAAAGCGCAUUUCCCCCCUCCUUUCUGGUUAAUGGGCUGCAAAAGGAGGGAAAGAAACAACUAACAUGAAAGAGCGGAGGAUUUUAUAGGUGAACAAACCUCAUUGUUAUUAACAUUCUAUUCUUACUAAUAUGCUACUUCCAAUUAGUAAGGAUGCUUUUGCGAAACAAUUAAACAGUCAAAAUGUCACACCUGAAUCAUAAUAUCGAAACAAAUUAUUGCAUUUAUUAGAUUGACGUCUCAAUUCUCGUGCAAAGAUGAUCGCCUGCCUGCCUCGUUUACAGAUUGUGAUUCUUGAAGCACUAAUAAGGGGCAGUUUUCACUUUUGUUUUUCCACGAUUCAUUGAUUCGUUAUAUAGUACUCAGUUAGGUGAAAUGAAAACUGCAGGAAGGAGAGAUUUUAGCUCCGUUGAGGAUUUUGAUUUUUAGGCUAAUGAAAUCCAAUUAAACUAGCCACAUUCCGAGUGGAAUAUAAAGUUCUAACUGCCAAAAUACAAGUUAAACAAGAAGGAGGCAUAUUGUCAAAGCUCUCAAACUUCAAACAUCAAGCGAAGAUGGUACUCCGGUGGCAGAAAGCCACAGGUCCCCCUGGAUGAAAUUUCUUACAGAAAACCAACUAGCCUCUCGGGGAUCGUACAUUGGAUGAAAUCCAGGCCAUUUCACCCUGUUUGCAGUUGAAGCUCCACGUCCUGUGUUCAUAUACUCCCCAUAAUACAGUGUUGAAAGAGCAAAAUUUCCCGCCCAUUCGCUCCAUCCUCGUGGAUGAACUAAGCCACCCAAGUCUGUCUUAAGAAAUACGGUUCUUGAAUAUUGCUUCCACGGCCGACCAAGGUAACUAUUGAACCUCCCCGUAAAGGGGCUGAAUUCAGAGGAUGGUGCAACUCGACAGUUUAUUAUUGAAAUCCCGUAUACUGAUCUGGGUGAUCCCUCCCUUGUGCAGUUAUCAUGUUAGACUGGUCAUCCAUUGGCCUACGCACGAAAAUGUCGCAAUUUUGGAAGACUGCUGAUGCAUCACCAAAGAUGAAGUCGAUGGUCCCAUGUAUCUGGCAAUCGCGAUAGAAUUGUCUUAGCGAAUGAACCAAGAGGGUGUCUUGGUAACCUUUGAAACUGCAGCGAUAGAAGACCGAGAGGUCUGAGCCUACCCUAAGUGCCACGGCCUGCAUUUUUUGAGGUCCUGCUGUGUUCUCAAACGUUAUGUCUCUUGCCCAAAAGCCGUUUCCAGAAAUACCUACGUGCAGAAAGGGUGAUCAUUCAAUAUUUGUGAAGCUGACAUACAACUAUGUCAGGCAUUUUACGUAUUAUUCUUAAUGGAAAAUAAAACAUCUUUAGCUGGAUCAGCUUUUAAUUUAUCUGGCAAAUUCAGAAUCUGGUUAGUAAAGUCUUCAUGGGAAUAGUGAACUUUAAGAAGAAUACUAGAUUUCAAGCUUACCAAAGGUAGCAGAGCUCAAGGUACUUGCACCAUCAACGACAUUUUGAUUGCCAGUGACAAUUGUUUUGUCGAUACCAUCCCCAACAAACAUGACAUUCUCCAAAUUUCUCGGAUCUCCACCUUCUCAUGGUAUAACCCCGAUUUCACGUAUACUACUGCUCUUCCUGGCCUAUUAUGUCCCAUUCUGCCAAGAGCAGCCACUGCCUCCUUUAUAGUCUCAAAGUUUCCUGAUCCAUCCUGCGCAACUACAAUAUCAGCCUUCGACGUUGCUGGACUCCAUGAUGCUAAUAGCCCCCAAUAUUGAUCAGUGCCUUGUUUUCUUGGAAUCCCUGAAUAAAAAAUUAGUUAGCAAAAGGAUUAUAGCGAGCAUCCCCUGCUUAGUGUAACUUUUAACGAAAGGAGCGAUAUUUCCACUCAGAAACAGUAAAUAUUUCACCAAUACAUUUUGUAGGGGGAGUUCGUACGUUACUUUUUUAAGCGAUCAUGCCCUGUUUGUUAGGCAAUUUUACAUGAAUAUAGACACUCACUAACCAUUCUGCCUAGACAUGUACUAGACGGAUAAGUUGCACAAAAGGCCUAAUUACUCUGAGAAGCUAGCUUACCAUGCGUUAGUGGCCUUCCAAAAUUGCCUUGUAGCUUUACGCGAAGCCAAAGCUGGUGAAGCAACAGAGUUAAGUUUUGUGCUGCCUGAGUAUCAAAAGACAAACCCUUCUCCUCCAAGCCAUCCAAAACAACUUCUGUGGCUAGCCAAGGCCGCACUCAACCAGGUGACUGCAUCAGCUUGGCUGUAAUUCUUGCUAGACAAUUCUAACGCAUGCAGCAAUGGCUCAGACUCCUCAUAAAGCUUCAAGCAAUCAGCUCAAUAGCAAUAUCACCAAAUCUUGAGCCAUGAUCCAAGUGAUCAUGAUAUCUUCUCAAGCUUUGAGCCCAGUUAACGGCUUGUAAAAAUGCCAAACCUGGCCGCUCGGACCGCCUCAAGUUCUUGCUCGCAGGAGAUAUAGCUGGGUACUUGCAAAGACAAUGAAAAGGAAGAUCGCAAACCCUGAAGUUUUUGAACAAGCAGACGGCGGUGAAGUUUGGAGCUGUUGGUUUCCCACCAUACAAGGCACUUUGGAGAAUUCUUAGACAUAAGCGGUGCCGCAGCAUGGGUCACUGAGAUGGAAUAUUUUUCUGAUUCGUCCUCCUGAGUGAAACUUAUUUUUGUGUCAUAGUAACCGUUAAUCAUUUAGAGGUGCAUAAAUAGCCUACUACUAGCUGCCAAUGUAGGUUGAUACAGUCUGAUUCUCCUACUCCUCAUGACAACUAAAUGUAUUGCACAAUCUAUAUAUGGCACUCAUGGUCAUGUAUAUGUUAGUUCAGAGUUAUUUCGUAUACAUUGUUUCCUUUGCGCUUUGUUUUUUCUGUUUUAAAUUUUGGUAAGAAUUCUUAAUAUUUCUGCAAGGAUUAUACUUUCUCAGGCUUCUUGGCUUAAGUACCCUUUUCUAUAUUUUCCAUUUUCUUUUUUGAGGAAAUUGGAUUAAUGUCUUUCAAGGAGUUAUUUAAGAUGAUUAAUUGACCAACCUUUUUUUCCAUUUGGGUGAUUACAAUUUACAUGCGUUACUUAACCGAUUACUGGAGGAUAUUAGUAAAAUGAGUUAAAGAUUUUUAGUAAGGGAGAAAUAAAACCAAAUUAUCAAAUAACUAGUGAGAAAUCAAACUAGCAUUAAACAAAAAAAAACAAAAACAAAAAAACCAAAUCCAUUGACGUUUAUCGAAAAAAAAAGUUGGAUGAUUAUAUAUAGCCGUUGGCUCCUUAUGGAUUAGAUGUUUUUAAAAAACUUUAUUGUAGCAUUCUAUUUAAAAAAUUUUCUGUCAUAAAUUGUCCGUUUGAAUUGUGUGUUUUUGGGAUGUUUUUAAAAUUUAUAAUUUUCUUAGGGUUUUUUUUAAAGAAUUUGUUAAAAUUACUUACCACAACCAUCCACCACCCUUCCCCUUCUCUUCUCUCUACCACUGCUGCCUCCCUCUUCUUCCUCUUUUUCCUCUUUCUCCCCUCUCCUCCUUCCUUGAGGAAGGAAAGAGGAGAAAGGGGAUGGCAGUGGUGGAGGAGGGAAUACAGGAGGGGGCGGUGGUGUGUGAUGAGUGGUGAACUAGUGGGUGGGAAAAAAAAAGGGUUAGAUUUAUUUUAUUUUGUUUAUGUGUAUUUGAGAUUGUAUGUAUUUAAAGUGUUAUUAGGAUAUUUUUAAAGUGUUUUAUUGUAGGUUCCAACGAUAAAAACUAGUUUGUGUCAAUCCAAUUGUGAUUGCUAUAAGAUCUAUUAAUGGCUAAAAGCUCAUCCCAGGCACAAUCUGGUUGCUCUUGGACUAACAGAACUAGCAAGACGGUAACUUGCUUACUGAUUCCAACGAUCAGAAUAUGGAAAAACAAAUAUGGCAGCAGUAGGAAAAUUGGGAUCAUUCGUAGUGAUAAAAUCAAACCAGAAAACUCUAGCAGGUCAAAAUUAUAAAUUAAAAAAAAACAGCAUUUUGAUCAUUGAUUGAAUAUAGAUGUGAAAUAGGCAUCACAGUUAACCUCAAAGUCUCGAGCAAAUGCAUCAAUAAGUAACAUAAUAUCAAACUGCUUAAGUAAAAAAAGAAUAAUAGCCAAAUUAUUGUGUGCUAUUUUAUUUGAGUUCCAUAAAGAUGAUACAUGUCCACCAAUCGGCAAAUUGCUAUAUGUUACGAAUUCUACAAUAAUGAAGCUACAACAAAUUACAUCCCCAGGACUGGCAAAAGGUUGUUUUCAGGUUUCUUUUGAAACUGAUCAGGAUGCCCAGCAAAUAAUUGUCCAUUGACCACCAACCUUAAAAACACCUUCAUCGUGGGAUUGAAAUUGCCUCCUUAGAAGGCACCAUGAGAUAUAUGCGAACAAGAUUAUGGGGCAAUGAACACAGAUAUGUUAAAAAACAAUCAUAAGAAUCAAAAUGAAGAAGAAUCAACUGAUCCUAACCACACAAAUGAAAGAAUAUAUCACUGGGAACUCUUUUUGCCAUUACCAUAGUAGCUGAGAUACCAUCUAACAAACUUCUUCAAACCUGUUUGUAGAUCUGUUGUAGGCUUAUACCCAAGCUCCCUCUGAGCCAAGCUUAUGUUCGCAUGCGUAAACUGCACAUCCCCAUUCCUUGGCAACUUCAUUAUAGUUCUCUUAGCCUUCACCUUCAACAACCUCUCCAAAAUGCUAACAAGAUCCGAAACUGGCACAGGUGAAGUAUUCCCCAAAUUGUACACCCUCAACUGAGCUGGCCCUUUCUUCUUCCCACCACUGCCAGUACUCUUCUCUGCCGUAUCCAAUGCUGCCAAACAACCCUUCACAAUAUCAUCAAUAUAGGUAAAAUCUCUAGCAACUGUGCCAUGAUUAGCUGCCUCAAAAAUCUGAAUUGCCUUCCCCUUCAAAAUAUCCUUCGUAAAAAAGAAAUAUGCCAUAUCUGGCCUCCCCCAGGGUCCAUAAACUGUGAAGAACCUCAACCCUGUUAAUGAAAGCCCGUAAAUGUGAUUAUAAGUGUGUGCAAUCUCCUCGCCAGCCUUUUUAGUUGCAGCAUACAAACUUGCGGGGUUAUCGGUCCUAUCCUUUUCUGAAAACGGGACCUUAGUAUUCAAUCCAUAAACAGAACUAGACGAUGCCCAAACAAUCGCAGGCUGAGGAUUCACGCUUUUGCAAACCUCGAGAACGCUAACAAGCCCAGCAAUAUUACUAUGCACAUAUGAGCUAGGAUUUUCCAUGGCAUAUCUGACGCCAGCCUGAGCAGCCAAAUGCAUAACAUGGGUAAAUUGUACAAUAUCAAAAAGCUUCUUCAGGAGGGCGACGUCAUUGAUAUCACCCUCCACAAUGUACACCCCAGAGCGCUCCAAAAGCGCUUGCCGGGCUCUUUUCAAUGACUGAUCAUAGUAAUCAUUGAAAUUAUCAAGCCCCAAAACGCCGUCCCCGCGGCGUUUUAAGGCAGCAGAAACAUGGGUUCCAACAAAACCAGCAGCCCCGGUAACCAAAACAGACAUACCAUUUCUUGACCUGACUUUAGCUGAGGCUUUGAUCCUUUUCUCCCAAUCAGGGCCACCAUAGGAGCUGGUUCUGAGGGACCUCCUCGAGGGAUCUGCGGUGAGAGAUUCUGGGGAUGAUGAAGAAGGUGAUCUGAAGAAGAAGACAAAGAUCAGGCCCAAGAAAACAAAUGACCAAAAAGUCAGCUUGGCCAGAGAAGAAUGGAGCCUUAAUCUGUUAUAAGGGGAUUUCUCCAUCUUGAACUUUCCUGGGGUUGAUGGGAUAUUGUCAAUGUGCUUCAUUUGGGACAUUUAUUCCGCAAAAAUCUUGCAGAUUUGAGCAAUACCCUUUCUGGGUUGCUCUUCGUUGGGGCCAAUCUGGUGGAGGGGGCGUUACUUAAAAAAAAACCAAAACAAAAAAAAAAAAUUAAGGAUAAGGGUAAAGCCAGAAAAAAAUGAAUCUUUUUUUCUUUGUUUUGAUUCUCUUGUGUAUUUGAUUGGUUUGGUGGGUGGGAAGAAGGCAAAGGGAUAAUGGGUUGAGGAGAAAGAUGAAAAUGGGGGGGUGUGUGUGUGUGGAGAUGGUGAUAUUGAAGGUGGAUGAUGGAGGUGGUAAUGGUAUGGGGAGUUUUAAAAGGCCUCUGGAUUUUCUUUUUUUUUUUUUUUAAAGGGGAAUCUUCUGGUUUCUUGGGAGGGACUGGUUGUUGUUGGUGGUGGUGGUGAUGGUUUUACUUUUGUGGGGUUUUCUUGUUUUGGUUCCAGAGAGGAAAGAAAAAAUGCUUUCAGAUUUUGAUGAAUGAUCAAGGAAUGGGUGAUUGGAGAGAGAAAUGUGAAAGAAAGAGAGAUAGAGAGAGAGGGAGAGAGAGAUUUGAGGGGAGUGGACUAAUGGUGGGGAGGGAGAAGAAUCAGGUUUGAAGCGUUUUGAAAAAUGUGACUGUAAUUAAGAUCGGUGAUGAUGAAGAUUCAGACUGCAGAGUUGGAUUAAGCAAAGAAGUUCAGUCAAAAGAUGACAGUAAUUAAUGAGUUGGAGCAGACUACCAAAUGUUAGUAGUUAAUCUUGAUUCAACUUGAGGAGAGUUAAUUUAUUAGGGUUUUUAAUCAUUAUUGCCAUUUUAGGAAAACCAGAGUCCACAUGCAAGCUUGGGUGGAAUGAGUUACAGCAUGGAGAAGAUAAAAUGGCCAGUACAAGUAGUUUCAAUGGUUGAGGAUGCCUCUUCAAAUUAAGGCCCCUUUUCAUGCAGCUCCCCUGUGUAAGUAAGACUUUUUUUUUUUUUUUUUUAUGCUGGUUUGGUAUGGGAUUUGUUAGAUUUAUCCCUUUUUUGGUGUGGGAUUUGUUUAUUUUGAGUUUAGUGGAUAGAUUUUGGGAUUUGAAGUUUGGUUUUGGGAGGUUGUUGGAGGUUGUGUGGAGUAAAUUUUUAGGGUAAUUAUGAGGGGUUACUAAUUUUCACAUAUCAUUGGAUGGGAUGGUGUGUGAGAUUUGUGGGGUUUGAGAAUUUUUAAUUGCCUCAUUAACAACCUAAUCAUUCAAAGCAUUUUGGAGUAGACCAUGUUCAAUGUUUUCUUCCUAUAAUUUUAAGGUUUGACAAUUAAUAGGAAUUGUGAGUUGGCUAAAAUUAGCAUUAUGGUAUUAGACCUAUUGAGUAAUUAUUAUUGUUGUUGUUCAACACAGGGGAGAAAGAAUUGAGUGUGCCCUAUUUAAUGGGUAACGUUACAGACUUACAGCUGUAUUUUUUUUUUUUCAGAGGAGCAGGAUAAAUAAUUCUACUCCACUAUCAAUCAAGAGGCAGCUUAGGUGUUCUGUAACUUCUUCCUGUCCAUCCCUUCAUCCAAUGCAUCAUCAUGCAUGGCAUCCAAAUAAACCAUUGAAUUUUGACCCUAAUGUUUUUUCAUUUUUCUCAGAUAUUAAUCCAGUUGAAAUAUGUUUGGAUAGCAGAUUAUUUGAAAUAAUUACUGUAGUAUUUUUUGUGAUGUGAUGUGAUGUAUGUGAGAUAAAAAGAUAAUUGUGAAGAUAAAAAGAUGUAUUGAAAAUUGUAUUUGUGAUGUAAACAAAUAAUUUUUAGCCAUUAUUUGGCUAUCCAAACAAAUAAUAUGUCUUUUUUUUUUUGUCUGUUUUCGGUUGAAGGAAGAAUAAUCCUAGUAAUUAUAUGUAAAAGUUUCAAAAAUUUCCCAUCAAAUUAACAAUGAAACAUAACUAGAAUCGAUCGUCUCUCAAACACGAAAAUAAAAAUUAAAAAAAAAUGAGGGGAAAUAGAACUAGGAUUUGAAGGCAAUGACAUUUAAAAAAAAUUGGUGAUAUAUAAUGCUUUUCAUGUCCCAUAUUAUCUAAGUUGAUGGCGAUAAGAAAAUCUGAGAUAUGAUCCUUAUGCAACGACCGAUUUUGAUAAUGUCACCCUGAUUCUCGUAACUAUAAUAGUUACAUUAAUGAUAAAAUGUGCCAUAAUUAUUUUUUUUAUCAUUCAUGAUUGAGAGACCUAACUCCAUUAGAACUUCAUAGCCAAACAUCUUAAGAUACAACGCAGUAAUUCAUUCUAGAAAAAGCAAAACCAUAAGAAACCAUCAAUUUAUGAAAAGUUGAAAAUAUAAAGAAUUAGUUCUCGAAUUCAGUGAAAAGAAUCAAGUAUUGCACAUGAUAACUGGAUACUAAUAAUACUAUAGUAAAUCACAGCUAGUCAUAAGUCAUUUCAUGGCCAAGAAUAACAUGUGCAUGUAUGUGCCUACUUAUAUUCUAUACUAUAUGGCUCGACAUUAGUAUAGCAUGUGGGUGUAUAAGUGGAUAUUAUUAUAGUGUGUAUGUAUAUAUAUGUGUGUGCGCGUGUUUUAGCGUGUAUUCACGUACAACAAAAGUUUAGGGUUUAAAGUUUAUAUCUAUAACAUGUUUUAAGGUGAGAGUCGAAUAUCAAGUACAAGACGCUCAACCACUAACUUCAUUUCCCAUUUAUCUAUAAUUGAAAAAGAAAUCAAAUUUGUAACGCCAGUCAUAUAUAUAUAUAUAUAUAUACAUAUAUGUAGUACAUAACAAUAAUUACACAAUAACACAUUUUGGAAUUCAUUUUUGCAAUGGCCAGCAAUAUGUGAAGAGGGCAACUGCCGAUGUUUUUAUAUUUUUGUCUUUUCCUUUUACAAAGGGCUAGUAAGCCAGCAAUAUGUGUUACUUAUGGAUUCAAUUUUCUUGCUUCCUUCUUUUUCACCUUACUAAAGGAGAAAAGAAAAUCUACACCAAGUCUAUGAGUAUAAGUUGGUGUAAAAUGACAAUAAUAUCAAGCUUAAUAUGUAAUAUAUAUCACGGUCAUAACUCGGUAAAAAGAAGCAUAAAAUUUGGUUCUUUUGAUAAGAACAAAAGAAUGAAGGUUAAUAAUGAUUUCAUCUUUUCAUAUAUCAUUUUCAGCCAAGAUUCAUCCUACCUAUUACUAUUGCCUUAGAAGGAGGCAAAAGGGAAAAUUUUCCAUGUUUUGGCUGUUUGAUGAAACUAGAACAAGCCCAACUAACUAAUAUAAAGUUAAAAAAAAACAAGCACUACUAUCUUCUGGUUACAGAUUAUUUCGAGCAUUAUUUGAGUGCAAAAAAAGGGCAACAAUUAGUUGGAAGGUUAAUUUUCAAGAUACUUCAAUUUUGUAUUGACUUUCAGUGCUCGAAGCAAACCCCCAUUUCUCUUAUAUAUCCUCAUGAUCAUAUCCAUUAGAAACACUACUUCAAAUUUUUAGAUCCCAUAAGAAAUAAUGACAUUAAAGGGUAGAUGAUUAUGGUAGGUUACAAGAAAUAAUAAAAAGAAAAACACAAAUUAAGCAAAAAUCUGUUGCAUUACGUUGACUGAUCAUCCAUCCUUAUAACUUCUGCAUGUCAUUUACGUUAGGGCGAAUAUAUAGUACAACUCAAAACUAAGAACCGAAACAUGCACGCACGGGAACUUUCACUAGUGUUUCGUAAAAUAUAUAAAUCUCUAAAUACGUUUCUUCAAGCAUUGCUACAAGCAAAAACUCAUACUCAGGCUGCAAAAGAAAACGUCAUUUUUCUUAAAGAUAACGUUAUUUUACUCUAGUAUCAUGUUUUACUCCAAAAAAGCUACACAUUAUCCUGCUAUUCUCAAAUAAAAAUACUACAAAUAGCAGCUGAUGAGUACGAGGGAGAAGAGAAGUAUAAUGGAUUGGAACUAACAAAAUCAAUGGGAAAGAAUUGCAUGCUUUCACUAUUAUCUUUCUUGAGAAUCAAAACAAAGAAAGGCUUUUUCUUUUUCUGGCUUGGAAUAUUUUGAUGAGGAAUAUAAUUCUCAUAAGAAGCGGACUUUCGACAGUACUGUUGAUAUGGACAGCAAGACUUUUGAUCUUUUCCCUCUGCAUGAUUGAUAAUUAAUAUGUUUUCUUCCUUUCCACCGGCUUGCUGCAUUCAUUUUUUCUUUCUCUGGAAACCCGAAAUUUUGGACUUGGGUUUUUCCUUCAAAACAUGGCCCUUAUCUUCUUUCUCUGCAUUUGAUCAGUUUGAGGUGGGGGUGGGUCGGGUGAGAUUUGGAGGUGAAUUAAUGGUAGAGAGGAAAGGAGACAAAAUCAUGUGAGAGUUGGGGUUGUCACACUUUAGUGUGUGGUAAUACUUGAAAGGAAGGCAAAAGCCCCCUUUCAAGAACUCUUUUAUUUCUAGUGUCUUAUGUCCCAAUUUUGGUUAGGCUACUGCUAGCAUCAUGUGAUGAAUGUGUACGUGCAGAUUAUUGGUUAGAAAAACAGCACUAGACUGCUAGACUUGACCAAACUAGCUAGUGCUAGUUCCCUUCAGCUCAAAGCUCAUUGUCACCUUGUAAGUAAAAUGGAGUGAUCUCCAAGAUACUCUAAAAAAAGUUUUGCCACCCCAAAUUCCUCACUAGCUACCAUACGCCUUAUAAUAAUUCUAUUGUUGUCAUCUAUGGAUUAUUAAUUAGGACUAAAAGUCCAAGCAGUAAAGCAUCUCCUUGGUCCUCUGCAGUAUGUAAUAUAGGGAUUGAGAUCCUCUGCAGUCAAUGACUAUAUGGGGUGUUUUGAAAUUGGACUAUAUUUGUCAUGUCAGUGUUAUAUCACUUUGUUUGUUUUAUUUUUUGUGAUAUUGGUGACGGUAGAAACCACACCUUUGACGUAUUAAUAUCUAUCCUUAGCUCCUACUACGUAAAUCAUAGCAAAUGCUGAGUAUAAAACAAUAGAAAUCUGCUUGUGCUCUUGUACUAAAAUAGUAGGAUAAAUUCCUAGAGCAGGAACUGACAGUUUGUUGGGUAUCCUAUUUUACAAGAAAAGUUAAAUCUGCGGUCGAUGUGCAAAACACUAGAAAAAUAUGAAAUACUAACAUGAAUGAGACGGCCACCGUCUGCUACAUGUGACUAUCUGAAGCGGAAGGUAAGGGAACCAUGCCUUUCCUAGCAGUUUCUUUUAUAAGUCAGCAUCAUGUUCCCUGCUUUUCUACUUAAUAAAACCCACGCAAGCAAGAUUGAUAGAUAAAUGAACUUUACAGAUCUGAAAAGCAUGAAGACAAGCUCAUAGAAAAAGAUGGAUUUGUUGUUGUUAUUGUCGGUUCCCAGAUUUUCAGCUCCUCUUCAGGUUCCUAAAUGCACAUUGUCAAAAAUUCCAUAAACAAUGUGAGAAAAGACUGGAACUUCUUGAAGCCAAAUUCUGCACUCUUUGUUUUCUUCUGUUUGCUUGUUUUAAGGUGCAAACAAACUUAUGACAUAGUCAUGGAAAGGUAAAAGAAAAGUCUGAAAGUUCAACAAGCGCAGGGGGCUUGGAUGCCUACUUUAACCUACUUAACGUAAGGAAAAUGAAUUCUGCCUUCUCCGCGAAAGACUCUAUGCAUUUGAUUAAAGCCAGCUAAGUUUGUCUGGUUUCCAGAAGGUAUAGUUAUUGCAUUCAACCAGUAUCACGGUCUGUCUUUGAAAGGACUCGGGGCUUCUCUUGCUGGCAAAUGCAUUCAAAGUCAAUACUCUCAAGUUUCCUUGUCUAGCAGCCUGGCAGCUCACAAAGAGCCCAUCAUCAGCCUACCAAACUUUUUAAGAAGUUGCAGACUGAUUGCCAUGUAGCAUGCUGCGGGAAUCUACUUUCUUCCAACUGUUUUCUACACGGCUUUAACUCUAUCUGCAUGUCCCACGUUCUUUUUAGUGUCCAUUCGUGCAAAAUACAAAGUUUUCACUUUCCCACCGCGCGAGACUCUGACCAAGUAAAUAUAAUACGGAUAUCCAAUGUGAAACUAUCAAUUUUAAUGACUUUCAUUCAAAUGCAGAGCCAACAAAAAGGGAUCUUUCCAUGUAAUAAGUUGCUAGAGAUACACACGCGUUUACCAAGAAUUUGAGUUAAACCAGUACACAGAUUUUAAUCUAUCCAUGGCUUCAGCAAAACAACUUGACUUCCUGACCCAUGUUGAACACUCUCACUAAGAUAAGGGGCAGCAAGCAUCCAACAUCUCCUGCACAAAGAGACUGGAAACUCCAUUCUUGUAGCAGCCCUCUAAAAUUGUUCACAUUCUUUAUGUGAUGCUACAUAUCGUUUCAAAAAGUUUAUUCAGUGCUUUGAGAACUUUUCAAGGACAUCAAAGUAAUCAGGGAAGGUUUUGCGUGUGCAGCCAGGAUCCUUGAUGGUUACAGGAACAUCUGCACAUGCCGCAAGAGAAAAAGCCAUAGCCAUUCUGUGAUCAUCAUAAGUAUCAAUUGAUGUAACAUUUAACUUCUCUGGUGGAGUGAUUAUGCAGUAAUCUGGCCCUUCUUCAACUGUAGCCCCUAACUGAAAUUGUAGGAAAUGUAUGGAUGAGUGUUACAAGGAGAAUUUUCGAGAAAACAUGCAAGGCUUGUGAGAUUGAAAAAUAAUGAUGCAUCACAAAAUUAACCUUUCUAAGCUCUGUGCAUAUAGCAAUCAUCCGCUCAGUUUCCUUCACUCUCCAGCUAGCCACUGAGAACAUAAAUUAAGUCAGACGAAAUAUCUCAGGGUGAUGAAGAAAUAGCAAAGGAAACAGACAGAGUAUUAAAACAGAAAAGAAAAGCUAAAAGCAGAUUAUUGGAUCAUGCAUACUGACGCGGAGCUAGGACUGGUAACCGAUCCUAACCUCAAAAAUCUAUUGGAUUCUAAACUCAUGUACUGUUCAAGAUAAUCCAGUUCUCAUAAGUUACAGACCAGAUUACCAUACGAUCCAAACAUUUUCACAUUAUGCUGUAGACAAAGAAAACUGAAAUAUCAAUUUUCAAGGAUGAAUUCAAAGAGGUAUCCUUAACACGACAAUAAGUCCUAUUUUAAACUUGCCGUACAGCAUUAAUCAAGGAAUUCCUAGUUUUCUCAAAAGAAUUCACUUUGCAUAAAGUAUUAUAUUAUGGAAUAUGAUUCCAAAUUAUUCAUAUUAUAUAGCUUAUGAACACCAAGAAACUAAUGGCAUUUUGCUUCUUGUUAACGAAAAGCCAAUUAUGUCCUGAUCAGUGAUCUAGAACUUCUGUUAUUCCAAUGAAAUUUGAAACAGCUUUAAUUAACUCUUAUAUUCGGUAAACCAGUAACAUUCAUACCAUCUCUUAUUGCAGUGGAACCAUCCGCGAAAAGUGCAACUACAGCAAGAGUCAUGGCAACAUCUGGCAUUUUGUUCAUGUUGAUAUCAAUGGCACGAAGGUGUUUUCCUCUGGAAGAAUCCCUCCGCGGUCCUUUAACAAUAACACUGUUUUCUGUCCAGGUGACUUCAGCACCCAUUUGCUCAAGAACCUCAGCAAAUUUCACGUCACCCUUUAGAAAGGAAAGAAACAAAAAGAAAUGAGAUGAUGAAUGCCAUGCAAUUUACGUGCACAAAACAUUCAAAACCAUGUUAGCAAGGUGAUACUGCAUAACCUAUUUAAAUCCAAGAUACUUUAAGUUUGCAGCAACACAACAUUCACUUCUCAAUAAAAGACAAAAGUCAAGUUUUCACCAUGGACAUAACGCAGAAAGGGCCUUCUUGUCUGAAUGACGUAAUUAUCUUCAGAACAAGAAAAAGAGAGAUACAACAUGCCAGCAUGCAUUUUACCUGUAAACUGCCAGUCCCACAACCUUCGACGGUAAUGGUACCACCAGUAACAGCUGCACCAGCUAAGAAGUAACUGGCACUUGAGGCAUCACCUUCAACAUAAGCUUUUCCAGGAGACCUGACAAAAUGAUAAUCUUUUUACUUGCUACACAACAAGCUACUAAAGUCCAUUUUACUCAAUACAAGUACACUUACUUGUAUUUCUGACCCCCAUGAACCAGGAAUCUGUCCCAACUACCACUAUGCUCUACAGUGACCCCAAACCGUUCCAUCAGUUUCAAAGUCAUUUCAACAUAAGGAACAGAAAUGAGUUUAUCAAUAAUUUCAAUCUCAACAUCUCCUAGAGCCAGUGGAGCUGCCAUGAGUAAAGCAGUUAGGUAUUGACUACUGAUAGAUCCAGAGAGCUUCACCUGCCAGUGAUGAUCAAAAUACAUGUUCAUCGUCAAUCCAAGUAACCUAUUUCAAAAUAUAGUAAGAUAAGAAAAAGAGAGCCCAGCCCCACGAGUCCCAUGCCUUUCUUGGUAGGCCAUGCCAUUUGUGAGAAGUCUUUCUUCAUUCAAAGGCAGAAGCAGAAUUGCAAGGAUGAAAUGAAUAGUGAUUCCCAGUACUAAACCCAAGAACCCAAUAAAGAAAUUUUACCAUUGUCCCAUCCAAUGCUGUGCAUAUAUGAAAUUGUAUUUCUCAUUCACAGAUUCAUGUUUGUUUAGACUAAUCACCCACACUUUGGUCCUGCUUUUGAUUUUGUUACUAAGAGGGGAAGAAAAUCAGGACCAAAUGCUUGGCAGUUCCUGGUGGAGCUUAUUGAGUGCUGAACCCAAUAAGAAAGUGUAAAAUAGGUGGUCUUUGCAAAAAUGUUUUGCAAAAAUAUACCCCUUGCAUCUUGGUCACUUUUACAAUUUCAUUUAUAAGCAGUCUCAUUACUUUGAAUCUCUCAUUUUCUAUACUUAAUUGUCUAAUUAAGUAUCCGUUUCUUGAAGCAGGACUGAAGCUAAUCCAAGCUUCACAACAAAUUGAAAGAAGAAAACAGAUUGGCGAAAUGACAUUGGGCCGGAGCCUCGACAAGGGGAGGUGAUAGUGGAUAUUCUGCUUGUCUUGGGGUGUACAGUAGCACCUGAUCAACCCCCAGAAAUUAAUAAAAUAAUUACAUUAGCCCAGAAUCCAAAAACACAAAAACAAAAGAGUAUGGUGAACAUCAUUGUCUGCCCUGCUAACAAGAGGAAUGUCUCAGAAGUGGAGAAUGACAAGUCAGCUGCAAUGUCUACACAGCUCUUCUUUUCUCAUGCAUGCGUAUAUUAAUAAAGCAUGGAUUGUCCUCUUUGCUUUUCUUUUAAAUCAAGGAAUAAGCAAUUAAGCAUGUUUAGACAAUGUUAAACUCACCUUUCCCCCAGGAAGGCCUCCCUUUCCCACUACACGAACUGGGGGGCAAUUUGUACCAAGAAAACAAUCAACAUCAGAACCAAGCUGCUUAAGACCAGAGACCAGAUCACCAAUUGGCCUCUCCCUCAUUCUAGGAACUCCAUCAAGUACAUAGCUGAAACAUAAAAUUCCAGUUUGAAUUUAACUUCACUAAUUUAAAAAACAAAGUAACUGUCCCGAAAAUGCAAUCAUGGCGAGCAAUCACUAAUUUCUGAGGAAAAUUUUAAACCAAUUUGCAGCAUACAUAUUAAUAUAUAAAAGUUGGGUGACAUUUGUAACUAGAAAAAUAAGGAUAUGGACCUUGAAUUCCCACCAGCAGCAGCAACUGCAGCAGUCAAUGGGCGCAUAGCUGUUCCAGCAUUUCCCAGGAAUAGUUGAAUUUCACCUUUAGAUUCUUUACCAACAGGAAAUAGACCACCACAACCUUCUACAAUUGCUUGCUGUACAGCGCGAUUAUCUUCCACAUGCAGACCCAGUGUCUUUAAAGCACCGAGCAUGUAAUGGAUAUCAUCACUGUCCAACAAGUUAUCAACAACAGUUCUUCCCUGGGAAACAAGCAGAACGGAAAUCCAAUAAGUUCUUGAGAUUGAGGAUUAUUGUGAUUCUUUAACAGAAAUACUACUUUGUAAAAGAACUAAACCAAAAAGCGAUUAGAAACAUUUUAUGUAUGCGUUGCUAUUGUAAACAAUAGCCAAUCCUGGGGACGAAAUUAUUAUAUAAGAGCAUUCUGUUAGGAUAGCGAAACUAUAACAUAAUGUAGACUACAGUUAAGUUGCAUCCAUCAGAAGAGCAAUCUACAGAAUUAUCAAUAUCUUAUGGUCUGUUUUGAGGUGGAAAACUUCUCAAUUCUGAAUGAAACUACGAACUGUAGAACCAGCAUAAACAUGCCACAAUUUGGUCUCUUCUUGCAGGCAAAAGAUUACAGGAGCACCUUUUCAAAUACAAGAAAAUGUCAUUUCUUUCUUGCUUUUCCAUAUUCUUUUGUUUUAUUUUCUUCUGAAUGGGUGGAGAGGGAGAAUAGAGUGAGGGGCGGACUUAAACACAUAUUGUAGAAAAUCAGUUCUAACAACUUUUAGUGACCAAUUUUUUAUAGAACUUCUUUCCUUAUAGAAACAAAGUAAAAGACAGAUAAAGUCUAGUUAAUUUCGUAUAAGAACAACUAAAGACAAAACAUGAAGAACCCAUUAAAUUUUUAUCCAAUAACUGCAAAUUUAGAGACAGAAGUGCAUGAAAAUGCUGCAACUCAAGUUUCCAAUCUCAGAUAAUAGACUAAACAAAUAUACAUAUACAUAUACAUAUACAUAUAUAUAUAUAUAUUAAAAGUUGUGCUUGCAUCUAUAUAGCACUCUUACAACAAUUAUGAACUUCCAAAAGAUUGCUCUCAAGAGUCUUUCAGCUCUCGUAAAGUCACCAUGACUAGAAUCCUGAAUCAUCUCCAACACACUUGGCAAAACUAGAAAAGUCAAGUGCAAAAGGUGCUUAACAUUCCCUCUUAUCUUUUCAGUCAUUAAUCUGUAAUAAAAGCAAGUGAACACUGAACAAGAUUUGGUUCUUUUGAAUAUACGCUCCAAAUUACUUGCAUCGUCUGACUGAAAGUGCUUUAACUACAGUCCUUGAACCUAACCAGUCUCCAUUAGCCAACUUUUGUAAAAUACAGCAUUCUACUGCAUGAAGUCUUUCAAACACACGUACUCCACAUCCCACAAUGAACUGAAUCAAAACUCCAGGUUAAUUUGAAAAAAUAUAUAAUUCCUAUAGAGGAAAGAAGUCAAAAUCAACAAUUCAUCAAGAGUAUAAUGAUUAAACAGAAAUGUAUAGCACAAAGAAGAAGAAAAAGUCACUCAUAGUAGCUUUUACAAUCAUGGUUCGCAGUCGCGUCUCGUCUCGGUCUCGACCGAGACUGAGAGACUGAGACUGAGACCGAGACCGAGACCGAGACGACUCGGCCGAAUCGUCACCGUCUCUCGAUCCCUACCGAUACAAUAUCGUGACGAAACGAUACCGAAAUACUUGACUCGUCGAGAAAUCGACCGAGCCGCUAUCGCAACGAAUUGACUCGACCAAGUCAUAUCGAGUUACUCUGAAUUAUCCCGAAUCAAGACAAAAAAUUAAUCAAACGAGAAAUCAGCCGAGUCAUGCCGCGACGGAUUGACUUGGCUGUUUCUUUUGCUAAUUUUUAAUUAUUUUUAUUUAGUAUACCUUUUUAUAUUAUUAAUAAUUUUAAAAUAUUAAAUACUUUAAAAUUUACGUCUCACCGAGACGGUGAUCGAUAUGCCGAGAUCGAUGUGGAACGUUUCGAGCCGCAACACCGACCGCAACUGUGGCUUUGAACCAUGUUUACAAUGCUUAGCAGAAGGGUCGUAUAACUGCACGAUUCUUAAAUAUUAUAGAUUACCUCAGCCAGGGCAGCAAGGAGAAGAAUGCGAUUGGAGAGGGAUUUUGAGCCAGGCAGCUUGACGGUGCCAGAUAUCUCUUUAAUAGGCUGAAGCACAAUCUCCGGCACAGUAGACGGCUUCUCAGCCGCGGCCACUGAAACAAAAACCUUCAAAGGAGACCUACCUCUAGUCAACAUCGAAUCUCUACUCAAAACCCGUGAAUAUUUUGGUGAACUUUUCGCAAUUCUUGACCCAAGUAUUAAAGAAUGUGGUGAAGAAUACUGGUUUUGGAGUUUCGAGACUUUAGGUGUAGUGAAUUGAGGAGCUUGGAUUGCUUGAGCCAUUUCUCUUUUUGCCGCAGAAUAGAGGGGACAAGGAUGAGAAGUAAUCCCUCUUUCUUUCUUUAUGUUCUUUCAAUUUAAGCUCUGAUGCAGCUACCUACCGGAAAUGGGGAUGGAGGAGGCGUUAGGUAGGCAGGGCAGGGAAGGGAAGUUGGAUUGGAAGACUAACUUGGGGGGAGUUUGGUUUGGUGGGGAUCCAUAACAAUAGUGAGAAAAUAAGCAAUUCGGCAAGAAUGGUCCCAUGACAAUAAUGAUCCCAUAGAUUUGACUGUCACCAACCACUUCUGUCCGUUAAACAAGCACAUGGACUAUCGCUGGAGUGGUGCGGGUGCCUAAUGGUUUGCCAUAGCUUAAGAGCAUUACAAUUUGAGUCACUUCCAACUUCAAGAACCUUUUGCAUUCCCCCAACUACCCCUUAAUCCCACGCCACGCCCGGGAGGAAAGAAAGAGAGAGAGAGAGAGAGAGAGAGAAUCUUUCUGUUUCUUUUUAUUUUUUUGUCAUUUUGAUUAUACGAAAAUAGCUGUCAAUCAUAUACAUUCAUUCAACUUCUGGUUUAACAAUUCGGCCAAUGUUUGCUUCGAGAUAAUCAAUUAUGAAUUAAUGUUACUGACAGUAUAUACGGUUUUGUUAUUGAAUGUACGUCACUUAAUUUCAAAUUAAAUUUGAAUAUCACUUUUUUUACAUACGUGGCAUAUGUUAAAAAAAUAAUAAAUUAUCGGCUGUCAUUUUUAUCAUUAUUAGAUGCAUGUCACUUAAUUUUAAAUUGAAUUUUAAUAUCAUUUUGUACAUAUGGGACACAUAUUAAAAAAUGAUAGCGUAAAGAUAAACUCAAUCAAUCGUAGUCCAAGUUUAAGUACUUUAAGAUUUUCUUUUCGCUCUUCCAAACACUUUAAGAAUGUAUUAGGAAUAUGUAAUUAAUAAUAUAAAAGUUAUUAGUAAUAUGUUAAUUAAUAUGCUUUUAAAGUCACAUAUUUGUUUAUAAGCAUAAAUUAUAACAUUAUUGAUUAAUACAUUAAUAAUAUGAUAUUAGUAGGCAUGAAAUAUAUUUUUAAUUAAAAUAUGAAGUUCGAUCAUUUUGAUCGGUGAUCUGGAAUUCAAGAAUCGUAUUUCAAUAUUCAUUCCCAAAUUAUUUUACCAAAUUUUAAGAUUAGACCUUAAGCAAUUUUUUCGAAUUCUGCUUUACCAAUAUCCAAUUUUCGAUCUAAAUUGAAUCGGUCAUUCAAUUCUUUGGAAGUGUGAACCCUAAGUUAAAGGGCUGACAAAGCAAAUCCUUUGUCUUCGUUAAAAAAAAAAAAAAAAAAAAAAAGUGAAAUGGGUGCUGAAUGGGACCUAAUGAGGUGAGCAAUGAGAGAAAGAACAAGCAAGAAUCAAAUUCAACAACUUGCUGAAGGUGCCAAGCAAGCUUGCUCGAAUGGUUUGUUUGGAUUGUAAGUUGUUUGGGAUAUUUUUACUGUAAUACUUUUUGUAACGUGAUGUACGUGAGAUAAAAACGUAAUUGGAAAAAUAAAGCAGCAGAACAUAACAGGGAUGGAGACUCGUCAACAUUGGAGUUUCUGACAAAAAUCUACUACAGCAAAUCCAACCUAUGGAUGCAUGGACAACAACACAUUAAUACUCCUUGUUUUACAAAUACUCCUUUUGCCUAGAAAUAGUGAAUAGAAAUGAUCUAAAUGUUCAGUUUAGUACCUUAAUUAUCAAGAUAUAAAAUGGAUUAAUCCCAAUCUUUUGUGCUAAUAGCACAUUGGAUUGUAUCGAGUCAUCAUUUAUUUUGUAAAUACUUUUGUUUCAAGUAAUACAAGCGAGUUAUUUUGGUGCUUGUCUAAAACUUUACUAUUGAAGUUUUUAAAAAAAAUUUUAAAAUAUAUAAAUUUUUAAAUAUUUUAAAAUAUAUAGCUUAAAAUUUUUUAAAAAUUUCGAGGCUACUGUAACUGAGCAAACGAAAUUUUUAAAAAACUUGUAGCAGACAAACUUGGUAAAAAACUCAACUGCCAAACAGAGGUUCGACAAAAAAAAAGGGCUUAACAACUGCGCGGUGCAUGGUUGGGCCAUGAACCAGGUUCACUCGACCUUUUACCAACCCAACUCCUCCUCCCUUAAAGGCUUAAACCCUAACAGUCCUUGAGUUACUGCUUUCCUUUCCACGACUCCAUCUCUCCCUCUCUCUUGUCUCUCCCAUGGGAGUCUGAGCGUAAAACUUCAAUCCCUCACUUUCCCAAAUCCCUCCCGGAUCAAAGUCAAAACCUUAAAAAUCGAUUCGAAGAAUGGCGUAUCUUUCAGCUUCGAAACCAUCUCAUUUCCAUCCCAGAAACCUCUCAAAUGUCUCCACCCCACUUUCGCUAAAAUCCCUCUUCUUCUUCUGCUCAUCCCCAGGUGGUAACCCCGAUCAGGAAACAGCGGCCAUUUCACCAACUGAAUCCACUGGGCCAGAAACACGGAAUGUUGAUCCUGCGGCAACGCCAUCCAGAAGCCCAAGAGGUAAGCAUCGUCGUCUUCAGAAAAACCCAGAAAAAUUAGAAGAUAUUAUCUGUAGAAUGAUGGCUAAUCGUGCUUGGACUACCCGUUUACAGAAUUCUAUUCGCAAUUUGGUUCCUAGCUUUGAUCAUGAACUUGUUUAUAAUGUACUUCAUGGUGCGAAAAACUCUGAGCACGCGCUCCAGUUCUUCAGAUGGGUGGAAAGGGCUGGACUUUUUCAGCAUACUAGAGAAACCCAUUUGAAAAUUAUUGAGAUUUUAGGCCGAGCUUCGAAGCUCAAUCACGCCAGGUGUAUUCUGUUGGAUCUGCCACAAAAGGGGGUCGAGUGGGAUGAGGAUAUGUGGGUUCUGUUGAUUGAGAGCUAUGGUAGCGCGGGCAUUGUGCAGGAGAGUGUGCAGCUGUUUCAAAAAAUGGAGGAGUUGGGGGUUCAGAGGACGAUAAAAACGUAUGAUGCUUUGUUUAAGGUUAUAAUGCGCAGAGGGCGGUAUGGGAUGGCCAAGAGGUACUUUAAUAAGAUGUUGAAGGAGGGGAUUGAGCCCACAAGGCAUACCUAUAACCUUAUGAUUUGGGGGUUUUUCCUUUCUUCGAAAGUGGAAAGUGCGGUAAGGUUCUUUGAGGAGAUGAAAAGUAGGGAAAUUUCACCUGAUGUUGUCACUUAUAAUACCAUGAUCAAUGGGUAUUGUCGUGUUAAAAACAUGGAGGAGGCUGAGAAGUAUUUCGUGGAGAUGAAGGGGAGGAAUUUAGAGCCAUCAGUGAUAACUUACACGACUUUGAUUAAGGGUUUUGUUUCUGCUGGGGGAGUUGACAAUGCAUUGAGAUUUCUGGAAGAAAUGAAGAAAUUUGGGAUUAAGCCAAAUGCUAUUACGUACUCAACCUUGUUGCCAGGGCUGUGUGAUGCAGACAAGAUGUCGGAAGCUGAUAAGAUUUUGAAGGAGAUGGUCGAAAGACAUAUUGCUCCAAAUGAUGACUCAAUCUUCACGAGACUGCUGUCUGGACAGUGCAAGGCAGGUCAUUUGGAUGCGGCUGCUGAUGUGCUCAAAGCAAUGAUUCGCUUGAGUAUUCCAACAGAGGCUGGGCAUUAUGGUAUCCUGAUAGAGAAUUUCUGUAAGGCUGGUGCGUAUCAACGAGCUGUUCAAUUGUUGGAUAAGCUUAUAGAGAAGGAAAUCAUCUUAAGACCACAGACUACUUUGCAAAUGGAGCCUAGUGCUUACAAUCCUGUCAUUGAGCAUCUAUGCAACAAUGGACAGACAAGAAAAGCUGAGAUGCUUUUGCGACAGUUGAUGAAAAUGGGUGUCCAGGAUCCAGUUGCCUUCAACUAUCUGAUUCGUGGCCAUUCAAAAGAAGGUACUCCUGAGUCAGCUUCUGAACUUUUGACAAUCAUGGUUAGGAGGAAGGUUGUUUCAGAAGCAAGUGCUCACGUAUCACUUAUCGAAAGUUACUUGACCAAGGGUGACCCUGCUGAUGCUAAAUCAGCUUUGGAUACUAUGAUUGAAAAUGGUCAUCUGCCAGACUCGUCUCUAUAUAGGUCAGUGAUGGAGAGCUUGUUUGCAGAUGGAAGAGUUCAAACAGCAAGCAGGGUGAUGAUGACUAUGCUGGAGAAGGGUGUGAAAGAGCACAUGGAUUUGAUUGCUAAAAUCUUGGAGGCUCUCCUUCUGAGGGGCCAUGUUGAGGAAGCCCUGGGAAGAAUUGAAUUGCUUAUGCAAAAUGGACUUGCACCUAACUUUGAUAAUCUUCUGUCCAUUCUCUGUGAGAAAGGGAAGACAAUUGCUGCUUUGAAGUUGUUAGAUCAUUGUUUACAGAGAGAUUAUAGUGUUGACUUCUCCAGCUAUGAUAAAGUUUUGGAUGGCCUUUUAGCUGCUGGAAAAACUCUUAAUGCAUAUUCAAUUCUGUGCAAGAUAACGGAGAAAGGAGGAGUUACAGACAAAAAUAGCUAUGAAGACUUAAUCAAGACCCUUAAUGCAGAGGGAAACACUAAGCAAGCAGAUAUUCUUUCAAGAAUGAUCAUGGCCUCCAAUAGCAAGAAAGGAAAGAAACAAGCGUCUAUGGCAUAGUUGGCCUCUUUAUUCUGGACUCUUUGAAUUUCAGGGUUACAGCUUUUGAUUUUAGCUUACUUUAAUGGGAUAUUAUGGGUUUAGCUAAGUGGCAGAAUAGUUCAGGUCGAAUUGCAUGUCUUUUUUAAUCUUAAAUAGCAGCAGAAUCUAAUUGUUUUCUGUAGAAAUUAUGAAAGUCUACCUCUUCAGAAUAAAUAAAAGAAGGAAAUAUGCUGCUGAGGUUUUCAUAAAAGCAUAUAACCUUGCAUUCAUAUUAUUGACACUUUGACACUGUACUGUAUACAUGAAAGCCAAAUUUUUGCAUUUAAUUAUCUGGUUAUGGCUGUUGAGAAAUGAGAACUGCUAGAGCUUUGCAGGAUCAUCUCUCAUUGAAGGAUUUCUCAUUCCGAUUUACAUGGAAAGCAUCCGUCUUGAUAUCUAAGAGGCUCUCUGCGUAGGAACAGCCUCUGGGUACAUUGUGCUUCAGCAUAUGACACUAAUAUUCCAGCUCGUGGAAAUAUAAUUACAUUGUUGUCUCUGUGUUUUGGUUUUUGAUAAGGUCAACUGUUUCGCUAUUUUCUUAACUGCACCUUGAUGAUGAGUGAAGUAUGGCUUAUCUUGCUUUGUUUUCUACCUUUGUUACUGUUGCCUUGAUAAGGAUUAAAAUUGGAUUGGGCAAAGUAAUUUCUGCUUUUGUUGAUUAAAGAUAGGAUCAUCCAUCGUGUGGUAUGUCACCGUCACGUUAGUGGUACCUCAAGAGUUUUUUUUUUUUUUUUUUUGGGUCACACACUUAUUUCUACAGUGUGAUUUACCUUUCAACAGCGCAAAGAAACACACGCACAUAGAAUCUAAGGUAAUACGCACAUAGAAUCUAAGGUAAUUUCACCAGUUUACUCAAAAGACAAUUGCUGACUUCUGGAUAAAUUCACGGACUUUAAAUCCUAUUCACACACCUCUUACAACCGAUGUGGAAACAAGGAGUUGGGGGAAAGGGAACACAGGAAGCUUAAGAGCCUUGACUAAGAACCCAUACGGACACUGACACUCCUCUCCUGUUUUCCUUUUUCUUUCAACAGCAGUGUGAUUUACCAUAAUGUGGUUAUCACAUCACUCUGUAGAAUUUUCCUUAAAAAAAUGUCUACAAAGUAAAUAAAGAGAAAAGGCUGGCAACAGGUCAAAGGGCUCAUUCUAUUUGGCACUUCGUUGCCUUACUUUCAAGUACGCCAAUAGGGCAGUUGAACACUAGCUAGCUUAUGCCAACUGGAGUUUAGUUGGGAUGGCAAUAUCAGUUAGCUCACGAGGUACUAGAGAUUGUUCUUCUAAACCAAUUCAAUUUUGGGACUCUUGAUUUCAACUGACUGUGUUACAGAUGCAAUGGGACUCUUGAUUGAGGUCGAUUCGAUUGUAGUUUUUUUUUCAUUCAGAUUUCGGCAAUCUUUCGUCUCUGUGAAAAGGAAAAGGAAAAGAAUGGACUGGAAAUGUCUGAAUUUGAUAUGAAUGAGGGCUUUGAUAUGAAUGAAUCUUUCGUUGCUUUGGCAAAUAUUACACUUAUGCUCGGUGGGAACAGCGGAUGGACGAUUGCCCAUGUGACACUCUCCUGUUAAUACUCUCAAAGAUCUACACCUAACGCAUGAUUCUGCUUAAUAAACAAUUAUACAGAACAUCACUGAUCUGAAGUUGUUGGAUAGUACUAAAGUCUUGACUUCGAAGUUCCCGGUAAGGUAGGUGUUGAAUUGUUCUAUGCACUAUCACACGAUUCUGUACAAGAGUUUUUUUGACUCGGGGGAAUUUUUUUAAUAAACGACCAUAAUUGGAUUAUUCUUAAGAAACUGGUUAUAUCUAAUAAAACUCACUCGUGAGUGUCUCACCAUUAAAUCAUCCUGUGGUAGGCCAUUGGACGUUUGUAAUUAAAUAAAGAACUGCGUUGCAUUUUGCAUAGGAGGAGAAUAUGCCUUUUACCAUUCUCAAGGCAUAUUAUUCCAUGGGAGGAUACUUUUUUCACGGUCCAUACCAAACCAUACUUCCAACUUCCAGGGAAAUAAAGUGCAAUAAUUUGAGCUCUUCAGCUAAGCUAAGGUAAACCUGUUGCCUCUGCACAAGAAAAUGGUACUCUGGUAUAAUACUAGUAGACAAGUACGUACGUUGAGGAUAGGCAGGUUGAGAGCCAGAAGUUCAACUACCACAUAUGAAAUAGCCACACCCGCAACAUUCAACAACCACAUAACAAUGGAUGGAUCAUCAUUCAUCGCCCCACUCCCGGUCCCAUACAUUGUUUGUUUGUUUGUUUCUGGCUUAGGAAAUCCUCAUUCUCAGCCUAAAGAGAUUGGGUUGCCCCACACAGGUUUUGAAAGGUUUGAAGCUCCGCAGCAGUCCAUCUCAAUACAAAUUCUGAAAUUUACUCUAUGUGUUUAUCCAAGAUAUCAUAUAGCGAACAUUGGAACUCUUAUUGGUCCGUUUAAUAUCGUUAAGAAGCGCCGGACAUCACAUUUCCAAUCGCAGCAAAAUGACUCAGAAAAGCUACUCACUAUUCAAAGACUGCGAGCAGUUUUGAUGAUACAUGGCAAUGUGGAGGAGAGCUUAUUAGUCUCAUUUAUCUCUAUUAAAACAUGAGAAAACAUAAUAAAGAGGGGAAAAAAACAAACAAACAAACAAAAAGGACCUCCAAUCAAAUAACCACAUCAAAUUACAAAAACCACGUUCCAGUGUACAAGUUCAGAAGCAUCCUAAACUGCCUCCUCUCUGCAGCCUCAAAUUGCUCCACCGAUGAAGGCAGCUGCUAAAGCAAGAAAUUUUUCUUCUCUUAUUAUGAAAUGUCAAAUGGCAGUCAAUUGAGCCAAGAACCUCACCAAGGGUUUUUGCUGUAAACUGCAGCCUCAUAUAACGAAUCCAAAAUACCUCAGCACAGAACGAGCAACUGGAAAUCCCAUUUUCUGAAGCCUAAGAAACACUUUUUGCUGCAGCUACAACAGCCUCUGCUGUAAUGCCAAGCUCCUUGUAUAUUUUUCCUGCAGGAGCACUAGCACCAAAUCGGUCAAUUCCGAUUGCUUUUCCUUUAGGUCCAACAAUCUUCUCCCAUCCGAAUGUUGAUCCUGCCUCGAUGCUAACCCUAGCUGUUACAGCCGCUGGAAAGACACUUUCCUUGUACUCAGCUGAUUGCUCAUCAAAAAGCUCCCAUGAAACAAGAGAGACAACUCUGACGGCCUUCCCUUCCUUUCUUAGUUCAUCAGCAGCUUUGGCUGCAAUUUCCAACUCUGAACCAGUUCCAAUCAAGAUCACAUCAGGCUUGUUGCCUGAAGAGUUGUCUGAUAUAAUGUAGCCACCCUUUGCCACUCCUUCAAUAGAAGUUCCAGCAAGUUGGGGCAACUUUUGCCUUGAGAGAGCAAGGAUUGAUGGUCUCUUCCUAUUGAGGACAGCUACCUUGUAAGAACCAGCUGUCUCAUUCCCAUCAGCUGGACGCAACAUCAAAAUAUUAGGCAUUGCCCGAAAACUUGCCAAGUGCUCAAUUGGCUGAUGGGUGGGUCCAUCUUCUCCCAGCCCAAUUGAAUCAUGAGUCAUCACGUAGAUAACACCGGCCUCAGACAAGGCAGAUAUCCUAAUGGCAGCUCUCAUGUAGUCAGUGAACACAAAGAAAGUUGCACAGUAGGGAAGUAGGCCAGGGCUGUGGAGAGCAAUCCCAUUACAGAUGGAUCCCAUACCAUGCUCACGUACACCAAACCUAACAUUACGCUCUUCUGGUGUCUUCUUUUGGAAGUCACCAAACAUCUUAAGAAGGGUCAUGUUAGAGGAGGCAAGAUCAGCACUCCCACCAAGCAGACCAGGGAGAACCUUAACAAGGGCAUUAAGAUUUUGCUGAGACAGGUUUCUGGUGGCAUCAGCUGGGCUCUCAGGAGUGUAUGCCUGAGGGUAAAAGUAUAAAAAUCACAACUGAAUUAAACCACAGGACAAGGGAAGGGAAUGCAAUGCCAGGUCAAUAGAUCUGACUUGAAAGCAGACACUAAAUAUAAUUGAGUCCAAUUUGUUUAGUCCAAAAGAAAAGUUUCCAAAGACAAAGGAUAAUAUAUAUGCAAAUUAACAGAAUGAAUCUCGAUGUCACAAGGUGAAAUAAAAGAGCAAAUCUGUUUCUUAGCUACUUACAGGAAGCGCUUUCUCCCAUCCAGCUGGCAAUUCACCAGUUAUGAGGGACUUCAACUCAGCAGCUUCUUCUGGAUAUUUUUUUUCAUAUUCAGCAAAUUUGGCAUUCCAUUCAGCUUCAUAAGCAGCACCCACAGGAACAUGGCGGCUCCAGUGUCUGAAGAAAAAAUGAUCACAAUUGUAAGUUUUCAAGAAAAAGUUAGCUAAGUUUUAUCCAAUUCAAGAAGCAGGCGAGAUCAUUCAUACUUCUUGACAUCCUCAGGAACAUGGAAAGGCUCAUAAGGCCAUCCAAGGUUCUGCCUAGUGGCCUCUACUUCCUUGGCACCCAACGCACUGCCAUGUACACUGUAUGAGUUUGCCUUGUUGGGGGAUCCAUAACCAAUUGUUGUGGUUACCUGUAUGGAAGAAAUAUAUUUAACAAAAAUAUCCCAAUUUGAAGAAUGCAGGAAGAAACACCAAGCAAUCAAGCUGGAAAUAUUUCAAAUCUACCAGCCCAUUCAAUUUAGCGGAGGAACUGUUUUAGAGAUAAAUGCAGCAACAACUAUAGGAAAACAUGAAGUAAGGCUCAAGAUGAAGCAUAAUCAGUAUCUGACCUUGAUCAAGGUAGGCUUGUCUUUUACAGCCUUUGCUUCCUUGAUGGCAGCACGAAUUUCAUCAUAACCUGUAUUACCAUUCUUGACCCAGAUAACAUGCCAUCCAAGAGCCUCAAACCGGAGUUCGACACUCUCGGUGAAAGCAAUUUCAGUAUCACCAUCAAUUGAAAUAUGGUUAUCAUCAUAGAAGGCAAUCAGCUUUCCAAGUCCCCAGUGGCCAGCAAGGGAACAAACUUCAUUGGAGACCCCCUCCAUUUGACAUCCAUCACCAAGGAUAGCAUAUCUAUAUAAGAUGUAAAAGUCCCGUCAUUAAACAACAUAGAGAACUGGUAUUUGAGACCCACCAGAAAAUUGAAACAACUAUUAACAAUUCAGGAAGUCAUAUUACGUGUAGUGGUCAACAAUCUCGGCAUCCGGUUUGUUGUAACGAGCAGCCAAGUGUUUCUCAGCAAGGGCUAAACCAACAGCAUUUGCAAUACCUUGGCCAAGCGGACCUAAUCAAAAGCAAUGAGAGACAACGAUUAGUCCCACCACUCCGUUCAACGUCCAAAUAUACUAGCUGAACUAAAUUCUAACCAGUGGUGACUUCAACACCAGGGGUCUCAAAGUUCUCAGGAUGACCCGGAGUUUUGCUUCCCCAUUGGCGGAACUGCUUCAAAUCUUCCUCCUAAAUAUCCCAUGGAAACACAUUCAGUCCAACGGGAGAAAAAAAAACCCACUCCAUAACUCAAUCCAGCACAAGCAAUGUCAUGAAAACAACUUGAAACCUUCCUGCACAGGACAAUAUCACCCCCAUCUUGCUACUUUAAAAACCCAGGCUCCAUUUACUAGCUCAAGUAAUACAAUCAUCUUAUACCAGGUGAAUUAAACAAACUACAAGCAGACCAGUGAAAAAAAAUCAGCAACCAACUCUAAACAGUACCAAAUAAUUGAAAAGGCAACAGAAAAUAAUAAAUGUAAGCUAAUUAUAAAACAAGAUCAGAUAUAAUCCAGUAAAAUUCCAUUCAAAAUCCAAUUGUUACCAGAUUCUCCACCAAAACCACCUCCAAAAUGAGGUGCAAAAGUCAAACAUCACAGCAAAAUGCAUUGAAAAUCCGAUCUUCAGCAAUGUUCUAACAAGCCGACCUCGAAAAUGACAUGCAGAGUUGGAAAACCACAAAUCCAAGAAAAAACCAGAUCCAAAAUCCAAUCUUCAAACCCAAAAAAAAAAUAAUAAUAAUCUGGGACUGCACCAGUUAGAUCGGAUAAAAGGAUGAAUUCACACAGAAACUACGAUUAAUAAGUUUUGACCUUGACAGAGUCAUAUCCAGCAAGGUGAAGCAAAGCAUACUGAAGCAUACAUCCAUGGCCGGCUGAGAGAACAAACCGGUCCCUGUUGAACCAAUAAGGAUUCUUGGGAUUAUACUUCAUGACCUCAUCAUAAAGAAUAUGACCCAUUGGAGCGCAACCCAUGGGUAGACCCGGGUGACCGGAAUUAGCCUUCUCGACAGCAUCGACGGCCAAGAAACGGAUGGUAUUGAUGGACUUUUCUACAAGGGCCGUGCCGGUUUUCUCCAGAGUUUCUACUGCAGCUGAGGCCAAGACCUGGGCUUGGCGUCGACCCGCUGCUGGGACGGAGGGACUGCGGCGGCGGGAGGCAGCAGUGGUGGUUGUGGAGGGGGUGGAUUUGAGGGCAGAAAACGUGGGGAAGGAAACAGAAGGGAGGUGGGGGUUGGAAGAGCCAUGGCGAGGGAUGGAGCCGGCGAGAACGGCCUGGGAGAGAGUGAGGGAAGAAGAAGAAGCCAUGACUCUCUUGUGGUAGUGG